CUGCAAUGUUAAAUUUUUACAUGGCUCAUUCAUUCUGGAUAUAAUUGAAGGAGGAGCAUUUUUUAUGGCAGGUCACGAUGAUCUUGUACGAAUCAUUACGACUAUAUCCCCCAGCAACAUCGAUUAUCCGGCGGGCUAAUAAAGACAUUGUAUUAGGAGAAGUAUCUAUACCAGCUGAUGUACUAAUCUCAUUGCCAGUGAUCAUAUUGCAACAUGAUAAAGAGAUAUGGGGUGAAGAUGCAAACAAGUUCAAUCCAGAGAGAUUUAGAGAAGGAAUAUCAAGUGCAACAAAAGGUCAAGUAACAUAUUUUCCAUUUGCUUGGGGUCCUAGAAUAUGCAUUGGACAAAAUUUUGCCAUGUUAGAGGCAAAGAUGGCUGUGUCUAUGAUCCUACAAAGCUUCUCUUUCGAAUUGUCUCCAUCCUACACACAUGCUCCUCAAUCCAUAAUAACCAUGCAGCCUCAGUUUGGUUGCCCACUUAUUUUCCACAAACUGUAACUUUUUGCUUGAACCUUGGUAUUUGUAUCAGGAAAUACAUCAACUUUGUAUGUCUUUUAACGCAGUUUAUUAUUCGUUGCAACUUGUAAAUCUUUAUAUAUAAAUUUUGCUACGCAUCAAAAGUAUUAGGUUUAGAUGAACUCAGUGAUCUCUACAUCCACAAUUGUCGUUGGCAGGUAUUGACAUGACAAGAAACGGUAAUGAUGGAACGAUAUAGUAAUUUUUUUAAAAAAUAUUGACGGUGUGUGAACUAGCUUACGAACAUCUCAAUUAUCAUUAAUUAGUUACUUGAACAAUCCUCAUUAGUAUCCUUCAUAAAUAUAUCAUUCAGUUGAUCUCUCCGUUUUACAUCUUCAAAAAAAAUCAGGUCAUCUUAAAUCGUAGCAUUGGUAAAGCGGAAGUCCAUUUCGAUAUGUUUAACUCUUUCAUGCUUCAUUAAUUUGGUCACAAACAAAUGUAAUAGAUCUUCAUCGAUUUUGAAACUGCAAAAUAAUCAUGCAAGUGAUUAGAGUAUAUGUCAAGUUCAAGAGUUCCUUUAAAGUAACACAAGUUUUGUUAGAGAUCUACUGAUCGUGUGUUUAAUGAUAGGUGUGUGUAUAAACUAGAAAGAAUUACGGUUUUAGUCUCUGAGUUAACGUGUUAUUCUAGUUUUGGUCCCUAUGAUAUCCGAUUAACCACUUUUGACCUUCAAUUAAACCCUAACUGCUAUUUUGAUCUGAUGACUAACGGAUCUCAUCAACCUGAAUGCACUAAUAAAAUACCUUGUAUAUAUUAUCCAUGAAAAAGUUUGAAGUCAUACUAAAAAUGUUAAGAGGUGAAAUCAAUAAAAUUUGCUUAAUUAGAUGCCCAAUCAGUAAAAAAUGUGCCUAGAUAUUAUAAAUGCUGAAAAAGAAUUUAACAUUUUUGCAUAUAAUUUAUUUUCAUAAAGGGUCAAAAAAGUGCUCUUACUAACGUUAUUGGUUCAUUUGGAUUGAUAAUUCAUGUUAGUUAUCUGAUUAAAAUAGCACGUAUUGCUUCAUUAAAGAUUAAAAAUGCUUAGUUGAAUAUUACAGAGAUCAAAGCUGAAAUAACACGAUAACUCAGAACUCAAAAGGUCAUUUCCUCGCAUAAACUAAUUGAAAAUGUUGAUUGCUCGGGCAAUAAAGGCAUACUAGUGAUGUCUAAACAGUAGUCCAAACCAGAGAGAGCAAAUUGAUAACCCGAUAAAACUAGGAAAAAAUACAUCAAAUAAACAUUUAAACAUAUCUGUUUUUGGUCAGAUAGAAUUUAAUUUAAAUUUGGUAUAAGGAGCAUCUCCUGACAAAAAGAGUAAACUCAUUCAACUUCUUCUUUCUGUGUUGGCAUAAAGCUAGUGGGUACUCCACCUAUAGGAAUUAAUUUAGCAACAAAAGCAAAAUUCUUGGCAAAUACGUAAGACCAUGUAUAUAUGAGGCUGACAUCUGAUUAGCCUUUAAGGUCAAGGAAGCUGGUGAUAAGGGAGCGGGCAACCAAAGCCAGAGUGAAUGGUGGCAUAAUUGUAACAAUUAAAUUUUACAUGUCUCAUUCAGACUAAGAUAUAACUGAAGGAGAAGCAUUUUUGUUGUAGGUGACAAUGAUCUUGUAUGAGACACUACGGUUAUAUCCCCCAACAAUAGCUAGUAAUAAUUUGGCGAGUAAUGAAGACAUUGAAUUAGGAGAAUUGUCUCUACCAGCUGUGCACUAGUCUCUUUGCCAGUGAUUUUACUGCAUCAUAUAAAGAGAUACGGGGUGAAGACGCAAACAAGUUCAAUCCUGAGAGAUUUAGAGAAGGAAUAUCAAGUGCAACAAAGGGUCAACUUACAUAUUUUCCAUUUUCUUGGGGUCCUAGAAUAUGCAUUGGACAAAAUUUAGCCAUGUUAGAGGCAAAGAUGGCUGUGUCUAUGAUCCUACAAAGCUUCUCUUUCGAAUUGUCUCCAUCUGACACACAUGCUCCAUCUUUCUCUCUUUGUGGCUGCUAAAAACUCUUUUCUGGAUGGUGCAAUAAGUCCUAAAAAAUCUAUAUAAAUGCCCCAUAGCAAUGGAUUUAUGAACAAAAAUGGGUUGGUUCAAUUGAGUUUUAUUUAUUCACAUAUGAAGGGAAAACGAUCCAUAGCCCAAUAAUUCUCCCCCUCACGACUGUGUGGAGGAGACCAUCAUCCCGGUGAUCAUGCAACAAUCUUCAACUUCCCUCUAAAAAGUAGCAAAUUCUAAAAUUUUGUGAUUUUAAACUAAAUAUGUGUAUGUAUUAAAAUUCUCUUCGAAUCUCUUGAUUCUUGUUGAAAGUUGCUUUAAGAAUGCAACUGUUUUUUUUCCUUUUUUCUCCAGCAAUAUUUUUUUUAACGUACAAUCCUAGUUAAAUUAGGAGUCCUAUCUUUGGUAGGAAACUAGUUAGUUAUUCUAAUUUUGGUAGAAAUACGUGUUUCUUUGUCCUAUUUUUAGUUGUAAUAACAACUAUCUAAGUUGCUAAGUUGAUGAUCAAUUAUAGUCGGUCUUUCAACAAGAAAAUAAUCUCUCUCUGUCUCUCUACAUAUUCUCUUCUUCAAACUCCAUCUCUGUUUCUGCGUCCAGCUUUAAAUUGAAUUCCUGUGUUAUUUCCCUUUAACAGUUUUAAACCAACAAUUGGUAUCAAAGCUUUAAUCUUAAGGGACCUGUGAGUGUUGUGCAUCAAUCUGAUCUAGUGGAUACCAUGAAUGGAGAAACAAAUUCUUCUUCAAUGGCACCACCAACUUUCGAUAGAGAAAGUUAUCAAAUCCGGGCAGUUAGAAUGCGGAUAUAUCUACAAGCUUUGAAUCUCUGGGAAGCUGUUGAAGAUGAACACGAGAUAGCUCCCUUGCCAGACAAUUCCACGGUGGCGCAGAUUAAAACUCACAAGGAGAGAAAAACUAGGAAAUCAAAGGCAAUGACAUGCUUAUUUACUGUAGUUUCAUCUAAUAUCUUGACUCGUAUCAUGUCUCUACAAUCAGCAAAAGAGGUAUGGGAUUAUCUCAAGACUGAGUAUGAAGGAGAUGAAAGGAUUCGAGGGAAGCAAGUGGUGAAUCUGGUACGUGAGUUUGAGCUGCAAAGGAUGAAAGAAAGUGAAACCAUAAAGGAAUACUCUGACAGACUUCUUAAUUUAGCAAAUCACAUCAGAUUGUUGGGUUCCACUUUCAAUGAUUCAAGGAUCGUUGAAAAAAUCCUAUUAACGGUACCUGAAAGAUUUGAGGCUACCAUAACAACCUUAGAAAACACUAAGAACUUGUCUAAGAUCACACUUGCAGAGCUCUUAAGUGCUUUUCAAGCGUAAGAGCAACGGCGUAUUAUGAGACAAGGAGGAGCUGUCGAAGGUGCCUUACCAGCCAAACAUCACGAUGAUGGACGUUCUAAGAAGAAGAAGAAUAAGAAGUACCAACCAACUGAUGAAGAAGGUGCAACGCACAACAAUAAAAUCAAAACAGGUGGUUUCAAAGGAAACUACCCUCCUUGUAAGCAUUGCAGAAAGCUCGGACAUGCACCUUUCAAGUGUUGGGAGAGGGCUGAUGCUAAGUGCAGUAAGUGCAAUCAGCUUGGGCAUGAAGCGAUCAUCUACAAGAACAAAACUGAGCAGUAAGAUGCAGAGGCUCGAGUUGUUGAUGAACUGGAAGAAGAUCAACUCUUUGUCGCAUCAUGUUUAACAAGCAGUGUCUCAAGCGAAUCGUGGCUGAUCGAUAGCGGAUGCACAAAUAAUAUGACUUGUGAUAAAAAUCUUUUUAAAGAUUUGAGCCCUACUAAAGUUACAAAAGUUAUAAUCGGCCAUGGUGGUUAUAUUCCAGCAAAAGGAAUGGGAACCAUUACAAUUGAAACAUAAUCGGGCACUAAAAUAAUUUCUGAUAUUCUUUAUGUACUCGAUUUGGACCAAAACUUAUUAAGUGUUGGUCAGUUAUUAGAAAAAGAUUUCAAAUGUAUUUCAAAGAUAAACACUGUUUGAUCAAGAAAGCAUCUGAACAAGACCUAUUUAAAGUCAAAAUGAGAGGCAGAAGUUUCUCAUUAAAUCCAUUGGAAGAAGAACGCGGAUUUCACCCGUUGUGUGUGGAGCCACCUCUACUAAAAGAAGAUAUCAGACCUGAUGAUGAAGGCUGGAUUUGUCCUGGUUGUGAUUUCAAAGUUGACUGCAUUGACUUGCUUAAUGAUAGUCAAGGAACCGACCUUUCCUUCACUGACAGCUGGGAGAAAGUAUAUCCCAAGGAAGUUGUUGCUGCGUCUGGGGAGAAUCUAGAUGAUAUUUCUGAACUUCCAUCUGAUGACUUGAAGGAUGAUGACUUCAACCUUGAAAAUCCAGAUGUAAAAAAAAUGAUUUUGAAGUUGAGGCCAGUUCUGAUGAAUCUACAAAGUAUGGGACUUCACAAGCUUCCAAGAAAAACGCUCGUUAUCUAAUGGAAAAGAUAAUCUUGUUAAACUUUAGGAUGCCAAGUCAGGGAUGGAACUUUCGUCAUUUCACGGGCAUAAGAAUACCGUUCUCCGCGUGAAGUGGAAUCAGAAUGGUAACUGGAUUCUUUUUUGCUUCCAAGGAUCAAAUUAUCAAGCUUUAUGACAUAAGGUCUAUGAAGGAUCUUGAGUCAUUCCGUGGGCAUUAGAACGAUGUGAAAUUAUUGGCCUGGCAUCUGUUUCAUGAAGAAUAUUUAGUCAGCGGAACCUAUGAUGGUUCAAUAUUUCAUUGGCUUGUGGGUCAUGAAGCUCCUCAAGUAGAAAUUACAAAUGCACAUGAAACUGGUGUUUGGGAUCUUUCAUGGUACCCAAUUGGUUAUCUCCUUUGCAGUGGCAGCAAUGAUCAGACAACAAAGUUCUGGUGCAGAAAAAGGCCUGGCGACUCCGCUCGUGAUAAAUUCAAUCUAGGACAGCAAGGUUUGGGUGAUCAAAACAAUGUUCUUGGUCGCAUGCCUGGUAAUUUUCCAGGUCUUGAGUCCCCCUCAACUCGUGGAGCAUUUACCUCCGGUAUAUUAAAAACUGAGGGUACAAUACCUGGAGUUGGAACUGCAGUGCCUCUGUCUAUCCCAUUACUUGAUUCAUCACCUCAAGGAGAACAGAAGACUUCAAUGCCAAUUUCAAUGCUUUUAGGAGCUCCUCCUUUUUCUCAUGGUCCACAUCCAUCUCUUCUUGCAAGUAAUCAGCAACAAGAGUAUCAACAAAAUAUGCAGCAAGUUCAGCAGCAGCAGUCACUACCUCAACAAAUGACUUCUCUUCUUCUGAAGCCUUCAAAUUUGCCACAGUUAGAAGACCUGUUCACUAAGCCACUUCCAAUCAGCAAGUUCGAGCUUCUAAGGCAAAGAAUUGGUGUUUGCAUUUCAUAAAGCAAGGAGGAGUGUUGAAAGUUGCUUUAAGAAUGCAACUGUUUUUUUCUUUUUCCUUCAGCAGUUUUUUUUUACGUACAAUCCUAGUUAAAUUAGGAGUCCUAUCUUUGGUAGGAAACUAGUUAGUUAUUCUAAUUUUGGUAGAAAUAGGUUGUUUCUUUAUCCUAUUUUUAGUUGUAAUAGAAACUAUUUAAGUUGCUAAGUUGAUGAUCAAUUAUAGUCGGUCUUUCAACAAGAAAAUAAUCUCUCUCUGUCUCUCUGCAUAUUCUCUUCUUCAAACUCCAUCUCUGUUUCUGCGGCCAGCUUUAAAUUGAAUUCUUGUGUUAUUUCCCUUUAACGGUUAUAAACCAACAAUUCUAAACAUGUGAUGUGGGAUGUUGAAAAUAAAUACUCCGUCCAUUUCAAUUUGUUUGUCUCACUUUCCUUUGUGUCUUUAUGGAAAAGAAUAUCUACUCUUUUUUGGAAACAUUUUGAUUUCAAUUUUUCACAUUUUGUGUUCAAGACCAUAAGCUUAGAGAACAUUUUGGUACUUUUCACUUAUUUUUAUGAGCCUUCGUCCUGUUGUUGUUUUAUAAAAUUUCACAGUGAGUCAUAUGCCCAAAGUAGUUCCUGUGCUCACACUUGAUUACUGUUAACAUAUAUUUUCUCUUCUAGAUUCUCCGUGAAAUGUAUUGCUAUGAAUUCCCAUGAUUAUGUAUGAGUUGUUGCCCUAUUGCUAUAUAUUCACCAUAUCUUCGACGAAAUCAUAAUUCAUCCAAUAUGUAACUGAAUUCUAUAACUCGAUUAGCUUGACUUCGGUAUGAACAAAGAAGGAAACUAAAUAGUCGUGCAGUGGAUCAAGAAAACAGAAUAGUGCUACAGUGAAGCCAAAGGAAAAAAAAAUAGAACUGCAUCUCAAAAAAAAGGGUAGGUACUUCAAUUUUCUCAUUUUUACUUGUAUAUUUUGGUGUAUUAUAAAGAUAAUACGUGAACUGAAGUAUAAUUUAGAAUAAAAUUAUAUGUCAGGACCCAUAUUCUCCCCAUAGGAUUACAUUUUCAUAUUGUCUAUUAGAUUAUGGUUUAUGCGGUUGAAAGAUCUAUUUAUAUGAAUUGAUCAUCAAAGGCUGAGAAGAUUCAUUUUUUGAUGGGACUGGUGCACUGAGCAUCUAAAGAUGUUGAGCUCAAAAAAUAUUUGUACAAUAUUUCUUCUAAAAGGUUAGUCAUUUUAUCAAUAAGUUCAGGUUAACAACAACAGUCAUCUCAGCCCCAACAGCAAGCUCAGGCACGACAACAACUUAACAGCUCAGCCACGACGACAACACCUUCAAAGCAUGUAUCAAAGUAAUAGCUUUUGGAAAUAUCCAAUCUUUGUAUAGUAAAAGAGUAGGUAUACCACCUUGUCACCCGCAAAUGCCUCCUAUUUCGUCAUAUUCUCAGAUCCCUUUAACCAGGCCAUGGGAUAAACAAACGAGUAUGCAGAAUUUUUGUAAUCCAAGGCUAUCACAUUCACGAUCUUUAUCACAACCAGCUGUUCUUUGUUGAAGAAAAUUUGUUCUAUAACAGGUUGAUCCACAAAGUUGAUACUGUAAUUGAAACGGACAGGAAUAAGCAAUACCACAAAACGAAAGAAAAUAAGAAGAACACACAGAUUUUACAUGGAAAUCCUUGACAGGAAAAACUAGGGGUAGAGGAGGAGAAGAUUCACUAUGAUGAAGAGGAAUACAUGGAGGAGACGAAGGUUUCAAUGAUGUAUAUAAACUACCACAAACAACCCACUAAAUCACACUUAUAUAAUACGUGCGUACAAAUAAAUCCUAAGUCCAAAAAAUCUCAAACAUGGAUCGCAUCGCAAACUUUUUAGAGCCGGGUCAACAAAAUUCGGGUCACAAACUCUAACGGAUACAAUGUCCUUUAUAAUUGGAAACCAUCUCAUCAAUGUGUGUGGUUGCAUCCUUUGCUGUUUUUGUUAAACUCGUGUUUCAUUUGUUGAGCAUUACGUUCCUAAUGUAAGGAUUCUCACACACCAAAUGGUUCUUUGAUACCAAAUUUAGUGUAUAUUUUGAUGAAAUUGUUACUCAUGCAAUAAAGAGGAUAUAUUAAUUUCACUCGACAAGGAACAGAACAACUUAUUAUGUUCGUUUUACUGUCUAGGCACAGGACUUGGCGUAUGGAGGCCAGAGGGUACUUUAAUAAAGUGUAAGUCUCAUGCAAUUUCGGAAAUUGGGUAGUUGAGCAUCUUGUGAUUUUAUUAUUUACCCUGCUUUUUUUUUUUGAGGUCUGAGUCAUUUGUGCGUUAUAUGCAGGCUUCAUGUUGUUGCAUCAAACACCGUUAAUUGAAACAAAUGAUUCACUGCUAUUGUUCCUCUUUCUUCUUUUGUUUUGUUUGUGGGAGGUUUUCGUUAUAAUACAUGAGAUGGAAAAGCAGUCCUGAUUCUUCAUAAAUAGAGCCGUAUCUGCAAUUUCAGAUAAUAAUAAUGAAAUCCAUCUCUGUCCUAUAGUGCUCAAUAAUUUGGGCCAAAAUUGAAAUUGACGUAAUAUAAAAUAAUUUUUGACAAGAAAUCAUACCCGACAUAUAAUAGACAUGCAGCUUAUCUUUGCUCUUUUUAUCAGAUGAUAAAUUCAAAAAUAUAUGGCAGCAUGUUGUUCAGAAGGUUUGUAGAGAAAAGGAAAUCCUGAUUUUAUUGAUUGUAACAGGAAUCCAAAUCUAGAAAGGAUGUGUCCGGAUCACUUGAGCUGAUAAAAAUAUGUAUCCUCUCAAUGCAACAACUACUGCCAACAAAGGAUUAAACAGACAUUAAAAAUUCAAAUGGAACAGAACCUCUCGCUGCACGCAAUAGCGGAAAGCAAUACCGAACAGGCAUGGAUUGUGCUCACUUCCCUGCUCCUUCAACCCUAUAAUUGAAACAAGGAGUGCAAUUUGGAUAAACUUAGUAAUUUUGAAUUUAUCGAACCCAUUAUCCAGAAGGAUUUUGAUAUAGGAUUCAACUAGCAUAGGACAUUGUCUCGAUUGCAACAAAUACAUUUUUAUAUGGCCAUUGAUCAAAUAUCUCUCAACCUUGUGAUGCAUCAAAUUUCUUCAUUUAUGUAAAUAAGAUAUGCAUAAUUACAUAGUAAAACUUGAUUUUUCUACUUAUAAUUCUAACUGAUACAAUUUAGCUUAUAGUACAUAAACAUCUUGCUUUGAUAUUGAGCCUGUGCAGACACGGACCGCACACCUCUAGUCAUUAAUAAACAUGUGCCACUAUCAUAAUAAAAAAGUUGUGAAUAAUUAAUUAAAAUUUGAAAGAAAAUGACUCUUUGAAGUUUUUUUUAAGAAAAUCAGCCUAAUGCGCUAAGCUCGCGUCGUACACAAGGUUCGGGGAAGGGUUCGACCACUAGGGUAGUCUAUUGUACGAAACAUCACCUUAUAUUUCUACAAUGAGUCAUUCCACGACUUGAACCUAUGACCUCCUGGUCACAUUACAACAACUUUAUCAGUUACUUCAAAUCCUCCCCACUUUUUAAUUUUUUUAAAAAAUAAUUUUUAAAACUUGAAGUUGUGUUUAAACUUUAAACGGGAAAAUUUCAUCCAUGAUCACUUAACUAUGUAUCUAUUACUCAAAAGUCAUUUUUCUUUCAUUCAUUUCAUCCAUAGUCAUUUAACUUUACUUUGACCAUCACAAAAGUCACUAUGAUCGGAUUUUACAAUAAUUUCAUCGAAAAAAUGAUGUGGCAACCUUAAUUAAUUCUUAAUUUAAAUUUAAGUGAAUAUAUAAUAUAUUACUCAUAUCUUGACCCUUUUUACAUGUGCACAACACAAUUUUCCUUAUGGACUAUUUAAUGAAAGAAUACUAAUUUCUUGAUAGAUUAGAUUGCCUAGACUAUUUUAUUAAAAAAAUUUAGUUGAUAUUUUUAUGAAAUAAAAUUAUACUUAUAUAUUCUUAAAAUUCUCUAAAGUUGAGACAUGUGUUGGUAAAUUAUUUUUUCCUCUAAUAUGAUGGUAUGUAGUUGAUAAAAUUAUUUUUCUCCCUCUAAAAUUGUGACAUGUAGUUGACAAAAUAAUUUUUUUCAUACAUUUUUUUUCUCACCACUUGAGUCUUUGCAUUCGGUAUAUCAUAAUAAGAUGAUAAACUACUCUAUUUAUUGAGUUUAUCUUUAUAUUUUUAAUUGUUUGACUAAUCGAUUAAUUCUCUUAAAAGUUUUUAUUAUAAGAUUCAAUUUCUUAUGAAUUACAUAUUUUUAAUUAAUUUAAUUGAUAAAUAUAAAAAUUAGAUAUCCUAUAAUUUCUUUAUCUAUUAAAGUACUUAUAUUUUAUAACUUUUAUUAACAAAACUAUACGUUAAUAUAACAUUAUUUGUAAAAUUUUGACAAUACUUAUUCAAUGACACAAUUAAAAAAAAUGAUUUUAAAACUAUCUUUAGCAUGUUGAUUUAUCUUCAAAGAAUUAAAAUAUUUUUUUUUAAAAAAAUAAUAUCAUACAAGUAUUUCUAUUUUAUGUGUUUUGAAGAAUUUAUCUUAUUUAUCACUCUUUUUCGAUGCACCUUUUUGGUAGAUGAAUGCAAUAUUAUGAAAUAUUUCAUAAAAAUAACAAUCAAUUUUUUCUAUGAAAAUAGUCUAUUAAGAAAUUGGUAUUCUUUCAUUAAAUAAUCCAUAAGGAAAAAUUGGGUUUGCACAUAUAAAAAAGAUCAUAUUAUAUAUUCACUUAAAUUAAAAUUAAAUUUCUUUCCUACAUCUUAACUAAUGCAGCAUUCUGUUUUUCUGUUUUAUGUAAAACUAUUUCAAAAAUUUUUGCCAACAAAGAGGAACAGAAGAAUGAAGCAAAUAAACAAGGAUGUUCGGUCCUCAAUUCGAGGUAUUAUUGAUAAAAGAUUGAAGGCAAUGGAAGCAGGGGAGGCUGACAAUAAGGAUCUUUUAGGCAUAUCGCUUGAAUCAAAUUUUAAAGAAAUUGAACAGCAUGGGAACAAGAAGUUUGGAAUGACCAUUGAAGAAGUCAUUGAAGAAUGCAAGCUAUUCUAUUUUGCUGGCGCAGAAACAACAUCAGUACUACUCGUAUGGACUCUGAUGUUGUUGAGCAAAUAUCAAGACUGGCAGGCACGGGCCAGAGAAGAAGUCUUGCAAGUGUUUGAGAGUCGUAAACCAGAUUUUGAUGGAUUGAAUCGUCUAAAAGUUGUGAGUAUUGUGGUUUUAUUGGUUCAAUUUAUCUGCCAUGAGUUUCUACUCUCAUUGUUAUUGCAAUUGCUUGAGUUCUUAAAUUUUUAAAGUUGGGACUUUCUGAUACUAAUUUGAUAGCGGACCAGGGAGGGGGUUGGGGGGAGUAUUUUUCCAAGCGCAUGUGAAUUUAUUUUGAUCAUAGGUGGGAUGAGACUUGAACUUAAGAUUUCUAUGUUGGUUACAGGAUAGUGCAGUACUCCACCUGUAGAAAAUAGUGUAACAACAAAAUUGAAAAGAGCUUGGCGAGUAGCCCCAUAAUUUCAGGAUAAGGGUCGCCUCCUCACAGAAAAAGGUCGCAGCGAUCAGGCCCAGAAGACUGUUUACCAAAAAACACAGGUCUUGGCAGAGUCAUAAAACCAUGUAUAUAUGGGACGUCUUCCCACUCUUGAAGGUCAAAGAAGUUAGUGACCUGAUGAUAAGGGAGUAGGCGACCAAAUCCCCGGUGAACAGUGUCCAUAAGCCCGUAACUGCAAUAUUAAAUUUUACAUGUCUCAUUCAUUCUAGAUAUAAUUGAAGGAGGAGCAUUUUUAUGGCAGGUCAGGAUGAUCUUGUACGAAUCAUUAUGACUGUAUCCCCCAGGAACAUCAUAUAUCCGGCGGCUAAUAAAGACAUUGUUUUGGGAGACCUGUCUAUACCAGCUGAUGUACAAAUCUCUUUGCCAGUGCUCUUAUUGCAUCGUGAUAAAGAGAUAUGGGGUGAAGAUGCAAGAAUGUUCAAUCCAGAGAGAUUUAAAGAAGGAAUAUCAAGUGCAACAAAGGGUCAAGUCACAUAUCUUCCAUUUUCUUGGGGACCUAGAAUAUGCAUUGGACAAAAUUUUGCCAUGUUAGAGGCAAAGAUGGCUUUGUCUAUGAUCCUACAAAGCUUCUCUUUCCAACUGUCUCCAUCAUACACACAUGCUCCUCAAUCCAUAAUAACCUUGCAGCCUCAGUUUGGUUGCCCACUUAUUUUCCACAAACUAUAAUUUGGUAUCUUGUAAGGUGUCUUUAAUUGUAAUUUGUAGUUUAGUUUAUUCAGGACUCAAAUCAGGGCGGAGUUAUAAUAUUAAAUAGGGUGCUGAUCAACUCAGUAACUUCUUGCUUGAACCUUGGUAUUUGUAUCAGGAAACCCAUUAACUUUGUAUGUCUUUUAAUGCAGUUUACUAUUCGUUGCAACUUGUAAAUUUUUAUAUAUAAAUUUUGCUCUGCAUCAAAAGUAUUGACUUUAAAUGAACCCCCGGUGAGUGAACUCUACAUCCACAUUUGUAGUUGGCAGGACACCGGAAAUAUAAGAUGGUUUGGAAAGUAUUGACAUGACAAGAAACGGUAAUCAUGGAACGAUAAGUAAUUUUUUCUUUUAGAAAAAUAAUGAUGGUGUAUGAACUAGCUUACGAACAUCUCAAUUAUCAUUAAUUAGCUACUUGAACAAUCCUCUAGUAACCACCAAGUGCACAUAGGAUAAAUGGAGUGUCUUGGUUGAAACUACUUAAAAAAAGGAAUUUCUCAUGUCUCAUUUCACAAAGAAUUAGUGGCUUAAGUUGGAGCAUAAAUAUAAAUCAUACCCAACUUGACAUGAAAAUAUUCCAUCUGGAUCUUAAAUCGUAUCAUUGUUAAAAUGGAAGUUCACUUCGAUAUGUUUAACUCUUUCAUGCUUCAUUAAUUUGAUCACAAACAAAUGUAAUAGAUCUUCAUCGAUUUUGAAUCCAGUUCAAUCGACAACUGCAAAAUAAUCAUGCAAGUGACUAGAGUAUAUGUCAAGUUCAAGAGUUCCUUUGAUCUACUGAUCGUGUGUUUAAUGAUAGAUGUGCUUAUAAACUAGAACAGAUGGCGGUUUUAGUUUCUGGGUUAUCGUGUUAUUCUAGUUUUGGUCCUUCUGAUAUCUAGCUAAGCACUUUUGAUUUUCAAUUAAAUAAUAUCUGCUAUUUUGAUCUGACUUGUAUAAUAUUAUCCACAAAAAAAGUUUGAAGUUAUACUAAAAAUAUUAAGAGGCGAAGUCGAUAAAAUUUGCGUAACUAGAUGCACAAUCAGUAACAAAUGUGGAGAAUUUAGAUAUUAUAAGUGCCGAAAAAGAAUUUAACAUUUCUGCCUAUAAUAUAUUUUCAUACAGGGUCAAAAAAGUUCUCUUACGUUGUUAUCGGUUCAUUUGGAUUGAGGAAUAUAUAUUUUAGUCAUCUGGUCAAAAUAUCAAGUAUUUCUUAAUUAAAGGUCAAAAGUGUUUAGUCGCAUAUUACAGGGAUCAAAAUUGGAAUAACACAAUAAUUCAAAAAUUUAAAAUGUCAUUUCCCUGUAUAAACUAAUAGAAAAUGUUGAUUGCCCAGACAAAAGGCAUAAUAAUGAUGUCCAAUUGGUAGCCCAAACCAGAGAGGUCAAAUCUAUAACCCGAUAAAACUAAGAAAAAAAUACAUCAAAUAACAUUUAAGCAUAUUAUUUUUUAUUUUUGACCAGAUAGAAUUUAAUUACAAUUUGGUGUAGAGGUAUCAUGACGAAAAGGGGUCACAGUGACCGGACCCAGACAAACGGGCACAUCAAAAUCGUAAGACCGUCAAAUAUUAUAAUAUCAAAAUUUCAACAUAAAAAUUUUUAAUUUCAGUAUGAUAAUUUGAUAUUUAUCAAAAGCAAUACAGGAUGACCUCAAGCUUCUCAAGCAAAACCAUCAAUGGAUAGCUGUGAAUCAUUGGAACAUUCGAGAGAAAGAGAGAGUAAAGUAAGAGAGGAAAAAAAGCCUUCAACUUUAUUGAGAUGAAGAGAAAAAAUAUCUGAGAUGCUUAGUGUCCCCACUAACUGUUCACAUAUAUAUACAUACAAUUGUGGGCCGGGUUGUGUGAUGUAAAUGUGGGCUUGGAAUGUAAACCAGUGUAUCUAUAGGUCCAAUAUACACGUAUAUAUGCUUAUAAAAAUGUGUAUAAAAUGUAUAUUACUUGUGCUACUAUGUAAUAACUCCAAUACCCCCCUCAAGCCGGAGGGUGUAAACACUCCAAGCUUGCCAAGAAUAUUAUGAUAAGCAGGACUAGGGAGUGACUUUGUGAAUAUAUCAGCUAGCUGACCGGCGGAAGAAACGAAAUGCAAGGAGAUAAAACCGGAGUGCAAGCAAUCACGAACAUAGUGGCAGUCAAUCUCGAUAUGCUUGGUGCUUUCAUGGUAGACAGGGUUUCUGGCAAUGUGCAAAGCAGCCUAGCUAUCACGAAAAACAGAGACUGGGUCAGACACAGGGCAACCAAAAUCAGAAAGUAGGCGUACCAGCCGUGAAAUUUCAACCACCACUUUGUGCAAGGACAUAUAUUCAGUUUCAGCUAAAGAAAGGGAAACAGUAGGCUGCUUCUUACUCUUCCAAGAAAUAGGGGAACCACCUAAAGUGAUGAAAUAACCAGUAACAGAUCUACGAGAUUGGGCACAUGCAACCCAAUCAGAAUCGAGAAUGCCAGAAUAGUCAUAUCAGGGGACUUGGAAAGCAGCAGGCCCUGAUCGAUCAGGAGCAUGUAACAAAUAUCUAAGAACAUGAAGCUGAGUAAGAAGAUAAGGCACUUAAGGAGCCUGAAGUAAUUGACUAAAAUGUUGAACUGAAUACGAUAUAUCAGGUCGCGUGUGUUGAAGGAAAUUCAUUUUUCCCACAAGUCGACAAUACACAGAGGGAUCAGUGAGAGGAGCCCCCAUAUCAGUUGUCAACUUAACAGAAUGAUCAAGAGGUGCAGUAACAGGUGUGAAAUUAGCAUAGUGAAAUUCAGACAAAAGCGCAGAAGUGAACUUUUUCUGAGACAUGAGAUACCCUUGGGGAUGGAAAGUGAUCUCCAAACCCAAAAAGUAAUGCACUGAUCCAAGAUCCUUAAUCAUGAAUUGAGAGUCCAAAAAAUGUUUGAGAUCAUCAAACUCAUAAAUGUCAUCCCCAGCAAGGAGGAUGUCAUCCACAUAUACAACCAACACAGUAUAAGAACCAACAACAAAUCUGGUGAACAAUGAAUAGUCAUUUUUGCUAGAAGAAUAACCCCUUUGAGACAAAGCUUCAUAAAUCUUAGAAAACCAUUGUCAGGAUGCUUGUUUCAACCCAUAAAGAGAUUUCUUCAAUUUACAAACCAAAGGAGCAGUGGAAAAAGUAGAGGAAGAUACCUCCAGUCCAAGAGGUAGCUUCAUAUAAAUAUCUUCAUGAAGGUCCCCAUGAAGAAAUGCAUUAUUGACAUCUAAUUGGAAUACAGUACAAUUCUAUUUAACCGCUAUAGACAAGAGGACCUUGAUGGUAGUGAACUUGACAACUGGGGAAAAUGUUUCAUUAUAGUCAAUCCCUUCCUUUUGAGUGUCAUCCAUAAUGACCAAUCUUGUUUAUAUCUUUCAGUGGAACCAUCAACUCUAUGUUUGAUUUGUACAUCCAUUUAGAAAAAAUGGGUUUCUUAUGUGGAGGGAGUGGGACAAGAUCCCAAGUGUUGUUAGCCUCAAGGGCUUGAAAUUCUUUAAGCAUAGCAUCUUGCCAGGCAGGAUGAGAAACAGUUUGUUGAUAAUACUAUGGUUCAAAUGCAGUAGCCUCAGUUGGUGGAGCAGAAGUAAAAGAAUGACAAACAUAGUCUGAGAGGUAUGCGGGAGCAGAGACAGAUCUGGUGGAUCUUCUCACGGGAAUAGAGGAAGCAGGUUGUGCAGGGGUUGAAGAAAGAGGAUGAGUGGGUUUAGGUGGAGAAAGAAUUGAUGAUGUAGGAACAAAAUUGAUAGGUGAGGUAAAAGGAAUAGGGAUAGAAUAUGAGGGAGGAGGGUAGUCCAAAGGAAAAGAAGAUUGGGGAGGGGAACAAAUAGAAGAAGAGUAAGGAAAGAUAUUUUCAUGAAAGAACACAUCCCUAUAAAAAAAUAUGGAUUUGUUAGAGAGAUGCAGUAGCUUGUACCCUUUCUUACCACAAUGGUAGCCAAGAAAAACACAGGGAAUAGCCCUAGGAUCAAAUUUGUCCCUUCCAACUGGAUGGGUAGUAGCAUAGCAGAGGCAUCCAAAAGACUUGAGAUGAUCAUAUAUGGGAGGUGAACCAUGUAACUUUUCAAAGGGGAACAAAACAUGUAGAACAUAAGAUGGGAGUCUAUUUAUGAUGUAAGUAGAAGUGAGUACGCAAUCUCCUCAGUACAUGGUUGGGAGUUUAGAUGAAACAAUCAAGCUCUAGAUGUUUCCAAAAGAUGUUUGUGUUUUCUUUCCACAACACCAUUUUGUUGUGGUGUGUGAGGAAUGGCGGUUUGAUGAAGGAUUCUAUUUUCAGCAAAGAAUAAGGAUGCUUCGGAAUUGCUGCCUAGUUCAUAGGCAUUGUCAGAUCUAAAAGACUGGACAAAAGUAUGAAAAUGUACUUUGACCAUAGAGACAAAAGCCUUAAGGAUAGUAAGAGCAUUACUCUUGCAAGUAAUAAGGUGAGUCCAUGUGACUCUGGUAAAAUCAUCUACAAGGGUAAGAAAAUACUUGUAGCCAUUAUAAGUUUUGGUGUUGUAGGGUCCUCAAAUAUCAAUAUGUACUAGUUGAAAAGGUAAUAUAGAAUAGAUAGUGAUAUGUGGAAAAGAAAGUCUUUGUUGUCUAGCAAGUAGACAAAUAUCACAUGUAAAUGAUUGAUAAGGAGGAAGUUGAGUUUGUAAAAAAGGAAUCGUUUUCAUCUUAUUAUAAGGCAUAUGACCAAGUCUUUGGUGCCAAAAGACUUCCAUUUCAUUAGAAACUUCAGAAGAAUUACAAUAAGACUGGAUUACAGAUGGAGCAAUACAAUUGAUAUUAGUAUAAUGAGAAACAAAACUAGAAACAAAUUAACAACUGGAAAUAGAAAAAAGAAUCUGCAAUGUGGUAGAGAAAUUAGCAUGGUGAUAGUACAACCCAUUGGAAGCCUUACCAAUUUCCAGUGGCCUCUUCAGAGAAGGGCCGUGUAAAUGACAAGAAGAAAUCAAAAAAAUAGCCAGGCAUGAGAGUUGGUUGAGUAGUUGAAAUAUUAAUAGUAAAUUAAAGUGAAAUGAUGGAACUAAUAGCACAUUGUCUAAGGUAAUAUCUUCCCUCAAGUGAUCUAGUAGACACUACCUUGACUUUGUAACCAUUAGGUAGUGUGAUUAGAAAAAGAUGAGUUAAAGGUUGUAUGUUAUGAAGAAAGUGUUUAUGUGGAGUUAUAUGGUUAGAAUCCCCUGAAUCUAAUAUCCAGGUGGUUGGAAGGAGUUGGGAUGAAGCACAUACAUUAUAAACAUUAGUAGUAAAAUUUGAGCUGUUUGACAAACCUGUAAAGUUGGCAAAACCAAAAUUUUUUGCAUGAUUAACUUGAGAUUGAUUCAGAGAGGCAAGUUGAGCUUACUGAAAGAGGUUCAUAAGAUGAUGGCAUUGUUCCUUGCUAAAACCAUGUGCAGAGUCUUCUUUGUAAGAUGAAAUAUAUGAUUUAGAUGUUGAAUCAGAUAGUGGAGGUUGAGCAUCAGAAUCCAACAUCUGAACACAUGCAACAGAAUAUUUUUUGUUCUUUGUGAACUUGAAAUUAGGUGGGAAGCCAUGGAGCCUAUAGAAAGUUUCAAUACUAUGUCCGGGCUUUUUGCAAUAUUUGCAAAUCAAAGAUCCAUUCUAAGAUUUAUUAGUAUUGAAAUUGACCUUUUGAAGAAAAGGUUUGUAAGGAUGAUUAGGAGCAGAUGUAGAUGCAGUGAAUGAAGUUGAAUCACUUGAGAAGUGUAGAGGUCCAGAUUGAGAUUCCUUUUGAUUUUUAUCCUGUUGGAGAAGGGCAUAAACCUUACUGAUAGAUGGCAAAGGCAUCAUCAUGAGAGUGUUGCUCUUUACAGUGGAAUAUGCUUCAUUCAGACCACAAAGGAACUGGAAUAAUUGUUGGUCAUGGAUGAAUUUUGGUAAUGCACCACAUGUGCACUCAGGACCAACAUAAGAAACAUUUAACUCAUCCCAGAGUGACCUCAUCUUGGUAAAAUAGGUUGCUAUAUUUGAAGACCCUUGAACUGUGGAACUAAUUUCCUUUUGGAUUUGAAUGUAUCUCGAACCAUUGGAUUGACCAAACCUAUCAUUAAUGUCUUUCCAAAUAUCUCUAGUUGUAGGUAGACACAUGACACUAACUGCAAUAUCCCUAGAGAGGGAGUUGGUGAUCCAUGCUUUGACCAUGUGAUCACAUUUUUCCCGGAAUUGGAAAUAGGGAUUGUGAGAAUCAAGUCGAGGGAACUUCCCAUUAACCAUGCCCAACAGAAAGGGAAGUUAUCAUACUGUUCCUCCAAAUAGCAAAACUAGAACCACUGAAAACUAUUGGUACUAACUGAUAGCUAGGGUUUUCUGAAGGAUAAAUAGAGUAUGGACGAGAAGGAUCCAAAGUCAGUUCUUCAAAUCCAUCAGUAUUAGGUGAUGUAGUAGUUGUGCUCGUACUCUGAAGAUUUGCCAUCUUUAGUGAGAUGGAAUAGAUGAGUCCGUGAGCAGUGAGUCCUAGUUAUACAACUACAAAAAUGGAUCGAACAAGUCUAUACAACAACUUCUAGAAGCAAAACACAACAACACAAUAGGGAAAUACUACUAAUGAAACCUAAUAAGCUCAAUCUCAGCUAUAACCAGCAGAUCCAUGUCAACAAAAGUCUAGAUUUCAGUAAUAUACGAUUCAAAUUAGGGAUUAUCACCAAAUGUCGAAGAAAUUAGGGUUAUAGGUACUGUUUACCGUUCUCCUUCGCAAACCUGAAGGAGAAAAGGCCUCGUUCAGCAAACCCUAAUUGAAAUUCCCUGUUAAUCGGAGUUACGCGACUGAACUUCUGUCACCGAGGGGUAAGAUCGGACGAACAUGGAUGAUGGAAGGAUCGAUCUACGCGAAUCUGAUACCAUGUUAGGGUCAAAACCAAAUGAAAACCAUCAAUGGAUAUCUGUGAAUCAUUGGAACAUUCGAGAGAAAGAGAGAGUAAAGUAAGAGGAAAAAAAGCCUUUAACUUUAUUGAGAUGAAGAGAAAAAAUAUCUGAGAUGCUUAGUGUCUCCACUAACUGUUCACAUAUAUAUACGUACAAUUGUGGGCCGGGUUGUGUGAUGUAAAUGUGGGCUUGGAAUGUAAACCAGUGUAUCUAUAGGUUCAAUAUACACGUAUAUAUGUUUAUAAAAAUGUGUAUAAAAUGUAUAUACUAGUGCUACUAUGUAAUAACUCCAACAAGCUUGUGGUAAAAUAAAUUAGAGCCACUCGUAGUGUCUCAGGAUAUUUGCAAGAAAACCUCUGAUAUUUGUCUUUGCUAGUCAUUAUUGACGUUUUCGUAAUUCAUUUUCUUAACUUCCCACAAACAUGGUGAUUCCUUAAAAAUAAAUGUAUACUUAAUUAUUUUAGAUAAUAUGGAAAAAUGCCUAAAAUAUCCUUCAUCUAUUGAAAAUGAAGCAAAAAUGUCAUUCAUCCAUUUUUGGCUCUAUAAUGCCUCUACAUCCAUCUUUGACAUCCAAAAUGUCCUUCACAUCCACCUUUGAACUCCAAAAUGUCUUUCUAUUAAACAACCCCAGUAUUUAAUUAAAAAUGAUUUCAUUAGUGACGUGUCAACUUUUUAUUGACUAAAAAAAAUUUUCAAAUCCCACCCAAAAGCUAAUGGAUCCAUUCAGAUUAUCUUGAAAUUCUAGUAAGCUUCGGCAAACUUAAUGACCCUUUUGGAAUCGAUCUAUUUAGAUAAUUUUUUUUUAAUUCUAAUUCUACUAAGUAACUGACACUCACCCAAAAAUUCUGAAAUUAAGCCAAACAAGUAGCUUUCGAGAGUGACCAAUGUCUAUACAUAUGCUUGAAGGUAAAUUUUCAAUUAAUUUACUGAUACUAGUAUCAAAGAUCUUUAACUUAGAUGAGGAAUUCAUCCUUGUAUUAAAUAGGAAGAAGGUGGAUAGUAAAGUUGGUAGAUAAAUGGCCUUAAGAUUACAAGAAACUAAUGUCAUGAGAAUUACAAGAAAUUAAUGGUCAUUAUGAAUUACAAGACAUAAUAUGGUAGAUAAUGGAUAAAUGAAGUGUUAGAAAUUACAAGAAUUAUCAAAAUAUAAUAACGCCACUUUCUCCGCUCUCUAUCCAUAAAUUAUCAUGCGAAUUAAGAUUUUAAUUUUAAUAUUAAAAUCAUAAUAACAGCAUUUCAACUUACUACAACAGUUGAGUUGCCCUAAUACUCUCAACUUACUAUAACAGUUGAGUUACCCUAUAAUACUCUCAACUUACUAUAAUAGUUGAGUUACCCUAUAAUACUCUAAACUUACUAUAACAGAUGAGUUACCCUAUAACUCUCAACUUACUAUAACAGUUGACUAUAACAGAUGAGUUACCCUAUAACUCUCAACUUACUAUAACAGUUGAGUUACCCUAGACUGGCAUCAUUUAAGUUUUAUUGCUAAUCAUUUUUUUCUACAAAGUGCCACCAGUUCUUGUGCCACACCAUCCAUUAUCUCUUCAUCCCCUUUGGCGGUCAUCAUCUCACUCAGUUUCUUAACUUUCUUCCUCACAGCCUCCCCGCUUUCCUCUGAUGCUACCACCUUCCUUAUCGCCUUUGCUAUUUCUUCACUUUGUAAGUUGCCAUCUUUGUCCCUCCCCGCUUCCACUGCCGCGCCAAUAUAUUCCACAGCCUAGCAUUCAAUGGUUGGUCAAUGUGCAUUGGCAUGGCAAUUAUUGGCACACCAAACUUGAUACUUUUCAUGACAGAACUCCAUCCACAGUGACUCACGAAUCCACCUAUCGAUGGAUGUUGAAGAAUUUUUGCUUGAGGAGCCCUUCCUUCCAUAACAUUCCUCUUUCUCCUACCCUUUCAGAGAUACCCUUCCGGUAAUGCAUCUUGCAUACUAAUAUUUUCGCCUUAUGGAAACCUGAUGACCCAUAUGAAGUUCACUUUGCUAAGCUCUAGACCUUUAGCUACUUCAUGGAUUUUUUCCUUGGAUAGAAAAUACUCACUCCCAAAUGAAAAAAAAAUAGUUGAACUUUUUUCUUUCAGGUCAAGCCAUUGUUUGAUCUCCUCAUGAUCAUCUUGGUCAAUGGAUUGUUGAACUAGAGAACCAAGGGGGACUAUUUUCUUGGAAAAAAUAUUUGAAAGAUAAUCCAUAUAUUUCCCUUCAAAAUCUCUGUAAGCUUUCACCAGAACAAUGUCACGUGAUCGCCUAAGAGUGUCACUUAAUGUGAACUUCUCAUGAUCCGGUAUUUCAUCAAUGUUUUUCAUUAUUGGAAGCAUUUCAUAUUCGCGCAGGUAAAUUUCAGGAAACGGAAACUUCUCUUCUAUGUUUUCAAACAGGUGGACGAUCCAAGAAACGGUUGCUACACUAUAAAUGAUGAAUACAACAGCUGGAAUGUUGAGAGAAGAAGCAAAAUCGGCAGCCCAUGGCUGAUUGUAGUCAUAAAUGACUAAGUCUGGAUUUAGAGCUUGUAAUAUUUCAGAAAAUUUCGGAGCAGCCAUUUUGAAAGCAUCUUUGAGGGUCCGCAUGAGAUGGGAUGGAAGGCCAUUUGUGGUGUGGUAACGAGGAGGACGAUUUGGAAAAGAUGGAAGAUGAAGCUCAACUAAUUCUAUGGAUUGAGAAUACUUCUCUAUGACACUUUGCUUGACGGAGUAAUUGAGGUUUAUAGGAGUAGAACACAGGUAAAUGUGGAAGUCUCUAUCUGCUAGCUUUUUGGCUAGCUCUAGAUAUGGACUUGUGUGACCAUGAGCUAGCCAUGGAAACAUGAGUACACUAAUAGUUUUCUUCUUGGCUUCCAUUACUGACUAGAUUUCUCUCUCUCUCUUAAUUUCUCUAUAUAUGAUGGCUCUAGCAAGUAUGAUUAUACAUCAAUUUAUAGUAGUUAUAUGUUCAUAUCAGAAUGGAAGAGGAAAGAGAAAACCUUAAUACAUAGCUCAAAGUUUACAUGCUGCUUGCACUUUUGAGCUCGAUGAUAGUGUAGCCCAAAAGAAAAAAAAAUUGGGUCUAGGCCAAAAAGCGGAUAAUACGUUUCAUCGCUUGGUCAAACCUCAGGGAGGACAUGAACGCAAGGACAGGUCGAGUACGACUGACAAACUUCUUACAAAGAGGUAUACAUGACACCUUAAGCAAAAUCCAUAUAAGGGAGAAAAGUGAAGAUAUUUAUAAGGCAUUAUUCAUGUUUGUGCGUAAUUGAUUACGUCAACUACACAGGGCAUAUACAAGUUGCAAAAGUGAUUCAAUAACAAAUUAAAGUCAGAAGUGUUUUAGAUCAUCUAUGUUGAAGUAAGUUUUAUUCAGCCACUUCAACUCAAAUUGCAUCUUUCGACAGUGACCAGUUUUUGAUUGUAUUUAGAUCUGUUUUUUUAAUUUACAUAUUCGAAAAGUCACCAGUUUUAUUUAAUUAAGGGAUAUGAACAGUUGUGACAUUUUGUUUGACUAAGUUCAGUCCUUUCCAAUUCAAUCAUUUAAUAAAUAGGUCCCUCCGACCUCCUCUCACUCCUCACUCACUCGUUCAUUCUACUAGACUUGCAAUACUAAUAUGGCUGAUCUAGAUUCGUACAAGAAGGUUCAUAUCGAGUCCUUGCAGGAACUUCAAAGGCGGUUUGAUGAACUCCAGAGGGAUUUGGCCGACUUCGGAGCAAGACUGAGGAGGGCUCAGCCACUGCCGGAUGAAAAUUGUCAAGUUGACAAUAAUAAUAAUAAUAAUAAUAAUAAUAAUAAUAAUAAUAAUAAUAAUAAUAAUAAUAAUAAUAAUAUAUUUUCCUUUUUUAUAUCCGAUCUACUUAUAAGGGAUUCAAAAAAAUCCAUGUAUAUGUUUGGUUUGGUUUUUGGUCGACUUUGAAUUUUUAAUUCUUAUUCAAUAUUUAAUUAUCAUUAUAUUUAUUCUCUAUUCUCAACAUGUAAACGGUUGGAGGUAGGGAUUGAGCACUUGUAGCAACAGAUGGUGGUGAAAGUCAUGAUGAGAAAUUCUCCUAAAAAUGGUUCGUUAAUAAAUAAUAAGGAACUAAAUGAUAGUAUAAUCGUAAAAGAAAGAUUAUUUAAUUUUAAAAAAAGUCAAAACAUUGGAUUAAUUUAAUUAAGAUAUAUGAUGAUAUGAUUUUUAAGAAAAAAGUUAAUGAAUAGUCGUGACUGUUACUUUUGUCUAAACACAUUCAACAAACAAAAAUAAAAAACGUUUCUGAUGCAUCAAAUUCCUCAUCUGUUGCGACUGAUGAAUCAGUUAGAAGAAAUCAAAAACGUUCCUUAAACAGAUGGUCGAUUUAUAGCAACAGAUGGUAUAUCUGUUGAAACAGAAGGGUCAUCUGAUUCAACAGUUAGACAAUCUGUUGCCAUAACUCAAUUACUAAAAAUGGUUAUUAAAGAAAAAAAUGGAACGGUUGUUGAAAACCAGGUGUAUUCAAUUUUUAAAUUGAGAAAAAGGUUAUUUAAAUUUAAUAAGCUGAAAAGUCAUGACUUGUCACAAUAAUAAAAAANNNNNNNNNNNNNNNNNNNNNNNNNNNNNNNNNNNNNNNNNNNNNNNNNNNNNNNNNNNNNNNNNNNNNNNNNNNNNNNNNNNNNNNNNNNNNNNNNNNNNNNNNNNNNNNNNNNNNNNNNNNNNNNNNNNNNNNNNNNNNNNNNNNNNNNNNNNNNNNNNNNNNNNNNNNNNNNNNNNNNNNNNNNNNNNNNNNNNNNNNNNNNNNNNNNNNNNNNNNNNNNNNNNNNNNNNNNNNNNNNNNNNNNNNNNNNNNNNNNNNNNNNNNNNNNNNNNNNNNNNNNNNNNNNNNNNNNNNNNNNNNNNNNNNNNNNNNNNNNNNNNNNNNNNNNNNNNNNNNNNNNNNNNNNNNNNNNNNNNNNNNNNNNNNNNNNNNNNNNNNNNNNNNNNNNNNNNNNNNNNNNNNNNNNNNNNNNNNNNNNNNNNNNNNNNNNNNNNNNNNNNNNNNNNNNNNNNNNNNNNNNNNNNNNNNNNNNNUAAUUUUUUACAGUAAUCAAGAAUGUCAUUAAUAAAUGGAGGUGAACAGUUGUGCCUUUAAAUCUGCUUUAUUAAUUAAUAUAAUUAAAAAGUCAAAAAAUUUGGAUGUCAUGAAGAUAAUUUAUUUUUUUAAAAAAAAAUAUAUGUAUUAUAUGUUGCAAAAAAUAUAUCAUCUGAUGCAACAGGUUAUCUAUUUGUUGCAAAUGAUGAUAUAUCUAUUGUAACAGAUGAUUUAUCUGAUGCAACAAAUAUAUUAUUUGUUGUCCAACUCAAUGUAAAAAAAAAUGAUUCCUGGAAAGAACUAAUUAUUAAUAAUAAUAAAGCUGAAAAGUCAUGACUUAUCGUAAUAUUGAUUAAUUGAACUAAGUCAUAACUUUUUACAGUAAUCAAGAAUGUCAUUAAUAAAUGGAGGUGAACAGUUCUGAUGUUUUGCCUAACUCAUUCAAGUUCAAUCCUUUAUAAAUAGGUCCUUCCUUACUCAGUCGUUCGUUCUACUACACACUAUUUAUUCCUUGCUCUUGUUACACCUUCAACUACUUUCUCUUCAAGGACUUGAUAGCUCUUUCCUGUCUCUGGUAAGUUUUUUUUCUUGAUUUUUGUGUUAAUAUUUGUUGUAUAUUACAUUACAUUCGAAUUCUUUCUUUUCUUUACUUUUGUUUUUAUGUGUAUUUUGUCAACUUAUGCAUUUUCUAGAUAUGGUUGUUCCUGUGUGGGAUGUCGCUAUUUUACGAGACGCCAUGCGGGAACUGCCGAAGGAGGUUCAUGACUUGCAUUGAGAGUUGGCCGCCGUCAGAGUAAGGAUGCUACGGGAGAUCCGCAGGCUGAGGAGGGCGCUGCUGCUGCCUGUUGAAGAUUGGUCGGCUAGCCAUACAAAUAAUAAUGAUGAUAAUAAUAAUUAAGUUUUUUUUUUUCUUUUAUCUAUGUAUUUUUUUUGUUUGUUUUAUAAAAAAUGAUGUUUUAUACACUUGACUUUUUAUUUCUUAUUUAAUUUUCGUGCUAUCUAUUUCUAUUUCUUAACGAAUGACAUGUUUACAAUUAAAGAAUAAUUUGAUUCCAGUAUCAAUAGCAAGAACAUAUGAGUUAUCUGUUAGGUUUGUGUGUGACAGGAGUUGUAUUUUGUUGUUCGAAACAUAUUAGUAAUCUGAUGAAACAGAUUAUUUAUCUGUUGAAACAGAUUACUAAUCUGGUGCAACAGAAUACCCAUCUAUUCGAUUCAUAUUACGGGAACCUAGAACCCAUAAACGUGAAUCCAACAUGAGUCUACUGUUACAACAGAACAUUUAUCUGGUGCCGCAGAUAAUGGAUCUAUUUAAACAGAUUGCUCUUGUAUUGCAUUCAUGUUCGCGUGCAAGCUAUUGUUGAAAAAACAACACACUAGCAGUUACCCAGAUUCAACUAAGAAGCACAAUCUGACUUACCAAAGUCUCCUCUCAAGUAAAUUUCAAAUUUGAAAGUGAUUUAAGAAAUAAAAUUUGAUAUAAAAAUUUGGUCAAAGAGCAACAGUUGGGGUAACAACAACAACAACAAUGGUCAAUAAGAAGAAUAUGAAGAUGAUAAUGAAGUAUAAGAUGAUGAUAAUAAAUCAGAAGAUGAUGAAUAAAGCAACAACAACAAUGAACAACAAAUAUCACGAAGAGAGAGAAAAUAACAACAAAUAAGAAGAGAGAAAAACAUAUUUUUCCCCUUUUUUCCCGUUAUAUUAACUAAUAUUUGGAUCAAAAUGUAAAUUUAAAAACUUGUGGAUUAUUUUUAAAUUUUCCAAAACUUUCUUAAUCCAUAAUUAAGUAAUUGCCACCUCCACUCAAUUAUUAAGACUUGUGUCACCUACACUUCAUUUUAAAACUCUUUGGUCAACUGUAGCCCAAAGCCCCAUGUAUCUUAGCUUUGAGAAUACAAAUAUAUCAAACACAAGUCGUAAAAAAAAUAUAUCAAAGCAUAGGCUAUUCAUUCAUAAAACUUGCACUAGUAUAAAAAAAACUAUCAUAAUAUCCUGGGUUUUAGCCCUUAGAAAAUUUCCUGGAAUUCUGUUCACUAGACCCAAUACGACUCAUAGGUACAAGCCAUAUGCUGGGGUACGAAUGUUUUGGUCCAGUCGUCUCCCCUCAUUCCCCGUUAUAUAUUAACUAACAUUUGGAUCAAAGUGUAAAUUUAAAAACUUGUAGGUUAUUUUAAAAUUUUUCAAACUUUCUUAAACCAUAAUUAAGUAAUUGCCAUCUCUACUCAAUUAUUAAGAGUUAUGUCACCUACAUCUCAUUUUAAGUCUCUUUUGUCACCUGUAGCCCAAAGCCCCAAUUGACUUAUGUAUUGAAAAAUUAAUAGUAUUGAAUUCACGAUUUUACUAUAUAUAUAUAUAUAUAUAUAUAUAUAUAUAUAUAUACUAUGNNNNNNNNNNNNNNNNNNNNNNNNNNNNNNNNNNNNNNNNNNNNNNNNNNNNNNNNNNNNNNNNNNNNNNNNNNNNNNNNNNNNNNNNNNNNNNNNUAUUAUAAAUCACAAUGAUCAAAAAUUUAAAUUAUUUAAAAAAAUAUAAUUGGUCAUCGUCGACACAAAACUCUGGACGAGGAGAGUAGCAUAUAUUAUUCAAAAAGUACAUAGAAAAUAUUGUAAAUUAUAAUAUUUAACAACUUAAAAUAUCUAAAAAUAAUUUAAUAUGUUAUAUAUUUAAAAAAAAUACAUGAAAAAUACUAGAAAGCACAAUAAUUAAUAAUUUAAAAAUUUUAAAAGAUAUAAAUAUUUGGUCGACUCUUAAAAUUAUAUUUUUGUCACUAAAAUUGGAAUAGAAGAAAAGUAUUAUAAAUCACAAUAAUUAAAAAUUUAAAUUAUUUUUAAAAUAUAAUCGACUAUCAAUGCCACAAAAAUUUGGACAAGAAAAGUAACAUAUAUUUAUUUAAAAAUUACAUAGAAAAUAUUAUAAAUUACAAUAGUUAACAACUUAAAUUAUCUAAAUAAAUAUUAAAAAAACAUAUGUUGAACUCAUGCUAGAUUCUGGAUGAAUCCUAGUAAAUAUAUACAAUCUUUUUAUUAAAAAAUUUUAUUUAAAUAUAUCUAAAUUAAAAAAAUAAAUAAAUAUCUUAAUGUUGGUUCGUGCUGAUGUGAGUCAUGCUCUACUUGUUUUUGCCAUCUACUUGUUCAAAAUAUAGUUGUUUUUGCCAUCUACUUGUUCAAAAUAUAGCUAAAGUAGCCUUUCUUUUUAUUGCCAAAGGACAAGUGUGACAAUACUUGUCAUAUUGUAGGAGGAAGAGUUUCUUCUUUUGCCUGUAUAUAUAUAAGGCCAUUUGUUUACCUUGAUGGAAUAAGAAAUAUAACUUUGAUUAAAUUUAUUAAAACUCUGCCGUUUCUUUUGCUUCCUCACUAUUAUUUUGCUUCCUCAUUAUUAUUACUUGCCUUUAAUAUUUAUAUCAUUUUUAAACUACUUUAUUGGUAUUUGUAUUAAUAAUUUUGUUGAUUCUUGUAUCUUCUGUUUAAUUAGGAAAGACUUAUUUAACUCUAAAUAUCUUCUAAUUAAUUAGAGAAGUGCUUGUUUAAUCUGGGAAACAUUUUACACUGCUGAAAUAAUUUUUUAGGACAGUGUCUAGCACGAUUCAAGUAUAAUAAAUAUAUAUAUAUAUAUACACUGUUAUUUUAUUUUAUUUUACUGUUAAUAUUAUUAAUAUAAUAUUUUGUCAACAGUUAAAUAAUAAUAUUGUUAUUAUCAUUUUUUUGUUGUUGUUUCCCAACAAUCUAAAAAACUAUGGCAUAUAAUUUUGAUCCUAAGGCUGUUGAUAAUACUGAUGUUGGUGUUGCUCUGGCUACUUCUAUUUCAGUCAGUUUGUGAGAAGGUUAUGGCACUGCAGAAUAUAGGUAUGAAAAUAAAUGCCUAAUGCAUCUCAAUGCAAGAGAAUAUGUGAAAGAAAUGAUGAUCUUGUUACGUCAAAAUUAAAUUUGACUAAAACGGAUGAUACAAUUAUUGCGGUCAUUUCAGAAAUGAAUAUUGAGACCAAUGUGAGAAAUUGGGUGGUAGACUUUGGUGCUACAAGGCACAUUUGUAUAAAUAAAAAUAAUUUUAUAUCAUACUCUCAAGUUGAGAAAGAAGAAUUUGUCUAUCUUGGCGACUCAAGAACUGUAAAAGUCCUGUAAGGGUAAAGUUCUCCUAAAACUCACUUGGAAAAAACUUUAUCCCUUAUGGUUGUGCUACAUGUUUCUACAAUGUGAGCAAAUCUGAUUUAUGUGGCUUUGCUAGAUAAAGCUGGAAUAAAAGUGUCUCUAGAAUCUAAUAAGGUUAUUUUAAUAAAAAAUAAUGUAUUUGUGGGAAAAGGCUAUUGUAAUCAUGGACUUUAUGUACUUAAUAUUGUAAAUGAUAAUGCAUCAGCUUUUGCUUAUAUGGUUGAAUCUAUUUCUUUAUGGCAUGCUAGAUUAGGACAUGUUAAUAUUAAAUAUGUAAAGAAUAUGCAAUCUCUUGGUUUAAUUUCUGGUUUGGAUUCAAGUAAUUUUGAUAAAUGUGAAAUAUGUGCUGAAGCUAAAAUUACUAAAAAGUCAUGUUUUUCAGUUAAUAGAGAAUCUGAAUUGUUAUCUUUGAUCCACAUUGAUUUUGGUGAUUUAAAACAAAUUAUGACUAGAGGUGGUAAAAGAUAUUAUAUGAUCUUUAUUGAUGAUUUCUCUAGAUUUACUAAGUUGUAUCUACUUAGAAAUAAAGAUGAUGCUUUUGUGUCUUAUAAAUCUGAAGUUGAAAAUCAGCUUAGUAGAAAAAUCAAAAGAAUUAGAUUUGAUGGAGGUGGAGAAUAUGUAUUUUUGAAUGCUUUUUGUGAAAAAGAAGCUAUUACUCAUGAAGUUACUCCACCUUAUUCUCCUGAGUCUAAUGGUGUAGCUGAGAGGAAGAAUAGGACAUUGAAAGAAAUUAUGAAUUCUAUGCUAAUUAGCUCUUGUGCACCUGAUAAUUUGUAGGGUGAAGUUAUUUUGUCUGUAUGUCAUUUACAGAAUAGAAUUCCUCAUAAAAGAACUGGUAAAAUUUCUUAUGAGUUGUGGAAAGGUUAUAAGCCUAAUUUGAAAUAUUUAAAAAUGUGGGGUUACCUUGCUAAAGUUCUUCUUCUUGAACCUAAGAAGAGGAAAAUAGGUUCAAAAACUAUUGAUUCCAUGCCUAUUGGAUAUGCUGAACAUAGUGUUGUAUACAAUUUCUUAUCUUGAAAUGUGAUGUACUAAAUAGUAAUAUUAUAAUUAAGACAAAAAAUGCUGAAUUCUUUGAACAUAUUUUUUCACUAUGUGCUAAAAUCUCUCAUGCACCUGUUGAAAGAGAGAAUGAAUCUGCCUCUAAUAUUGAGGAACUGAGAAGGAGUACAAGGCCUAGAAAAGAAUAUUUUUCUUAUGAAAAUGAUUUUCAAAGUUUUCUUGUUGAUAAUGAACCAUCAAAUUAUUUUGAAGUUGUAUCUUUUUCAGAUGCUAAAUUUUGGAAAGAAACAAUAAAAGUUGAACUUGAUUCAGUUGUGAAAAAUAAUACAUGGAUUUUAACUGAUUUACUUCCUGGUGCAAAAUCAAUUGGUUGUAAAUGAACUUUAAAAAAGAAACUUAAUUCAGAUGGUUCUAUAGAUAAAUAUAAAGCUUGGGUAGUAGCUAAAGGAUUUUCUCAAAAACAAAAUAUUGAUUAUUUUGAUACAUUUGCACCAGUAACUAGAAUUGCUUCUAUUCGAAUAUUAAUUGCAUUAGCAUCAAUUUAUAAACUGUUUAUCCAUUAAAUGGAUGUAAAAACAGCUUUCUUAAAUGGUGAUUUAGAAGAAUAAAUUUAUAUGGUUCAACCUGAAGGAUGUGUAAUUUCUAGACAAGAAAACAAAGUUUAUAAAUUAACUAAAUCUCUUUAUGGACUUAAACAAGCUCCUAAACAGUGGCAUGAGAAAUUUGAUCAAGUCUUGAUAAAAGACGGUUUUCUUCUGUUGAGGUAGAUAAGUGUAUUUAUACAAAAGUAGUAGACAGUGAUUAUGUGAUAAUUUGUUUAUAUGUUGAUGAUAUACUUAUAUUUGGUACAUGUAUAAAUAUUGUGGAACAUACCAAAUUAUUUUUGUCUACAUUUUUGUCUACUAACUUUGAUAUGAAAGAUUUGGAUGAAGUGAAUAUGAUAUUAGGAAUUAAAGUUAUAAGGAGUGAAGAUGGUAUAAUGUUGUUACAAGAACAUUAUGUGGAAAGACUUCUAAAGAAGUUUGAAUGUUGGGAGGUAACUCCUGUAGCCACUCCUUAUGAUGCCAAUUCUAAAUUAAGAAGGAAUAAUUAUGACCCAGUUGCUCAGUCUAAAUAUGCACAGAUCAUUGGGAGUCUAAUGCAUUUAAUGAAUUUUACUAGGCCUGAUAUAGCCUAUGUUGUGUGUAGAUUGAGUAGAUAUACUCAUAAUCCCACUAAUGAGCAUUGGUCUGCAUUAAUGCGAUUGAUGAAAUAUUUGAAAAGAACUGUGAAUUAUGAUAUCUUGUAUAGUGGAUUUACUUCUACUUUAGAAGGGUAUUGUGAUGAAAAUUGAAUCUCUGAUUCAGACGAGACUAAAUUCACUAGUGGUUAUGUGUUCAUCUUUGGUGGCCCUGUAGUAUCAUGAAAAUCUACUAAGAAGAUGAUCAUUGCUAGAUCAACUAUGGAAUCAGAGUUUGUGGCUCUGGAGUUAGCUUGUACUGAGACUGAAUGGCUAAGAAAUUUCUUAGAAAAUAUUCCUUUUAAAAGGGAUGAUCUGUUUCCUCAUAUUCCUUUGAAAAAUGAUGAUCUGUUGUUUAAUAUCCCUUUAAAAAAGAUGAUUUGAUGCCUCCUGUGUAUAUACACUGUGAUUGUCAAGCCGCAAUUGCUAUUGCGAAGAAUAAAUCUUAUAGUUGUAAGAGUAGACAUAUGAAAUUGAGGCAUAAUAUUGUUAAGCAGCUGCUGAGAGAUGGAAUAAUUUUCAUUGAUUAUGUGAAAUCAGAAUUGAAUUCGGAUGAUUUUUUGAUUAAACCUGUGAGAAGAAAAUUAAUUCUUCAAACCUCAAAAGAGAUGGGGUUAAGGCCAAUAUGAUUGUCAAUAGAGAUGGUAACCCAACCUAUGUGAUUGGAGAUAGUAGGUUCAUAUGAGUAAUAACAAGUCGAUAUUGACUCUGUGCACUUAUUGAGAGUCCACAAGAUACCAAACCUACUGUAUUUUGUCCAUGCAAAUUCAACAAGUUAAUAUGCUUUUCUUUUUCUAUAAAUUAUUUUGAAAUAAUAUGGGGAUUUUAGAAAAAUUAGUGGUUUAUUUCAAAAUAAUUAUUGUGCGUUUGAAAAAGAGUGGUGGAAAAAUAAGCCACCACAUCUUGUUUACACGGAGGAAAACAAAAGAAAAAAGUCAUUAUCAUGUAAGAUAUUUCUAUAUAUUAGAAAUGAUGGUUUGACAUGUUAGUUUAUGGGUAUUAAAACAAAGUUUAAGGAUACUAAGGUCUAUAAAAUAUUUUGCAAGAUUAGUUUGCUUAGGAAAAUUGUAUUUUGAGUUUUAAUGUUUUGACCUUAUCAACAACUAUAAGAAAAGUCCAUCCACUUCAAAUUAAUUACAAUUCAUGUCAUUCCAAUAAAUUACCACUUUGCCAUUAAUGCUACUCCUAUUGAAUAUGAUGGGGCCCAUAGAUGAUUAUCUAUUCUCAUAUCUUCCAUAUGGGCCCAUAGAUGAUUAUCUAAUCUCAUUGACGGAAUACAUAUACAGGCCCCUGAACUAUUUCACUUUUUCCGUAUAGGCACCUCAAUUAAGUCAGGUACAUAUUGAACUUUUUACUCCUUCACAAAUGGUUUCAAUUGAGUCCAAUUUACUGAUGUGGCAAAAAAUAUGAACUGUGUGUAAUACACACGAUGAUGAUGUAGCAAAGUGGCGAAUUAAAUAAUGACAUGUGGCAUUUUAAUUUAAAAUAAUUAUAAAAAUAAUUUUUAAUAAAAUUAAAUCUAAAUUAAAAAUAAGUAAACUAAUUAACCCCUCCCCCUCCAGCUCUUCUCUUCCAAACACNNNNNNNNNNNNNNNNNNNNNNNNNNNNNNNNNNNNNNNNNNNNNNNNNNNNNNNNNNNNCUGCGUCGAUUGACCCCCCCGCCCAAAGCCCCCUUCGUGGAUUGAACAAGAAAGUAAAAAAAAAAUUGUAUCUUAUUAAGGAAAACUGAUGGUUAUUUUUUUUAUUUCUUCAAUGUGUUUUUUAAAGAAGCCAUUAAUGGAGAAGAAGAUACUGAGAAGUCAUUAAUAAUGGUUUCUCACUCAAUUUAUAUAUGAUUGAUUUUUAAAGAAGUCAUUAAUGGUGAAGAAGAUAUGGAGAAGAAGAUGAUGCCUAUUUCUUUUUUUUUUUUAUUUCUUUAUAAUGUGUUUUUUUAACUGGUUGGGGGUUUUUAUGUUUAAUUUUGUUGAUUAAUUAUGCUUUGUCACUCAACUUAUAUGUGAAUGAUUUUUGAAGAAGUCAUUGAUGGGGAGAAGAUAUGGAGAAGAAGAUGAUGAUUAUUUUCUUCUUUUUAAAAAAAAUAAAAUUCUUUAAUGUAUUUUUUUUAAUUGGUUGGAAUUGCUUAUGUUUAUUUUUUUUUAAUUAAAAAUGGUUUCUCACUCUCCUUUAGGAGAGUGCAUUACACAUGUUACGCCAUGUCAGCGCCACAUCAACAAUUGGGCUCAAUUGACACAUUUUGUGAAGGAGCCAAGAAUCCAAUAAAUAGAUGGUUUAAUUUAAUUGAGGUGCCUAUGAGGAAAAAGUAAAAUAGUUAAUGGGCCUGUAUAUGUUAUUUAGCCAAUCUCAUUUCUUCCAUAUAAAACGUGAAAGGUAAGUGGUUUUGACAUGUGUGCUUUUGCAUGCUCCGUAAUUUUACUAUAUCAUUGUUAAUUAAUUAUUGUAAAUUAUUUAUCUAUUAAAAAAUUAAUAAUGUAUAAUUAAAAUAAAAUAAAUAUUUAUGACAUAUCUGCUUCAACCGUAAUUUUACUAUAUUACUCUUAAUUAAUUAUUAUAAUUCGUUUGAGUAUUAAAAAAAAUAUUUAAGAAAAAAAUUAAAAUAGACAUAAAAUGAUAAAUUAACUCUUGGAGUUUUAAAUUAACUUGGCGUCCUAUACGAUGCCACUUGACUUUUUUUUUCCACAAGCAUUUUUAUAGCACUUUGCUUGGCUACUUCAAUCGUGAUAUUAAAAAAAAAAUAGUCAUUUAUGAUAUGUCUAUUUCAGCACCUUCAACGUAAAUUUACCAUAUCACUCCUAAUUAAUUAUUACUAUGUCAUCUAAGUAUUAAAAAAUAAUAAACUUAAAAUAUUUUAGUAUACAUCUGAUAAUUACUAUGUGAAAAGUAAUAUAAAUCACAAUAAUUAACAAUUAUAAAUAUUAAAAAAAAAUUGAUCAAUUCUCGAAAUUAUAUGGAUGUCAUCAUGUUAACAACUUAAAAUAUUCUUAUAUAAUUUUAUUAAUCUAAAUAUAAUAAUACAUUCCCAACUAGGAAUUUAUCAAUGAAAUAAAUAAAAGUUCAAAUUAAAUUAUAGAAUUAUACAUAACGUAAAAUUUUCAAUCAACAAUAUUGAGCCGUGCGUAACCGGGCCUAGCCAACUAGUAUAUAUAUGUUUAAUACAUAUUUCUUUCUUUAACAGCUAGUCCACCUAAGACAAUAUAAUAUUCAUGCGAAAAAGCACGACUUAUGAUACGUAAGCGUUAUAUACUUAUCGCAUGAAAAAAUGGUUUAGAAUAUAUGAUGGGGUAUUGUUUUUGAAAUUAUGAAAUCACAUAAAUAAAAGAGAAAAUACAUAAUUACACCACUGAUGUUGUUCGAGAUUUUCAAAAAGACACUUAAACUUUUAAUACCAACUAUUACCCCACUAUUCUUAUUUAAUCCCUUGUAAAUACACUAUUUUGAUUUAUUUUUUGUCUCUGCGUGUAGUCACGCAUGUCAGACACUUGAACAAUUAAAUGUGAAAAUACAUAUUACACCACUAAUGUUGUCCGAGAUUUUUCAAAAAGACACUUAAACUUUCAAUACCGCCUAUUACCCCACGAUUCUUAUUUAAUCCCUUGUAAAUACAUCAUUUUGACUUAUUUUUUGUCUCUGCAUAUAGUCACGCAUGCCAGGCGCGUGAUUGUUUCAGCUGCUUUAACCGUGAUUUUACUAUAUCAUCCCUAAUUAAUUAUUAAAAGUUAUUUAUGUAUUAAAAAAUUAAUAAUAUUUAAUUAAAGAAAAUAGAUGACAUGUCUGUCUAUGGUUUCGACCAGUGGUUCGUCUAUAUUACCCCUAAUUAACUAUUAUAGGUCAUUUAUAUAUUUGAAUUAAUAAUAUUUAAUUAAAAAAUAGAUAUUUAUGACGUUCGUUUCAGCUGCAUUAACCGUAAUUUUACUAUAUCAUCCCUAAUUAAUUAUUAUAAGUCAUUUAUGUAUUAAAAAAUUAAUAAUAUUUAAUUAAAAAAAUGGAUGACAUGUCUGCCUAUAUUACCUCUAAUUGCUCUGUGAUUUAUUAUAUUAUCCCUAAUUAAUUAUUAUAAGUCAUUAAUAUAUUAGAAUUAAUAAUAUUUUUUACUAUAUUACCCCUAAUUAAUUAUUUUAAGUCAUUUAUAUAUUAGAAUUAAUAAUAUUUAAUUAAAAAAUAGAUAUUUAUGAUGUUUGUUUCAACUGCUUUAACUGCAAUUUUACCAUAUCAUCCCUAAUUAAUUAUUAUAAGUCAUUUAUGUAUUAAAAAUUAAUAAUAUUUAAUUAAAAAAAUCAGCUACUUCGUCAUUUACUAUAUUACCCUAAUUGCUCAGUGAUUUAUUAUAUUACCCCUAAUUGAUUAUUAUAAGUCAUUUAUAUAUUCGAAUUAAUAAUAUUUAAUUAAAAAAUAGAAAUGUAUGACGUUUGUUUCGGCUGCUUUAACCGUGAUUUUACUAUAUCAUCCCUAAUUAAUUAUUAAAUUAUUAUAAGUCAUUUAUAUAUUAGAAUUAAUAAUAUUUAAUUAAUAAAAUAGAUAUUUAUGACGUUUGUUUCAGCUUCUUUAGCCGUGAUUUUGCUAUACAUCCCUAAUUAAUUAUUAUAAGUCAUUUAUAUAUUAGAAUUAAUAAUAUUUAAUUUAAAAUAGAUAUUUAUGACGUUUGUUUCAGUUGCUUUAAGUGUGAUUUUACUAUAUCAUCCCUAAUUAAUCAUUAUAAGUCAUUUAUGUAUUAACAAAUUAAUAAUAUUUAAUUAAAAAAAUAGAUGACAUGUUUGCUGCAGCUGCUUCAACCAUAAUUUUGCUAAAUAUCGCUUAUAAUUAAUUAUUAUGUGUCAACUAAGUGCUAAAAAUUUAAUCAUAUUUUAAAAUAAAUAAAAUAGACCAAGAAUGAUAAAUUAACUCUUGAUGUAUUAAAUUAGGUUGACCUCUUUCAACCGUGAUUUUACUGUAUCACCCCUAAUUAAUUAUUAUAAGUCAUUAUGUAUUAAAAAAUUCAUAGUAUUUAAUUAAAACAUUGGUUUCGACAUGACUGCUUCAAGAGCUGCUCCGUAAUUUUACUAUAUCACCCCUAAUUAAUUAUUAUAAGUCAUUGAUGUAUUAAAAAAUUAACAGUAUUUAAUUAAAACAAGAAAAAUAUGCGUUUAUGACAUGUUUGUUGUAGCUGCUUCAACCAUAAUCAUCUUUGAGAAGAUGAUCCAAGACUUUGUUGUUAAUUGAAAUAUCUUUUGUUCCAGUUUGUAUAUGAAAUAAUCUUAUGAAUAUUAGUUCUACAUCUUUUCUAUAUUUUGUAACAGGUCUCAAUCUUAUCAUCAAACAAUUAAAAUAAUUCGACUACACGACACAUCACACUUUUUUAACAUGUGAAAAAAACUAUCUUAUAAAACUUCACUUCUUAGCGAGUACCAUCAUAUAGUUAUUAUUUAAAAAAUUAUCAUCUUAAAUCAAUGUACAUUUAUGUUUGUAUCUCAUUAAUAUCGAAUAUUGGUGCUAAAAAAUAUCUAUAGUGUUAGACCCGUGCUGACAUGGGUCAUGCACCUCUAGUCAUAUUUACAUUGAAAAGUUUCGUACUUGUUUUUGCCAUCUACUUGUUCAAAAUAUAGCUAAAGUAGCCUUUCUUUUUAGUAUAAAUAACAUAAAUACCAACCUUUUAAAAGUAAUUACACUCUCUCCCAUUUUUUAAUUACUUUACUCUCUCUUCCUAUUAAUAUAAUAACCGACAUAUACAUAACAUUCUAUGUAUAUGUGAAAUUUUUGUAAUAUGUUUAGGAAGUUGGAAGUUUUUGUAAUAUUAAAAACAUAAGUUGUGUAUUUGUGUAAUUUUUAGUUCUUUUUAUGGCCAAAGGACAAGUGUGACAAUACUUGUCAUAUUGUAUGAGGAAGAGUUUCUUCUUUUGCCUAUAUAUAUAUAAUGCCAUUUGUUUACCUUGAUGGAAUAAAAAAUAUAACUUUGAUUAAGUUUAUUAAAACUCUGCCGUUUCUUUUGCUUCCUCCUUAUUAUUAUUUUGCUUCCUCAAUAUUAUUACUUGGCCUUUAUUAUUUAUAUCAUUUUUAAAUUAAUUUAUUGGUAUUUGUAUUAAUAAUUUUUUUGAUUUUUGUAUUCUAUGUUUAAUUAGGAAAGACUUAUUUAACUCUAAAUAUCCUCUAAUUAAUCAGGAAAGUACUUGUUUAAUCCUGGGAAAAAAUAUUUUACACUGCUGAAAUAGUUUCUUAGAACAGUGCCUAGCACGACUCAAGUAUAAUAUAUAUAUAUAUAUAUAUAUUAUUUUAUUUUAUUAUUAAUAUUAUUAAUAUAAUAUUUUGUCAACAGUUAAAUAAUAUUGUUGUUAUUAUUAUUUUUCCGUUGUUGUUUCCCAACACAAACCGUGUACUUUCCCUAAAUUUACUGUCUCGCUCUCAGAAUGUACAUAAUACUACAACAAUGUUUCUUUUAUCAAACUACUAAUCAGAUUACAUUUGGAGUAUGUUAAUUCAUUUACGAAAUAUUUUUGAAGCGCCAAAAGUGUCUAAAAGAACUCUGACAAAAGAGGACACAGUGACCAGACCAAGACAAACAGGCACAACAAAGUCGUAAGACCAUCAAGUAUUAUAAUAUCGAAAUUUCAACAUAAAUUUUUUUUAAUUUCAAUAUGAUAAUUUGAUAUCUAUCAAAAGUAGGAUGACCUCAAACGUCUCAACUUAUGACUUACAUAUUGUUUUUUAUUUUACAAAUAUCAACAAAUUUAAUUUUGAUGUAGUAAUGUAGUGUAGCUUAUUAAGUCCAUCCCAACCAAAAGCAGGACCACCGCAAGCUUGUGGUAAAGUAAAUUAGAGCCACUCGUAAUGUCUCACGAUAAUUUACCAGAAAAUCUCACGAUAUUUGUCUUUGCUUGUCAGAGUAAUCUAAAAAAUUUCACUUUUUCCGUAUAGACAUUUUAAUUAAGUCAGGUAACUAUUAAACCUUUUACUCUUUCACAAAUGAUUUCAAUUGAGCUCAAUUUGCUGAUAUGGUAAAAAAUAUAAAAUGCGUGUAAUACACAUGCUGAUGAUGUGGCAAAGUGACGACACGUGACAUUUUAACUUAAAAUAAUUAUAAAAAUAUUUUUCUAAUAUAAUUAAAUAUUAUUUUUUUGAAAAAAGAAAUAUAUACCCCCUCCCCCCAAUUGCCUACCUGAUCGUCCUCUCCCCCACCUCUCGUCCCUUCCAAACAAUGUUUUUCUCCAUUGUUGAACACACAAAAGCAAAAAAAAUAAAAAAUCUUCUUCUUCUUCACUUAUCUUCUAAAUUUUUUUUUUGUUCUUCCACCAUUGAAGCACCUACCUGAAGCUGCCUACUCGAUCUUCCCCCCUCUCCUCUUCCUUUUCAAACACCCCUUUCUCCAUCGUUGAGCACACAAAAAUUAAAAAAAUAAUUGAAUCUUCUUCUUCAUCACUUAUCUCCCAAAUUUUUUUUUUAAUUUUUUCACCAUUGAAGCACCCCUUGCAGCUGCCAUAUAUACACAUACACAUAUAUAUACAUACACCUAAUUCAAAAAUUAAUUUAUUAUUCUCAAACACUAACCAAUUUAGACCAACAGUUCAAUGUUCAGCAUUAAACAUUAGAAAAGAGAAUUAAGAUUCUCAAUUUAUUUAUCUUGGAUGGUAGAAUGGAUCUUUCCAUGCAUUUUCCUCUGAACUUUAGAUACAUUUUUUUUUUCAAUUUCAUUUUUCUUGUCUCUUUCUCUCAUCAUCUGUACAUUACUGCAAAAUUAUAUUUUUAAUUGGGGAUUCUAUUUAAGGCAUAAAAAAAGAAGAUUAACCAAAUUAAAAAAAAAAUGAAAAGGCCACUAAGAUCUUCCAUUGUUUUAUCCUCCGACCACAUUUUCAUUUGUGAAGGAAGAAGAUGAUAAGUGGUGAAGAGAUGGUAAGUGGUGGCAAGAAGAAAAAGGGAGAGAAAGAUGAAAAAGGAAAAUGAAGAAGAAGAAGAACAGUGAUUUUAUAAAGAAGAAAAGGAGAAAUUAUAUUCUUAGGGCCCGUUUGACCAUGAAAUUUUUUUCCUUUUUUCCUAAAAAAUUUUUCGGAGUUGAAAAUUGUGGUGUUUGACCAUGAAAAUUCGGAAAAUAAUUUCGGAAAAUUUUUCUGAAAAGGGAAAACAGGUUUUUGUUGUUUUCACAAUUUUCCAACUCCAAUUCCAACUUUUAUUAUUAUUACAUAUAACCUCAAUCUUUUAAAUUUUUACACAAAACUCUCCUUAUAACAUUACUUUUUCAAUAAUACGUAUAUAGCAAUUUUAAAGACUAAGAUAAUUAUAAUUUCAAACUUAAUGCUAUCCUAAUUAAUAUAUAUCUCUUUUUCUCUCUCAUCAUUAUUUUUAUCUCUUAUUUAAUUUCUUCCUUAUUUAAGACAUUAUUUUACUGCUAAUUUAUAUUUAUACCCAUAAAUAUAUAAAGUAUUAUAUUUAUAAUAGAAAUAUACAAAGUAUGUUAUAUAUAAAGUUUAUACCAGGUAUAUACCAUAUACAAAGUAUAAAGAAACAUACUAAGCAUAUUUAUAUAUUUAUGGUUUAUGAUAUAAUAUACCAUAAAUAUGCAAAGCAUGUUUUACAUAGAAAUAAUUUAUUCACACAUAGUAAAAUCUUUCAUGUAUAAGAAAAUUAAAUAAAUAAAUUAGCCGCACCCUAAAAUUUAAUAGCAACUCAUAAUUUCCUAUUUUUUAGGAACGAAAAAUGAAGGAAAUAAAUUAAAUGAAUUUCUAAAAAAUAAAUUUGUUUGAAAGAUAAUAUUUGUUACCUAAAAAACAGGAAGCAGUGAUCUAUUAAUAUAACAUCCAUAUUUAAAAUUUUCAAAUAUGAGAAAACGACUUUUAAUGUAAAUAUUAUAUAUGUCAUAAUUGAAAUUCAUUAAAUAUGGUCAUGUAUAUGUAAUUAUUUUUAUAAUAGUGGCUAAUUUUAUUCUUUUUCCAUUAGUAGGUAAAUUUUAGUUUGGUGAUUUUGAUAGUUUGUAAAAGUUAGGGCAUAAAAUCAUAUUUAAAAAUAUUUUUUCAAAAGUCAAAAAAAAAUUUCAAAAAAGAGAUGGCCAAACACAACUCCAACUCCAACUCCGAAAAAUUUUAAUUUUCAUGGCCAAACGACUACUUAAAAUAAAAAAUUAUGAGAAAGGAGAGAAUUAAGGAAAAUAAAAAAGAUAAAGGGACUUCAAUUAAAAAAAAAAGCUAAAAUUUUAUAUCUCAUGCUCCUAAAUUGAGUGCAGUGCAUGCACUAUGUCACAUCAGCGCCAUGUCAACAAAUGUGUUUAAUUGAAAAUAUUUGUGAAGGAGUAAAGGAUUCAAUAGAUACAUAGUCUAAUUAAGGUGCCUAUAUGGAAAAAGUCGAAUAAUUGAGGGGCUUGUAUAUAUAUUUAGCCUAUUUAGAUUAAAACAUCUGAAUAUGAUGGUACAUUUUAAUAAUUAAGAUGAAUUAUUAAUUUAAAUAAAUUAAUAAUUAUAUAUUAGAAAAGUAUGUACUUUAAUAAAAUAGACUUAUCAUUUGAUUAAAAAUGAGAUAUUUAUAUUUGCUAGUGAUGAUUUAUAAAGUUGUGGUGAUGGUAAUGGUUGAUGUUAGUGGCUAUUAAUAUUGAUGGUGAAAGUUAUGAUGGUAAAAGUUUUAGGUGUUGUAGUGAUUGUCAAGAUGGUGCCGAUUGGUAGUAUUAUGUUGAUUGUGAUAGUGAAGUUGGUUAAUGUUAGUAGUUGAUGGUAUUAAUGGUUGUGACCGAAGAAUGUGUGGUAGUUAGUGGCAGAUGUAAUUAUGAUUGUGAUGGUCGAGGUGGUUGGUGGUAGAGAUUGACCGUACUGGUGGUAGCGAUCGAUAGUAGUGGAGGUGGCGUUGACGAUAACAACAGUGGUGGUAUUGAUUGUAGAAAUUUGUGUGGUAGUUGAUGGACUGUUGGUAGCAGUUGGCGAUGAUGUUAAUUGCAAUGGUAGAGUUAGUUAAUAGGAACGAGUGACGGCAGUAGUUGAUAAUGGCGAUAGUGAUGACGGUGAUAGUGGUAGCAAUAAAUAUAAUUAUAGCAUGAAGGUGAUAGAUGUAAUGAUGGUUGACAAUGUUGGGUAAAUUCGAAAUAACAACAAAAGUAUUUGGGGCAAAAUAAUAGGAAAAAAUAUAAAUAAAAAUAAUGACACCAAGAAUUUUAUGUGAAAACCUUUCUAAAUAAGAAAAAAAUCACGGACCAAGAGGAGCAACUGAUAUUACUAUAGUAAAAAAUUUUUACACCGUAAUCACAAAUAUAAUACUCAAAAUGACUACCACACAUUCAAAAGAAAUAACCCUCUUUUGACUCCCACCUUACUAAAAAUAUUGUUCACUCUAAUUUUUCCUUCACAAAUUAUUUUUUUAUCAUAAUCUGUAAAAUAUCUCACUGCUCUAUAUAUAUUUUCUCUCUCUUUAUUGGUGUAUCUUUCAAUUGAGUUACCGUGCUCCUUUUAUAGGAGAAGAUAUGUCCUUGUGACAUCAUUGGUUACUUUAUAGGAAGGUAGCAAUUUCAACAAUUCAACUUUGCAGAUUUGCUUUCUGCCAAGAGGUUGGAAGAACCUUCCCAUACAUUGAAAUAUUUGUCACAAUAUUUAUGGGGAUGGACCCCACAGGCAGUAAUAGUUGGUGGUUGACGACGGUAAUGGAGAUGAUUGUGAUGGCAAAAGUGGUAAAUGGUGAUAAUUGAUGAUUGUGGAUCCCAAAUACCUCUUAGCGGUAUUAGAACUUUAUUCUAGAUCUUGUUUACGACUCAUUUGAAUCAAUUAAAAACUUAAAUCUUUGAUAAAAAUAAAUACAUUUAAUAAUCUAAUAUCUAAAUCAUUCAAAUCUCCAUUAAGCGCAAACAAAUGAAGCAUACAAAUAAUUACAAAAAAAACCUCUUUGUUUAUCAUUGAUGACGUCGACCUCUUAAUUCCCAACAGACACACACAUAGUAGAAAUAAAUAAAUACAUGGGGAGAUAGGACACAACUUCAACUCAAACAAAAUGGAAACAGUUCAAAUAAUAGUAACAGCGUGUUGUGCUUCCAUAGCAAUUACUCUCUUUAUGCAUCUAUGGAGAGUGCUGAAUUGGAUUUAGUUGAGACCAAAGAAGAUGGAGAAGUUGUUGAGGAAACAAGGACUAAAAGGGAAUUCAUAUAGAACAUUGUACCAAAACUAUCACUCGCAAGAAGCAAUUACAUAUAUAUGACAUACUGACGCAAGUAAAUUUUGUCAUGAAAAAAUAAACACCUUAAAAGAAUAAAUAUUUUAUUAAAAUGAUGAAUCACUUCUAUUAGCGGUUUCUUUUUUUUUUUUUGGUAACAAAGGGAUAUAUUAAAGCUAAUAAUAGAGUUAUUACAAGUCUUGUGACAGAACUUAAUCUGGCUCCAAAAAAUAAGCAUCAUGACUGAAAGUUCAGAGUUGUUUUUUCUGUUAAAGUGAGUUCCUAAUAUGUCUGCCCAAACACUAUCUAGUGCAUACACAGGAGAAACUGCAAAAAAUUUGAUGCUUUCAAAAAGUUUCCUUUUUGCUCCUUCCUUAGUGAGCCUAUCAACAACUUGGUUUUGCUCCUUAAAGCAAUGGACCACUGGUGGAUGCUCUAGUCUUCUCAGCGCUAACCUGCAUUCAUGGAGAAUAGGAUCAUAAUGUAAUUUUCCAUUCUUUAGCAUAUGAAUAACUUGUUUCGAGUCAAUAUUGAUCUCUAUGGGCGUGAGGUUCUGGCUCACCACCAUUUUAAGGCCUUUUAAAAGAGCUAGAAGUUCCAUUCUAUUAUUGGUGGCAGUGUGGUAACCUUUUGAAACACCUAAGAUCCAUUUGCCCUUGUUGUUUCUAAUGACUCCCCCAAUUCCACCAAUUCCUGGGUUACCAAGGCAAGACCCAUCUACGUUUAGUUUGAAAGUGCCCCUAGCGGGGGGAAUCCAUUUGACCAUGAGAGAGACUUGUUGGGUUUGAGGACUGGUGGUUGUAUUGUUUAGAUGGUAAUAUUCAAGUGCCUCCGCAUAAGCUUUGGCAAAGGUUGAUUUGUUGGUCGAAUGGUUAAAGAGAUUAUUAUUCCUGCAAACCCAAAUUUCCCAGAGACAGAAAGGCAAAAGGGUGGAAAGAUUAAUGUAGUUGUCUACUUGAAUACCUGCAUCCCAAUUCCAAAUGGUUUCAAGGAAGUUGUGGUUGUGGAAAUGGAGAUUGCUGGGUCUAUACAGGUUAAGGUAGCUGAAGAGAUCAUUCCAUAGAUUGGUAUUCUGAUGGCAUUGCCAGAAAAUAUGAGUGGAGUCUUCCAAUUGGGUGGUACAUUUAAAACAAAAAGGUUAAAUGGGGACUUUUAUCUUGCUCAAGGUAAAGUUGUAGCGGAGUCUAUCAUGGUUAAAAAACCAGAAGAAAUGCUUGAUUUUGUUGGGGAUCUUCUGAGUCCAGAUCCAGUUAAAGCUUUUUUGGUGGAGGACAUGGUGUUUGGUUGAGGUAAUGAGGUUGUACGCGCUCUUGCUACUGAAAACUCUCUUUCCAUUAAUCUCCCAUAUGGGGUAGUCAGCUUUGCUAUUGAGGGAGGAAAUGGGGUUAUUAUUUAUACAAUGGAUAAUGUAGUCUGGGAGUUCAAAAGGAAGAUUGGUGAAAUCCCAAGUACCAUUUAUCCAGAGAUCAGAGACAAGGGUGUUAAAGAAGUACCUAGGCAUGGGUCCAUGGAUGAUAUUGUCCAGUGAAGGGGUGUUAGGGAUCCAUCUAUCAUUCCAAAUCCUGACUCUAUCACCUUUAUGGAUGAUCCAGAGUGAGGCCUUCCUACAGAUUUGCUGGCCAGUGGUGACACACUUCCAGGUUCUCUAAACAGGUUGUCUCUUGGUAGAGGUAUUGGGAUUAUAUUUGUUGGUAAGGAUCUUGGCCCAGAGAGAGUGGGGAUUGGUGGUGAGUCUCCAAGCAAGAGCUGCAUAGACAGUGGUGUUCUUAUCCUUAGCUCUUUGGAUUUCCAAACCCUCUUUGUGCUUUGGGGAAGUGACAAUGUCCCAGUUGAGCAUAUCCAUCCUUUUCCUGGAAUCAAUGGUACCUCAAAUAAAAUCCUUUGGACUUUAUCAAUUUGUUUAUGGAUUUUUUGAGGUAAAGAGAUGUACUAUAUCACAUGGUUGGGGACACUAUUAAGAGAGGUUCUGGAAAGAGUGGUUCUCCCAGCUUUGUUCAGAAGUUUGGUUUUUCAUCCAGCUAAUUUAGCUUUCAUAUUAUCAAGGAUAAAUUGGAAUUCUGCAUUAGUUAGUUUUUUGUGGAAAAUAGGAAAACCAAGGUACUUUCCAAAGUUGUCUCUUGCUUGGAUGCUAAGAGAGAAGGCAAGAUUAUUGGUAUUGGAGUAGAAAACAUUCUUGGAGAAAAGGAUUUUAGACUUGCUUUUGUUGAUCCUUUGACUAGAGUACAAGAUGAAACUAUCCAAGGUUCUUUUGAUGGUUUCAUAGUUUUUAGGAUUUGCUUAUGCAAAUAGGGUUAAAUCAUCAAUUGGUGGGAAAAUUUUGGUCCCCUCCUACUGGUUUUGAUGGGAUCCCAAUUUAGCAAGUCCAUCUCAUGGUUUAUUCUUCUAGUUCCAUGCAAAGAAUGAAUAAGUAAGGAGAUAGAGGGUCCCCUUGCUUAUCUCUCUUGAGGGCUGAAAAACUGAGUUCUAGAACCAUUAAUGAGGACAAAAAUUGAGGAGAUUAAGAUAGAGGGUUUUCCUUAUGAAGGACCAUUCAAUUCUAUCAAAAGCUUUUUCAAGGUCAAUUUUGAGGAUCAUAUUUUCUUUUAGCCCCUUCAUCUUUGAGAAGUAGCUAAUGAAUUCUUGGACAAUGAUGGAAUUGUUAGAAGCUCUCCUAUUGGUCAAAAAACUAGCUUGAGUAGGGCCAAUAAGGUCAGAUAGAAAGGGUUUGAUUCUAUUGGCAAUCAAUUAGGUGAUGAUCUUGUAUUGAGUGUUACAGAGUCAAAUAGGCUCAAAGUUUUUUAGGAAGAUAGCAUUAGGACAUUUGGGUAUCAAACAGUGGUAGGUGGAGUUUACCUCUUUAUCCAUGGUGGCAGAAGAGAAGACCUGAGUACAGAAGGACAUGAGUUUAAGGUUGACCAUAUCCCAAAAUUUUGGAAAAAGAGUGGGUGGAUACCAUCAGGGCCUGGUGCUUUUGAGGGUUUGAAGCUGAAGAUAACUUUUUUAACCUUAGAAAGAGAAUGAGGCUCUUGGAGGAGGGUAUGUGCACUCUCUAGAAUAGAGCCUCCAGAGGAUGGGUUUUGUUGGGUUCUGAGGUGGGAAGAGUGAUGGUCAGUGGUGUAAAGAAGGGUGUAGAAUUUCUAGAUAGAGGUGUGAAUUUCCUCUUAGGUGGUGAUCCAGUUACCCUCAUCAUCCUUAAGAGAAUUAAUUCUAUUCUUUCUUCUUAUGUUAAGAGUAGUAGAGUGAAAGAAUCUAGUGCUAGUGUCCCCUUUCAUUAACCAGGUUAUUCUUGAUUUCAGUCUCCAAAAUUCACAUUCAAGCCUAAGAAUGUCACUAUACUCCCUGAGCAAGUUGUUUUCAAGAUUGUGGAGGAAUUGGCUAGUUGGGUAAUGGGGCCUUUUUUGAACGCCAUCCAGUCUACUAAGAGUUCUUUUUUUCUUACUGAAGAUGUUUCCAAAAACCUCUUUGUUCCAAGAAAUGAUAUUUUCCUUAAGGUUGGAGAUUGAGCUGGUGAGGCUAUCUCCAGUAAGGAAAGUAGAUUCAACUAUCCUGGGGAAGUCAGGGUGGGAACACCAGAUGAUUUCCAUCCUAAAGGGUUUUUCCCCAGUGUUUCUCUGAGUAAGGAGGUUCACUAAGAGAGCGUAGUGAUCAGAAUUGGUCUUUGGCAGGUGGGUAACCUGAGAAUCAGGGUAAGUAGGGAUCUAAGAGUCAUUACCAAAGAAUCUAUCUAACCUUUCCAUAAUGAGGUCAUUUCUAUUCCUAUACCUUUUAUUAGUCCAAGUAAACUUGCUACCCUUAAAGCCUAAGUCUACUAAGUUGUAGUGGUUUAUGCAGUUCCAAAUAUUUUUGGAUCUUUUGGGAUUUACAGGGUUCCCACUAAACUUGUCUUGGGUUUUCAGGACUUCAUUGAAGUCUUCACCUACAAGCCACCCAGUUUUCCCAUUCUCAUUUAUAUAGUCAGCCAUGUGGGUCAGUUGGUCCCAAAGUUGUUGUCUAGCUCCUAGGUUGGGGAUAGUAUAAAUAAUACUGAGGAACCAUAAAGAAGAGGGAGAGAGUACCUUGACAACCACGUAAAUGCUUUGUGGGGUUAUGGAAAUAUCAUUAAUGUUGAGCAAGUCAUCUUUCCACAUUAACACUAUUCCCUCCGAAAGACCAAUAGCUGCAGAUUGGAUAAAGCAGUCAAAGCCCAGGUCCUGUGCAAGUUGGUGGUGAUCAGCCAUCUUGGUCUUCAGGAAGGUCAGCAUAGAGGGUUUUGUGAAGAGAGAUCAUGGAAUUGCAGUGCGUUUUGAACUCCGCAUUGUUCUCACCUCCAGCAUUCCAUAUUAUGAUGUUCAGCAUCAUUUUAUUUUUCUGAGAGGAUGUGGGUUUUAUGGACAUUUUUUAUUUGUCUUGCUUACUCAGGGGUUGCUGGGGGAGAUUCACAUUGACCAUUGACCGGUAAGGGGUCAGCAAGGUCACAAAUAUUUCCCUCAUCAAGACACUAGGGAGUUUGAUUUCCAUGGUCAAUUUCGUUAGGUUCCAUGGAAGCAGUACUAUCCACAUAUCGUUUAUCAACUCUGAGAAGUUUAAAGCUAGUGGUUUGUUCAGGGUGAUGGCUUCUGUGAGAGGGACUUUCAUGGAGGCUAAAAUGGCCUCCAUUUUUUGGUUAUUUGCUCUUAACAUAUCCAGGGUUAUUUAUCUUUCCUAGGUCUAUGGAAGAGUGGUCAGUGCUUGAUUAGGUUCCACUGGAGAAGGCGCAUUGAAGGUAGGCCAUUGAUCAAGAACUGAGGAUUUGCUGGGGGAAGAAAGGCAAGCUUUGUAUCACCAUAUUCAAGGUCCCCGAAAGGAGCUCUGUUGAGAGGGGGACUUGGGAUUCCUGUUCAUAAUAUCCAUAAGGGUUGACAUCCAGAGGUUGUUGCCAUAUUUGGCUAAGCUCUAGUUCAUCGCUUCCCUCACUAGUUGAGCAAAGUACUAUGGGUUUUGUAGUACUAUCUUCACUGGUUUCCCAUCUAUUUCCCCCUUGAGAGUGAGAAUCAUAUCUUGUAGCCCCAUUUUUAGCCAUGAAACUAGAGCAUAGUCUAGAGGUAGAGGCUGUGAGACAAGCUUUAUUGGAGGUGUUGUUAGAUUUUCCAUGGGGUUUGGGAGAAUUGGUAGGGUAGAAAGGAAGAGAGAGAUGCAAGUUGAGAGAGGGUUCUUGUAACUCAUCUUUAGAAGGCCUACUAGGAACAGGAGAAGUCUUAGGGUGGGGGAAUGUACAGGCAUUACAGGGGGGGGAGGUCACGAUUACAGGCACUGCUAAGCUUCUAUAGACAUUGAUUUGACCAUUAAGAGUCAUUUCAGAAGGUUGUGGAGGGAAAUUAACAACAACUUCUGAGUGAAGAGAAGUGAAAUGAUUUAAGGUGACAAUCGUUGACCUAUUGAGAGUUUUCCUUUCAGGGGUUUGGGUAUGGGCCUCUUUUGAGAUAAGAUAGGCCUUUCCAUUUCUGUGGCUAGUUUGAGGGAGGUCUAAAGCCCCGGUUUCCAUAGCACCACAUUUUGGGCUUUGGACAUGGCCUAUUUUUUUGGGCCACAGUAUUCUGAGAGGGAGAUUUUUGUAAACCUUUCCCUUGGGCCGUAUCGCAUCAGAUAGUUGUAGUGACCCGAUUUCCCUGGCCCAUAAGAGGCUUUUUCUCUCUCUCCUUUCUUUUACCAUUACCAGGAUCUAUGGAGAUCUGGUUGGUAGAUGUCGAAUUAAAUUGAAAAAUUGGGGGUUUAGUGGACAUACCUGACCUACUUUUAUCUUUGUUAGCAAUAGGUUUGAUAUUAUGGGAAAUAUUUUUACCUGGCUGGUGAGACUGGUUUGGAUGUUGUGGCUUUACCUGAUUUUUUUCUUUUUUUCUAUUAAAAGAGACGGUUUUCCAUUUGGUUGCUUCCGCUUUGUCGUUGUGUUCCUUGAUUGUUGAGCUUGCUGGGUCUUUCUCUGGUCUUUCAUGAUUGAGUGGUUGAUGUGGGGUUCUAAACCCACAAUCACUCACCGUGUGUCCCAACCUGCCACAACCCGUACACAAAAUCUCUUCACCCUCGUAACUGAUUGACUGGUGAUGAUGCCCAAUCCGUAUGGAAGUGCAAACCGGUAUAUCCAUUUGGAUUUGUAAGCAGAUCCUUGCGUACCUUCCUCUGAGGGUCGAGGAGGUGCAUGUAUCAAUUUUGAGGAGAUUCCUAAUUUUCCUUCCAAUUCGUUCCAAAAUUAUUUUAUCGUAGAACUCAGUUGGUAUGGAGGGUAGUCUCAACGAAAUGGCUGUAUAGGUAACCUUCGAAUUAUUGGGAAUGAAGUUUGUCUCCCAUUGCCUUGUCGACACAUAUGAAUCCGCGACGAACCAAGGACCCUCGUGCAGAAUUUUUUUCUAGCAUUCAUCGAGUGAUAAUUUUACUGUGUAAAAUUCUUCACCCAGAUCGAUUAGGAUGACUGGUUCAUUGAUCUUCCAUAGAUCUGUUAGCUUUGAGUGGACGUACUGGUGGUUGAACUUUAUCUUACCCACACAUUUUAUUAUCACUGACUUUUUCCACGGAGAGUAUAGUUUGUUCUUGUCAUCGAUCAAUAGCUGGAUAAAGUCCUCUAAUUCAUUCAAAGUAUUGUCCCUGUUCGCAACAAAUUUUUGUUAACGCUUAAAAUUAACUGCAAGAAAAAAUAAAUAAACAAAAAGAAUAAUUUUAUAUAAAUGAAUUUUGUGGGUACGAUUUCGUUGUUCUUUUGAUUCUUCUCUCCUAAGUUUUUUCAUGAUUCGAGGGCCUUUGCAGCGUGAUUCUUGAAUGUAGGAUGAUUUGAGCCUCCUAAAAAUGUGUUUGGAUCUCCAGGAAUUGUCUGACAGCACUUCGUCUUGUCGAGUUAAUCUCCGGGCAGAACUCCGUUAGUCAAUUCGUUGAAGAGUUGUUAGUCAAUGCAGAGGCUUCCUCCAAUGCUUGCAGAAUGUCCUUUUUUUUUUAGAAUGUUAUGUUACCCCCUAUUUAUAGUUGUGGGGGUAGGCCUUAGUUGCUUGUGAUUGGCUGAAACAAGUCACUUUGACACUUGGCACCUUUUGACUGGUUGUUGAAUUUGAAUGAGAUUUCCACAUCAUUUGUACAUAUGGCGGCGUCUCAUUGGUUUUGAAUUUGAUUGGGAUGCCAUGUCACUUAAUGAGUUUGGGCUUCAAAGUGAGAUGAACCUUGAUGAAGAAUAAAAUAGUCUUAUUAUUUUUUUUUAGCCCAAAAUAAUUUUAAAACCAAUAACAUAUGACCCAAAUUCAAAUUUUAUAUGAAUUUGAUCCAAUAAAUUUUAUGUUUCUAUAGAUGUCCCCUACUUCAAGGUUGGUCGACGUGUAAUCUUGCCGAAACUUGGCGGCGAAGCUUGAAGUACUCAUGAAUGUGUUUUCAUUCUCAUGAUUUCAAAGGUAUUUGUUUCUUCCAAUGUUGAUCAUGCCAAAUUGAAGCAUCGUGCGUUUGGUACCGACACUUAUCGCCAGAUUGAAGUUUCACGUAGUUGACAUCAAUCUGCACAGAAUCGAGAAGCUUCAUCCGGUCAACACAGUAGAUGUGUUACAUCUUCAUUUUUUUUGUGAGGUUUAUGCAAAUGGUCUUGAUGUCAGACCAAAAAGGUCGACAUGAUUGAUGUUGAACCAUUUAGUGCACUACUUCUUUGUUGUUUGAUAAGAAAGUGACUUAGAAUGAUCUGAUUUUAUCCUUGACGACGCUGAAAGUUUUCCAUUUUAGCUUCAGUAAGCAUGUACUUGGUAUCAUUCUUGCGACCUUGUGAUGAUGAAGUUCUGAGUGUUUGCAGUCCAUCGUUGCAAAGCAAGCAUGUGGUGCACCUCAUCCGUGGGGCUCGGCGAUAAAGAGGCUUCGAGUGAGAGCAUCCCAUUCUUUUCAAGGAGCACGUGCGUGGUGCCAUCCAUCUUGAUAAUAUUGACACAGGGAGUAGCCUUUUCUGACUUUGGUGAGCAAGUACUAGGCACACGUCCACAAAAAUAUUUAUUCUCUGAUGGGAGAACAAAAAUAUGAGUUGUUUGAUUCAUAAAAAUGAAAUUCAAUGUCCUAUCUUAUCAGCUUUGCGCAGCGUCAUGAUAAAUUCCGUAUUUUGAUGUAGGAGUAUCGAAAUCAGGAGUCAUUUUUAUUUCUCUAGAAAUUAGACUCGUAGAGCUACGUCUUACACAGGAAUGGCAAUCAGAUUACACCCAAAUCGUUCCAUAUAUUACCCCAAAACCGAUCUUCUAAUCACGGUUCGCUAGUUUCAUCAGCUUUGCGCAUCGUCACGAUAAAUUCCAUAUCUUGACGUGGAAGUAUCAGAAUCAGGUUCUGUUUUUUGCAUUGGAAAGUAGAUUCGCAGAGCUACGUUUUUCACAGAAACCACAACUAGAUUGCGUUUGAAUCGUCCCAGAUAUUUCUCCAAAAAUAUCCUUCUAAUCUUGGUUCGCUGGUUAUUUCAGCUUUGCGCAGUGUCAUGAUAAAUUCCAUAUUUUGACGUGAAAGUAUAAAAAUCAGGUCUCAUUUUUUGCAUUGGAAAGUAGAUUCGCAUAGCUACGUCUUUCGCAGAAACCACAAUUAGAUUGCAUUCGAAUCAUCCUAGAUAUUGCUCCAAAAACAGUCUUCUAAUAUUGGUUUGCUGGUUAUUUCAGCUUUGCGCAGCGUCACGAUAAAUUCCAUAUCUUGACGUGGAAGUAUCAGAAUCAGGUCCCAUUUUUGGCAUUGGAAAGUAGACACGCAGAUCUACGUUAAGCGUGAAGUCUAUCAGCAUAUAACCUGUAUAUUUUCUCAGGUACUUUUCCAAAGUUGUAGCCUAAAUCUUGUGAUAUUCUAUUUCCCCUCAGAUUUUGGAUACUUCAUGAAUUUCAUCAUCUACUUCAAGUUUUGGGCCGCAUCACUUCGGAAAUAUAUUAAAGGCUAGACUAGAUCAAUAUUCAAAGUACCACAAGUCUUUUUCUUGUUGAGAAGACUUUAUUGGUUGAGAGAUAAUGAAGAAUUCUUUUGCUUUAAGACGACAUCUUCAAAGGACUCCAAAUAUGCAUUCAAGCUUCAUACUUUUCCUUCCUUUUUUUAGAGCCAUUCAUAGUUUAGACUCAUGCGGUCCAGGAAUGACAUGCAGUUUAAGCUCGUGCCUUAAGGAGCAUUUUGACUUGCAGUAUAGGCUCGUGCAUCGAGGAGCGUCUUGACUUGCAGUUUAGGCUCGUGCAUCGAGAAGCAUUUUGAAUUGCAGUUUAGGCUCAUGCAUCAAGGAGUAUUUUUGACUUGCAGUUUAAGCUCAUGUAGCAAGGAGCAUUUUUGACUUGCAGUUUAAGCUCGUGCAGCAAGGAGCAUUUUGGGGAAGAAUUCUUGUAAUGUAACUUUCCUUCCAACCUUUUGUAAUGGAGUAUGGUUUCACCUCAGCUUGGUAUUUAUUGCCCCCAUUGGUUGAAACAGAUUUGCACUUGAUCUUGUGUCGACUUUUGUAAGUUGGAGUUUAGAGGCCUUUUGACAUUUUUUUCUUUUGCGUGCGAUCAAUGUCCAUGUAUCACCCUUCUUGCUAUUGGAGAAGUCAUUUUGCAUGAAUUUGCUCAUUGUUUUCUUCAAGGCUGGAACCCUAAUUGAGUCAAAGCUCCCAAAUGGUAGCAUGAUGAUUUUUUCAACUUUUGGUGAUUUCACAGAGCGCAUGGGUUGUACAGCUUUUGAAAUUGAACCUUUCAUAUGGUGUAGUUUGGUGCUAACAUAAUUUGUGUCAACUAUAUCGCCAUCAUCAAUGAUAAUCUUUCUCUCUUGCAUUAAUGUCAUGAUCUUUUCCUCUAGUAUGAAGCAUUUUGUGAUGUGAUGACCAACAAUACGAUGAAAUUUGCAGUAUUUAGGAUCAUCGACUUUGUUUGAUUCUUUGGGUCGCUUUGACUUAGGAAGUUUAAUGACUUCUUUGGCUAAGAACUCAUCAAGAAUUUUAGCAACAUCAGAGUCCAGAAAAGGAUAUACCUUUGCUUGUAACUCUUUCAAUGUUGGUUGAUUUUUCACCUCUCGCAUUUGUUGCUUUGGAGCUUCCUCUUUUAACUUUGUCUUGUAGGGAACUUCGUAAAACUCACAGUUGUCGUCAUAGAUUUCCCAAUUUGGUUUUUAGAUGAGUCUUCGAAUUUUGUGACUUUCUUCCUAGGAUCAAAAAUAGGUUAUGCCAUUCUAUGACUUGCAAUACUUAGCUCCAUGUCAUGAGUGCGCGUAGCUAAUUCUUCAAAAGUUUGAGGCUUAAUUCCUUGGAGGAUAUACACAAGGCCCCAAUGCAUCCCUUGAAUAUAAACAUCAACCGCGGAAGUUUCAGAAAGUUGAUCCUUACAAUCAAAGCUCAAUGUUCGCCAACGAUUUAUGUAAUCCAGUACAGGCUCAUCUUUACUUUGUCUUGUGUUUGUCAGCUCCAUCAUGCUGACCAUACGAUGGGUACUGUAGAAAUGAUUUAGGAACUAACUUUCUAGUUGCUCCUAAGAAUCAAUUGAUCCAGACUCCAAGUUUGUGUACCAAUCAAAAGCGUUGCCUUUCAAAGAGCGAACAAAUUGCUUGAUAAGAAAAUCACCGUGUGUACCAGCACUGCUACAAGUCUCAACAAAAUGAGCGAUGUGUUGCCUUGGAUUUCUCUUUCGAUCAAAUUAUUGAAACUUUGGCGGUUGAUAUCUAAUUGGCAUCGGUAAGCCCUCGAUUCGCUUAGAAUACGGCUUUGAGUAUCCUACGAAACUUUAUGACGGACCGCCAUAUUGUGCCUUGAUGGUGUUUGCAAUCAUAUCUUGCAGUUUUUGAACUGUUAGAGUAGCCACUGAAGCGGAUCGAUCAUCGCAGUAUGAUACGAGUACGAUCACGUAGAUGGACUUAUGAGGGCGUACAUUAGAUCCGAGGCUUGGUGUGUGCAAUAAAGUGUAAAGGAGCACCGAAAUGGAUACCAAAAAAGUCCAGUACAUACACUAAAUGGGUCAAAUCAGUCCACAACACGUACUAUAGGGGUGCCCCUUCACUAAGGGGCCUUUUGGUCAUUUUACCUAUUAUUUGUAAUACACUAUAAAUAGAAUAAUGUAGGGUUUCAUUAGGUAGAUUUUGAUGAUGAUGAAUUUUGUAUAACAUUGAAAGACAAGUCCUCUCUCUUUGAGGCACAAAUCUGAAAUUGUAACUAGGAAAAUCAACUUGAGUGUAGAAUCACUUGUGUUGGAUUCAAGCUUGGAAACGUUGGUCCUUGGGAGAUCGAGAUCCCUCUUUUGGCUACAUAGGAGAUAGGUUAGUGUUGUGUGUAGUAUUAAAGGUACAAGGGUGUAACAAUUCUUGGGUUAUUAAUAUUAUUCCCUCAUUUGGUCUAUCUAUCUAUCUUUAUCUUAUUGCACUUUGUAGAUUCAUAGUGGACUGUUUUGUGUCCUUCUUGAAUCCAAAAUUUGUUCUCAUUGUUUUCAUCUUGUUAUCAUUGUGUUGUUGCUGUUUUGGUGUCAAAUUCACCGUUGUUAUCUCGUAUUAUUAUUGUUGUAGUGAAUCCGAGAGUGGUCUCCAUCUUAGUCCUCAAAUCCUUAAGAUUAGUGGACUGUUUUGGAGUUGUUUUGUGUUUCCAUUAUUUUUCGUGUAUCAUUUGGUAUCAAAGCAUGGAUAGAUCUUGUUCCUACAAGAUCAAUCUUGGGCUUGCUUGUUAGAAAAUUCAAAAAAAAAGUUAAAAUCUAAAAAUUCCAAAAAGAAGCAAAUCUGUCCAUUUUUGUGUCUUGGCUGAAAUUGUGUUCUUGUUGUGUCUUGGUUGAGAUUUUUCUUGUUUUGAGUCUAGAUCUAGGAGUCAUUUUAUUUGUUUUGUUAUUUCUAGUGUUAGAUUUUUCACCUCUAACACUAAAGAAGUCUAGAUUUAGAUUUGAGCUUUAAUUGUUGAUGUUGUUGUUGUGAACCUAAACUUUGGCUGUGUGAUUGUUGUUGGUAUUGUUGUUGCGGAUUUAAAGCUUGGACAUCUGGUGUAUUGUUGGUUCAAGGUUUGAAUGUAUAUGGUGGUUAUUGUGUUGUAUUUUUAAGCUUGGAAAGGUGUUGUUGAUGUUUGGGGUCCAACUUGAACCUUAGAACUUCAAGAUUCAAAAAAAUAUGUUCUUGGCGUUCUUCACAUCUUCAUCUAUUGUUGAAGAAAAAGUGGAUGUUUGAUCUUGGAAGUUGAAGAAAGAGAGUGUGUAUUUUGUUAGUCUUAAAAGACAUAUUUCCAAAAUUUUAGACCUCUCAAGACUUUUAAAGCCAAUUCCAACCACUUUUCCAACAACCUUCCAUGAUUUAAGGACCAUGUCUUAAGGAGAAAUGUCAAGUCUUGCGUUUUGAAUUUGAAAGAGGAUUUCAAGACUUCUAUUCUCUCCUUAACCAAUUCCCACCAAUUCCAAAUUACAAUUGUACCAAGACUUGAAUUAGAAAAUAAAAUUUGAUAACAACCGCAACCAAUACGUGGCUGCCACAUCACGUUUUCACUGUUCACCAACAAUUUUUAAGCUCAAAUUUCAGAUUUCUUAGUUUCAUUUUAUUGUUUCCUAGUUCCGUUUGUUGCUUAGAAUGCUAAUUAACAAACUAGUAAUCUCCUACUAUAUUGUAAGUUAGUUGUAGAAUCUGUUUGUUCAUGUCUACGUUUGUUGUGUGCUUUUAUCUUUUGUGAAUUCGUUGUAUCUUGUUGGUUCAAGUCCGUAAAUAAAUUUUCUUUGAGUCAAAUCAAACGAAAAUCAAUUCCGGGAAAGANNNNNNNNNNNNNNNNNNNNNNNNNNNNNNNNNNNNNNNNAUCAAAACAGUCCAAACACACUCCAGAAAUAGUCCACUAAUUCAAAGAAUUGGGGACCCUUUUGAAGACCACUCUCGGAUUCAAGAAUGAAAUACAAGAAAGAUGAUAUAACUAGGUGUUUGACACCUUUUGAAGCCAAUAACAAACUAAGUUAACAACACAAUAUGAAACAAAAAUAAGAACAACAACAACAACAACAAAAAUAGCUUCACAAUACAAGAUACAAAACGGAUACAAGAUUACAAAAGAAAAAAGAUAAAUAGAUAGACCACAUGAAGGUAUAAUAUUAAGAACCCAAUAAUGGUAACUCUUGGACCCUUAACACUACACACAAUAAUAAACCUAUCUCUUACAAAGACACAAGAUCAGAAUCCACCUCCCAAGCAUCAGUGUUUCCAAGCAAAUGCAAACACAAGUGAUUCUACACUUGUCUAAGCCCUAAUUUCGAUUUUGGGUGCCUCAAUGAAAGAGGACUUGUAUUUCUUUGUCUUGUAAGACCUACAAUUUCAUUCAUAAACUAAGUCUAAAACCCUACAAUGUUCCUUUUAUAGCUAUUACAAAAUAUAAGUUAGAAUGACCAAAAGGCCCUUCAAAGAGUGGGCACCCAUCUAGUGUAAUUUAUGGGCUGAUUUGGGUGCAUUUUGGGCCUCUUUUACACUUCAAUUGCACAUGCCAAGGCUCGGGUCCAACACUCACUCUCCUAAGUCCAUAUUCGUGAUUAUUCCUGUAUCAUCCUCUCCCUCUUAAGAGGAAUUUGUCCACAAAUUCACUGCUUCAUCUCGUUCAAUGGUCACUUCAAAGGAAACCUAGUCAAAACAAUCCGCAAACAAGUCACAAAAACAAGUCAAAACAGUCCACAAAAUCAUUAAGAAUCUGAGGGCUCAAUAACAACAAGUCUCGGCCAACAUCUUCAUUUUGAACCUCGGCUUCCUCUCCAUCUUGAGCCUUGUCUUCAAUCUCAUCCGAAAUAAGUCUCCUACCAUCAUACAAGUAUUGUAGUAGUCUCUAUAUCCUUCAUGUUCUUUUCUACCAUACUCCUCUACAUGGAUAUAUCAGUUUUGGUGAAAUGAAGUUUCGAUUGAGAGGAAUGAUUUGGUAAGGGGGCUUCGGUUGUGGAGCUUAGCUGGGAGGAAAUUUUCUUCUAAGUCCCUCUUGUUCGACUUGAUAAAAUUGAGGGGGAAGUGACUUAUUUUGUUCUCGGGUUUGAGGACAUUUGUUGGCUUGGCUUAUGUCUAUGUCAUUUAGUGGUGGUCUUGGAGGGUUGAUCGUUUGAGGUAAAGCUUUGGGAGUAGAAACAUGAGAGUUCCUUCGACUCUCCACUCGAUCCAACCUCUCAAGUAUAGUAGACAUAUCCAAGCCCAAUUUGUCAAGACUCGCAUUCGCCUUAGCUAUUUCUCGGGCAAUAGAAUCAAGGUAGGCCAAAAUGGUGUCCAUUAUGGCAAAGGAUUUACCUACAAAAUAGAAAACACAUUAGUUGUACAUAAACAUCCUCAAUCACUCUUUUAUGUCUUGUCUCUCGGAUCCCCCACACUCAAUCUCACAAGUGUUGUAAGCUUGCUUGUACUCCGAGAGUUUUUGAGAGGUGAAUCAAGUGUGUACAACGACUCAAAAGAAUGAAACACACAAAGGAACAUAAACACAUGUCACACACACACACCCUUUUUUUUACGUACUCCAAAAGAUUUGUGUUUUAAGAGUCGAAGGGGUUUUAAUUAUUAAAGUGACAAAAGAUGAAAAUUUAUUUCGAAAAAGGAUUAUUUUUAACAAUCACAAUUCAGAGUCGCCACUCGGCAUAAAUCGGGUGUGCCGAGUCACUCACAGAUAUCCUUUUUCAAAAUGGUUUUGACUCUUUAAUACUGGUUUGCGAACAGAUAUUCUGGCUAAGGAAUUCUGUUGACCGAGGGGAAGGUGUUAGGCACCCCUCGAUCCCGUAGUUUGACCACGAUCGCUUGGCAGAGCGUAUCGGCUAAAUUGACACUACGAUGUAUAAACCACACAAAAGCACGCAAAAUAAUCAAACAAAACAAUCCAAAAUGUAGAGUCCAGUCCAAUUACAGUCCAAAAAUAGAAAAAAUACGAAAAUAUAAAUCCUAUUCUAAACUAAAUCGAGACUAAGCUCCAAUGCCUUACCCAAUUCCGCGGGCCUUCAUCACGAUCAUCUUUCAAGUACAAGGUACUUCAGGGCAUUCCCUGGAUAAAUCAAUACAAUUCCUUCGGGGCAUUCCCCCGCCAAAUGAGUACAAUUUAAACUUUUUGUGCAAUAAAGUAGAAAGUACCAUUCAUGCACAUAUUCAAACACCCCCUAAAUUUGCCUACCCAGCCCAUGUUUGCCUACGCUUUUGCUGGUCUUAUCAUGAUACUACUGCAUUUCAACCAUAUUUAUAUUUAAACCAAAUUAAACCAAAAGUCUUUAAUCAAUCCAAAUUCACCAUUUUAUCAAAUUCUCAAUUCCGCCCCAAUUUUCAUUUUAGUACUAAAUUUUCACAAUUCACCAUUUCUAUUUCAACGACCCACAAUCACUUUUCAACGAAAUUAAACAACGAGUCAAUAUCAAAAUGACAACCUAUCACCAAUCCAGACAAUAUGCAUUCAUCACCAAACAAGUAUCGAACAACACCUGAAGCUUAAUCCAAACACCAAAGCAUAGUAAACAAUAAAAUAGAAAAGGAAAAGAUUAGAAUUGGAUCUUUCGACAAUCUGAUCUUUGUUGAUAAUAAGAAAACCCGGACUUGGAAUUUCGAAUAGAACCUAAACAACUUUUUGGAUCGAACUCGGAUAGAAAAAUAGCAACUCGAAACUGUCACAAUAAUCUGACUAAGACCAAACAGCAUCCAAAUUUCUAGAACCAGUGUGUAAACCAACAAACCCCGAAAAGCGUAACAACCGAACAAGUCAGCCCGUAUACAAUUUCAACGAAAGAAAACUGAUGUACCUAAACUCGAUUUCAAAAAUGACACUAAACAGACAAACCUAAAGCCUCAAUCGACCUGACGAAAGACCUAAUCCGGUGUAAUCUGAGUUCCGGUGAACUCAAACGAGGUAGCAAACAACAAUCCCAAAAUAGAUUCUGGCGACCACGCUGUUUUCGGCCAGAUUCAACUAGAAACUAACAAGAACGACAAGAAGAUUAGGUUCGUUGGAAUAUCUCAAGAAAACAGACGGAUCUUACUCAAACUCUCUUCAUUUUUUUUUUGAUUUACUCUCACUAUGUGUAUGUACGUACCCCUUUUUUGUGUGUCUGUGAACCAAGAAGAAGAAGAAGAAAAGAAUGGGGUAUAUUGUUCUUCAAGGUCCAAAAUGGAAGAACCCCCUUAUUUCUGUGUAUAAUGUUGUGUGUUAUCUGCGUCUGAGAGAGUAUGUGUGUGUCGUGUAAAUGGUGAGGGUGAGUGUCGAUCGAAAGAAAGGAAGAAGAUGAGUGUGUAUUCUGUAUAUUAAUGGAGUGGUUCCUUUUUUGGAGAAGAAAGGAAAAAAAAUUGAGAUGUGCUCUGUGUCUAUCCCCGUAUUCCAGUGAAGACAAAAAAUAUAUAGGGGAUCGGGUGGGGUUACGUGGGUGGGUAUUGGGGUAGGGUAGGUGGGGUGGGUGGGGUUGCGUGGGUGGGUAUUGGGGUAGGGUAGGUGGGGUAGGGUAUGGGGGCAUGGGGUAGUGAUGUGUUGUCCAAAAUUGAUAGGAGGGGUGGUUAAUUUUGUUACAAAAGAAUAAUUGGGGAUUAGGUUUGUUAGUGGGUUUAUUAUUUUUGUAUUUUUGUGGGAUAUAAUCAUACGGGUGAGGGUACGUGAUAAGACAAGGAUAAAAUGUGUAACUUGGGUUAUCGGGAGGGACCAAAUUAGGUGUCUACAUCAUGCACCCUUUGAACGUAAACACGAAGUGUUUUCAGGCAAAGAAGUAGACAGCAAGACCAAAUUUGACCCGACUAUUACUCAAAGAAAGAAAUAGAAGGAAGAAAGACAACCAGGUCUUGACUUAAGACAUCCUUCCUACCCAAGUUAUGAAAGAAUCAAGUCACGGGUAUUUCAAAGGACUGGAAGAGAAGUGGACUAUACCGAGUUGGAGAGUCGAGUGAGGUUCCAUCAAGGUUCCGGUCUGCGGCUCUGUCAUUACAUAAAAAAUGAAAAUUACAAGUUAAAACAUAAACGAAUUUACAAAAUCCUAACUAUACAGCUUCUGUCGGCUCUUGGCUUGACUUUUAUCACCCUAUUCUUCAGGUGGGCUCCUAACUUGCAAUUUAUUUCAACUUGUUGCUUGGAUUUCAAUUGCUUUGCUUUGUUGCUUGACUUUUCAUUUCUUCACCCUAUUCUUCAGGCGGGCUCCUGACUUGCUAUUUCAUCACUUUAUUGCUUGACUUUCAUUUCUUCACUCUAUUCUUCCGACGGGCUCCGGACUUUCUAUUUCAUCACCCUGUUCUUCAGGCGGGCUCCUGACUUGCUAGUUCAUCACCGUAUUCUUCAGGCGGGCUCCUAAAACCCAAAAUUAAAACUAGAACGAAAAUUAUCCCAAACAAGAAUUAUAAUAAAGUAGUAUUUCAUUUUUGAGAGCGUUGUCCCAUUUUCCAGGAGGGUCCUGAACAGAAAGUAAAGUCCCAUUUUUCAUAGGGUCCUGAAUUGAAAGUAAAUUCCCAUUUUUUUCAAGAAGGUCCUGAACAGAAAGUAAAAUCAAUCUUGCUUAAUUACACUUUCACUUUUCCACAUUAGUACGAGAAGGCGGACAUUGGUGCGCGGUAAAAAAUUUCGAGAUAUCAUUUAAGAAUUUUCUAUUAAUAAGCGUCCCUAUUUUUUGGAUAGGAUAGAGAAUAGGCAUUCCCUAGGGGAACUAUAGUCUAGGUCAGAGCUGAGUUAAUCAUAGCUUUUGAUCCAUAGGAUAGGAAAAAGGGGAGGAGAAUAAUAAGAAUAAGUUUUCCAUAAAGAGCUCACGAGACUCCCCAUACGAAGAAAGAAGCGACCCACCAGAUUCGAAUUAGCAUAUAGAAAAGUGGAAUCCGUUCUAAAUUCCCUUAAUUUCUUUCUCUCCUGUCAUGAGGAGUCUCUUUGGUGACGCAGUUUGGCAAAUCCCACCUACAUCUGCGAAGCUGGAUCAGCAGGACGAUCCAAAAUAUUAGGUGGCCCGCGGGCAUAGAAAAAAAGAAAGACAAUUAAAAAACAAUUGUAUUACCGAUAGUAGUACAUGGCUGACUUGGAACUAAUUAUUGAAAACCAUAAAUGAGUUUUAUAUCUUCGAAAGCCUGCUCCCAACAGAAACUAUGAAAUCCACACUCUAAAAGGUUAGAGUAGACAUCAGAUAGAUAAUAUGGGUCUAGCACGUGGAAACGCUCUUUAAUAGAACUUUAGCCUUAGCUGGCCAUGCCCGAAGUCCUUACCUUAACCGCAAGGAGUGGGAUGCCAAAAUAAAAUAAGGAUUCAAUCCAGCCACAGGUUCCCCUAUGGCUACCUUGUAAAGUUGUGAAAAAGCAAAGAAAGAAUGGCUAUAAACAUCAUCGACCUUUCAUUGAUCUUUUGUGCCUCGGGCGUUUGCUAGUCGAUCAACCAAGAAAUGAGUUGGUCGAGGCGGAGUGACUGAAAGAUCUCUGACGUCAUCAAAAUACCUCCCUUAUACAGGAACACGUAGCCAAAGAAGAAGACGCUUUAAGAUGAUCCCCACAGAAAGUAAAAUCCCAUUUUUCAGGAGGGUCCUGAACAUAAAGUAAAAUCCCAUUUUUCAGGAGGGCCCUGAACAGAAAGUAAAAUCCCAUUUUUCAGGAAGGUCCUGAUCAUAAAGUAAAAUCCCAUUUUUCAAGAGGGUCCUGUACAGAAAGUAAAUUCCCAUUUUCAGAAGGGUCCUGAACAUAAAGUAAAAUCCCAUUUUUCAGGAGGGUCCUAAACAUAAAGUAAAAAUCCCAUUUUUCAGGAGGGUCCGGAACAGAAAGUAAAAAUCCAUUUUUCAGGAGGGUCCUGAACAUAAAGUAAAAAUCUCAUUUUUCAGAAGGGUCCUGAACAGAAAGUAAAAUGCUCAUUUUUCAGGAGGGUCCUGAACAUAAAGUAAAAAUCCCACGGAUGUGCAUUUCUAAUGGUAGCUAAAUUAAGUGCAGGGAAUUUACCCCUAUUUCAACAAAGAAAAUUUGUCAGUUAAAACUUAAUGGUGGCUUGCAACUCUUGGCUUCUCAGGAAUCUGCCCCAGCAUUCGUUCCUUUCAUCUUUCUUCCAAAUCGCUGACACCUGCCCUAUCUUGCCGCAUCAUUGCCCCGGAUCCAGAUUAAGGGAAAUGAGUUUUGACUCAAACAAUGGGUUUUCAUUUUACCAUGCCCCUGAGGUGCAGUCUUUUCCCAAAUCUGAAUGCUUCCACGGAUCCAAUAGUCUGUCGGUUGAUAGACUUUCUUUGCUUCAUGUUGAAUUACGAUCAUAUUUCUUUUCUGUGCUGUUCCUUGGCUUUUCCUCAUAUAAUUGGAAAGACUGGUAGUAAAUUUUGAAAUUCUUUCUCGCUUGUUUUGACACAGACUUGACUUAAAAUAUAAAGAAAUGAUGGUGACUUCUAUUUCGAUAAAUGACAUAAGAAAAGACAAAAAGCAUGAAUAUGUAAAUGAAAGAAAAGGGCAAUGUCCCAUAUUUAAAAAGAAAAACUUAUCUGAAUACGACAACCAACUCCAAUGAGUAUGACAUGCAUUUUGGAUUGAGCUGCCUGAUCUUCCUAUCCAAACUCUCUAUUUGUUAUUGAGUUCAUGCCUUUGCUGCUGAGCCGUUUCCUCAAAUUCAUUGGACUCAUACAUCACAUUCGACUGACGACAUCUUAAAAGACUUUCGCCAAUAACUCUUUUUCUUUUCACUUUUCGCUUUUCUCUUGAACUCUCUAUCGCCUUACGAUGCCCGUGAGGGUUUUCACCAAUAAGACUCUCAUUUUUAUUUCUUUCCACUCACCAUCGCCUUAUGGUGCCUGCAAAGGUAUUCACCAAUAAGACUCUCUCAUUUUCAUUUACUCUCAACUCACAAUUGCCUUAUGAUGCCCACGGGGGUUUUCACCAAUAAGACUCUCUUAUUUUUGUAUUUCUUUUCUGAUUUCUUAUGCUGAGGGAGACAAGCGAUACCUCACAAUGUAUCAUCAUAUCCAUUGCAUGCUUAGCCUUAACAUUAUCAAAAAUUUAUCUGAAGGACUUUCUUUAGUUGUAACUUGACUUUUGGUUCAGGUUAGAAAAGAUGGUAAGGGGCUCAAACGAUACUUGAAGUGGGGGUGGGACUUACAACUUUUAGAAUCGACUCAAACUACAUAUUAACUCAUGCCCCAGUUUUGUUGACUGGGUGAAUCUUAAAUCUUUAUUUGGUUGGACCGAGCCCGAAAUAGGACAACCUACGUAUCUCACUCACGAGAGAGGAGAAUCAGGUCGGACGUAGUUCCAUCAACUUGUUCUUUGGUUGGAUUUGAUUUUUCUUUUAUUUUGGAACUCUUUCUUUUAUUCUUAUUUUCUUGACAUUUAUCUUUGACUCUAUUUUGAUUCCAAAAGAGGCAUAUGAAAGGAAAAUAAAGUGAAGCUCAAACGGGUAAACAAAGGAUGACACAGUGUUUGGAUAGAAUAACAAAAUGCCUUUAUCAUAUCAAUCUUCAAAAAUGCAAGUACUAAACAUGCAAUAAAAUCAACAAAGGAUCAAAUAUCAUACAUAAUAUCUUUUGACCGCAUCAGCAUUGAUAGCCAUUUCUGCCAUUUUGCCUUCANNNNNNNNNNNNNNNNNNNNNNNNNNNNNNNNNNNNNNNNNNNNNNNNNNNNNNNNNNNNNNACAACGAAGGGACCUUGCCAGUUAGGGGAGAACUUGCCUUUCGCUUCAACCUGGUGAGGAAGGAUACGUCUCAAUACCAACUAACCAACUUCAAAAUUCCUGGGAUGGACCUUUUUGUUAUACGCUUGAGCCAUCCUCCUCUGAUACAACUGGCUAUGACACACAGACGUUAGCAUUUUUUCCUCAAUCAAACUCAAAUGUUCUAGUCAGGUUUUUACCCAUUUGUCAUCAUCAAUCUCUGCUUCUACAAUGACUCGAAGAGAGGGAAUUUCAACUUCUGCAGGGAUAACUGCUUCUGUCCCAUACACUAAUAAAUAUGGAGUUGUCCAUGUUGAAGUUUGGUAAAUUCAUUAUUCCUACUGACUUUAUUAUUCUUAAUUUUAAGGCAGACAAACAUGUACCAAUUAUCUUGGGGCGUCCAUUCUUAGCAACUGGAGGAGCGUUGAUUGAUGUUAGAGAAGGUAUGCUUAAAAUGAGGGUAGAGGAUGAAGAGGUGGUAUUCGAUGUUGAAGGGGACAAGUAUGUGGUGGUUAGUCCACCAAAGACCUCUUUGAACUGCUUGAUUUAGCAGCCUAAACUUCUACCGCAUAAGACUGACAUAAUGAAAGUUGAUGAGCCUGAAAAGGCUAAAGUCAAAAACCCUUCCGUUCUUGAAAAUUCACACCCAAAAGGGGUAGAAAGAAUAAUAAGAUGUCCUCCAAGUGUGAGGAAAAAGAUGAAGGAAUUUAGUUGAGUUGAGCUGGGUCGUGUCGCGACACUAAAUCAGGUGUUGCUUGGGAGGUAACCCAAGUUAAGUAGGUAUGUUUGAUUUUUAGUUUUUAGUUUUUAUUUCACAUAGUUUUUGUUUUUGAUUGAGUCGCAGGUUUAUGGGAUGUUUGAGUACCAAAAACCUGAGCUAAGGAGCAUGGCAAAGACUAAGUGUGGGGUCCUACGGACCCUCUUUUAUGCAAAAAGAUGCUACUAGCUAGGCCUAGAGUCCUCAUGGAGUAUUUCUAUCUCUUACUUUUAAGUUUACUUUGGGAGCAAAGUAGAUUUUUUAAGUGUGGGGUGGGGAAAUUCCUUAAUGUUGGCUCAAUUUAAAAAUUUCUUGUGUAAGAUAUUUUUGUUCCUGCUAUUUUUAUUACAUGGUGAAAGUGUUUUAAUUGUAAAAGCAUGGUGCUUUUGAGAAUUACUACUUUUGGGACUCUUAGACUCAUGAUUGUGACUCUUGUACUUGUUGGCUUAAAAUUUGAAUUUGUUCUAUUGUUGGUUGAGAGUCUAUGAUGAUCCUAUGUUAGUUGAGCAUGUGUCAUGUGUGAUGUGAGGUUUUUGUAUACUCCUUGUUGCAUAUACCCUUGAUUUAUACCUUCUCUUUGACCUAUCGUUGUGCUUAAUCCUAGUUAGCUCUUUUGAGCCUUUAGUUUUUUUCUGGGGAAGCCUCAUAUGUAACCUAAUCCCUUCUUUGAUAGACCUUAAUUUGAUCCAAAAAAAAGGCUCCUAGGCGCUUUAAUGAAAAAUUAAUUGAGUAAGGAGUUUGAAAAGAACUCAUACUCUGUUAUAUUGUUAGUACAGUAGAAUCGAAGUUGUACUAUUACCAGGAAAUGUUGUCCCGAUUCAGAGAUAAGAACCGCACCUAUUCUAACUCCUUUCAUAUUGAUAGCUCCAUCGAAGAAUAACCUCCAACCUGGAUCAGCAUCUAUAACGACUUCAUCGACACACGACACUUCUUCGUCAGGAAAAGAUGUCUUUAAUGGCUCCCCCCCUUCCUCCAACGGGUUUCUACNNNNNNNNNNNNNNNNNNNNNNNNNNNNNNNNNNNNNNNNNNNNNNNNNNNNNNNNNNNNNNNNNNNNNNNNNNNNNNNNNNNNNNNNNNCAUAGGCUUCUGAAAGAUAUACUUCAAAGGAUCCAUGCGGGAGAUGAGAUAAGUAGUAUAGAAUGAGAGAUAAUGCUUUAACUUCUGUGCUACCCAAGUUAGGGCGCAAUAUGUCCUUUUAAGAAGUUUACACCUGGCCUCAUAUGUGGUGAACUUCUUACUAAGAUAAUAAAUAGCCUGCUUCUUUUUACCUAUAACAUCAUGUUGACCCAGGACACAACCGAAAGAAUUUUUCAUGACUGAUAAAUAUAAGAUCAAAGGCCUACCAGGCUCCGGGGGUACCAGCAGGGCGGAUUUGACAAAUAUCUUUUGAUUCGAUCGAACACUUUCUGACAUUCUUCAGUCCAUUUUACCGCAACACUCUUUUUCAGCAACUUGAAUAUGGGCUCACAAGUGGUCGUGAGUUGAGCAAUAAACCUGCUAAUGUAGUUCAGUCUACCAAGAAAACUCAUCACCUCCAUUCUAUUCUUGGGCGGGGGCAAAUCCUGAAUGGCUUUGAUUUUUGAGAGAUCCAAUUCAAUUCCCCGAUGGCUGACUACAAACCCCAACAGCUUUCCAGAUGGAACUCUAAAUACACAUUUUGUCGGGUUGAGUUUGAGAUUAUACCUGCGAAGCCUUUCAAAGAACUUUCNNNNNNNNNNNNNNNNNNNNNNNNNNNNNNNNNNNNNNNNNNNNNNNNNNNNNNNNNNNNNNNNNNNNNNNNNNNNNNNNNNNNNNNNNNNNNNNNNNNNNNNNNNNNNNNNNNNNNNNNNNNNNNNNNNNNNNNNNNNNNNNNNNNNNNNNNNNNNNNNNNNNNNNNNNNNNNNNNNNNNNNNNNNNNNNNNNNNNNNNNNNNNNNNNNNNNNNNNNNNNNNNNNNNNNNNNNNNNNNNNNNNNNNNNNNNNNNNNNNNNNNNNNNNNNNNNNNNNNNNNNNNNNNNNNNNNNNNNNNNNNNNNNNNNNNNNNNNNNNNNNNNNNNNNNNNNNNNNNNNNNNNNNNNNNNNNNNNNNNNNNNNNNNNNNNNNNNNNNNNNNNNNNNNNNNNNNNNNNNNNNNNNNNNNNNNNNNNNNNNNNNNNNNNNNNNNNNNNNNNNNNNNNNNNNNNNNNNNNNNNNNNNNNNNNNNNNNNNNNNNNNNNNNNNNNNNNNNNNNNNNNNNNNNNNNNNNNNNNNNNNNNNNNNNNNNNNNNNNNNNNNNNNNNNNNNNNNNNNNNNNNNNNNNNNNNNNNNNNNNNNNNNNNNNNNNNNNNNNNNNNNNNNNNNNNNNNNNNNNNNNNNNNNNNNNNNNNNNNNNNNNNNNNNNNNNNNNNNNNNNNNNNNNNNNNNNNNNNNNNNNNNNNNNNNNNNNNNNNNNNNNNNNNNNNNNNNNNNNNNNNNNNNNNNNNNNNNNNNNNNNNNNNNNNNNNNNNNNNNNNNNNNNNNNNNNNNNNNNNNNNNNNNNNNNNNNNNNNNNNNNNNNNNNNNNNNNNNNNNNNNNNNNNNNNNNNNNNNNNNNNNNNNNNNNNNNNNNNNNNNNNNNNNNNNNNNNNNNNNNNNNNNNNNNNNNNNNNNNNNNNNNNNNNNNNNNNNNNNNNNNNNNNNNNNNNNNNNNNNNNNNNNNNNNNNNNNNNNNNNNNNNNNNNNNNNNNNNNNNNNNNNNNNNNNNNNNNNNNNNNNNNNNNNNNNNNNNNNNNNNNNNNNNNNNNNNNNNNNNNNNNNNNNNNNNNNNNNNNNNNNNNNNNNNNNNNNNNNNNNNNNNNNNNNNNNNNNNNNNNNNNNNNNNUUGGCUUGGACUUUCUUAAGCUUUUAGGCACGAAGCAUCUUCCUGACCUAGUCAAACCCCCUACCUCAUCUACAUCUUCCACAACUUUUUUCCCGUGAUAGGUCAUCACAGUCCUCACAUAAUUCUAGGUAACUCUUUUCGUAUCAACUAUCGGAGGUUGGGUCACUGUUUGAGGACAAUAGGAGCUGCCAGUGCUACUUUCACCGUCAAGAUGGGCUGACUCAGAGCUCCCACCAUUAUCAACUUAGGUUUAUCCUGACUUAAAUCAACAUACCUUCUGGCGCCCUGUACUGUAAUCAGGGGUUUCUUUGUGCUUUCUUGGGAUUUAUCUUCUCUCAUUCCUUUCUAGCUCAAUGAUAUUGCUUUCAAAGACUCCGCUACAUUCACUGAUUUCUCCUCAGUGGUCUGUAUCUUGACAAUAGGCUUAUAACCCCUCAAAGACUCUUUUCCAUCAUAUAUCAAUUCUAACAUAUUGGCUUUAACAUGGGUUGGCAGCGGAUUAUGGUUAAUGUUUGGACCCUCCGGGGCCUGGACCAGCAUCUGAUUCGUGUCAAUUAAAUCUUGGACAGCUCUCUUUAAAUGCCAGCAUUUCUCAAUAUCAUGGCUUGGCAUAUUAGAAUAGUACGCACACCUUAAAGAAUAAUCGAGAUUCCUCGGCGGUGGAUUUGAAAGUCUUCCUUGAAUUGGGCUUAAAACCUUCAACUUUCUCAACCUAUCAAACAAGCUAGCAUAUGCUCACCAAGAGGUGUGAAUUGAUUUUUGACCACCUUCUCUUUCUUAUACUCGAGCCUAGGUUAAAAACUGGGUCUGAAAGGGUUUUGGUAAUUUGGUAGAGCGAAUGGGCAACUUUAUGGAGCUUACGCGCGCCACUGCGGGUAAGAAGGGGUUGGGGCAUAUGGUUGUGCGCUAUAUACUGGGUAUAUGGGGGUGGUGGAACGGAAUAUAAAGGGUUUUGUGGAGGGUAGUAAUGGUGGAGAGGAAUAUAUGGAGCUUGGGUAUAGACUUGGGCUUGGGAUUGGGGAUAGGGGCGAGGUGGCCUUUUGGGAUAGGAAUGGGUUCCAGCUACGACAUUCGCUACAUCCUCUUUCUUCUUUUUACCUCCAAAUGCGCCAGAUCUACCUUGAAUCGCUUGUGUGGUGGCUUUUAAAGCGGCAAAACUCACUAUUCAGCCGGUCUUAAUUCCGUCCUCUAUCAUCUCUCCCAUUUUGAGGACUUCCAUAAAAGACUUUCCCAUUGCCGGAAGUAAAUGUUGAAAAUAGGUCUCAUCCUGAGUCUGAAUGAAAACUUCUACCAGCUUACUUUCUUUCAUUGGAGGCUUUACCCUGGCAACCUGUUCAUGCCACCUUAUCGCGUAUUCCGUAAAACCUUCAGUUCUCUUUUUCUUCAUGUUGACCAAGGAUUUUUUAUCCGAAAUUAGGUCGAUGUUAUACUGAAAAUGUUGAACAAAUUCAGAAGCCAAAUCAUCCCAGCUAUUCCAUUUAUCGAUGUCUCGAUCGAUAAACUAUUCUGAGGCCAGAUCAGAAAGACUCUUGCCAAAGAAGGCCAUGAGCAGUUCUUUCUUUCCUCCUGCAGCCCUCAACUGGUUACAAUAAUGUCUUAAGUGUGCCACGAGAUCACCUUGUCCUGCAUACUUCUCAAACUUAGGCAUCUUAAAAUUGGGGGGAAGGUUGAUGUCUGGGAACAUGCAAAGAUCUUUAUAGGAAACACUCCUAUAAUCUCCGAUUCCUUGCAAAUUCCUCAUAGCUUGUUCUAAACUUUUCAAUUUCCAGGCUAUGAUAUCCUGUUCCUCCAUUGCGACAGGUUUCUCUGUAUCAAAUGGAAAUGCGGGCGGCUGAGUGUACCCAUACGGUUCAUUCAUUUGUAAAGUAGGCUCUGGGGCAUAAUACUGACUAUCUGAAACCUUCAGUACUGGCUCACUGGCAGACCUAGGAAGCCUCAUUGUGGGACGCACAACAUAUAUGGGAGUUUCAUGUGGUGGCGGAGCCACGAAUACCGGUGUGAUCAGUGGCACUGGCUGAGCAGCAGGUCUUUAUUGGGGAGCAGCCAAGGGCACACCAGAACUGCCAGGAUAAUAAUGUCGCAGAGUGAAUCCUGGCGCGUGUUCGGGUGACUCAGUAGGAGCAGAGCAUUGUGCCUGAGAGAGCGGUGGGCAGUUAGAGAUAUUCCUAAGACCUUCAGGGAGUGGAGGAGGAGGCAUUCUGCUGGCCCAUGCCCGGUGUAAAUCUAUCAAUUGUUGCCUGAGUCUUACUACCUCAUCAUUGUGUUCAGCACUUUCUUCCCUGUGAUCCUGAUCCAGGUCAAUGAGCGAAUUUUCAAUCUCCCUGCUAGCCAUGACGAGCUUUACUUUGGAUCUAGUGAAGUAUGGGUGACUAGCCAGAGUGCUGCAAACCUACCACUGUUAUCUGAAAGAACAUGCUCAUCAAAGACGACAUCCGUUAGGAUUUGGGCACACAACAAGCAUGGGAAUCACACUCUUAAAAUUGUCCUAAAUUGAUGUUCAUUUCUACCAGCUUUUGAGGGUAGCGAGGUCAUUUUAACNNNNNNNNNNNNNNNNNNNNNNNNNNNNNNNNNNNNNNNNNNNNNNNNNNNNNNNNNNNNNNNNNNNNNNNNNNNNNNNNNNNNNNNNNNNNNNNNNNNNNNNNNNNNNNNNNNNNNNNNNNNNNNNNNNNNNNNNNNNNNNNNNNNNNNNNNNNNNNNNNNNNNNNNNNNNNNNNNNNNNNNNNNNNNNNNNNNNNNNNNNNNNNNNNNNNNNNNNNNNNNNNNNNNNNNNNNNNNNNNNNNNNNNNNNNNNNNNNNNNNNNNNNNNNNNNNNNNNNNNNNNNNNNNNNNNNNNNNNNNNNNNNNNNNNNNNNNNNNNNNNNNNNNNNNNNNNNNNNNNNNNNNNNNNNNNNNNNNNNNNNNNNNNNNNNNNNNNNNNNNNNNNNNNNNNNNNNNNNNNNNNNNNNNNNNNNNNNNNNNNNNNNNNNNNNNNNNNNNNNNNNNNNNNNNNNNNNNNNNNNNNNNNNNNNNNNNNNNNNNNNNNNNNNNNNNNNNNNNNNNNNNNNNNNNNNNNNNNNNNNNNNNNNNNNNNNNNNNNNNNNNNNNNNNNNNNNNNNNNNNNNNNNNNNNNNNNNNNNNNNNNNNNNNNNNNNNNNNNNNNNNNNNNNNNNNNNNNNNNNNNNNNNNNNNNNNNNNNNNNNNNNNNNNNNNNNNNNNNNNNNNNNNNNNNNNNNNNNNNNNNNNNNNNNNNNNNNNNNNNNNNNNNUAACAUCAUAACAUUUUGAAGAAAGAAAACAACAAAAACGUACAAAAGUUUGGGACCACUUUAAAACUAAGCAACAAAUACGAAACAACAUUAUAGACCCCUAAGACGACGUAGGUGAAAUUACUAAUAAAGACUCUAAUACCAAAAACAACUUGACUUUGACUUAAAGCAGACACCACCCUACAAUGACAGACACAUAAAAGACUCAAACUAAAUUAAGAUAAGAAGUGCUCUUUCAGACUGGUGCUCUGUGUGAUGACCCUGGCUUAUAUGGACCUACCUCUAAAGUUCUCUUUCUCCUAUUUAAGCUUUGUAGCAUAUUCUGUAAAGACACCCUAAUGCCGGGGAAGAAACUUCGGGCCCGUAUUCCUGCUUCAUGAGGAGUGCACUUGGAAAGAUUAUUCUGACACCUUUCUACCAUCUUGAACAAAUCUGCUAGCUGAACCCUCACUGUUUCCACUUUGGACCCUACACUUUCAUCCCGAUGAUCGUCUACUAUGCAUUCUUCCUGUAUUCUCCCUCUAAGCUGCACUGGUAAGGGUUGACUGAUACCCCGAGGGAUACAUUGAAGCCAAACCUCAUAUCCCUGAGUGUGGCCCGAAUUAUCCAAACUUUCUUUGAGUGUGGCCACACCUAUCUUUGUUGCAUGCUUCCAAAACUGCUCGUACUUGCUCUCACCUAAGGCUUGGUCCUUGAAGUACUCAACAUCCUUCAGAAGAUCCACUGCUGGUGGCACGUCCUGCAGCCUACCCAACUGGCGCAUUACCAUAGAAGGACUGUAUGGUCUAGUGCAAUUGAGCCCUAACAUAACUAAAGGGAGCUGCGUCUGACAACCCAACAAUACUAUCUUUGGGCAAAGCCACAGAUAAGUCCACAAAAUACUAUCCCUGGUCCUCGACUCAAGAAACUCAAUCCAAGCGUCGACACCCACGGGUAACGAGAAUUUAUCCAAACGCAACCUGGAGUCCAUGGCUUUCACUCGAUUGGGAAUACAACGAUCUAACAUGUCUGGUCUAACUAAAGAAGGCACAUGCAAAUGCUCCAUCAUCCAUAACUGUAAUAUCAGGUUACUGCCCUCAGAAAACCUCCUUCCCCCUUUCACUUCGGUUAAAGCCUUAUAUAUUUCUGUUAAGAUCAUGGGUAUGAGAGUGAACCUGCCCUUUUGAUUAACGCCCUUGUCGUUUUGAUCCUUAUGAAAUAGGGCCAUCACUACAGAUUGCAAAUGGGUAUUAAUACGUCUUUCUUCUAGUGGAAACACUAAAAUACAAGCGAGGGUGAAGACUUCAAGAUGCUUUCUCUCCCACUUCUCCUUANNNNNNNNNNNNNNNNNNNNNNNNNNNNNNNNNNNNNNNNNNNNNNNNNNNNNNNNNNNNNNNNNNNNNNNNNNNNNNNNNNNNNNNNNNNNNNNNNNNNNNNNNNNNNNNNNNNNNNNNNNNNNNNNNNNNNNNNNNNNNNNNNNNNNNNNNNNNNNNNNNNNNNNNNNNNNNNNNNNNNNNNNNNNNNNNNNNNNNNNNNNNNNNNNNNNNNNNNNNNNNNNNNNNNNNNNNNNNNNNNNNNNNNNNNNNNNNNNNNNNNNNNNNNNNNNNNNNNNNNNNNNNNNNNNNNNNNNNNNNNNNNNNNNNNNNNNNNNNNNNNNNNNNNNNNNNNNNNNNNNNNNNNNNNNNNNNNNNNNNNNNNNNNNNNNNNNNNNNNNNNNNGAGUAGAAGAUUCCUAACCCUUGGGAUUUUUGACGCCAACAUAUGUCGAUGGGACAGACCACAUUCAUGGCUCCAAUUUGCCGAACAGAAGUACUGAGUGAAAUCAGUCUACUUGGCAAACAACUCUAGAUUACGGGGAGAGAGAUCUAGGCUAAUUCUAAGACAAAGGCCAACACAAAGAAUUACCGGACCCACCGAGGGUUGCCUACGUAUCCCAACCCAAGGGGAGGGAAUCAGGUAUGCGUAGUUCAAUCAGAUUGGACAAUUAACGAUAAAUUGACCCUAACUUAAAAGACACUACCAAAAAUAAAUGAAAAAAAAAUUGGAUUUUCUGCCAGACAUUUUAACUAAGACUGACACCACCAAUUAUGAAGAAAAAAUAUUUUUGGUAUUUUUGUUUUUGACAAAUAAGUAGAAGAGGCAAACAAAACUUCUUCUUUUUUUCUUGAAUUUACGGUACUUUGAGAAGACAAAUGCAAAACGUAAAAAAAAUCUUUUUGAGAUUUUGGAUCUUGAAGAACCAAAGCCAUAAAGAAUUCUAAAAUAAACUACGACAUUCCUCUUUUUUUCAUUCUUUUGACUCACUUUUUCUAUUUUUCUUUUUUGUUUUUGUCUACGCACCUUACUCCUAACAAAUUUAUUUAUUUAUUUAUUUUUCAAAAAUCAGUCCGUCAAAUAACCACGUUAUCCUCAAAGAUGCAACAUUUAGCACGUAGGAAUGCUUUAGAGGUGAGUCUCCUACAAAGGACCAAGUGGGCCCCAUUAGGUCUCAAUAUUAUGCACAUAAGCAUGACCUAAAGGCUGACCUACGUUGUGGUUCACUAACAAGGCUGUUCGGGGGAGCGUAUGGUCGAUAGUGGCUACUUUGCUUUCCACCUACUCCAUAACACCGACGGAUCCCCCCUAGAAUAAGGGUGACUCAACUAGAGGUUGUUUACAACACGUGUACUACGGACUUAUUGCAGAAAUAAGGCCGGGGGGGUGGACUCAUGAUGACAGAUAUAAAAGCGGUAACACAUAGGAUAAAUACUAUAAACAAAGAGCACAAAAAACACACAAAAGUGCAAACAAUAACCCAAACAAAAUCACAAACAAUGUUUAUACACUCGUAAUGCUCAACAAAGCCGAUACGACUCAAAAAUAAGCUCGAAUUCUCAUACUGUCCCCAGCAGAGUCGCUAGAGUUGUCACACACACACCCUCCCUUUUUUUUACGUACUCCAAAAGAUUUAUGUUUUAAGAGUCGAAGGGGUUUUAAUUAUUAAAGUGACAAAAGAUGAAAAUUUAUUUCGAAAAAAGAUUAUUUUUAACAAUCACAAUUCAGAGUCGCCACUCGGCAUAAAUCGAGUGUGCCGAGUCACCCACAGAUAUCCUUUUUCAAAAUGGUUUUGACUCUUUAAUACUGGUUUGCGAACAGAUAUUCCGGCUAAGGAAUUCUGUUGACCGAGGGAAAGGUGUUAGGCACCCCUCGAUCCCGUGGUUUGACCACGAUCGCUUGGCAGAGCGUAUCGGCUAAAUUGACAAUACGAUGUAUAAACCACACAAAAGCACGCAAAAUAAUCAAACAAAACAAUCCAAAAUGUAGAGUCUAGUCCAAUUACAGUCCAAAAAUAGAAAAAAUACGAAAAUAUAAAUCCUAUUCUAAACUAAAUCGAGACUAAGCUCCAAUGCCUUACCCGAUUCUGCAGGCCUUCGUCAUGAUCAUCUUUCAAGUACAAGGUACUUCGGGGCAUUCCCUAGAUAAAUCAAUACAAUUCCUUCGGGGCAUUCCCCGACCAAAUGAGUACAAUUUAAACUUUUUGUGCAAUAAAGUAGAAAGUACCAUUCAUGCACAUAUUCAAACACCCCCUAAAUUUGUCUACCCAGCCCACGUUUGCCUACGCUUUUGUUGGUCUUAUCAUGAUACUACUGCAUUUCAACCAUAUUUAUAUUUAAACCAAAUUAAACCAAAAGUCUUUAAUCAAUCCAAAUUCACCAUUUUAUCAAAUUCUCAAUUCCGCCCCAAUUUUCAUUUUAGUACUAAAUUUUCACAAUUCACCAUUUCUAUUUCAACAACCCACAAUCACUUUUCAACGAAACUAAACAACGAGUCAAUAUCAAAAUGACAACCUAUCACCAAUCCAGACAACAUGCAUUCAUCACCAAACAAGUAUCGAACAACACCUGAAGCUUAAUCCAAACACCAAAGCAUAGUAAACAAUAAAAUAGAAAAGGAAAAGAUUAGAAUUGGACCUUUAAACAAUCUGAUCUUUGUUGAUAAUAAGAAAACCCGAACUUGGAAUUUCGAAUAGAACCUAAACAACUUUUUGGAUCGAACUCGGAUAGAAAAACAGCAACCCGAAACUGUCACAAUAAUCUGAUUAAGACCAAACAGCAUCCAAAUUUCUAGAACCAGUGUGUAAACCAACAAACCCCGAAAAGCGUAACAACCGAACAAGUCAGCCCGUAUGCAAUUCCAACGAAAGAAAACCGAUGUACCUAAACUCGAUUUCAAAAAUGACACUAAAUAGAUGAACCUAAAGCCUCAAUUGACCUAACGAAAGACCUAAUCCGGUGUAAUCUGAGUUUCGGUGAACUCAAACGAGGUAGCAAACAACAAUCCCAAAAUAGAUUCUGGCGACCACACUGUUUCCGACCAGAUUCAACUAGAAACUAACAAGAACGACAAGAAGAUUGGGGUUUUGAGUUUAGAUUGAGCAAAUAGUGAACUUAACCCGAUUCCGACAUAGGUUCAUUGGAAUAUCUCGAGAAAACAGACGGAUCUUACUCAAACUCUCUUUAUUUUUUUUCGAUUUACUCUUACUAUGUGUAUGUACGUACCCCUUUUUUGUGUGUCUGUGAACCAAGAAGAAGAAGAAGAAAAGAAUGGUGUAUAUUGUUCUUCAAGGUCCAAAAUGGAAGAACCCCCUUAUUUCUGUGUAUAAUGUUGCAUGUUAUCUGCGUCUGAGAGAGUAUGUGUGUGUCGUGUAAAUGGUGAGGGUGAGUGUCGAUUGGAAGAAAGGAAGAAAAUGAGUGUGUAUUGUGUAUAUUAAUGGGGUGGUUUGUUUUUUGAAGAAGAAAGGAAAAAAAAUUGAGAUGUGCUCUCUGUGUCCUGUAUUCCAAUGAAGAUAAAAAAUAUAUAGGGAUCGGGUAGGGUUACAUGGGUGGGUAUUGUGGUAGGGUAGGUGGGGUAGGGUAUGGGGGCAUGGGGUAGUGAUGUGUUGUCCAAAAUUGAUAGGAGGAGUGGUUAAUUUUGUUACAAAAGAAUAAUUGGGGAUUAGGUUUGUUAGUGGGUUUGUUAUUUUUGUAUUUUUAUGGGAUACAAUCAUACGGGUGAGGGUACGUGGUAAGACAAGGAUAAAAUGUGUAACUUGGGUCUUUGGGAGGGACCAAAUUAGGUGUCUACAACACACACAUAAAAAAAAUACGGUUUCAAACUAACUCAUAAUCUAGUAAUUGGUCACUAGCUUGUAAGUUAGUAUGGGAAUCAACAAACAAAACUAAAGACACAAAAUAAAACUAAAAGAUCAAAAUUUGAGCAUAAAAUUUAUCAGUGAACAGUAAUUAGUGAUGUGGCAGUCCAUGAUUGACCUCGGUUCUCAACAAUUAUAUUUUCCAAAUUUGGAAGUUUUGAUCAAUUCUAUAAUUUUUUUACUUUGGUGAAAAUUGUUCAAUGAAGGAAAAUACAAUCUAGUCUUUGGAAUUCAAAUUUCAAGACUCAAAAGUAUUUGACUAGACUUAUACUUUUCCUUAAAACAUGGACCCUUGUUUUGUGGAAAAGUGGUGGAGAUGUAAUGUAAAGUCUUUUGGUGGUUGAGGGUCUUUCAAGACUUAACAAGUACUACACCUUGUCUUUCACCUUUUUAAGAUCUAAGUUCACUUUAAUAUUAACAAGGUGAUGAAUAUGGUGAAGAACUUCAAGAACACAACAACCAAAACAAGAACAACAAGUCCACCAAAACAAGGUCAACAAUCUCACGGCUAAGACCAUAAGGAUAGCAACAACAAUCGACUAAGUCCCCUUUGUGUUGCGUUUUCGAUUUUACAAAAAGUGAAGGGUGUGAUGAACAACAAGAAUACAACAGCAACCUUUUAAGAUCUACAACACCACCACAACACAAGGCCUUCAACUCGGUCAAGGCUAGAACAACAACAACAUCCAAUCGGUCACACUUUGUUCACAUCAACAAUAUUAACAAUUCAAGCUCAAGUUUGGAUUGACUUAAAGUGUUAGUGAGGAACAAAACUAAAACUACAAACACACAAGACAAUUCAAAUACUCCUAGACCUAGACUCAAGAACAAAUCUUGGCCAAGAAUACCACAAGAACACAAUUUCAGCCAAGACAACAACAAUGGACAGACUGUAAUUUUUCUGAAAUUUUCAGCUUUUCAACAAUUUUUAUUUUAAUUUUCUAACAAGCAAGCCAAAGAUUGAUCUUGUAGGAACAAGAUCAAGACAUGCUCUGAUACCAAAUGAUACAAGAAAACCAAGGAACACACGGAAUUAGCUCAAAACAGUCCAAACAUACUCCAAAAACAGUCCACUAAUUCAAAGAAUUGAGGACCCUUUUGAAUACCACUCUCGGAUUCAAGAAUGAAAUACAAGAAGGACGAUAUAACUAGGUGUUUGACACCUUUUGCAGCCAAUAACAAACUAAGUUAACAACACAGGAUGAAAAAACAAUGAGAACAACAAUAACAACAACAAAAAUAGCUUCACAAUACAAGAAACAAACGGAUACAAGAUUACAAAAGAAAAAAGAUAGAUAGAUAAACCACAUGAAGGUAUAAUAUUAAGAACCCAAUAAUGAUAACUCUUGGACCCUUAACACUACGCACAACAAUAAACCUAUCUCUUACAAAAACACAAGAUCGGAAUCCACCUCCCAAGCAUCAAUGUUUCCAAGCAAAUGUAAGCACAAGUGAUUCUACACUUGUCUAAGCCCUAAUUUCGGUUUUGGGUGCCUCAAGGAAAGAGGACUUGUGUUUAUUUGUCUUGUAAGACUUACAAUUUCAUUAAUAAACUAAGUCUAAAACCCUACAAUGUUCUUUUUAUAGCUAUUACAAAAUAUAAGUUAAAAUGACCAAAAGGCCCUUCAAAGAGUGGGCACCCAUCUAGUGUAAUUUAUGGGAUAAUUUGGGUGUAUUUUGGGCCUCUUUUACACUUCAAUUGCACACGCCAAGGCUCGGGUCCAACACGCACUCUCCUAAGUCCAUAUCCGUGAUUAUUCCCGUAUUAAGUAGACUCGACCCUUAAUCACUCAUGAAGUACAAGCCGACUUUCAAUACUUGUGAAACUAAGUGUGAGGUAAAAAUCGAGAAUGAGAGUGUGGUGAGGCAUUUUUGAGCUAACAAGUUUGUUGUUUUAUUGUUCGUUGUUGUUUUUUCUUUUAGGUACCAUGACUGCCACUAGUCUCGAUGCCAUAUUUGACCGCAUCACUGAUAAUAUUGAAGACAUGAAAGGGCACAUUGAAAGGCUACGCCAAUUGGUAUCCACACUUAUCCCAACAAAUCUAAAACCUAAGGUCCAAACACCUUGCGGUGAGAGCUUCCCGAAGGAAGUUGUUGCCCAAAAUUGUGAAGGACUUUCACACCAAGGUAAAGAUGAACAUACUCAUGAACGUCAAGGAAAAAUAGCUAACUCUUAUACUUUGGUACAUGUGAAUGAUGAACAUGUGACUAAUAAACCGUUGAGUGUGAGUAGUACCUACAUAUAAGUAUAUUGAUUCCUUACCACUUGUGGAUGAUGUACAUGUUGUGCGAGUGGAUACACUAGUUGAUCCUAUAGAUGACCGAAUCGACUCUUCUAGUAUGAUCGAUUUGUGUCCACCUAGUGUUGAAGCUAUUGUGUUGAAUGAAAGUACAUCAUCAUGUGAAAAUUGUAUUAAUCAACUUGUGUGUAAAACUUUCCCACCACUUGAGAUAUGUGUGAUGUGAAUAACGAAUCUCAAGUGAGUGAAGAAUUUGAAGAUGUUGGUCAAGGAAAAAGGAGUGAACCUGUGAGCCUAUGUUGUUGUAAAGAUUCUAAUGUUUGCUUGGUUCAUAGGGUUAAUCAUGUGCUUGACAUAUCUUUGAAAAAUGAUUUUGCUUGUACUCCUUUGCAUGACACCCCACCCGUGCUUGACAAAUAUGGCGACUUGAAUUGUGAUCCCUUUGAUGUUAAUGGUGGUUUGUGUCUACUCGAGGACCGUAGGGCAAAUGUGUCAUUGUCUCUUUGGGGUGUUGUUCAUAUCCAUGCAUCCAUGUUUGACACACUUGUAUUUAAGUUAUGUGAACCACAACUUAAGGAUGCUAAGUUGUAUUCUUAUUUGUGGAAGGGUCCAAGGAUGUUAAAGACUUUUUGUCACCUUCCUGGGGUAGGACAAUUUGAAGUAUCUUAUGGGACUCUUGGGAGCGUGCUUCACAUCAUUUGUAGAAGGAAGCCGAGUUCUUGGGCAAACUACUUGCCUUGGAUUGAUUGUUGCAUGGUAGUUUCCCUAUUUUCCCUAUUGGUAUGACUCUCUUGAUGGAAUGCCUUCCCUCGGUAAGUGGUUGGAAGGAGAGAGGUCCUAUGUGCUUGCAAUGUCCCUUUCUCUCAUUGUGUGUUCCUACUUGCGAAUACAUCUUAGAUGAGAAUUGUGUCUUUGGUGCCUUUCUUCACUACCUAUAUACAUAUGAUGAUAUUCAUGAUGUUGUUGGAUAUACAUCGUAUGAGAGGCAUAGUCUUAGUUUUUGUCCCUUAAUUCUUGAUGUUCAUCUGAGCCCUUUUGUUUGUGAUGUUGUACAAAAGCUUUUCAUAAUUAACACAAAGGAUCCUUGGUUGUACUUCAAGUGUGUACCACCGUGGCAUGAUAGUGCUAAUUGUUUAUUUUGCUAACCCUAACCCUUAUUCCAUGAGGACGUGUACUUGUUUGUUUCCUCUUUGAUUUUGCAAGUUACGGAUUCGAGGUCGAAUCCUUUUCAAGAAGGGGGGAUGAUACGAGUACGAUCACGUAGAUGGACUUAUGAGGGCAUACGUUAGACCCGAGGAUUGGUGUGUGCAAUAAAGUGAAAAGGAGCACCUAAAUGGACACCAAAGCAGUCCACUACAUAUACUAAAUGGGUCAAAUCAGUCCACUACAUAUACUAUAGGGGUGCCCCUUCACUAAGGGGCCUUUUGGUCAUUUUACCUAUUAUCUGUAAUACACUAUAAAUAGAAUAAUGUAGGGUUUCAUUAGGGAGAUUUUAAUGAUGAUGAAUAUUGUAUAACAUUGAAAGACAAGUCCUCUCUCCUUAAGGCACAAAUCUGAAAUUGUAACUAGGGAAAUCAACUUGAGUGUGGAAUCACUCAUGUUGGAUUCAAGCUUGGAAACGUUGGUCCUUGGGAGAUUGAGAUCCCUCUUGUGCCUAUGUAGGAGAUAGGUUAGUGUUGUGUGUAGUAUUAAAGGUCCAAGGGUGUAACAAUUCUUGGGUUAUUAAUAUUAUUCCCUCAUUUGGUCUAUCUAUCUAUCUUUAUCUUAUUGUACUUUGUAGAUUCAUAGUGGACUGUUUUGUGUCCUUCUUGAAUCCAAAAUUUGUUCUCAUUGUUUUCAUCUUGUUAUCAUUGUGUUGUUGCUGUUAUUGGUGUCAAAUGCACCGUUGUUAUCUCGUAUUAUUAUUGUUGUAGUGAAUCCGAGAGUGGUCUCCAUCUUAGUCCUCAAAUCCUUAAGAUUAGUGGACUGUUUUGAAAUUGUUUCGUGUUUCCGUUGUUUUUCCCGUAUCACAGUAAUUGUCACUUGUCUUGAUGAGAGAUUCACCAUCAACUUUUUCUCGUGAUGUUAGAUUAUAAUUUGACUCUCCAGGAUUGUAGAGAUCUAACUUGCUCAUAAGUUGGACGAUUUGAUGAUCUUUCUCAUCAACGGACUUCUUCAAGGCUUCAAUGAUUUGCUCCAUCAUUGCAAAAUUCUCGUCCAAGUCAAUUGCAUCAACCAUGAAGGUGUUGACUUUCGUUGAAGUUGGAGAAUUCAUUAAGUUUUUAGAUUCUCCAAAGUUGCAGCCAGUUUCAGACGGUCCAUCUGAUAAAAUAGAUGCAAAGUUGCCCCCAGGGGUUGUAGUUACUGCCGAAAUUUGAGAUUUUCUCCUUUUUGUCAUCUUCAAAAUGGUGAAGUAUUGGGAUCCAUCCAAAGCAAAAGCGUUAAGAUUGCGUCGAUUGAUGGGGCCAAUAAUUUUGAUCUCAGUAGACGUGACAGUAGUAGACUUCUUGCAUGAAACUUCAUUGAUUUUUCUGAAGUCCAUUAUAGUAGUUGAAUAUGUGAUUUCCUUUGACUUGUAGGAGAAAGAGAUGAAGAGCAAAACUGGUCCCACUGGGUGUGCCAAUUUGUUCGCAACAAAUUUUCGUUAACGCUGAAAAUUAACUGCAAGCAAAAAUAAAAUAAACAAAAAGAAUAAUUUUAUAUAACUAAAUUUUGCGGGUACAAUUCCGUUGUUCUCUCAAUUCUUUUCUCUGAAGUUUUUCCGUGAUUCGAGGACCUUUGCAGAGUGAUUCUUGAAUGUAGGAUGAUUUGAGCCUCCUAGAAAUGUGUUUGGAUCUCCAGGAAUUGUCUGACAGCACUUCAUCUUGUCGAGUUGAUCUCCAGGCAAAACUCCGUUAGUGAAUUCGUUGAAGAGUUGUGUAGUCAAUGCAGAGGCUUUCUCCAAUGCUUGCAAAACAUCCUCCUUUUUCUUUUCUUUUUUUUUAGAAUGUUAUGUUACCCCCUAUUUAUAGUUGUGGGGGUAGGUCUUAGUUGUUUGUGAUUGGCCGAAACAUGUCACUUUGACACUUGGCACCUUUUGACUGGUUGUUGAAUUUGAAUGAGAUUUCCACAUCAUUUGUACAUAUGGCGGAGUCUCAUUGGUUUUGGAUUUGAUUGGGAUGCCACGUCGCUUGAUGAGUUUGGGCUCAAAAGUGAGAUGGACUUUGAUGAAGAAUAAAAUGAGUUUAUUAUUUUUUUAUCCCAAAAUAAAUUUAAACCCAAUAACAUAUGACUCAAAUUCAAAUUUUAUAUGAAUUUGAUCCAAUAAAUUUUAUGUGUCUACAGUCCCCAUCUUUCGAAUGGGGGUUUGAGUUGUAGCAGGUGGUACUUGACGAGUUUUUUUCCAAGACAGCUUCUUUGUACGACUGUUUUGUGGAGGUUUCUUCUUCCAUACAGGUAUCAUGUGCAUCUGGUGGAUCCGGCGGUUUGGCUUCGGAGGGGGGAGGUUGUGGUAGGUUGCUCAGGUUGGGACAUUUGGGGGAGUGUUUUUCUAUAGAGAGAGAAAAUUUUAGCAUACGUUGGUUGUGAGGUCUCUAUUAAUGGACUUUCAUUAAUAAACAUGAGCCACUUUCAUAAAUAAAAAAGUUGUGAAUCAUUGAAUACAGAUAAAUUAUACCAUACACCAAGUAACAAAUUAUGAGUUAGGUUGCUCAAGUUGGGACAUUUGGGGGAGUGAAUCAUUGAAUACAGCAAUCAUAGCAAGUGGAGAAUUGAAGAGAUUCACAUUGAGAGACAUGUGACAAUCUGGUCCCUCUGGCCUGGAAAAUGACAAAUAAGAUGUGUUUUUCGUGCACUUUUAUUCGCUCAUUAUUAAGUUAGUACAAAUUUAAAAAAAAAAAAAAAAAAUUUACUAUAUCAUCCUUUAAAUAUAGAAAUUCACUGCUUUAAAAAUAGAGUUAAUAUAUAUAAAAAUGACCUUAAACUUGACACGAAACUAUAACUUUGACCUUAAAUUUUGACAGUGCACAAAUAUGACUUUUAAUUAUUCAAAACUGCACAAAUAUAACCUCCAAUCCUACGUGGCAAAACGCGUGUUCAACACGCAAAACUGGGCGCGUCCAGCUUAAAAUGUAAGGGCAUAAUACAUAAAUAUGACCUUAAACUUUGACAGUGCACAAAUAUGACCUUUAACUAUUCAAAACUGUACAAAUAUAACCUUUAACUAUUCAAAACUGCACAACUACGACCUUUAAAUGACUCUUCACUAUUAUUUUUUCAUUAUUUUCGGCUCAAAGAUGAAAAUGACAUCUAAUUUCUUUUAUCAUUGCGGAAAAAGAGCAAUAUUGAAGACUUAUUAAUUAGGCGGGUCAGCCUCAUAAGAAAAAAUCAAGCGGGUAUGUAUAUAUAUUAUAAAGCAGAGGACGAAUUUAAGUUAUAUAAUAUAUCUAAAUAUUAUUUAUUUAAAUAUUAAAUUAAAGAUGAAACUAUACUAAUAAUAAAAAAAAUAUAGUUUUAAUAAAAUGUUAUUGAAUUAAUAUUAUUAAGGAUAGUAGUAGUAGUAUAUUAAAUUAACGUUAUCAAAUUAACGUAAUUAAAAUGUUAUUAAAUUAACGUUAUUAAAACUGUAUUAAAUUAACGAGGGGCGGACCUACGUGGUUUCCAUGGGAUUCACCCGAACCCCCUCGGUAAAAAAAUUACGUUGUAUAUAUAUAAGAUAGAAAAUGUAUAUUUAUGUACGUAUAUUAAUGUUGAACCACAUGAAACAAGACACUUAGAUAGCCCAGUGGUGUUAUUUGCUCUUAUUGGGCGCUUCCUUCAGCCUACUGUGCGGGUUCGAUCCCUGCUAGUGGCUGUUUUUUUUUUUUAAUUAAAAGAAAGCUAAGUAUUGCUGCUAUUGAAAUAAAUAAAAUAAUAACAAUAAUAAUAAUUUUUUUAAAUUAAAAAAAUGUUAGGUGCUUCGAGACUCAUGCAUGGAGUUGCAAAAUUGGAGGUCAUAUUUGUUCAGGUUUUGAAUAGUUAAAGGUCCUAUUUGUGGACUAUCAAAGUUUAAGGUCAAAGUUAUAAUUUGGUGUCAAGUUUAGGUCAUUUUUAUAUAUUAACUUUUAAAAAUAUAUUAGAUAAUGAGUAUUGUAGCUACUAACUAGGACUAAACAAACACAAACAAAUAUAUUAUAUAUUCAUUAAUUUUUUAUCUGGACAAAUAUUAUUGAACAUCUAAUUUUAGUAAUAUGGAUAGAUAAAAUGAACGAAGAGAAUAAAAAUGACAAAACUUUUCCUUCUUUUAUUCCCCUCAAUUAAUUAAAAUUUGAAGAAAAAAUGACUUUUUGAAUUAUUACUUUUUGAAAAGCAGUCUAGUGCACUAAGCUCACGCUAUGCUCAAGGUUCAGAGAAAAAUCCGACUACAAGGAUCAUCUAUUAUAUGCAAUAUUACCUAAUAUUUCUACGAAGAAUUACUUUCAUGGCUUGAACCUAUGACCUCCUCGUCAUAUUUGCUCCAAGACUCUCCUUCACUUUUUGAUGUUUUUUAAAAAUAAUUUUUAACACUUGAAAUUGUGUUUAAACAUGUAUUUUACUUGAAAGCUUUUUGAUACUAUGUGAAUGAAAGUGAAAUUUCAUACAAAAACUGAUCUAUGUCAAUUUUCCAAACUUUAAAAAUAAAUUUUCAAAAAUUAACCAAAUUAAACAAAAAAUGUUUUGAUUUUUUUUGUGGGAAUAAUUAUUUGUGGGAGCCUAAAGGAAAGAAAGACAGAAACAAACAGUAAAAGAAAAACGUGUGCCAAAUAUCAAUGGGAAAAAAAAAUCUCCUGUCCUUAACUUGGAACCACACAUGAAUAUCGAACCACACACGUAUUUUUUUAUGCAAGUUAAUUAUGUAUGACUGGUUAUUAUUGACUCUCUAUUUUUUAUUUUUUGGGAACUAUAAAGAGUAACUCACAACUUUUGUAUCACUGCCUUUGUCCUUUGGGUGAGUAUUCUAUGUUGAGUCUUUUGUAGUAACUUGUUCAUUAUGCAAUAGUUCACAAACCACAAAACUGUAAAUCAAACUAGACAAGCUUUAUGUGACGAGCUCAUAAUUGAACGACAGAAGGAGGCUGAAUUCGAUACCAGGUUUCCCUCAUGAAAGACCCACCUCCUAACUCAACUAUGCCCGUAUAAGUUGAUACUGUUGUUUUUUUAAUUUAGUAAAAUCUAUAUUUUGCAACAAUAACUUUAAAUGCAUAUUCAAACUAAAGUAUGGACAAAUAAAUGAAUUUAUAACUCUAUAUUCACAACUUUGGAUUUUAACAAUAAGUUCAACCCAACUUAUGAACAACCAAAAUUGAAGUACAAAUUAUUUUUUGAAAAUAGCAAAAUCAAACGUUUUUAAAAAAGAUGAAGAUUGGAAGAUUCAAGUCCACCGAAUUCACGUUGUGUCCUUAAGGAAAUUACUCCCCUCAAGUACUCGAGGUUAUGGAAUAUAUCCUCGCAUUAUAAAAUGAAUCGUUUCGACAGAAUAGUGUUACCUAAAACUCCGUCGAACUACAAAUGCACUCAAUGAUAGCAAAUCACAGUAGAAUUUUCAAGAAAGAGGAGUGUUUUUACUUUAAAAUUUCAUGUAUGUACCAGAGAAAAAGAUCAGGUAUUUAUAACUAUCAAGAUGUUGCUUUAUGAAGAGAAAUAAUGGUUCAAAAAGAUGCACUUGUUCAUAAAGAUGCAACUCUUCGAAAAAGUCACUAACCAAUUGUAUAUUGUGUUUCAUAUCCUACCUAUCGCAGAUUGACUAUCAUAGUAUAUGCAUAUUGGUUCUAAAAGUUUGGGCCAACAAAAAAUAUCUUUCAAGAAAUUUCAAAGUCAUUCAACUUCUUCACUUUAUAUAACACAAUAAAUUUAGAUUCCAUUUGAUACUAAUAUUUUGUGUGAGAUGUCUUGUAAUCUGAAAUGUUCAAAUUCAAAAAUAUGAAAAACAUACAACUUAAAUUAAUUUUUCAAUUCAAUAUUUGAAUUUGACGUUGAGUGAUAUUGUAAUAAGCAAUAAUGAAACAUGAUUUUUUUAAUGUUAAUUGGGUAAUUUAACAAAUUAUAAAUUGUACUUAAUUUGUUAAAUUACAAAAAAAAUUGCUACUUUUUCAUCUCAAUUUAUGUGGUACAUAUAAAAUUUGAAAAGUCAAUAAUUUUUUUUAUAUUUUAAAAUAUUUUUCGUUAUUAGUUAUUGAUUUAUAGUACUUUUGCAGAAUUUUUUCAGAUACUCUAUGGUACUUUUUUUGUUCCAAUUUAUGUGACGCUGAUGAAAUAUUUGAGAAAGUCAAUCAAAUUUGUUAUAGAGUUUUAGAUAUUUUAAGUUAUUAAUUAUAUUAUGAUUUAUAUGACUUUCUAUGUAAUUUUCAAGUAAUAUCCUUCUAUCCCAAUUUAUAUCCAAUGAAUUAUUAAUUAUUAUAAUUUAUAAUUUUUUUUACAUAAUUUUCAAAUAUAUAACAAGUUUAAUGAAAUUAAUUAAUUAAAAUUUAGAAAAUCAAUUAUAUUUUAAAUAUAUUUUUAGGUUUUUAAAGUCGUUAGCUAUUGUAAUUUUAAUACUUUUUUGGCAUUUUAAUUUACUAUUUUAAGUUGUUAGCUAUUGUAAUUUAUUAUACUCUCAUUGUUCAAAUUUUUGUAUCAUUGAUAGUCAUUUAUAUUUUAAAAAUAAUUUAAGUUUUAUAUUAUUGUGAUUUAUAAUACUUUUUAUUCUAGUCCAAUUUAAGCGACACUGAUAUAAUUUCAAAAGUCAACCAAAUAUCGCGAUUGAAAUAGUGGAGCAAACAUGUCUUAAAUGAUUCAUAAUGACUAAUUAGAAGUGAUAUUGCAAAAUUGUUAUAAAAAAAUAUUUGUGAAAAAAAUAAUUUAACUAGGUCUCAUAUAAGAUGUCAAAUUAAUUUAAAACGUCAAGAGUUAAUUUAUCAUCUUAUAUCUAUUUUAUUUUUUUAUUAAAUAUUAUUAAUUUUUUAAUACAUACAUGACUUAAUUUAAGGGUGAUAUAGUAAAAUUACGAUUGAAACAGCUAAAACAGACAUGUCAUAAAUGUCUAUUUUAUUUUUUUAUUAAAUAUUAUUAAUUUUCUAAUAUGUAACUGACAUAUAAUAAUUAAUUAGGGAUGAUAUAGUAAAAUCAUGGAGCAAGCAAGCAUGACAACCAUCAGUUGACUACUACUCACGCUUAUAUAUAGUAGUAACUACAUGUCAACGGCUUGUGUAAAUAUAUGUUAUUUUUUUAACAUUAAAUAUUACUAUGAAAUUUUUAACACUUAGAUGAUUUAUAAUAAUUUUUUAUAUUAAUUUUUUAAUACUUAGGUGACUUAUAAUAAAUAAUUAGGGGUGAUAUAGUAAAAUUAUGAUUAAAGCAGUUGAAGCAGACAUGUUAUAAAUGUCUAUUUUAUUUUUUAGUUAAAUAUUAAUAAUUUUUUAAUAUAUAAGUGUCAUAUAAUAAUUAAUUAUGAUGAUAUAGUAAAAUGACAUAAUAAGCAAUUGAAAGGACGAUAAGCAGAAUGAGCGAAAACUGCUCACUCCCUCUUCUUAUAAUAUAACUAGUUUAAGUGUACGCGCCUCGCACAUGUACCUCACUUUAAUGAGUUUAAUUUUAUAAAAUCACUCGGAUAUAAGAAGCAUGAUAGCUAUCACUUAUCACAUAAUUAUUAUCAAUUUGAUCAUUGAUGCAAAUAAUAAGAAUAUGUGAGACAACGCUUACUUUACCAUCCAACAAACCUUCUACCCUAAUUUUAAUUCUCCACAACCUCCUAUCUAAGUUCAUUAUUUUCAAUAAGAUGAACUUGUGUCAUCUCCUUACCAUACAACAUAAUCAAUCCAAACAAAUUGUCACAAAUAUUAAACUGCAAGGCAUAUGAUCCUACUAUAAGCAAUGAUCUUUAUACACAAAAUUCAGCUAUUGUACUUAGUGACGGAAAACUACUUAGUCUUUCAUUUUCUGAUUUUGUUUAAGAAUGAUGUUUAUCUUGAAGUGUUAAAGGACAAUAAAUCUCUAACUACUAAAGGUCUUUAUGGAAGUGAAGUCAGAAUAUUGUGCAUCUAUGACGCACAAUAAAUUGAUCUUGAUAAGGUAAUUUUCUGUAAUGGGCGCUGCUUUGUGCUUGUAGGGUUGUGAUUUGUGUUAGCUCUACAGAGUUCUCUGAUUCUUUCCUUUUAAAACAUUAUGGUACAAAGCAAUUUGAAUCAUAAUUAUGGUACAAUCAUCUAUUUUUCUAUAUUUAAAAUCUUUUCUCAUUUUUAAAGUUAAAUCUUUAUAAAAUCAUUGAUUAUAUUCUUAUUACGUAAAAAUUUUAAAAAUUUGGUAUUUCUUAAUUUUUUCUUAUGUAAUGUAUUGAUAUUUAUUACUAAAUUUUUGGAAUCAUCUUACAAUCAAAUUUAAUUGAUUUGGAAUUGUUAAACUAAUGAAAAAAGUAUUAGUUGUUGUUAAACAGAAAUUACUAACAAAAAAAUAUGAUAAUCGAGAUAUUAGAACAAUACAAUUAAAACUCACAUUCAUACAAAAAUUCCUCAAAAUUCGUUCGAACACUCAUCUAGAACACAAACCUAAAAUUGAUAAAAUUAUUAUAGAAUGUAUCGAAAUAGUAGCUAUAAAAAUAUUUAUGCCACCAACACACCUAAAUAUAUAUAAGCAUAAAUUAAAUAAAAAAAAUUCAAAAAAAGUUGAUGAUAAACAUGAAAUAAUAGAACACUUUAUAGAAGUACAUGGCUUGAUCCUUUUUAUAUUGAUUGUAUUUGUUCCAUAUUUAUAUAUAAUUCAAAUACCAAGAGAAAACAAAUAGAAGCAAAAGGUCAAGUUCCAUUAGGAGUAUGCUAGAUUAGAGUAUUUCGAUAGAAUUUUUAUCUUUCUAUAUAUUUUAGGCAAAGUUUUUCCUUUUUUUUUCAACAUCACGUACUCAAAAACAAAUAUAUAUAUAUAUUUUAAGUCAACUGCACUUUCUUGGAUAAAUAGUGACUCACCAAAAAUAAAAAUAAAACCAACUUCUUUUAGGAAAAUAACUAAUAAGAAAAGAUUUAUCAUAAAUAUGUUUAAUUAAUUUUUAGUUUUUCAAUAUUAGAAAAAAAUAGUUAAAAGACGAUUUUAUCUAAAGUAAGAAUUUUUAAUGAAGGAUAAAAAGUUGAAUCAACAUUUAUAAGGCCCUUCACAUUUUUAAUAUAUUAUUAUUAUUAUAUUAUAGAUAAGAAAAUUUGUUUAAUUUUAAUUUAUAUAUGAUAAGAAAUUUAAGGAAAUAAAGUAGAUUUUUAAAUACGGUAGUCUUAUAUUAAAAAUACCUAUCAAAAUGUUAAUUUUAUGAUCUGAACCAAGCAGGUCACGAUGAAAAGUUAAAUUUAAAAAGUAAAAGAGCAAAUUUAAAAAAGGAGGGGUAAAUUUCGUGCUAUCCCGUAAACUGAGUAAAAACUCUCCUAUAAAUACCUCUAUGUCCCAAUGAAUCAAACACACCAACUUAGUUUCCUUAGUUUCAAGAUCUACAAAGCAAUUAGGAAAUUUAUCCAAAGAAAGACACUAUGGAGAAGUUAGCUCAUUUUGUUGCUUUCUUGCUUCUUGCAUCACGUUAGUCGUCCUCACUUCCCUCUCUCAAUAUUAGUUCCAACAUUUAAUUUUGUACUUUUAUAAGGUGUGUUAGUUCGUUAAGCCGAGGAUUUAUUGUUCAUUGAAAUUAAGCAACAUUUUCAAUUCUCCAUAUAUUCAUGUUGUUUGUUCUUAGCAAGCUUCGGAGAAAAUAGCCCUACAGCCAGCUUCAUGGUUGCCAUUUGACUUUUUAUUAUAUUGCUUUUAAUAAUCAAUUAUUUUUUAAUUUUUUUGAGCCGAUCGAUCGAUGAUGAUUCUGUAUAAAGAUGGUAUACAUCCUAUUCUUGAUUUGUGGACUACACUUGAUUGUUGUUGUGAUUGUUGUUUUGUACACUUUUUUUACAGUGGAUCCCUUUUUUAAAUUUAUUUCUAUUUAUUCAUAUAAACUUAAUGUCAGUUUUUUUUUUAAUGAACAGUCUUCCAACCUCUCACUGCUCGAGAAUUGGAAAUUGAUGUCCUCCAACUUGACGUUUCUCAGUCUAGUUGUCCAGGUUUGGUUUUUACUAUUUCAUCUUUCUCUCUUUAUUAAUUAAUCCCUUCGUCUGAGAUAAUCUAUUGUGAUUUCUAUAAAUAGUUAUCUCAAAUUAUAUUUAUUUUUUAAAAUAUAAGGAGAAACACAACAGAUAAUUUGAGACAGAGUGCUAUCUUAUAAAUAAUUAUGCAUAUUGGUCUAUAAUUUCUUUUAUUUUUUUUUAAUCAUCAUGAAUCUCUCUUUCUAAUUAAUUGCUCUAUGUAUACUAUAGGAGUGAAAAAGGACACAUGGCCAGAACUUCUUGGGGUACCAUCUGCGUUUGCAAGACGAACAAUUAAGCAGGAAAAUCCAAAGCUAACAAAUGUUCCAAGUGUACUGAAUGGUUCUCCAGUUACAGCAGAUUUUAGAUGUGAUCGAGUUCGUCUUUUUGUUAAUGUCUUAGGUUUUAUUGUACAAACUCCCCGGGUUGGUUGAGGAAGUUAGAAAAUUUAUUCGCAUCGAGUGUUGUAAGUAUAUCUACUAGGUAGCCCCAAGAAAAAUAAUUGGAGCAGUAUGGACAUUGUAUCCAUGUAUUCCAAUGCUAUUUGGAGUGAUAAAUAAGUGUGGCUUUUAAUGUUUAUUAUCACCUGGCCACUCCGUUUAUGAUUGUUAAUUAAUUACUACAGUCCUUUUUAUUUUAUUUUAAUUUAAUCGCUCUAAUUUUUAUAAAUUUCUAUUUUAUAUAUUAAAAGCAUAGGUUUUAUGUUUUUUUUUUCUCUUUUGGGUCGCUGAAAGACAUAUACAACAAUAACAUAUCCAGUGUAAUCUUUGAAAGACAUAUGCGCGGAAAAUAUCCAGCUAAAUAUGUUUGUUGAAAUCAUCAAAAAAUAUUAUGACACUCAUCGAAUUAAAAAUCAAUUAUAGAGAUUAUAAGACAUAUUUAAUAACAUUUUCAAAGAAUCUCAAGGACAUAAUAACAAUAAUUUACAGAUUUCAUAAUUCCCAAAAUGGAUUGAAAGAAAGCAAAGUAGGAAAGAGGAAUCAUCCAAAUUUUCCAUAAAGACUUGGCAUGAUUUGAGAUAAUUUGAUAGUUUAGCUCAAUCAUGUAGAAGGCAUGCAGAAAAUGUGGAAAGGGGAGGAGAGAAAUUUAAAGAAGGAAUAAAGAAAAGUGUCUUUGAUAUUUUUCAUAAAAAAAAAAAUUAGUACAUAAGCUGGCUAUUGUAACAACUAAAUGCACAUAAAGCAAACACGUGGACAUACACUAGAAGGAAUUACAAAAGGAUAGUACACCAACCAAGUAUAAUAGGAACCUUAUUAAUGUUAUUUUUGUUUUUCGUGUGGGUAGAUGAAAGAAAUGAAAAUUGAUUAAUUCUUAUGAAAAAAGAUUGCAAUAGUGGACAUCAACGAGCCUUUAAUUUUCCUAUCUGCUUUUAUAGGAAAUUUUCAACUCUUCAUAACACAUGCCAAAUUUUGUCACUCCGACAAAAUUUAUAAAUAUUUUAACAAGAUAAGAGAAUAAAGAUUACAAUAAAAUUAUUACUCGUACCAAACAAUUACAUAUAUAAGACAUAUUAACACAAGCAAAUUUUGUUAAUUUGAUAAGGUUUCUGGAAAUAGCAACGUAAAGAAAAAAAAUUAUUAAAUUGAUUAGUCGCUAUCAACUAAUUGUGAAUAAUUGAACACCACUUGAAUUAUAUUAUUUACCAAAAUAUGACUUGCAGACAUAGCUAGUGGACAGAGAAAAUCUGCCAAUUGAAAGAUAUGUGACAAUCUCGUCCCUCUGAACUUGAAAAUGACAAGUAGAACCUAAUAUGGCUUUUUAAAGAUGUUAAAAAUAAUUUCUGAAAUUUAAAGUUAUAUUUGAAUAUGUAUUUUAUUUGAAAAAUUUUAAUAUAAUGUGAGCGAAACUGAAAUUUCAAAUAAAAACUGGUCUAGAUCAAUUUUUGAAACUUAAAAAUAAAUUUUUAAAAAUUAAUCAAAUUAAACAAAUAGUGCUUUCAAUCUUCCUUUUUUUUUUUAUAUAUAUAUAUAUAUACAAAUAAAUCAAAUCCUAAAAUUUAUGGUCCAAUGAUAGCUAGAUCACAUCCACAAUAAUAGGAAAAAGUAAUUGUGGGAACUUAAAAGGAAAAAAGACAGUGACAAAUAGUAAAACAGAAAGUGGCCAAAAUAUCAGUGACCAAGGAAAAAAAAAAAAAACACUCUCUUCUGUCCUUAACUUGGAACCACAAAUGAAUAUGGUACAACACAACAUUACUUUUUUUUUAUGCAAGUUAAUUAUGUAUUAUAGUUUAAUAAUGACUGUCUAUUUUCUUUAACACCAGAGAAAUUCAUAAUUACUAUCACAGUUUAAGUACUAUCAUUCAUUAUAAUAGCUCGCAAAUCACACACGAGAUAUAAACUACACUAAGUAAACCCAAGACAAACGAGGGUUGGAUUCGAUUCUAGGUAUCCCAUGUGGGAGACACACCUCUUAACCGCUCAACUAUGCCCUUGCGGGUUUGAUAAUAUCCCAAGUCUAUUUCUAACAUCAUACAUCUUUGUAGUUAGGACAUGUGGACAUUGGAUAGUUGAUACUUGAUACGAUAGAGUUUAAAUUGCUCGCUAUCAAUGGCGACCUCAUAAUCACAAAUCAAAAUGAAAAUCUCUGAGUAAAGAUAGAGGAAUAGUUACAACUUCAACACAAACCUUUGACAAUCAAUUGCUACAUACCAGUACUACAUUGGUUAUUUAGUAUGGACUUUAAUUAUGUCUUCAAGAUUUACAACAAAUUUGAUUUGGCAACUUAAUAAUUAUGGUUGUCUUACAUUCAUAGUUGAUCUUUAGAUUGAUAGAAUAUAUUUGCAAAAUGAAAACUUUUAGUAGGUUAUAUCGUUAGAAAUAUAUGAAAUAUAUAACUGAUUAACAUAUUCUAUAACAAAAGUAUUUUAAUUUCUACGUCGAAUAAUAGGACCUAAUAUGACUUUUUAAAAGUUGCUAAAAAAUAAUUUUUGAAAUUUAAAACUAUGUUUGAAUAUGUAUUUUAUUUGAAAAUUUUAAUAUUACGUGAGUGGAAGUAAAAUUUCAAAUAAAAACUGAUCUAGUUCAGUUUUUGAAACUUAAAAAUAAUUUUUUAAAAAUUGACCAAAUUAAACAAACAGUGUUUUCAAUCUUUUAAAAAAAAAAUAAAAAAAAUCAACUCCUAAAUGUCCAAUGCUAGCUAGAUCACAAUCACAUCCACAAUAACAGGAAUAAUUAUUUGUGUGGAUAAUACUAAAAAAAAAAAUACCUCAACUUUGACAGAAUUUUCAGUUGAGCAUACUGAACUUUGUGGGGGUCCUAUUACCCCUUAGAUUUUUUAAAGUGGAUUUAAUUCCCCCUCCCUCCCCCGAAACUCUAUACCCAGUUUCGGCAGCUGGCGGUGUAAUACACAUGUCAAUCUCAUUUUUACACGUGUAUUUUUGGCAGAUGGUGAUGUAAUACACACGCCAACUUCAUAUUUAUACGUGUCCAAGUGAGCAAAUAUAUGUCAUUAAAAUACGAAAAAAAAUCUAGGGGGUAAUAGGAUCCCCGCAAUGUUCAGUAUGCUCAACUGAAAAUCCGGUCAAAGUUCAGAUAUUUUUGUGAGUAUUAUCCCUUAUUUGUGGGAGCUUAAAGGAAAAAAGACAGUGACAAACAAUAAAAACUUACACGCACCCGAUGUAUACACCAAACUAAUGUGUUUUACCAUGGUUAUGUAAUUAAAUUAAGUAAAAUAAAUAUUGAUUAAUUAUGGUUAAGUAACAUGAUCUUUAAAUUCAAACACAUGACAUGCAUGUAUUGGCCAGGUGCGUGUAAGUUUUUUCCGGGAUAAAGAGUGUGUUUGAUAAUGUUUUUCAUGGAAAAUAUUUUCCUAAAAAACAUUUUUAUGGAAAAGAAGUUGGUUUUUUACUUAUUUCUUAUGUUUGGUUGGUAAAUGAAAAUUACUUAUCGAAAAAUAUUUUCUACUAUUUGGUUGGUGAAUGAAAAAAUUAUUUUUGAAAAAAUAUAUUUUAGUGUUUAGUUAGAGAGUACAAAAUAUUUUUUAUAAAUAUAACUUUUAACCUCGAAAAAUAUAUUUUUUUAGGGUUUGUUCAAUAUGGAGGAAGAAAAUAUUUUCUUGAAAAAUGAGUUGUUUCUUAUUUAUAUUCUUGUAUUCGUUAUGCAAGGAGGAAAAUAUUUUCUAAAAAUAUUUGUAUAUAUUUAAAAAAACACAAUAAAAACGAAUAAGGUAAGAAGGGUGGGAUACGAUAAAAGUUUUUACACUUUUCUUAAGAAAUAAAUUUAAAAAAUUUAAUUUUUUUUGGGAAAGGAGCUCGUGUGUGUGUUGGGAGGAAGGGGGAUUGGUGGUAGGAGUGGGGUAAGAAAAAAAUUAAAUUUUUUCUUUUUUUAUGGGUGGUGGGGAAAUGGUUUGACUGGAGAGGAAAAAAAUUAAAAUAUUAUUAAAAAAUUAAAAAUAUGUUUUUUGGAUGGGGGCGGUGGGGAUUAGAUGUUGGGGUAAGAGUGGGUAAUUUUGAGAGUUGUAUGAACAUUCAACUUGAGAGUAAGGUUGAAAGAAAGUUUAAAAAAAUAUUUUUCAUGUUGUUUUAAGGAAAGUCAUUUUCCUUCGAUUUCAACAACAAACCCAGUGUGUUCCCACAAAGUGAGGUCUGGGAAGGGUAGGAUGUACGCAGUCCAUAUCGCUACCUCCGAAGAAGUAGAAAGAUUGUUUCCGAUAUUUUCCUUCGAUUUGAGAAAAAUAAAUUGAUUUGGAAAAAAAUAUUUUUCUUCGUAACAAACACACUCAAAUAGUAAAAGAAAAAAAUUGCUCAAAAUAUCAACGACCAAGAAAAAAAAUAAAAAUUCCUGUCCUUAACUUGGAACCCACAAAUGAAUAUGGUACAAUACUCUUUAUUUUUGUAUGCAAGUUAAUUAGGUAUUAUUGUCUAUUAAUGAUUGUAUAUUUAUUUUAAACUCCAUAGAAAUUUAUAAUUACAGCUACAGUUUUUAUCCUUCGCUGAGCAUUUUGUGAUAAUAUAUUAUAUAAUAAUUCACAAAUCACAUAGAAAAUAUAAACCACACUAAAAAAAAGGCCUCAUGCGCCGAAAAAAAAAUUCUUAACAAAAUUUAAAAAUAAAGAUUAUACCAAAAUUAUAACUCGCAACAAGCAAUUUCCUAUAUACUCCAUAUGACACAUUGACACAAGUAAAUUUUGUCAACUUAAUAAGAUUUGUGAAAAAAUUAACACCUUAAAAGAAUAAAUAUUUUAUUAAAAUAAUAAAUUGUUGCUAUUAACAAACUUCCAUUCAAAGUUUAUAAUGCUUCUCCUCGUGACCUCUUAAGCACCUAAAAUGCGUCAUAUUUUCGUACUUCAAAAUGAGUUGUGAAUAGCUGAAUACAUACAAAUUAUACCAUAUGCCAAGUAUCAAUCAUAGCUAGUGGACAAUCUGGUCCCUCUGGCCUGAAAAAUGACACAUGACCUGCUUUUCUUGGUGCAUCUUUAUUCGUUCACUAGUAGUUUAGUAUAUAAUUAAAAUAAAUAAUAAAUAAAAGAAAUAUUUAUUAUAUCAUUCUUUAAAUACACAGAAAUUCACUCCUUUGAAAUAUAUUAGAUAUUGAUUACAGCUACUAACUAAAGGUAAACGUAACAUUUUUAUAAGAAACUGAUUUCAUGGCUUGAAUCUAUGACCUCGUGGUCACAUGUUGUUACUCUAAGACUCUCCUCCACUUUUUGAUGUUUUUUAAAAAAUAAUUUUUAUUACUUAGAAAAUUAUGUUUAAACAUGUAUUUUACUUGAAAUUUUUUUGAUAUUAUGUGAGUGAAAGUGAAAUUUCAUAAAAAAACUGAUCUAUAUCAAUUUUUUGAAACUUUAAAAAUAAUUUUUUAAAACUAAUCAAAUUAAACAAAAACUGUUUUGAGUUUUUUGUGGGAAUAUUUAUUUGUGGGGGCCUAAAGGAAAGAAAGAGAGAAAUAUAGUAAAAGAAAAAUGUGUGCAAAAUAUCAAUGGAAGAAAAAUAUCUCAUGUCUUUGACUUGGAACCACACAUGAAUAUCGAACAAUAAUACACGUAUUUUUUAUGCAAGUUGAUUAUGUAUGAUGAUAUAAAUUAAGUAAAUGUAACCAAAUUAAUACAUAAAAUAAACGAAGAAAGUUGUUUUAGUAGAUAUCUUUUUUGUACUCUUUCUCAUUAUAGAGAGGGCUAUUUAUAGUCAAAAUGAAGAGGACAAUUAUAUUAAAAUAAAAGGAAGUGAGAGAUGACUCACUCCAUUAAAAUAGUGGAUACAUGAAUAUCUAGUCAUGUUCCAUAACACUCCCUCUUAAAUGUUCAUGUAAAAAAAAAUCUACUGAAUACGCAUUUCAGUGUUGUCUUAUUAAAAAUCUUACCAAGAAAAAUUUAGUGGGAUAAAAACUUUGGUAAGAAAAAAAGAUUACAGCGUGUAUUCUUACUCCCCCUGAUGAAGACCUCGAUUCAAUCGGUUUAAUCUUCGCAUCCCAAUCAUGUAUACCAUCUUCUCAAAGGUUGAAGAUGGUAAAGAUUUGGUGAAUUUGUCACAAGAACGGAUAUGCUGCACACCAAUAUCACCAUUCUUUUGAAGGUCGUGCGUGAAAAAUAACUUUGGCAAAAUGUGCUUCGUUAUAUUUCGCUUUAUAAAGCCCCCUUUUAGUUGAUCUAUGCAUGCUGCAUUAUCUUUAAAGAUGACUGUAGGUAUCUUGAUAUCUAGCUUCAGGCCACAUCUUUCUUUUAUGGAAUGUAAUACUGAUCUCAGCCAUAUGCAUUCUCUACUUGCUUCAUGGAUUGCUAUUAUCUCCGCAUGAUUAGAAGAAGUAGCAACGAUGGGCUGCGUUGUCGAUCGUUAUGAUAUUACAAUACCUCCAUAUGUAAAUACAUAGCCUGUUUGGGACCGUGCUUUAUGUGGGUUAGAUAAAUAACCUGCAUCUGCAUAACCAACAAGAUUUGGACUAGCUUUGUUAGUAUAAAAUAGAACCAUAUCAACAGUCCCUUUUAGGUACCUCAGUAUAUGCUUUACUCCGUUCUAGUGUCUUCGCGUAAGGGAAGAACUAUACCUCGCUAGCAAAUUAACAGAAAAUGCUAUAUCCGUCCUUGUAGCAUUAGCGAGGUAUAUUAGUGCACCAAUAGCACCAAGAUAUGGUACUUCGGGACCAAGAAUCUCUUCACCCUCUUCCACAGGUCGGAAUGGAUCUUUACUUACAUCAAGUGAUCGAACAACCAUUGGAGUACUUAAUGAAUAUGCUUUGUCCAUGUAAAAAUAUUUCAAAACCUUCUGGGUAUAUGCAGUUUGGUGGAUGAAGAUUCCGUCUGCUAAAUGUUCAAUUUGCAGAUCAAGACAAAGUUUUGUCUUUCCAAGAUCUUUCAUUUCGAAUUCUUUCUUUAGUUAUUCGAUUGCCUUUUGGACCUUUUCUGGAGUUCCGAUGAGAUUUAUAUCAUCCACAUAAACAGCGAGUAGGAUAAACCCCGACGUCGUUUUCUUAAUAAAAAUACAAGGACAAAUAACAUCAUUUAUGUAUCCUUCGUUUUUCAAGUACUCACUCAGGCGAUUCUACCACAUCUACCCUGAUUGUUUUAGACCAUACAAUGAUCUUUGUAAUCUGAUUGAAUAUAAUUUCUGAGAUUUUGAACUACAUGCUUCAAGUAAUUUUAAUCCUUCUGAAAUUUUCAUGUAAAUAUCAUUAUCAAGUGAACGAUAGAGAUAAGUUGUAACCACAUCUAUUAAAUGAAUUUCAAGAUUUUCAUGUACAGCUAGACCGAUGAGGUAUCGAAAUAUUAUUGCAUCCAUUACAAGUGAAUAUAUUUCUUCAUAGUCAAUACCUGGUCUUUGAGAGAAACCUUAUGUAACAAGGCGUGCCUUGUAUCUUACAAUUUCAUUUUUCUCAUUUCUUUUACGUAUGAAAACCCAUUAAUAGUCAACUGGCUUUACACCAUUUGGGGUUUGGACUAUAGGUCCAAAAACCUCCCGUUUAGCAAGUGAGUUCAAUUCAAAUUGAAUCGCUUCUUGCCAUUUUGGCCAAUCUUUUUUUGGUCGAGAUUCUUCGACAGAUAGAGGUUCAAGGUCCUCAUUGUCUUGCAUGGUGUUUAGUGCAACAUUGUAUGCAAAAGCAUCAUCCACCAUAAUUUUUGAUCGAUCUAAAUUUACCUCAUCAUUAGUAGAACUUAUAGAAAGUUCUUCAUUCACUUGAGUCUCGAGUUUACUGAUUUCUUCAGGAAUAUGAGGAUUAAUCAGAUUUGGAGUUUCUUCAGGAGAAUCUUUUAUAAUACCAUCUUUAUUAUUUUUCGCGCUUCCUUUUCUAGAAUUUUAUCCUUUGAACCCAAUGGUCUGCCAUGCUUCAAGCGUGCUUGGGAUUCAGAAGCUAUGACAUUAGAAGAUGGUUCUUUUGGAACUUCAAUUUGGACAGGCAGAUUCACUGCAGGGAUAUGUGACUUGGUUAUCCUUUUCAAAUCAGUAAAUGCAUUUGGCAUUUGAUUUACUAAUUUCUGUAAGUAAAUGAUCUUCCGGAUCUCAUUUUCACAUAUGGGGGUAUGUGGAUCAAAAUGAGAUAAUGAUGAAACUUUCCACGCAAUUUCUCUUUUAAGUUCACGCUUUUCUCCCCCUAAUUGCGGAAAAUUUAUUUUAUCAAAUCGACAAUCUGUAAAUCGAGCAGUAAAUAAAUAUCCCGCCAAUGGUUCAAGGUAGCGAAUUAUAAAGGGUAACUCAAACCCCACAUAUAUUUCUAACCUUCUCUGGGGGCCCAUCUUAGUAUGCUGAGGUGGUGCAAUUGGCGCAUAUACAACACAUCUAAAAAUUCGUAGAUGAAAAAUAUUUGGCUCAUGGCCCAGAACCAAUUGAAACGGGGAGUAUUUAUUAUAAUAAGUUGGCCUGAGACGAACAAGUGAUGUUGCUUGUAAGAUAGCAUGACCCCAAAAAGUAGUAAGCAAUUUUGUUUUCAUAAGCAGUGGUCUUGCUAUCAAUUGUAGGCGCUUAAUAAAUGAUUCAGCAAGGCCAUUUUGAGUAUGAACAUGAGCAACGGGAUGUUCAACUUUUAUCCCAUCUGACAUACAAUAAUCAUCAAAAGUUUGGGAUGUAAAUUCUCCAGCAUUAUCGAGGCGAAUAACCUUAAUAGGAUAAUCUAGGAAUUGCGCCCUUAAUCAUAUUAUUUGUGCCAAUAAUUUCGCAAAUGCCAGGUUGCGAGAUGACAAGAGGCACACAUGCGAUCAUCUUGAAGAUGUGUCUAUUAGGACCAUAAAAUAUCUAAAUAUCCCACUAGGUGGGUGAAUAGUCCCACAUAUAUUUUCAUGUAUAUGUUCUAGAAACUGAGGAGAUUCGACACUAACUUUCAGUGGUGAUGGCCUUGUUACCAGUUUGCCUUGAUAACAAGCAGCACAUGAAAAUUCAUCUGGUCUUCAGUUUCUUUAACGGAUGCCCUUUUGAAUUUUCAAUAAUUUGUCUCAUCAUUAUUGAGCCAGGAUGACCUAUUCGAUAUGCCAGAGCACAAUUAUAUUUAUAUCAGUAAACUUCUGGUUUACGAUAGAGUGUGCUUCAAUUGUAUUAAUUUCGGCAUAGUAUAAGUCGGAAGACAAAACUGGUAAUUUCUCUAACAUUUGUUUUUGACCUCAGACAUUCUUGGUCAAAAACCUUAUUAAUGUUAUUUUUGUUUUUCGUGUGCGUAGAUGAAAGAAAUGAAAAUUGAUUAAUUCUUAUGAAAAAAGAUUGCAAUAUUGGACAUCAACGAGCCUUUAAUUUUCUUAUUUGCUUUUAUAGGAAAUUUUCAACUCUUCGUAACACAUGCCAAAUUUUGUCACUCCAACAAAAUUUAUAAAUAUUUUAACAAGAUAAGAGAAUAAAGAUUACACUAAAAUUAUUACGCAUACCAAACAAUUACAUAUAUAAGACAUUAACACAAGCAAAUUUUGUUAAUUUGAUAAGGUUUCUGGAAAUAGCAACGUAAAAAAAAAAAUUAUUAAAGUGAAUAGUCGCUAUCAACUUGUGAAUAAUUGAACACCACUUAAAUUAUAUUAUUUACCAAAAUAUGACUUGCAGACAUAGCUAGUGAACUGAGAAAAUCUGCCAAUUGAAAGAUAUGUGACAAUCUGGUCCCUCUGGCCUUGAAAAUGACAAAUAGAACCUAAUAUGGCUUUUUAAAAAUGUUAAAAAAUAAUUUUUGAAAUUUAAAGUUAUGUUUGAAUAUAUAUUUUAUUUGAAAAUUUUUAAUAUUAUGCGAGUGAAACUGAAAUUUCAAAUAAAAAUUGGUCUAGAUCAAUUUUUGAAUACAUUUUUAAAAAUUAAUCAAAUUAAACAAAUAGUGCUUUCAAUCUUCCUUUAUAUAUAUAUUUUUUUAAAAUCAACUCCUACAUAUAUAUUGGUAGCUAGAUCACAUCCACAAUAAUAGGAAUAAUUAUUUUAUAUAUAUAUAUAUAUAUUGUUAGCUAGAUCACAUCCACAAUAAUAGGAAUAAUUAUUUGUGGGAACUUAAAGGAAAAAAGACAGUGACAAAUAGUAAAACAGAAAGUGGCCAAAAUAUCAGUGUCCAAAAAAAACACUUUCUUCUGUCCUUAACUUGGAACCACAAAUGAAUAUGGUACAACACAACAGUACUUUUUUUUUAUACAAGUUAAUUAUGUAUUAUAGUUUAUUAAUGACUGUCUAUUUUCUUUAACCCCAGAGAAAUUUAUAAUUACUAUCAUAGUCUAAUUACUGUCACUCAUUAUAUGAUGACCUGCAAAUCACACCAGAGAUGUAAACUACACUGGGUAAAUCCCCAGACAGACAGGGGUUGGAUUCGAUCCUGGCUCUCCCAUGUGGGGGACACGCCUCUUAACCGCUCAAUUAUGCCCUUGCGGGUUGAUACUGUCCCAAGUGUAUUUCUAUCAUCGUACAUCUUUGUAGUUAGGACAUGUGGACAUUGGACAGUUGAUACGAUAGAGUUUAAAUUGCUCGCUAUCAAUGGUGACCUCAUAAUCACAAAUCAAAAUCAAAAUCUCUGAUUAAAGAUAGAGGAAUACUUACAACUUCAACACAAACCCUUUGAUAGUCAAUUACUACAUACCAGUACUACAUUGGUUAUUUAGUAUGGACUUUAAUUAUGUCUUCAAGAUUUACAACAAAUUUGAUUUGGCAACUUAAUAAUUAUGGUUGUCUUACAUUCAUAGUUGAUCUUUAGAUUGAUAGAAUAUAUUUGCAAAAUGAAAACUUUUAGUAGGUUAUAUCGCUAGAAAUAUAUGAAAUAUAUAACUGAUUAACAUAUUCUAUCACAAAAAUAUUUUAAUUUCUACGUCGAAUAAUAGGACCUAAUAUGACUUUUUAGAAGUUGUUAUAAAAUAAUUUUUGAAAUUUAAAACUAUGUUUGAAUAUGUAUUUUAUUUGAAAAUUUUAGUAUUAUGUGAAUGGAAGUGAAAUUUCAAAUAAAAACUGAUCUAGGUCAGUUUUUAAAACUUAAAAAUAUUUUUGUAAAAAUUGAUAAACGAACAGUGUUUUCCAUCUUUUUUUUUUUAUAUUUUUUUUAAAAUCAACUCCUACAUGUCCAUUGCUAGCUAGAUCACAUCCACAAUAAUAGGAAUAAUUAUUUGUGGGGAUAAUACUAAAAAAAAAUACCUGAACUUUGACAGAAUUUUCAGUUGAGCAUACUGACUUUUGCGGGGAUUGAUGGUUUUUUUUGGGUGGUGGUGGUGGUGGUGGUGGUGGUGGGGGGGGGAGACUGGUAGGAGGGGGGGGGGCGAGGAAGGGAUGAAUAAGAAAAAAGGUUGAUUUUUUUAAAAAAAAAGUGGGGGGGGGGGGGGACGGGUGGGGGUGGGGGGGUCGAGUAAGGGAUGAAUAAGAAAAAAGUUUGAUUUUUUUUUUAAAAUUAAAUAAUUGUUUUAGAGGGGAGCUUGUAGGGGGUCAGGUAGGGGAUGUGAUACAAAAAAAAAUUAAAAUAUUUUUAAAAAAUUAAAUAUGUUUUUUGGAUGGGGACGGUGGAGAUUGGAUGUUGGGGUAGGGGUGGGUAAUUUUGUAAGUUGUAUGAACGGAUAAUACCCACGUAAAUACAUAAACUUUGACCAACUACAACUUCAAUUAUCAAUCAGAUUAAGUAACAACAGAUUACGAAUCUAAUGUAAAUUAUCAAACAGAUUAAGUCAUCUGUUGUAAAUUAUCAUAUGGAUUGUCAUAUGUCGCAACAGAUUACCCAUAUGUUGUAAAUUAUCAAAUAGGUGCUGCCAUCUGUUGUGGCUGACCCUAUGAGAACUCACCCCUAGUCCUAUAUUAAUCGAUACUUUACCCUAUGAGAACUCACCCCUAGUCCCAGAUUAUUCAAUCAAGAUAUUAGUACCUUAGUCCUAGAUUAAUCAAUUAAGGUAUUAGUCUAACAUAUGAGGUAGUAAGAAUCGGUUCAGCUUAGAUUUAUCGAUCGACGACUCUGGUCGGGAGGAACGCAGUACCGUCUCAUCAUGUAAUUGCCAAAAGACUCAAUUGAAGUUGUAGUUGACCCUAUGAGAACUCAUAUUUGAUUAAGGUAUUAGUCUAACAUAUGAACUCAAUUGAAUUAUAUACAAGCAAAUGUUCAACCUGUUGCAACAGAUGUAUUUUCUGUUGGAUCAAAUCAAACAGAUUAUGUUAUCUGUUGCAACAUAUUACGCAUCUGUUGUAAACUAUCAAAUAGAUUACGUAAUUUGUUUCGAUAGAUCACGAAUCUAUUGUAAACUAUCAAAUAGAUUAAGUCAUCUGUUGUGACAGAUUACCCAUUUGUUGUAAAUUAUCAAAUGGAUUAAGUCAUAUGUUGCAAUAGAUUACCCAUCUGUUGUAAAUUAUCAAAUGGCGCUGUCAUCUAGUGUAGUUGACAUUAUGAGAACUCACCCCUAGUCCUAGAUUAAUCAAUUAAGGUAUUAGUUAAACAUAUGAGGUAGUAAGAGUCCGUUCGGCUUAGAGUGAUCGAUCGACGACUCUGGUCGGGAGGAACGCAGUACCGUCUCAUCAUGCAAUUGACAAAAGACUUAAUUGAAGUUGUGGUUGACCCUAUGAGAACUCACAUUCGAUUAAGUUAUUAGUCUAACAUAUGAACUCAAUUGAAUUAUAUAUAAGCAAAUGUUCAACCUAUUGCAAUAGAUGUAUUUUCUGUUGGAUCAAAUCAAACAGAUUAUGUUAUUCGUUGCAACAUAUUACAUUAUUUGUUGCGACAGAUCACAAAUCUGUUUUAAACUAUCAAACAGAUUAAGUCAUCUGUUGCGACAGAUUACCCAUCUGUUGUAAAUUAUCAAAUGGAUUAAGUCAUAUCUUGCAAUAUAUUACCCAUCUGUUGUAAAUUAUCAAAUAGGCGCUAUCAUCUAUUGUGGUUGACAUUAUAGGAACUCACCCCUAGCCCUAGAUUAAUCAAUUAAGGUAUUAGUUGAACAUAUGAGGUAGUAAGAAUCGGUUCGGCUCAGAGUGAUCGAUCGAAGACUCUUAUCGGGGGGAACGCAGUACCGUCUCAUCAUGAAAUUGACAAAAGACUCAAUUGAAGUUGUGGUUGACCCUAUGAGAACUCACCCCUAGUCCUAAAUUAUUCAAUUAGGGUUUUAGUACCUUAGUCCUAGAUUAAUCAAUUAAGGUAUUAGUCUAACAUAUGAGGUAGUAAAAAUCGGUUCGACUCAGAGUUAUCGAUCAACGACUCUAGUCGGGAGAAAUGCAGUACCGUCUCAUCAUGCAAUUGCCAAAAUACUCAAUUGAAGUUGUAGUUGACCCUAUGAGAACUCACCCCUAGUCCCAGAUUAUUCAAUUAAGGUAUUAGUACCCUAAUCCUAGAUUAAUCAAUGAAGGUAUUAGUCUAACAUAUGAGAGGUAUUAAGAAUCGGCUCAGCUCAGAGUGAUCGAUCGACGACUCUGGUCGGGAGAAAUGCAAUACCGUCUCAUCAUGCAAUUGCCAAAAGACUCAAUUAAAGUUGUAUUUGACCCUAUGAGAACUCACAUUCAAUUAAGGUAUUAGUCUAACAUAUGAACUCAAUUGAAAUUAUAUAUAAAAAAAAUUUCAACAUGUUGCAACGGAUGUCUUUUCUGUUGGAUCAAAUCAAACUGAUUAGGUAAUCUGUUGUAACAUAUUAUGCAUCUGUUUUAAAAUAUCAAAUAGAUUACGUCAUUUGUUGCGACAGAUCACGAAUCUGUAGUAAACUAUCAAACAGAUUAAGUCAUCUGUUGCACUUAAAUGUUUUUAGAUUUUUUUUUAUAAUGAAAUUUAGGUAUUUUCUGUCCGAUAUAAAAUAGUUAAAAUACCAAGGCGGUAAAAAAUAUUACUCAAAAGUCUCCUGAGUGAGUAGUCUUAUCUGGUCUUUUAAAUGUCACCGUCUCCUUGUGCCCCUCAAAAGUUAUUAAUGAAUAUUUAAAACCCCCCAUCUAGAACCUCUCUCUCCUUCAACCAUAAAGUAGUCUAGACUCUACUCAUCACUCUUCUUUAUUCUUUAUUCUCAAUUAUUUUUGUUGUUUCCUUUUUUACUCUUUUUUUUUUGAAUGAGGAUCCUUUAGGAUCUCAACCAAUCAAUAUCUUUUCUCAACUGAACUGGAUGUUCUAAUCCGUUUACUUUUUUGACAUUGUAGGUAUGGUUCACUGUUGCUCUUUUCAUCUCGUCUUCUUCUUUGUAUGUCAUUUAAAUUAGAUAUUUACAUCUGUUUCUAUUAAUGAUUUACCCAUUACUAGUUUCCUAUUUAUUGAGAAAAUUUAAGAAAAGGUGACUUUUAAGUCUUGAAUGAAUGAACCGUUGUUUUAAUUAAAAUAUGCAAAAAAAAAGUCAUCUAUUGAGGGAACUUAAAAAGCCUUGUUAUCAGUAUAGUUUUUUUAUGUUUUUUGUUUGGUACUUUGGUGUUGUUGUUGUUGGGGGUGGUGGUUGUGUUGGAACAUGUGAUGUUUGUGUUGUGAAUGGUGUUGGAACAUAUGGUGUUUUUUUUAUUUCUUUAUUGUUGAUGCUGUUGGUGGUGGUGUUGCAACAGUUUCCUUAACUGUUGUAACUGAUGAAUCAGGUUUUGGAACAGACGAAGCAACUGUUUGAAGAAAUCAAACUAGUAGUAAGGCUGGUUUGAUUUAUUCCAACAGAUGACCUAUCUGUUGCAACAUGUCAUCCAUCCUUUGCAAACGAUGCCUCAUCGGUUGGACAGAUAGAUAAUCUGUUACAUCAUAUUGGUCAUCUGUUGAUUCACUCAAUUUUGUGUUACCCUUUUGUAAUGUUCUUUUUGUUCUCUUGUUUGACAUCAAAUAUAUAUCUCUUGUUUGUAAAGAUGGGUUCGGAGGAAUAAGAUGCUUACAGAUGAAACCAUUUCAUAUGUGGGAGGUAUGUAUUACUGAUCAACCUAUCAUGAAAACACACAUCCAGUGCAAUGAUUUUGUGAAUGUUUGUUCUUUAUCUAUUAGGCAUUAAUCCUUCAAACAAGAAAUGACAUUUUACUGUUAAAAUUGUUAGGUUCGAACUGGUAAGGCUGAGGGACCAAAACGGUAGUGUCGAUACCCCAUUACAAUUUAAUGAAGAUUAAUGCUCAUGUUUUUGUGUCAAGUUUGGGGAAAGGUUCAAGUUUUUGGCGGCAGUAUAAAUAUCCAAUAGUGAUUGGACCGGUUUUAAUAGCGCAAUGGACUUAUUAAAAGGCCUUCGAAGCCUCGCACUGCAACAAACAACACUGGAUCUAAUAGAAAUUUUCCUGGUCUAAAUUUAUAUGGUUGGGUUAUUGAAGGAGACUAUUAUACUGAAGAAGGUAGUUGGGAGAAAACCUGUGCGGGAAGAGGGAGGUUGAGAAGGCCAUAUAUCAUCUCAGUCCUUGUUUAAGAGGAUACACAAGGUCGGAAGGAAAGUGUAGCGAAAUUAGCUUAUUAAAUUGACAUGAAAAAUGAAAAAACUGGAUGAGAUGCGAAUGUGAAAGUGUAUCAAAAAAUAAAAAUCCAUCAGUCGUUGAAGAAAAAGAAAAAUGGUCAAGAGGAAUUGAGUUGGUCAUUGAGGCCACGCUCGCUAGUUGCAUUCUCGAGCAAAGUGUCCAGCUCCAGUCCUGUUGACCAUUCUUUCUUUUUUUCAUCGACUGACGGAUUUUUAUAUUUUGAUACACUUUCACAUUUGAAGUUCAUCCAGUUUUUUCGUUUCUCAUGUGAAUUUCAUUGGCCAAUUUUGCUACACUUUCCUUCCUACCCUAUUUUUUCUCUUAAACAAGGUCUGAAAUGAUAUAUGGCCUUCUCUACCUCCCCCUUCGUGCAUAGGUAUUCUCCCAUCCACUGUAAAAAAGUCUCCUUCACCAAUCCAUCCAUAUAAAUUUGGACCAGGGGAAUUUCUAAUGGUUUUAUCAUUGUUUGCUGCAUUGCGAGGCUUCGAAGACCUUUCAAGAAGUCCAUUGUGCCAUUAAAACUGGUCCAAUCACUAUUGGAUAUGUACACUGCUGCCAAAAAUUUGAACUUUUCCCCAAACUUGACAUAAAAAUAUAUGCAUGAAUCGUCAUUAAAUUGUAAUGGGGUAUCGACACCACCAUCUUGGAACCCUUCGGCCUUAUCAAUUUGCACCUAUCAAACUAAAUUGUACAAUGCAGGAUCUUAUUUGAAGGAUCAGUGUCUAAUCGGUAAAAAACUGCAUUCACAAAAUCAUUGCACUUUAUGUGUGUCUUCAUAGUAGCCUGAUCAAUAAGAUACAUAACUCGCACGCAUGAAAAUAGAAUCCAUUGCACGCAUCUUAUUCUUCCUACCCAAUUGGGACACGGCAGACAAUGUUGUUUAUUUAUCUGCACGAAUGUGAUGACUACUAUUAAAAUGGAGGUGUGAAGAGUCGUGACUUUUUAUCUUAACACAUUCAAAACAGCUGAAGAAUGGAAAUCUCCAUCUGUUGCAACUGACGAAUCAACUGUUGGAAGAAAUCAAAACAUCUCCUCUAACAUAUGACCCAUCUUUCGCAACAGAUAAUCUAUAUAUUGUAAUAGAUGGUAAAUCUGUUGUGAUAGACCAGACUUUUUUUCUUUUUAUUCAUCUGCACGUAUGUGAUUACUUCUUGCUAAAAAUGUUUGUUUCAAUUUAGUUUUUCUAUUUAUAAAAUCAAGGGAAUUUUAUUAUAUUCUUCCAAGAUUACCCCUAUUAUUAAAUGACUACAUAAAGUAUAUUAUUCAUAUUUAUACUUUCAAAUCAUAAUUAAUAAGGCCAAUUUGGUAAAAUAAUCACCUAAUUUAUAUUUCUAUUAAUUGGUGUGCCGGUGUGCCAAGCCCAUAGGGCUCAACUAAUAAGUAAUGGAGGGACUAUAAAAAAGAGGUGAAGACUUUUUAUCUAAAACAUUCAAAAUAGCUUAUCAACCGAAUACUCCAUAUAUUAAAACUGAAAUUGAUGAAUCAGCUGUUAAAAAAUAUCAUAACAUCUCCUCCAACUUAUACUAUCCAUCUGUCGCAAUAGAUAAUACAUAAGUUGUAUCAGAUGUCUUAUCUGUUCCAUAUACAAACCAUCUAUUGCAACAGAUGGUAAAUCUAUUUUAAUAGCAGUCUGUUGCACAUUCAAUCCAUCUGUUGCAAAAGAUGCUAAAUCUGUUAAAAAUGCUGGACGAUCUAUUGCAACAACUCAAUAAUAAUGACUUUUAUCUAGUUUCAAACCGCUAUGAAAAGGUGAGAAGUAAUUAGUCUAAAAGAAAAAGUCGCGACUUUUAAUAGAAAACAAAAUGCCAACAGUUUGAAUGUAAUUAAUACAAUGGAGCUGAACAGUCCUGCCUUUUGGCCUGACACGUCCAGAUUAUAGGUCCCUCCUUAAUCUUCAUUCAACUCUAUUUAUUUCUUGCAUUUUUUCCUUUCGUGUGACAUCUUCAACCACUUCUCUUCAAAGAGCAUAUUCCUUUGUUGUUGAGGUAAGUUUUUUUCUGAUGUAACUUUAUCAGUUGGUCGUAUACGCUGUAUUAUAUUUUAAACUUUUUUCUUUAUAUUUUUCAAUUCAUGCGUGUUCUAGAUAUGGCUGAUCCUUUUCCGAACAUUGCUAUUCUACGCGACACAGUGUGGGAGCUUCAAAGGCAGAUUAAUGAUCUGCAGAGCGAGUUGGUCACUGUAGGAGAGACGAUGUUCAAAGAGAUAUAGAGGCUGAUGAUAGCCCUGUUUCUGCGAGUUGAUUGGAUGGCUGUCAUUAAUGAUGAUGAUGAUGAUAAUAAUAAUUAGAAUGUGUUUUUUAUUUUAGCGUAUGUAUUUUAAUUUUUCUAUAUCGGAUCUAUGUCUAAUGUAUUUUAUUUUUCAUUUAAUGAAAAAUUUACUUUUAGUUAGACUUUGACUUUGAUGUUUUAAUUCUUAUUCAAUUUUCAUUCUGUCUAUUUCUUCUAAUCUAAUACAUGUUAACAUGUCGACGGUUGGAGGCAAUGUUGAAUCCAGUAGCACUAGCAAUUUUGGCUUUUGAGUUCUUUCAAUAGAUGGACCAUGUGUUGGAACCGAUUGGUCAUAUGUUGGGUUUCAACAGAUUAUCCAUCUGUUUCGACAGAUUUGUCAUUCGUUGGAUGAAAGCAUUCCAGUUGUUUGUGCAACUGUUAAGAAUAAUUGUGGUCUGCUGUAUUAUUUAGUUCAUGUUUUGCCUCUUUUUAUUAAUGCACAAGUUAUUUAAAAAAAAAGAUAUUUUAUAUAUAAUAAAUGAUAACAUUAGGUUCACAACAAUGAGUUAAAUAUAUAAAAGUUCACAACAAAAAACAAACAAACAACAACACAAGUUUCUGCAAUUACAACGAUCAUGGUGGAUUAUGAUUCGGGCAUGUAGUUCUUUUGUGGUCAGCGCACUUACAUAUGGAGCACUUGUUUCUUCUUGAUGAAAAUGAUUCUCCAACUCCACGCCUCCUUUUAUAUGGCUUUCUUCCUGGUUUGAUAGUGCUCGGGUCAAUAUAUUCCCCAUAAGCUCUAAUAGAACAACCCAAGAUUCGUCGGGAGGCACCGGAGUAACAUGCCCACUAUAUGUCAUUUCAUAUUUUUCCACCGAAUAAUAUUGAGAUGAGUGAUCGUAAACUUCAGGUCCAUAUUUAUACCCGUAUUGAGCCCGAAGGGCUGCCAUAGCAGGUGGACAAGGUAUUUUGUCCAAGUCAAAAACUCUACACGUACAAGAUCUUGUUUGAAGAUCGACCGUGGCAGCAUCACCAUGACCGGUGAUACGGAAUUUGUAAUCUGCUAUUUAUGAGAGAAUAACCUAUUCCCAAAUUGAUGUUCGUUGAUAUUUUCUUUUUGAUUUCGAGAAUAAAUCGGGUUUUUUUUUCGGGCACUUGAACUACACACGCCUUUCGUUAAAAAAAUUGCUAUACUUCUUGCUUAUUUUUUCAAACAUAGCCUUGAUAGGAAAUUCUCUUUCAUCACCAAAUAAUGAAUCCACCGAUUCAGCUAUGUUUGAUGUCAUAAUAUUGUACCUAUAGAAAAAAAUCACUUAGUAUGACAUCAAACUAAACUUGUAAAUCAAACAAGACAUUAAAUUCUUAAGAAUGUACCUAUUUGCUGGAUAGAAUGUCCGGCUCCAUCUCUCAAAAUCGACACGUGCAAGAAAUUUUGCUACCUUGGGAUUCACAUCUUCUAUUUGAUUGAAAUGGUCUAAAAACUCCUCUCUACUAUAUGUUUUAACUGCUCUAUAAAAAAGGUAACGACCCUUUCGUUGUGAUAGUUGUUUCGAAUGUUCUCUCUAAUAUGCCUGAUACAACAACCAAAGUAAGCUGAAGUGAAGAAAAGUGAACCCAUCUUUGGAAUACUUGGAUGCCUAUCCGAUACAAAACACAACUCUUCGGUAUCUUCGACGCAGCGUCGCAGUUGUUCAAAAAAAAUCCAUAAGAGGCAUCACAUUCCUGUCCGCUACAUAAAAAGCACCUAGAAAGAUGUGAUUCUCCGCAUCCUUCGCCACCACCGCUAGCAGAACUCCAUUAUACCUGCUUCUCAAGAAGGUACCGUCGACGGCUAUGCCUUUUCUCAAAUGUUGAAAACCUUGAAUCCAAGCACCAUAGGAUAUAAAAAACUACUUGAACCUUCCAUUUUCAUCCAGAUGAAAUGCCAUCUUACUUUCAGGAUUUAUGGACUCAAUCAUGUAACGGUAAGCAUCCAAGACUUCAUACCCAUGCUCGAGUGUCCCCUAACCAGGUCCUUAGCAAUACCUAUGGCCGUAUAUACCUUCCAAUAACUGACCAGGACACCCAAAUUCGUAAGGAGUUGAUUGGCCAUAAUCCUUGUUAAUGGUCCUUUUCCAUCGGGGAAACUACGCCUGAAAUAUUCAUCGAGGACCUUUGUCGUGGCGUGAGGAUUUUGGUCCGAGAUAUGCUCCGAACCACAUGUGUGAUGCAUUUCAUAUUUAUGAAUGAUGAAUCUGUCAAAACUUGCGUGCUUCACCACUCUCAACCACCACUUGCAGUUCGAAUUAACACAUUUGAAGCAAAAGACACUGCGCAAAUUAAUCACCUUCUUUAUUCUGAAAUCUUUUUUCAAGCAAGAAAUAAAUAAAGUGUUAGAUAGUUCACUCUUGUCCUUGAAUGACAUUCCAAUAAAAAAUCCGGACCCAUCAUCUUGAAGAUUUCCAGAUUUUGUCGAUUGAGAAGAACUGCAAAUCGUAUCGGUUGUAUCAACGGGUGUAGGUGUUUGAUCAUAAUCUGAAAUAUUCAUGUCUAGAUAAUUCAACCUAUCAUCAAAGAAUUCUUUUUCUCCAUCUUCUUAUUCUUCUUCUUCUUCUUCUUCUAUGUUCUGGUUCUCAUUCUCUCUCAUUUUUUUAACCAUGUACACCCUUAACACCGGCCUGGUUGAAUCACUUAGAUAAGCACGCAACCGAACCUGAUCGGUUAUCUUGAAAGGCAGAACCCUCUGAUUUUCAAAGGAGCUAUGCAUGUAGCUGAUGGCGAAUUCUCAGAUUCGCCACUUGACAUAAUCCGGUGUGCCAAGUCACCUUCAAAAUGAUUUGACUUUUUAAGACUAGUUUGCGAACAGAGAUUCCGACUAAGGAAUUCUAUUAAUCGAGGGAAAGGUGUUAGGCACCCCUCAAUCCCGUGGUUUGACCACGAUCGCUUGGUGGAGCAUAUCGGCUAAUUUAACACUAUGGAUUAUAAACCACACAAAACACAUAAAAAUAAUCAAUCAAACAAACCAAACAUACGAAUCCUAAAAUAUAGUGUACAAUCCAAUUAUACAGACCCGAAACAUAAAAAAUGUGGAAAUAUAAACCUACUCUAUUCUAAACUAAUCCUAAGCUAAUCAUAAACCAAAAUCCACCCGACGUUUCGGGCCUUGACCGUGUGCCAUCUUCGAGUACAAGAUACUUUGGGGCAUUCCCCGGAUAAAUCGAUACAAAUCCCUCGAGGCAUUCCCCGAUCAAAUGAGUACAAUUUUUUAAUACGAGAAAAUCAAAAUAUUCAACCGAAUUUCAAACAUUCAACAAAAAAAAGAUUCUAAACUUUGCCUACCCCAACCUACGUUUUCCUACCUAGCUCAGCCUAUGAUUCUAUCAUGUUCAACAAUAUUCAUACUGAUUCCAAAUUAAACAAAACAACAAUAAACCAAAAUUAAUCUAAAUUCACCUUUUUUUUAAAUCAAUUUCUCAAUUCCACCCCCAAAUUCAUUUUCAAUACAUACCCACAUUCAUAUUAUCAUCACCUACAAUUGAUAUCAAUUAUUCAAAAGCAAACAAAAUCCAAUCAUCACCCAAAUCAUCCAAACAAAUAGGAAAAAGGCAUCGAAUCACAUCCACAAUCACAUCAAAAUUAAAAUAAAGAGAGAGAUGAAAAAAUUGAACCUUAAAUGAAGCUUUUGAACCCAAUAUUAUUCGAAUAAAAAGAGUCCGCACCCGAAAACCUCAAAUGAAACUCGAUGAUGAAUCCAGUCCAACUUCGAUAUAUUCAACCCCAACAAAAUCACAAAAAAAAAAUAAUGAAGGCACGAACCUAUUUCCUUAUGCAUGAUUCCGUCUCAUCGUUCUCUGAUGGGUUUUAAUGGAAAAAGGGAAGGAACAGGCUGUUUGGGUUGGAAAAUAAGGACGGGGGAAGUCAUUUUGUUGUUGUGACUUUGCCGGAUUUCCGGAAAGCUUUGGCAGUGACGGAAACCGAAGAGUAGGUCACGUUUUCUAUUUCUUCAACAUUUUUCAGCGAGAAAUUCACCGAAAACAGUCAAACCCAGUGCCUUUUUAUCUCUAUUCUUUCUGAUAUUUUUGAUCUAUCUCCCUCUCUUUAUUCUCAGUUACGAUCUCUCUCUCUUCGAUUGAUUUUUGCUCACAAANNNNNNNNNNNNNNNNNNNNAUCUCACAAUUUCUCCCUUGCUUGAAUCUCUUAUUCUCUAUCUCCCUCGUCUCUCAUUUUCUCCACCCCUAUAUGUAUGAGUGUGUUACUGUAUUAAUGGUAAGGAUCAGUGAUCGGAAUAAGUGGUGUGUGAAAAAAUUAGAAGGGAAUCUUGUGUGCGUCCUCUUCGUAUAUGGCAAUGGUGAUGGGUAUAUGUAAUAGUGAAUUAUGGAGAAGAUGGAUGUUGAUGGUGUGGUCCCCCCAGGGGAAAAGAAAAUAUGGCCUAAGGUGUCUGUUCUUUUUUAAGUGGAGAGGUUGUUGGGAUGUUUAAACAAAGAUAAAAUUUGUUAGGAUUUGUUAAAUUGGAUAAAGAUAAAAAUAAAUAAAUAAAUAAAAUGAUGAGGUGUUAUUUAUUUUGUUUUUCUUGUGGAAAAAUUACCACGCGGAUAGGAUACGUGGUAAGAUGGGAUGAAUGGUAAAAAAUGCUUUCGAGGAGGGACAAAAUUACGUGUCUACAUCAUUCCCCUCUUUGCAUGUAAGCACAAAGUGUUUUCAUACAAAGAAGUAGACAACGCGACAGAAUUUUGUCCCGAUCAUUAUUCGAAGGAAGAAGGACAAUCGAGUCUUGACUUAGGACAUCCUACCUACCCAAGUUAUGAGAUAGUAAAGUCGUAGGUAUCUUAAAAGAUUGGAAGGAGAUGGACAAUACCGAGUUGGAGAGUCGAGUGAGGUCCCAUCGAGGUUCUGGUCCGCGGCUCUGUUAUUACAUCAAAAUAAAGAUUACAAGUUAAAACAUAAAUGGAAUUACAAAAAAUCCUAAUCUAUGCAGCCGCUUUUGGACUCCUGACUUGAGUUUCAUCACCCCAUUAUUCAGGCGGGCUCUUGACUUGCAAUUUUAUUAAUCUGUCGACUUUCACUUUUUCACCUUGUUGCUUGACUUUCAACUUCUUUACCUUAUUGCUUGACUUUCAUGCAUUCGCCAUGUUCUUCAGGCGGGCUCCUAACAAAUGAAAACUGACAAGAAAGUACGUCUCCCAACAAAUGCCACUUGAAUUACCCAACGAAAUGCGUCUCCUUACAAAUGCUUGAAUUACCUAAACAAGGAAGUGCAUCUCCCUACCAAUGUUGCUUGAAUUUCCCACACAAGAAAGUGCAUCUCCUUAGAAAUAUCGCUUGAAUUACCAAACAAGGAAGUGCAUCUCCUUACCAAUGUUGCUUAAAUUACCCAGAUAAAGAAGUGCAUCUCCUUACAAAUGUUGCUUAAAUUACCAAACAAGGAAGUGUGUCUCCUCACAAAUGCCACUUGAAUUACUAAAACAAGGAAGUGCAUCUCCUUAUCAAUGCUGCUUGAAUUACCUAAACAAGGAAGUGCAUCUCCUUUGGAAGUGCGUCUCCUUAUGAUACCGUUUGAAUUACCAAACAAGGAAGUGCAUCUCCUUACCAGUGCCGCUUGAUAUGUCUCCUAACAAAUGUCUCUUGAAUUACCCAAACAAAGAAAUGCGUCUCCUUACCAGUGCCGCUUGAAUUAAACAAACAAGGAAGUGCGUCUCCUUAUAAAUGCCGCUUGAAUUACCCAAACAAGAAAGUGUGUCUCCUCACCAGUGUCACUUGAAUUAUCCAAACAAGGAAGUACGUCUCCUCACAAAUGUCACUUGAAUUGACCAAAUAAGGAAGUGCGGCUCCUCAUAAAUAUUGCUUGAAUUGCCCAAACAGGGAAGUGCAUCUUAUUACAAAUGUCACUUGAAUUACCUAAACAAGAAAGUGCAUCUCCUUACAAAUGUCUCUUGAAUUACCAAAAUAAGAAAGUGUGUCUCUUUACAAAUAUUGCUUGAAUUAUCCAAAUAAGGAAGUGCGUCCCCUUACAAAUGUUGCUUGAAUUACCCAAAAAAAGGAAGUGUGUCUCCUUACAAAUAUUGCUUGAAUUACCCAAAAAAAGAAGUGUGUCUCCUAGAGAUAUUGAAUUAUGAAUUUUACCAUGGUUUUGAAUACCAAAUCUGUGCAGCAACAGUGCCUCUUGCAUUUGUAGAAGUGAGAAUAUUACGGCCUUCGAUGUUUAGGAUUUGAAAUCCUUGAUUUGAAGGUAGCAUGUGUUCCUGUUUCAUACAAAGAAAACUUGUUAGUUUAAAAACAUGGUGGCUGGUUUGUGGCUUUGGCUUUCAUGGAAAUCGCUCUUGCCCCUGUCAUAUUUAAUCUUGCUUUCAACCAUUAGCAUGUGUCACUGGCUUGCUGCAUCAUUGACCCGAACUCAGAUUAUUAAGAGUGACUCUGAAAUAAAUACAGUAUCUCUGCUUUGUCAUGCUUCUCAGAUAAACCCUUUGAACCUUGGUAUUUCCAUGAGUUUCCAGACUUGUCAGUUGGCAAAACUUUCUGCAUGCCUUAUUUCAUCUCACAAUCAUGUCUCUUUCAUGUGUUGGUCUUUUGUCUUGCUUUGGGCAAUUGAAAAAGUUGGUAGCCAGUUUUGAAAUCUUUUCUCACUUAUUUUGACAUGGACUUGACUCAAAGACAAGAGAAAAAAUGACAAUGAUUUUUAUUUUGACAACUGACUAAAGAAAAUAAACUAAAAAAUAAAGAGAAGAAAGAAAAGACAAUGAGUGUUCCCAUUUGAAAUAAAGAAAUGAAAAAUUUAUCUAGAAAUGACAGUCAACUCUAAUGAUUAUGCCAUGCAUUUCAGAUCAAGUUGCCUGAUCUUUCCCUCCAAACUUUCUACCAAUUGUUCUUGAGUUAAUGGCUCUGAAUCUAAGUUACUUGCUUGGACCCAUUGCAUUCAAAGAGCUCAUUCGGCUAGUGGCACAUUGAAGGAUUUUUGCCAACAAACCUCUCUCAUUUUUCUCUCAACUCACCAUCGCCUUAUGGUGUCCGUAGGAUUUUCACCUAUAAGACUCUCAUUUUUAUCUCUCUCAACUUACUAUCCCCUUAUGGUGCCUGUCAGAGUUUUCACCAAUAAGACUCUCUCAUUUUUAUUUCUCUCCUGAUUUCUUAUGCUGAGGAAGACGAAUAGUUCCCAAAUUGUGUCAUUAUAUCAAUUGCAUGCUUAGCCUUAGCAUUCUCAGAGAUUGAUCUGAAGGUCUUUCUUUGGUUGUAACUUGGCUUUUGGAUAAGGUUAGAAAGAAAGGAUGACAUGAGACACAAACAACACUUGAAGUGGGGUAGGACUUACAACUUUUAGAAUCGACUCAAAUAAUGAGGAUUAACUCAUGCCCAGUUUCUUUUGAUCGGGUGAUUCUAAAUUGUUUAUUUGGUUGGACCGAGCCCUAAGCAGGACAACCUACGUAUCUUACCCCCGAAAGGGGAGAAUCAGGUCACGUGUAGUUCUGACGGCUUGUUUUGCUUGAUUCUGACUUUUUUGUCCAUUGACUUUUUAUUGACUCUUUUCUCUUUGGGAUUUUCUGACUUUAUUUUCUUGACACUCUUCUCUUUUCUUUCUUUCUUUUUUUUGAAAAUUUUUCGACUCUAUUAUUUUGAUCGACACUUUUCAUUUGAGCUUUGUUGACUCUAUCUUGAUUCCAAAGAGGUGUAUGAAAGAAGAUAAAAUUACGGCUCAAAUGGGGUAAACAAAGGAUGACACAAUAUUUGGAUAGCAGAAUAAAAUGCCUUCAUUAUAUCAAUCCUUGAAAAUGCAAGUACACAUCACGCAAUAUGAAAGUGACAGAUAAUGAUCAUUUGUGAUAUUUUUUUACAACAGUAACUUCGAUUGAGCAUGUUUGACACUUCUUCUUCUACAUUUGCCGAACAUACAACUCCAUCUUUGUUGUACAUUCCCCACGUCGAAUGAUUUAUGCUUUUGUAGAGCUAAUUAUCUUCUUAUUUCUCUAGAUAUAGGGAUUGCACGUCCACUAUUUGACCUAAUUGGGGCCUGCCUUUCAAUGAUCAAGUUGUUCUUGUGAUUCUUAAAAUAAUUGCCUUAACUUGUCACCAAAUGUCUCAGCACUAUCUAUUUUCUCAUAUGCUCUCUUUUUCUAACUUUAACCCUCUGAUUCAAUGUUUAUGCUUAAACUGAAUUUUAAGAUCUACCUAAAAAUUUCACUAGCAUGUCAUAUCACUAGAGUUAACAAAAAAUGUACUAUGUAAAGAAAACAACAAAAAAAACAACACAUAUUUAAAACACAAAGGAAAAUGGGACACUUCAUUUAGUUGAAAUAAAAAAAUAGAAGGGUUUGAACAUAAACGACAAAAGGACAAAACAAGAUAGAUCCCGAACUACAAUCCUGAAUUAAUUCGAACAACAGAAAAUUAAACAAAACAAGCUACCAGACCUCUUCCUAGUAGGGAGAGGGGUGACUUCUCAAUUGCUCAGCCUGAUAUCUUAGCCACUGGUUUGCAUAUAAGCAUGACUAGAGCUUUCCUCGUUGUCAAUGUUCUGCACCAUAAUCGAUUUAUCUUGAAUCAUCUUUUCUAUCUCUCUUUUCAAGGCACGACAAUCUUCAAUACUGUGACCCUAAACAUUAGAAUGAUAUGCACAUUGUACAUUAGGAUCAAAAUUUCUUGAAUGCGGGUUAGGAGUAUACCCAAGGAGAGGAGUGAUCAUUCUUCGCUGUACCAAUCUCUGAAAUAAACUAGCAUAUGACUCUCCGAUUGGUGUGAAACUAUCUCUCGACUUCUGUCUCAUUUCAUUAUUUGGCUUAAACUGAAAACCAGGCCUAGAAGGGCUUCGGCAUGUAUGUGGAGUUGGAGGAUGACUCGGCAGAGUUGACGCACGCCAGUGUGGGUAAGAUGAGGGUUAAACAUAUGGUUGCACAUUAUACACUUGAUAUGGAGGUGGGGAAAUGGAAUAUAAUGGAUUUUGGGAAAGAUUUUGUGGAGCUUGGGCAUAAACUUGGGUUUGAGCCUGUGGGUAACGAUGGUGUGGUCCUCUUGCACAUGCCUGUUGUCCAACUACAAUGGCAGAUGCAUCUUUCUCAUUCUUAUUUCCUCCAACACUUCCCAAACCUUUUUGAAUUGCUUGAGUAGUCUCUUUCAAUGUUGCAAAACUCACAAUGCGACCGGUCUUAAUUCCAUCCUCUAUCAUCUCCCCCAUUUUUAGGACCUCAAUAAAUGGCUUUCCUAAUGCAGGUAACAAGUGUUGAUAAUAUGUUUCAUCCUGCGCUUGAAUAAACUCCUCCACUAUCUUACUUUUUUUCAUUGGCGAUUUCACUCUAGCAGUUUGUUCACCCCAUCUAAUCGCAUACUCUCUGAAAGUUUCAGUACUCUUUUUCUUUAUAUUAGUCAGAGAUUUGUCGUCACGAAUCAACUCCAUAUUGUAUUGAAAUUGUUUCAUGAAUUCAUUAGCCAGGUCAUCCCAGUUGUUCCACUUGUCGAUGUCUUGGUCAACAAACUAUUUUGAAGCUAGACCUGAAAGACUCUCACCGAAAUAUGCCAUGAAUAAUUCUUCCUUCUCUCCAGUGCCCCUUAGCUGGUUGUAAUAGCGUCUCAAAUGUGAUACGGGAUCGCCAUGUCCAUCAAACUUCUAAAACUUUGGCAUUUUAAAACCAAGAGGAAGAUGUACACCUGGAAACAUGCAUAGAUCUUUAUAUGAGACACUUUUGUACCCCCCAAGUCCUUGCAAGUUUUUCAUAGUUAGUACCAAAUUUUUCAAUUUUCUGGCCAUUUCCUCUUGUUCUUCUGUCAUAACAGCCUUCUUAGUGUUAAGAGGAAAUUCAGGUGGUUGAGUGCAGUCGUAAGGAACAGUUGACUUAAAUGUGGGCUCGGGAGCAUAAUGCUGAUCACUAAAAAUAUUCAAUACAGGGUCGCUUGUAAAGUGAGGAAUCACAACCGUUAGAUUGACAUUAAAAGCAGGAGCUUCAGACGAGGGUGGGGUUGCAAAAGCAUGAAUAGCAGGCGGAGCCGAGUAUGUGGUAAUUUUGUAUUGAGGAGUGAGAAAAUGAAUAUUGGAAGUGUUUGGAUACUAUUGCCCCGGAGUAGGUCGUGAUGCAUGUUGUGGCAUGUAGACCAAAAUAGGAAAUUGUGCAUGUGACACUAGAGGCAAACUAGAAAGAUAUUCUAGAUUAUCAGCGGGAAAAGGAUGAGGCGGAAACCCAUUAGCCCAAGCUCAAUGCAUUUCUAUCAUUUGCUGCCUUAAUUUCCGAAUCUCUUCAUUAGCUCCUACAUUCUCAUUCCCCAAACUCCCUAUCUGAUUAGGGACAACUAACUCGGUAUCCUUGUUGGCCAUAACUUUCUCUGUGACUUGGAGAAAUAUGGAGGACCUUCCAAAACGCCACAAACCAACUAACUUAAACUAACUCCAAGAGUUAGAAAAUGCAUUAGAGUUCAACAUUUUUUCAAAACCUCUUUUUUUUUCUUGAAAAGAUCACCGAACCCUAAAAGAGCGCCUACGUAUCUCACCCCCGAAAGGGGAGAAUCAGGUGUGUGUAGUUCAUGAAGUCUUGCAAAAAUGGCCAAUUAAACUCUUUUUUAUUUCUUCUUUCUUUUUCUUGAAACAUUAAUAAGAAAAGAAAAUAAAAUUGUCAAAAGAAUCGAGAAAAAUCAUUUUUUGAAUUUUUUAGCUUCUAAUACGAAAUGAAACUUAUGAUUAUCAAAGAAAAAAAAAUCUUUUUGGGUUUUCGAUUUUGAAUUUCAUAUGAAAAUGAAACUUGAACCUAUUAAAGGAAAAUCUUUUUUUGUGGUUCUCUUUUAAAGAUGUAUAUGAAACACCUACUCUAAGUGAAGAGUGAAGAAAAUCUUUUUGGAUUUUUUGAAAUAAGUUCCCCGAACCAACAAUAGGAUGCCUACGUAUCUCACUCCCCGGAGAGGACAAUCAGGGGUUCGUAGUUCGUCCAGAUUGGACAAUUAAGGAUUAAAACGAACUAAGACUGAAUUAAGAGACGCGACAAAAAACAGAUGAAUAAAAGCUUUUUUGGGUUUUUAAUUAGAAACAAACACCAACAACUAUGAAAGAAAAAUCUUUUUGAUAUUUUCGUUAUAUAAAAAUGUACAAAGCUCCUAUUGAAAGGAAAAAAUAUUUUUGUAGUUUUCGAAUUGUGAAUACUUACUAAAGAAAUAAAAGAAAAAUCUUUUUAACGUUUUUGAUUUUAGGAAAAUGAGUACAAAAGUUAAAAAAAAUAUAUUUUUUUUAAAUUAUAAAAAACAAAAGCAAUAAAGAACCCUAAAAACUUCCAAAUCUUUUUUUUUCUUUUUUUUCCCAACAAUUUCUUGCCUACACACUUUGCUUCUAACUCAUGCUUUUGCCCAAAUCAGUUUAUCAAAUGACCAUAUUACCCUCAAAGAUGCAACAUUUAGCACGUAGGGAUGCUUUAGAGGUGAAUCUCCUACAAAAGGCCACGUGGGUCCCGCUAGAUCUCAAUAUGAUGCAAAUAAGUGUGACCUAAAGGCUCACCUAUGCUGGAGUUCACUAACAAGGCUGCUCGGGGGAGCGUAUGAUCGAUAGUGGCUGCACUAGCUUUCCACCCACUCUAUACCAGCCGAUGGCUCCACCUCCUAAAAAUAAGGGUGACUUAACUAUAAGUCGUGUACACAACGUGUACUACAGAACUUGUUGCAGAAAGAAUUGACUCGGGUUAUGCAAAUGAUGCCAGAUAUAAAGCGGAAACACAUAAGAGAAAAACUGUAAACACGUAGCACGUAGGCACUCAACAACGAUAAAAAAUACAAACAAUAAGACAAACAAUGUCUAUACACUCAUAAUGUCAAAACUAAGCCGAUAUAACUCCAAAAUUAAGCUCGAAUUCUGAAAAGUCCCCAGCAGAGUCGCCGGUGAUGUCACACCCCUUUUUAACUCCAAAAAUAUUUGUUUUAAGGUUCGAAAGGAUUUUUAUUAUUGUCACACCCCUUUUUAACUCCAAAAAAGAUUCGAUUUUAAGUUUCAAAAGGGUUUCCAUUAUUAAAGUGAAAAAAAUGAAAAUUUUGUUUCGAAGAGGAUUAUUUACAUUUAAACUCAGAGUCGCCACUUGUCAUAAAUCAGGUUGCCGAGUCACCCGUGGAUAUCCUUUUUCAAAAUGAUUUUGACUCUAUAAAACUGAUCCGCAAACAAAGUUUUCGACUAAGUAAUUCUGUUGACCGAGGGGAAGGUGUUAGGCACCCCUCGAUCCCUAGUUCGACCACGGUCACUUGGUGGAGCAUAUCAGCUAAUUUGACAUUACAAAUGUAUAAACCAUACAAAAACAUGUAAAACAAUCAGACAAACAAACAAAACAAAACGAAUAAAAAAUAUAAUGUCCAGUCCAAUUAUACAGUCCUGAAAUAAAUAAAAAUACAAAAAUAAAUCCUAUCUAACCUAUACUAAUCCUAACUACGCUCCUACGCUUUACCCGAUGCCUCGGGCCUUGAUCAUUAUUUGCCUUCGCAAAUAUGAUACGUCGGGGCAUUCCCUGGUGAAUAAAUACAUCAAUCUUUAGGGAAUUCCCCGGCCAAAUAAAUACAUUUCAAUCUGAAAACAUAAAUCAACACAUUUCAACAAAACACUUUCAUCAUUCAACGAUUGCAAGUCCUACUUUUGACUACCCGAACCUACUCUUUACCUAUCCAAUUCGACUGAUCACGAUACUAUCACAUCAACGAUGUUCAAUGAAUCAAAAUAAAUUAACGCUUAUAUUUUAUCAAUUUUCGAUUCCCACCCUCCAAAAUUCAAUUCAAGGUUUCCACAUAAUUAUUCACAGUUAUGAUUUUUCAACAAUCCUCAAACACUAUCAAUGAAAUCAAACGACAAAUCGAAAUCAUGAAGUAUUCAUAUCAUAUCAUGCCUCGCACAAAUAAUCACAUAUAAUAAAAUUAAAAAUGAGAGGUGAUAGAAUUGGACCUUCGAUCAAGCUUUUUUAAAUUGGAAUAAUCCUUUCGACUAAAAUUGCAAACGGCACCUCAACUCAACCUUCAACAAAUGAGAACCCCAAAUCGAUAACGUCCCUAUCGAAUUCCACCCGUACCCUCUCCUAUUUUUCACUAAUCCAAGGCCCGAAGUAACAAACUAACGGAAAGCCCACGCUGAACAGUGAAGUUGAGUUUUGCCAGAGCUGGGAGCGGAUAAAACUGGUGGCAUUCACUGGUGGAGAGGGUGUUUUUCGAUGAGUUUGGCUGCGUUUCCCGGUGAGAAACAGUCAUUGGAACAGUACAAUUUUUCUCUCUGUUCUUCUUCAAUUUCACUCUAUUUCUCCUCUUUCCUGAUCGAUUUCAGCUCGCCAUUGCCUUUCUCUCUCUCUCUCUCCGAUAUCACGUGUCUGGUGUGUGUAUACGGUGUGUAUGUGAAAAUUCGAUAGAGUGUGAAAUUUUGUAUGUGCUCUGCUUGUAUGGAUUUUUGUCAGUAGAAAAAUGGAAGAUGAAAUGGAGAAUCUCGUGUGUGCAUGUGUUUUUUAUGUUUUUUGGUGAGAGAGUGUGUGUAUAACGUCAAGAAGAGAGCAAUUGAGUCUCUAUGUGCUGUGCGUUUCUCCCCUUUUUUUCAGUCUGCCCCCUUUCCCCUGUAAGUGUGUAUAUGUAGCGUAUGAAAAAUCAAGAAUGAAAACCGUGAGGUGAGUGUUGUGUGAUGGUAUGUGGGACCUUCUUUUUUUUUGUUGUAUUUGUCUUUCUGUUAUUAUAACAAAAGAUGAAAAAAUAUGAAUUGGGGGUAGUCACGUGGCAGGGGUAGGGAUGGUUAGGAUAGGAUAAAAUUAUUUAAGGGUUGUUAUUUUUUAUAUUUUUGUGGAAUAUAAUCACAUGGGUGAGGACACGCAAUAAGACGAGGGUAAAAUGAUAAAAAUGCUUUUUUGGAGGGAUAAAAUUACGUGUCUACAUCAUUCCCCCUUUGAAUGUAAGAACGUAGUGUUUUCAGACAAAGAAGUAGACAUCGAGACAAAAUUUUGUCCCGACCAUUAUUCAAAGGAAGAAACAGAAGGAAGAAGGGCAAUCGGAUCUUGACUUAGGACAUCCUACCUACCUAAGUUGUGAGGAAACUAAGUCACAUGUUUCUUAAAGGGUUUGAAGAGAAGUGGACUGUACCAAGCUGGAGAGUCAAGUGAGUUUCCAUUGAGGUUCCGAUCCGUGGCUCUGUCAUUCCAUCAAAAAUAAAAACUACAAGUUAAACGUAAAUGAAAAUUACAAAAAUCCUAUCUAUACAGCUUCUUUGACUCUUGACUUACUAUUUCAUCACUCUAUUCUUCAGGCGGGCUCCUGACUUGCAAUUUUUUCAACUUGUUAUUUGGCUUUCAAUUGCUUCACCUCGUUGCUUAUCUUUCAAUUUGUUCACCCUGUUCUUCAGGCGGGCUCCUGACUUGCUAUUUUUCAAUCUGUUAACUUUCAACUUUUCACCUUGUUGCUUUGUUUUCAACUUCAUCACCUUGUUGCUUGACUUUCAACUUCUUCACCAUAUUGACGGACAUUUCAUUUAUUCGCCCUGUUCUUCAGGCAGGCUCCUGAAAUCACAUUAAAACUAAAAAGAAAAUUAUCCCAAAUAAAGAUUAUUAUAAAGAGAUUUCCUUUGCCAGAAAAGUGAAGUUCCUAACACAAGAAUUAAAUUAGCACCAUUAGCAGAUGUCAUUGACUUGCUGCUUCAUUGACCCGAACUCAAAUUAUUAGGAGUGACUCUGAAAAAAACAUAAUAUCUAUGCUUUGUCAUGUUUCUAAGAUAAACCCUUUGAACCUUGGUAUUUCUAUGAGUUUUUAGAUUUGUCUGUUGAUAAAACUUUCUGCAUGCCUUUAUUUUCCGCUCACAAUCAUGUCUCUUUCAUGCGAUGGCCUUUCUGCCUUUCUUUGUACAAUUGAAGAAGUUGGUAGCUAGUUUUGAAAUCUUUUCUCACUUGUUUUGACAUAGACUUGACUCAAAGAUAAGAGAAAAUAAAAUGACAAUGAUUUUUAUGUGGAUAACUGACUCAAGAAAACAAAAAUAUAAAUAAAGAGAAGAAAGAAAAGAUAAUGAAUGUUCCCAUUUGAAACAAAAAUAAAACAAAAUAAAAAAAAUGAAAAAUUUAUCUAGAAAUGACAGUCAACUCUAAUGAUUAUGCCAUGUAUUUUGGAUAAAACUUCUUGAUCUUUUCAUCCAAACUUUUACCAUUUGUUCUUGAGUUAAUGGCCUUGAAACUGAGUUGCUUCCUUAGGUCAAUUACGUCUAAGACCUCAUUCGACUAGUGGCGCCUUGAAGGGUUUUGGCCAACAAGCUUCUCUCAUUUUCUUUUCCUCAGCUCACUAUUGUCUUAUGGUGUCUGUAAGGUUUUUCACUAAUUAGACUCUCUUAUCUUUGUUUUUCUUAACUCACAGUUAUCUUACGGUGCUCGUGAGAGUUUUCAUCAAUAAGACUCUCAUUUUUAUCUCUCUCAACUUACCAUCGUCUUAUGGUGCCCGUGAAGGUUUUUACCAAUAAGACUCUCAUUUUUAUUUCUCUCCUGAUUUCUUAUGCUGAGGAAGACAAGUAGUUCCCAAAUACAUCAUCAUAUCCCUUGCAUUCUUUGCCUCAACAUCCUCAAAUAUUGAUCUGAAGGUCUUUCUUUUGUUGUAACUUGGAUUUUGGACAAGGUUAGAAAGAAAGGAUGACAUGAGGCCCAAACGACACUUGUAGUGGGGUGGGACUUACAACUUUUGGAAUCGAUUCAAACAAUGAGGAUUCACUCAUGCCCCAGUUUCUUUUAACUAAAAAAUUCAAAAUUAUAUUUGGUUAGACCGAGCCCUGAGUAGGGAAGCCUACGUAUCUCACCCUCGAGAGAGGAGAAUUAGGUCAUGCGUAGUUCUGGCAGCUUGUUCUUUUGCUUAAUUCUAACUUUUCUUUCUUUUUUACUUUAUUGACUCUUUUCUCUUUGGGAUUUUUUUUCUGACUUCAUUUUCUUGACACUCUUCUUUUCUUUCUUUUUGGACACAUUUUUUUUUUUUUUUUUUUUAAGUUUUCUGACCUUUUUUUCAACACUUUUUCUUGGACGUUGCAGACUCUAUCCUGAUUCCAAAAGAGGGGUACGAAAGAAAAUAGAACUAAGGCUCAAAUAAGGUAAAAAAAGGAUGACACAAUAUUUGGAUAGCAGAAUGAAAUGCCUUCAUCAUAUCAAUUCUUGAAAAUGCAAGUACACACCAUGCAAUAUAAAAGUGAGAGAUGAAGAUCAUGUGUGACACUUUAACAACACAAACUUUUAACUGAGCAUGUGUGACACUUCUUUCUUCUAUACUUAUCAAACAUAUGACUCUACCGUUGUUGUAGAUCCCUCACAUUGAAUGACUCAUGAUUUCGUGGAGAUGAUUUUCUUCCCGUUUCAUUUGAUAUAGAUCACAUAUUCCUUGGUUGACCUAAUUGGGAUAUGCCUUUCGAUUGAUGACCAAGUUAUUCUUGUGAUUCUCAAAAUAAUUGCCUUAAUUUUCAAAGAAGGCCUCAACUUGUCACCAAAUGUCUCAGCACUCUACUUAUUUUCUCAGAUGCUUUCUUUUCCAAACUUUAACUCUCUGAUUCAAUGAUUCCUGAUUAAGUUGGAUUUCAAGAUCUGGCUAAAAAUUCUGUAGGCAUGUCAUAACACUAGAAUUAACAUAAAAUUCAUUGCGUAACACAGACAAACAAAGAACUUAAAAUAAGACAAAACAAACAAGGGACACCACAUUUCAUUGAAAGGAAAGAUAGAAGGGUUUAAACAAAAAUGACAGAGAAACAAAGAAGAUAGAUCCCGAACAACCCUGAAAUAAUUUGGAAAAUAGAAAAGAAAACAAAACAAACUACCAGACCUCUUCCUAGUAGGGAGAGAGGUGACUUCUCAACUGCUCAGCUUGACAACUUAGUCACUGGUUUGCAUAUCAGCAUGACUAAAACUUCCACAACGAUAAGACACAUUUUCUUUAACAAAUAAGUUUUCGGUCCUCAUGUUCAAAGCAUUGCUUCCCAUAUAUUGUGCAAUACCAUGUGCUGGCGAAUAAUUCUGUGGGAUGGUUGAGGUGCCAAUGUUUUGCACCACAAUCAAUUUUUCUUGAAUCAUCCUUGAUAUUUCUCUUUUCAAAGCGCGAAAAUUCUUAAUACUGUGACCCUGAACAUCAGAAUGAUAUGCAUAUCAUACAUUAGGAUCAAAACUUCUUGAAUGUGGGUUAGGAGUAUAACUGAGGAGAGGAGUGAUCAUGCCCCACUGUACUAAUCUCUGGAAUAAACUGGCAUAUGACUCUCCAAUUGGUGUAAAGCUAUCCCUCGAUUUCUGCCUCAUUUCAUUAUUUAGUUUUGAUCGAACCUCGGGCCUAGAAGGGCUUUGGUAUGUUUGUGGAGUUAGAGGGUGACUUUGAGGAGUUGGUGCGUGUCAUUGUGAAUAAAAAGAGAGUUGAACAUAUGGCUGUGCGCAAUAUACUAGAUAUGGUGGUGGGGAAAUAGAGUAUAAUAGAUUUUGGGAGGGAUUAUAGAGAGCUUGGGUAUGAACUUGGGCUUGAGACUAACGGUAACGAUGACGUCGCCUUCUUGGAUGUGCCUAUUCUUCAACUACAUUGACAAUUGCAUCUUUCUCAUUCUUCUUUCCUCUAGUUUCUCUUAAUUGAUUGUAAUAUUGUCCCAAAUAUUCCACGGAUUCCCCAUGUCUAUCUUGCUCCUCAAAUUUUGACAUCUUAAGGAUUGGAGGGGGGUUAACACUUGAAGACAUGCCCCAAUCUUUGUAUGUAACAUCUUCUUUACCCAUAAGUCCUAGGAAAUUUUUCGUAGCAUUUUCUGCAUUCUUCAUCUUCUCAACCAUUUUCUCUGGCUCUUCUGGCAUGCUAGGCUUCUUGUUAAAAAAUUUUGGUGGUCCAAUUAACUUAAAUGUAGGAUCAAGAGUCUAAUAAUGAUCACCAAGAGUAUCGAGCAUGGGUCCACUAACAACAUGGGGAAACACAACUGUUAGGCAUCUAGCCAAUGUGGAUGUCUCAGCGGAGGAUUGAGCACCAAAAUCACAGACGACAUGUGGUGUUGUAAAUAUAGUUGGCUUAUGCCGAGGGGCUAGAAAAAUAGUGGUGGAAGUAUUGAAAUUCUUUUGGCUUGGAAUGAAUUCUGAGGCAUGUUGUGGUGCAUCAACAACAUUAGAAUAUGGAGCUUGCCAUUGUGAUGGAGAACUCAGGUUAUUUGCGGGGUCAACAGUAGAGAAUGGAGGAGGAGGCAACUUACUGGCCCAAUCUCGAUGCAUUUCCGUCAUUUGUUGCCUUAGUCUCCUAAUCUCUUGCUUCAAACUCUCAUUUUCAUGGCUCUUUUUUUGAUCCACGAUUUCACUCUCUAUAUCCUUGUUGGAUACAACUAACUCUUCCUCGGAUUUGGUGUGAUGUGGAGGAUCAGCCAGGAUGUCACAAACCAAUCACCUUAAACCAAUCAACACUUUCUCAAACUUUUUUUAGUUUUUUCUUUUUUUUUGAAAAAGAUUACCGAAUCCAAAAAGGGCGCCUACGUAUCUCACCCCCGAAAGGGGAGAAUCAGGUGUGCGUAGUUCGUGAAGUUUUUCCAAAAUGGCCAAUUAAACUAUUUUUCUUUUUUUUUUCCUUGUAACUUUAAAAAGAAAAGAAAAUAACAAAUUGUCAAAAGAAUUAAUGAAAAUCUUUUUGCAUUUUUCAGGUUUAAACUCAUUAUACAAAAUGGAAUCUAUGAUUAUCAAAGAAAAAUCUUUUUGGAUUUUCAAUUUUGAAUUUCAUAGGAAAAUGAAACUUGAAACUAUUAAAGAAAAAUCUUUUUUUAGUUUUCUUUUGGAGAUGUAUAUGAAACACCUAUUCUAAGUGAAGAGUGAAGAAAAUCUUUUUGAAUUUUUCAGAUUCCUGUACAACAUGAAAUCUGUGAUUACCGAAGAAAAUAUUUUUGGAUUUUUGAUUUUGAAUUUCAUACGAAAAUGAAACUUGAACCUAUUCAAGGAAAUAUUUUUUUUGUUGUUUUCUUUUAAAGAUGUACAUGAGACACCUACUCUAAAUGAAGAGUGAAGAAAAUCUUUUUUGGAUUUUUGAAAUAAGAUCUCCGAACCAAUAAUAGGCUACCUACGUAUCUCACUCCCAAGAGAGGAGAAUCAGGGGUGCGUAGUUCGUCCAAAUUGGACAAUUAAGGAUUAACUAGAAAACUGAACCCUGAUUUAAGAGACAUUAACAAAGAUAAACGAUAAAAGACGUUAAAAAAUAGUUUUUUUUUGGGGGGGGGGGGGGGUUUCAAUUAGACACUUCACAUAAAACUGACACCGAUAACUAUGAAAGAAUUUUUUUUUGAAAAUUUUGAAUUAUGAAUGCAGGACAAAGAAAUAAAAGGAAAAUCUUUUGGAUGUUAUUUUUUAGGAAAAUGAGUGCGAAAGGUAAAAAAAUCGUUUGAAUUUUUGGAUUGUGAAAAAAAAUAAUCAAAAGCCAUAAAGAAUUCUAAAAACUUACGAAACACUUUUUUUCUUUUCGACUCACUUUUUCUUUUUUUUUCCUCUUUUUUUUUUCAAUUUUUCCUUGCCUACAUACUCGAUUUUUCUAGCACAUGCUCUCCUCCAAAUCAAUUCGUCAAAUGACCAUAUUACCCUUAAAGAUGCAACAUUUAGCACGCAGAGAUGCUUUAGAGGUGAGUUUCCUACAAAAGGCCACGUGAGUCCUACUAGGUCUCAAUAUGAUGCAGAUAAGCAUGAUCUAAAGGCUGACCUACGCUGGGGUUCACUAACAAGGCUGUUCGGGGGUGCAUAUGGUCGACAGUGGUUGCGAUAUCUUUCCACCCACUCCAUAACAUCGAUGGAUCCCCCUCCAAAAAUAAGAGUGACUCAACUAGAGGUCGUGGACAACACGUGUACUAUGGACUUGUUACAAAAAGAAUGACUUAGAUUAUUCACAUGAUGCCAGAUAUAAAGCGGUAACACAUAAAGUAAAACUAUAAACAAAGAGCACGUAGGCACUCAACACUGAUAAAAUGAAUACGAACAAUAACAUAAACAAUGUCUAUACACCCAUAAUGUCAAACAAAGCCGAUACAACUCCAAAAUUAGCUCGAAUUCUGAAAAGUCCCCAGCAGAGUCGCCAGAGCUGUCACACCCCUUUUUAACUCCAAAAAGAUUAAAUUUAAGUUUCGAAAGGGUUUUCAUUAUUAAAGUGACAAAAAAUGAAAAUUUUGUUUCGAAAAGGAUUAUUCACAUUUAUACUCAGAGUCGCCACUUGGCACAAAUCAGGUGUGCCAAGUCACCCAUGGAUAUCCUUUUUCAAAAUGGUUUUGACUCUAUAAAACUAAUCCGCAAACAGAGAUUCUGACUAAGAACUUCUGUUGACCGGGGGGAAGGUGUUAAGCACCCUUCGAUCCCGUGGUUCGACCACGGUCGCUUGGUGGUGAAUAUCAGCUAAUUUGACAUUACAAAUGUAUAAACCACACAAAAACACAUAAAACAAUCAAACAAACAAACAAAAUAAAAUGAAUAACAAAUAUAAUGUCCAGUCCAAUUAUACAGUCCUGAAAUAAAUAAAAAUGCAAAAAUAAAUCCUAUCUAACCUAUACUAAUCCUAACUACGCUCCCAGGAUUUAUCCGAUGCCUCGGGCCUUGAUCACAAUUCGCCUUCGCCAACAUGAUACGUCGGGGCAUUCUUCGGUGAAUAAAUACAUCAAUGUUUGGGGCAUUCUCCGGCCAAAUGAAUACAUUUCAAUCCAAAAAAAUAAAUCAACACAUUUCAACAAAACACUUUCAUCAUUUAACGAUUGCAAGUCCUACUUUUGCCUACCCGAACCUACUCUUUACUUAUCCAAUUCGACCGAUCACGAUACUAUCACAUCAACGAUGUUCAAUGAAUCAAAAUAAAUUAACGCUUACAUUUUAUCAAUUUUCGAUUCCCACCCUCCAAAAUUCAAUUCAAGGUUUCCACAUAAUCAUUCACAGUUAUGAUUUUUCAACAAUCCUCGAACACUAUCAAUGAAAUCAAACGACAAAUUGAAAUCAUGAAGUAUUCAUAUCAAAUCAUGCCUCGCAUAAAUAAUCACAUAUAGUGAAAUUAAAAAUGAGAGGUGAUAGAAUUGGACCUUCGAUCAAGCUUUUUUAAAUUGGAAUAAUCCUUUCGACUAAAAUCGCAAACGGAACCUCAACUCAACCUUCAACAAAUGAGAACCCCAAAUCGAUAACGUCCCUAUCGAAUUCCACCCGUACCCUCUCCUAUUUUUCACUAAUCCAAGGCCCGAAGUCACAAACUAACAAAAAACCCACACUGAACAGUAAAGUUGGGUCGGUUUUGGCGGUUUCCCAAUAGUUUUCGUCGGAGUUGGGAGGGGAUAAAAUUGGUGGCAUUCACUGGUGGAGAGGGUGUUUUCCGAUGAGUUUGGAUGCGUUUCCUAGUGAAAAACAGGCACCGGAAUAGUGCUAAACUUUCCCUCUGUUCUUCUUCUAUUUCACUCCAUUUCUUUUCUUUUUCAAUCAAUUUCAGCUCGCCAUUGCCUUUCUCUCUCUCUCUCCGAUCUCACGUGUCUGGUGUUUGUAUACGGUGUGUAUGUGAAAAUUUGAUGGAGUGUGAAAUUUUGUGUGUGCUGUGCCUGUAUAGAUUUUUGUCAGUAGAAAAAUGGAAGAUGAAAUGGAGAAUCUCGUAUGUGCGUGUGUUUUUUGUGUUUUCUGGCGAGAGAGUGUGUGUGUAUAACGUGAAGAAGAGAGCAAUGAAGUCUCUGUGUUCUAUGCGUUUCUCCUUUUUUCAGUCCGCCCCCUUUCCCUGUGAGUGUGUAUAUGUAGCGUAUGAAAAAUCAAGAAUGAAAACUGUGAGGUGAGUGUUGUGUGAUGGUAUGUGGGACCUUCCUUUUUUUUGUUGUAUUUGUCUUUCUGUUAUUAUAACAAAAGAUGGAAAGUAUGAAUUGGGGGUAGUCACGUGGCAGGCGUAGGGAUGGUGAGUUGAGGGUGUUAGGAUAGGAUAAAAUUAGUUAAGGGUUGUUAUUUUUUGUAUUUUUGUAGGAUAUAAUCAUAUGGGUGAGGACACGUAUUAAGACGAGGGUAAAAUGAUAAAAAUGAUUUUUGGGAGGGAUAAAAUUACGUGUCUACAAUUGUUAUGUGACAAAAGGUGAAAAUUUGUUCCAAAAAAAGAAUUAUUUUUACUUUCAAAACUCAGAGUCACCACUUGACAUAAUUCGGUGUGUCUAGUCACCUUUGAAAAAUCCUUUUCAAAAUGAUUUGACUCUUUAAGAAUGGUUUUUGAACAGAGAUUCCGACUAAGAAAUUCUGUUACCGAGGGGAGGGUAUUAGGCACCCCUCGAUCCCGUGGUUUGACCACGGUUGCUUGGUGGAGCAUAUCGGCUAAUUUAACACUACGAAUGAAUAAACCACAUAAAACACAUAAAAAUAAUCAAUCAAACAAACCAAACAUACGAAUCCCAAAAUACAGUGUACAGUCCAAUUAUACAGACCCAAACAUAAAAAAUGCGGAAAUGUAAACCUACUCUAUUCUAAACUAAUCCUAAGCUAAUCAUAAAUCAAACUCCACCCGACGUUCCGGGCCUUGACCGUGCGCCGUCUUCGAGUACAAGAUACUUCGGGGCAUUCCCCGGAUAAAUCGAUACAAAUCCCUCAAGCCAUUCUCCAGCCAAAUGAGUACAAUUUUUUAAUACGAGAAAAUCAAAACAUUCAACCAAAUUUCAAACAUUCAACCAAACAAAAGAUUCUAAAUUUUGCCUACCCCAACCUACGUUUGCCUACCCAGCUCGGCCUAUGAUUCUAUCAUGUUCAACAAUAUUCAUGCUAAUUCUGAAUUAAAUGAAACAACAAUAAACCAAAAUUAAUCUAAAUUCACCUUUUUUUUUUAUCAAUUUCUCAAUUCCACCCCCAAAUUCCUUUUCAAUACAAACCCACAUUCAUAUUAUCAUCACCUACAAUUGAUAUCAAUUAUUAAAAAGAAAACAAUAUCCAAUCAUCACCCAAAUCAUCCAAACAAAUAGGACAAAGGCAUUGAAUCACAUCCACAAUCACAUCAAAAUUAAAAUAAAGAGAGAUAUGAAAAAAUUGGACCUCAAAUGAAGCUUUCAAACUCAAUAUUAUUUGAAUAAAGAGAGUCUGCAUCCGAAAACCUCCAAUGAACCUCGAUGACGAAUUCAGUCCAACUUCGAUAUAUUUAACUCCAACAAAAUCACAAAUAAAAUAGAGAAGGCACGAACCCAUUUCCUUAUGCAUGAUUUUGUCUCAUCGUUCUCCAACAGGUUUUAAUGGAAAAAGGGAAGGAAUAGGCUGUUUGGGUCAAAAAAUAAGGACGGGGGAAGUCAGUUUGUUGUUGUGACUUCGCCGAAGCUCCGGCGAGCUUUGGCAGUGACGAAAAUCGGAGAGUGGGUCGCGUUUUUUGUUGUUUCAACAUUUUCCAGCGAGAAAUUUGCCAAAAACAGUCAAACCCAAUGCCUUUUUCUCUCUGUUCUUUUUGAUAUUUUCGAUCAGCCUCCCUCUCUUUAUUCUCAGUUACGAUCUCUCUCUCUCUGAUCGAUUUUAGCUCUCCCUCUCUCUUCGAUCUCACAAUUUCUCCCUCGCUCGAAUCUCUUGUUCUUUAUCUCCCUCGUCUCUCAUUUUCUCCACCCCGUGCGUAUAAGUGUGUUACUGUGUUUAUGGUAAGGAUCAGUAAUGGGAAUAAGUGGUGUGUGAAAUAAAAUGGAAGGGGAUCUUUUGUGCUUCCUCUUCGUAAAUGGCAAUGGUGAUGGGUAUAUGUGAUAGUGAAUUAUGGAGAAGAUGGAUGUUGAUGGUGUGGAUCCUCCAGGGUAAAAGAAAAUAUGGCAUGAGGUAUCUGUUCUUUUUUAAGUGGAGAGGUUGUUGGGAUGUUUAAAAGAAGAUAAAAUUUGUUAGAAUUUGUUAAAUGGGAUAAAGAUAAAAAUAAAUAAAUAAAUAAAAUGAUGAGGUGGUUAUUUAUUUUGUUUUUCUUGUGAAAAAAUUACCACGCAGAUAGGAUACGUGGUAAGACGGGAUGAACGGUAAAAAAUGCUUUCGGAAAGGGACAAAAUUACGUGUCUACAUGUCCUACUAGUCUCAGCCAUAUGCAUUCUCUACUUGCUUCAUGGAUUGCUAUUAUCUUCGUAUGAUUAUAAGAAGUAGCAACGAUGGACCGCUUUGUCGAUCGCCAUGAUAUUGCAGUACCUCCAUAUGUAAAUACAUAGCCUGUUUGGGACUGUGCUUUAUGUGGGUCAGAUAAAUAACCUGCAUCCGCAUAACCAACAAGAACUGGACUAGCUUUGUUAGUAUAAAAUAGACCCAUAUCAACAGUCCCUUCUAGGUACCUCAAUAUAAGUUUUACUCAGUUCNNNNNNNNNNGUGUAGGGGAGGAACUAUACCUAGCUAGCAAAUUAACAGAAAAUGCUAUAUCCGACCUUGUAGCAUUAGCAAGGUACAUUAGUGCACGAAUAGCACUGAGAUAUGGUACUUCAGGACUAAGAAUCUCUUCACCCUCUUCUACAGGUCGGAAUGGGUCUUUACUUACAUCAAGUAAUUGAACAACUAUUGAAGUACUUAAUGGAUAUGCUUUGUCCAUGUAAAAACGUUUCCAAACCUUCUGGGUAUAUGUAGUUUAGUGGAUGAAGAUUCCGUCUGUUAAAUGUUCAAUUUGCAGACCAAGACAAAGUUUUGUCUUUCCAAGAUCUUUCAUUUUGAAUUCUUUCUUUAGAUACUCGAUUGCCUUUUAGACCUCUUCCGAAGUCCCCUAGGCAGAAAUAUAGUAGCUCUUCCGGAGCCUUCGAUCAAUUUUUAUUUUCCAGCAAUUAUUGUAACAUUUGCUCUUCUUCUAAGUAAAUGGGAAAAGUAUUUCUCAUCUUUAAAUAUUGCAUGUGUGGUCCCACUAUCAAUUACACAAAUAUCGUCAUGAUCGAUUAUUGAUCCAAAUAAGACUUGAGGAGUAUUCAUAUUUUCUUCAAAAUAAAAAUUUGAAUAAAAUAAAUAUUAUAAUAUAACUAGCACAUAAUAUCAUGCAUUUACACAUUAUUUUAUUUUAUAUCCAUACUUUAAUUGCAGCUGCGUUCUAAACAAUCAACAUCUCGAUUACAUAAUAGUUUUGCUAUUAUUAACCAUGCGCAUCUAAAGUACACAUAUUUAAUAUUGUAUGUAAUAACAUGAUCUAUUCCCUACUCAUUUUAAUUUCAUAAUAUGUCUUCUAUGAAUAUUCAUUACUGCAAUAAAUAAUUCUAGUCAUAACGUUAGCUACAAAAUUAUGUAUCUAAAUUUAAAACUCCAUUAAUUUAAUUAUUACUAUAUUAUCAUGUAGAUACCUAAUAUUAAAUUUUAAAAAAUGCUUUGUUACACUAUAAAUGCACAUUUAAUUAUUACAAAUAAAAAUUUAUUUACAUACCAGAUUAGAAAAAUAUUAAUAAUAGAAAUAUAAGCUAAUUUAACUUCAACAAAAAAUUAACAUAAUCGAAUUAUAUCAUUAUUAUCACCUACAGGGUGAUCUACUUAUUCUUCAGGAACAGCAAAGAAAUCUGACAUUUUCAAGUCCAUAGGCUCAACAUUAUCUUCUAGGAGGAAGUUUGUUUCAACAUCAUUUUCUGGCUUUUUCAGGGACGUCUGAUAUAGUUUUACUAGAUGCUUAGGCGUAUGACAGGUACGCUCCCAGUGCCCCUUUCCUCCAUAUCGAUAACAUCUAUUUUCAGGGUUCGUCCUUGGUGCUACUUCAGGAGCUUUACCCCUUUUUUUGCACAGCUGGUGCUGAGGGUUAUUGUUUAUUGCAAGACGAUUAUCCUAAUUGAAAUAACUGUCACGACCACGACCACGACCUUGACCUCGACCACGACUGGGGUCAGGUUUCUUUCACGCCAAGUUGGGUGAAAAUUUGUAGCAUUCACUUCUGAAAAUGGAGCAGUACCAGGAGGCCAAGUUUUAUUAUUUUUUAUUAAAAGAUCAUUAUGUUGUUCAGCAACAAGAAGAUGACCAAUUAAUUCAGAAUAUUUUUUGAAAUCCAUUUCUCGGUACUGCUGCUGCAAGACCAUACUCGAGGAGUGAAAAGUAGAAAGUAUUUUCUCUAUCAUGUCGUGAUCCGUCAUACUUUCCCCACAUAAAUCAAACUUCAAUUUAAUUCUAAAUAUCGCAGAAUUAUAUUCAGUUACAUUUUUAAAGUCCUGGAACCUUAAAUAGGUCCAUUCAUUACGAGCUUGUGGGAGUAUGACCAUCUUCAGAUGGUCAUAUCUUUCCUUUAAAUUGUUCCACAAUGUAAGGGGAUCUUUGAUCGUGAGGUACUCCAUUUUUAACCCUUCGUCAAGAUUAUGACGAAGAAACAUCAUGGCCUUGUCCUUAUUUUGAUCUGAUGUCUUAUUAUCAUUUUUAAUGGUAUCUAUCAAACCCAUUGCAUUUAAAUGUAUUUCUGCGUCUAGUGUCCAAGACAUAUAAGUUUUGCCAGAUAUGUCUAGGACACUAAAAUCGCGUCUGAAAAUAUUAGUCAUUAUUUAAGAAAAUAAAAUACUAACCUUUAAAUACCUUCGAAAUGGUUUUGCAGAGGCUCGUGCUGAUAAUGUGAUAUAAAUUAAGUAUAUGUAACCAAACUAAUUCACCAAAUAAACAAAGAAAGUUGUUGUAGUAGAUAUCUUUUUAAUACUCUUUCUCAUUACAGAGAGGGCUAUUUAUAGCCAAAAUGAAGAGGACAAUUAUAUUUCUAUUACAUAGAAGAGGUGGUUUCGACCACCUCUUAUCCAAUUACCAAAAUAUCCCUUUACUCCCACUUAAUUACAUACCUAUAUCCCAAUAUAUAAUAAUUUUAUUGUUUCAACAUAAUGAUUUAAAUAUUUAAUAUAUUCUAUUAAUUUAUAUUAAUUAACUAUAAUUACAUAUUGAAAGUAAUUUUUUUUUAAUUGGCUAUCAUGUUCAAAACUAAUUUGUUACCACAAAUCACAAUAAUUAAUAACUUAAAAUAUUUAAAAGACAUAUAGAAAUUUUAUUGACUCUCAUUAUUUUAGCAUUGCCGCAUAAAUUGAGACAAAAGAAAAAGUAUUGCAAAUCAUAAUAGUUAACAACUUAAAAUAUUUAAAAAAUAUAUAAAAAUUUUAGUUGACUCUCAAAAUUGUAUCGAAGACACAUAAAUUGGGAUACAAGGAGUAAAUAUAUUAGUCGAUAAUUACGUAAAAAUUAUUAUAAAUCACAAUAAUUAACAAGUUAAAAUACUUUUUUAAAAAUAGAUAAAAGUUCUAUUCAACUCUCAAAAUUUUAUCAGUGCAGCAUAAAUCAUGACAAAAUAAAAAAUUAUCUUAAUUAAUUGCAACUAAAUAUUUAAAGUAAAUCAAUUUAUAAUUUUAAUUGACUUUUAUAUAGAAAAUUAAUCUUUUCAUUUAUUUAUUUAUUUUCUAAGCUCAAUUUGAUAAUUUUUUUAGCAUUAUUUUUUGAACCUCAUCAAAAAUUUUAAUGAAAGCCCAUUCUUUUCUCUUUAAUUACCAACAAUGCCAUCUAAGAAAUUUACCAUAAUGCCAUCACACAUGGCCUUGCAUAUUUCUAUAUUAUAUUCACGCAUAUGGGCCCUCUAUCUUCCAUUUAUUUUUCAUUCUUAGUAUUUAUCUUUUUAUGUGUAAAAUUGUUUCAAAUAUAUUAUAUUUAAGUAAAUUAAUUAGUAAGAUGGUAAUUUAUUAUAAAAAUUAAUUAUAAUUGAUACAAUUAAAUAAAUUUUGUUCUUUAUUUAAUUUCAUAUCAAACAUAUAAUUUACUUUCAUUCUUAUUUGUUACUACAAUUUCACCUAAUUUAAUUUUUUUUAAAAUAAAUUUCUAACGAAUAUUUCCUUAGAAUUUGUGCUGGGUCAAUAUGUAUCAAGUUAAAAAGAAAUAAAGAAAAAUAUAUAGUAAAAUUUUAUUACUGUGAAAGAUAAAUAUAAUGUACUAUCCAAUAAUUUUUAAUAAUAUCAUACUUUGCAUAUGCAAAUAUAGCAUCCUGUAUUUAAUUAAUAUACUAUUUCGGUGAAUUAUCUAUGAUUACUAUUGGAUAUGAUAAAAUUAUAUUAAUUUUUAUAGUAAUAACAUAAUCAAUCUCUCUUAAUUAAUUAUUAUCAGUCAUCUAGGUAUUAAGAAAAUAAAUAAUAUUUAAUGAAAAAUAAAAUAAACAGAAAAUGCAAAAUUAACUCUUGAUGUUUUAAAUUAAAAUUUCAUCUUUCGAAUGAUGAUUUUACUAUAUCAUUCCUUAUUAUAAGUCAUUUAUGUAUUAUAAAAAUAAGAAUAACAAAAUGAUAUGUCAACAUAAAAUAUUUGAUUAACUAUCAAAAUUAUAUUGGUGCCACAUAAAUUGGGACGGGCCAUAAGAAGAUAUAAAACAACAUAUAUUAUUUGAAAAUGAAAUAAAAAGUACUGUAAAUAACAAUAAUUAACAAUUUUUUUUUUUAAAAAUUGAUUGAUUUCUGCUUCAGCUGCUUCAAACGUGAUUUUAAUGUACAGUGAUGUUUAAAGAGGGUAAAAUGACAUAAUGAGAUUUAAAGAGGAUAAAAUGUAUGCAGUAAAGUGUGAGAAGAAUAAAGCAUAAGUAAAUUUUAUUACUAUAUUUUAAAGAAAUUAAAGAAAAGAAGUAUAAAAAAAAAAAACUUCGCACUUUCUUAACAUUAGCAAAUUUUCUAUCAAAUAUGUGUAGCCAUCUUUCUCAACUUUUUACAGCUCCUCAAUAUUAAUUAACAUUUCUCUGUUUUAAAAAUAAAAUAAAGAAAAGAAAAUCUCAACUCUUCCUUCUCUAUUAAAAAACAACACUCUUUUUCUGUGUUAAAAUUAAUAAUUAAACAAAACAAUAGCGAAUCUAAGGUGUGUAUUCUCUUUAUCGGGUAAGUUUACAUGAUUCUUAAUCUUUGCGAUAUUGAAAAUCAAUAAUCUGCUGGAUAUUUGAUUUAAACUAUUUCAUCAGAUUUGCGCCUUUUUUUUCUUUAUAUUUCUGAUCGCAAAAUUCAACAAGAAGGUUAAAAAAAGGUUUCAAUUGUGAUCCCCUCAGCUCAAUCAUACUAAUGAAAAUAUUCUACUGCUCAAACUUUCUACUCCAAGAUAAAUCCUACAACUUAAAAUUUGCAAUCCACAUGUUCUACUGUUGGGUCCGUGAUGAGACGGGCCUUGCACUUCUAGUAUUAAAAUAAAAGGAAGUGAGAGAUGACUCACUCCAUUAAAAUAGUGGAUACAUGGAUAUCUAGUCAUAUUCCGUAACAAAUGACUGAUUCUUAUUGACUUUUUAUUUUUUAUUUUUUAUUUUUUGGGAACUCUAAAGAAACUCACAAUCUCUGUAUCACGGCCACUAUCCUUCGGAUGAGUAUUCUGUGAGAGAUCCUUUGUGGUAAUCUGCUCAUUGUGCAAUAGCUCACAAAUCACAUACAAAUGUAAACUGCACUAGGCAAGUUUCAUUCGACGAGCUCAUGGUUGAGCGACAGAUGGGGGCUGGAUUCGGAGCCAGAUUUUCCUCACGAGAGACCCACCUCCUAGCUCAACUAUGCUCUUAUAGGUCGAUACUGUUGUUUGUCGGAUUUAGUAAAAUUUGUAUUUUAUAACAAUAACUUCAAACACAUGUUCAAGAACAAAUAAAUUAAUUUUUCAAUCCAAUAUUUGAAUUGACUUCGAGUGAUAUUGGAAUAAGCAAUAAUGAAAACAUGAUUAGUUUUUUAUGUUAAUUGAGUAAUUUAACAAAUUAUUACUUAAUUUGUUAAAUUAGAAAAAAAAAGUUAUUACCAUGUAUAAAUAGAGAAUUGUUAUAAAUGUAUUUAUGUGAAUGUUUAUCAAGAAUAUAGAUAAGAUCUAUCAAGAUCUAGUUAAUAGCUAUUAGGAUAUGAAAUAUCUAUCUUACUAGGAGUAUAGAGGAGUUUUGUUAAUAGAAUCCUUAAUCUGAUAAUCUUUCAUCCCUCAAAAGAGAAAUAAAGAAGCCUCCUCUCUUAUCUCUUUAUUUAUUCUUGUUGUUCUUACUUUAUAUUUUAUAACACAUUAUCAGCACGAAUCUCUACCAUUACAAAAUAAAAUUGAGGUAAAUGGCUCAGCAUGAGUCUCUGGCAUUAAAAAGAAAUUGAGGUAAAUGGCUAGUAAUAUUCUUACAAGCAGCAGGAACGUGCAUAGGUAAGUGACAUUAAAUUUUGGGUCGUUGAUUUCAAACAAAAGGAUGUCAAAAUUAAAAGGCUAUAUCAUUAUUUUACUUUUAUAUUAAUAUAUAUUUUAAGAGAGCCAUUACUAACAAAUGGAUUUAAUUCAGUUAGCAUGUGCUUUACUAUAUUAUUUUUUUAAUACAUGAAUGUUUCAAUGAUAUAUGACUAAUGAUAUGGAAUGUUAGAAUACAAGUAUAGCACUUAAAUAUAAACAGUCAAUCCUUUGUCUCUAUUUAAUUCUCAAGUUUCUAGUAAACUUUGAAAGCUUUAUUCAUAUUUACUAGGUAUGAUUUUCUUUUGUUAUUUAUUUAUAUAUUUGUUUUGAUCAUUAAAAGUGUCUAAAAGUAAUUGUACUUCGUAAGAUCAAGUAGUACUUAUUUUGAAGUAUGAAAUACUAUAAAAGAUAUGGGGUUGAAUCCCAUGAAAGUUUUGGCCUAUUGUAUCAUUGAAUGUGUAAGACGGUAGAUUUAAGUUCUAUCGCAUCAAAAGGGUAAGUUAUUGGGUUAGAGUCCUGAUGCACCAUGAUGAUAAGAUGUUGGGUUUAAGUCCCAUUAAUUUAUGUCAAAGACGUCUUUAUAUGGAUAAGACAACGUUGAAUUUGUAUGCACCAUAUUGAUGAUAUUAAUAUGGCUAAGGCAAAAUAAUGUGUAUUUGGUGAAAAGUAUGUAAUAUGCUCCAUUUUAUGAAGUGAAUGUUGUAGCAAUAUAUGAUAAGUCUGAAAGAUGACAAUUUGCUCCAUUCUUGAAGUGAAUGUGGUAGCAAUAUAUAAUACUCAUUGAAAGAUAUGUAUGCCUCGAUGUGCUCUUGAAGUGACAAUAUCAUGAAAGUGGAUAUAAGUAGUGGCGGACCUAGGAUUUAAGGAGUGUGGGUGCUUAGUAAAAAAAAAAUUACCUCAACCAAGUCUGAACCCGAGCACACCUAUCAGUGGGGAGGCUUAAGAUCAACCUAAAUGCUAGUGCACCUAACCAACUUCUUGUUUAGGGGGUUCUAUAUAAUUUAUACCUAUUUUCAUAUAUUUUUUUAUUGAAUUAUACCUAUUGUGUGUCGAGUUUAAUGGGUGCCGGAGCACCCUAAUAAUAUGUGUAGGUCCGCCCCUGGAUAUAAGCUAUCAAAAUUUGAUAGAUUUAAGACACGAUUAUAUUCUAUUCCUGGGGAAUGAGGAUUUCGAUUGUUUCAAUACAAACGUACACUUGAUUGUGAUGAUAUCAUAACUCACCUUCGAAUGAGGCAGAAUAACUGAGAAGAAUUAUUUUGAAAUCUACUUCUGAAGUAGUAAAUCUGAAAUUUACUAAAGUAAAAUGCACAUGUCAUGGUAAACGUGGAGUUUAUAAAUUGACAUGAAUGAUUUCGACAUCCCAAAGAUGUGCAUAGUGAGUAUUAAACAUAUAUUGAAGAACUAAAAAAUUCUUCAUGAAUUUUUAAUGUUGCUUGUUCUAAUGGUAAGUUGGUUGGACAAACUAAUAUUGAAAUUUGAUCCCUCAAAAUCUGAAAAGUUAAAAGGUGAAUAUGGGCCCAUUCAUCUUAUUAUGUGAUUUAUUAAGAUGCAUCGAUAUAAGAUGAUCACUUGUACGUUUAUUGUCAACCUGCAGUUUGACAUUUAUAAAGUUGUUGCUCAAUAAAAUUGAGUUAAGAGCAUAACUUUCAUAUUGUGUAAUUAAGAUAAUUCAUCUUGAUGAUGGUUUGGCAUUGAAUGUCUUUGAUAAAUAGCUAAACCAUUGCUAAUGAGAACAAAGCUUCAUGUGUUGGUUUGAAAGAUGACUAUAUACAAAAGUAUUUGCGUACAUAAAAUCAAUUAAUUAUAAUUAAUUCCCCUAUAAAAUUGGUUCUGAGUCAUAAACCACACAUUGUCCAUCUAAUAAUUUUGAUGUGCGGUAUUAUACGAUUAAUGAAUAUACCAUAACGCAUAAAGAUGGAUUCCUUAAAGAAAGAUGUAUGUUGGUUUUCUUAACAUAAGGGGGAGAUUAUAAGUAGCUAAGAAAUAUGUUAGGAAUUAUGACCAGAUUCUCAUUCAAAAGAUAAUUCAAGUUAAAUGCCGAAAACAUUCUCAUAACAUCUCAUAUUUAAGCUGCAAGUGCUCCUAUUUUAUGUCCCUAAAGGAUAAAAAUUAUGUAUGCGUGAAACGUGGUAGACCAAUCGAUUCCAAAUAAAAUAAUCCUUGAAAAGGAUAAGGAAUAAAUGAUCAUAACAAGAAGGCAAUGUGCUCUUGAAUAGCCUACGACAUAACACUUCAUAAAAUCUUAUAAGAGGUUCAGGUACCUGAAAAUAAUGAAGUGAUGAGAUCUCAAAAUAUUAUGUCAUAUUGUGAAUCGAUAUGAAAUGAUAUAUCGUCAAUAUAUUUAAUACAAUAUUUUCGUAAUAUUGUAAGAGAUUACGAGGAUCUAAAUUCUACGUUUAUUUAAGCAUACUGACGUAGAACAUUUAUCAAGUGACAUGAAAGAAUGCAUCUUGGUAAACGUAAAAUUUAUUUGAUUUGCAGUUCAGACACUUGAAGAUGUUGCACAUGAUAUGCUGAAUACUAUCACUUGAUAAAAUUUAUAUGAAAAUUUUUAAAGAUUCAAAAUAUUUGAAACAACUAGCAAUUUCUGAAAAAGUUAUUUAUAAUCCUUAUAUUGUAUAAACUUAUACCUUGAAAAUUAUUGAAACUCUUGGAGAGUUUUCAAAAGCAAUAGAUUAUUUGUUGAAAUGAGAAAUAUAUCGAAUUGUAUUGAUUGGUUAUGAAGUACCAUAUCUUAGAGCAAGUGGUGCACUAGUGUAUCUUACAAAUUCUACAAGGCCUGAUAUAGGCUUCUCAAUUAAUUUAUUAGCAAGGUAUAUUUUUGCUCCUACUAGGAGACAUCAAAAUAGGAUAAAAGACAUGAGCUUAUUCUAUUCUAAAGAUUAAAGUCUCGGUCUUGUUGAUUAUGUUGAUGUGUUCACAUGUAGAGAUACUGCUAUAUCUUGGAGAUAUCCGAAACAGUCUAACAAGCCACUUCAUAGAACUAUGUUGAGAUAAUUGCUAUUCAUGAAGUAAGACGAGAGAAUAUGUAUGAUUGAGGUUCAUGAUACAUCUCAUUCGAGAAAAAUAUGGUUUAAAAUGUGACAUGUACUCAUUAUUUUAUAUGAAGAUAAUGUAGCAUACAUAGCACAACUUAAAAGAGGAUUCAUAAAAGGGAGAUAGAACGGAACACAUUUCGCCAAAACUUUUCUAUACACAUGAGUUACAAAAGAAUUGUGAUAUUAAUGUGCACCAGAUUCGUUCAAGUGAUAAUGCGGUUGAUUUAUUCACCAAGUCUCUUUCGACUAUAAUUUUCAAGAAGAUGGUGCACAAGAUCGGAUGCAAAAAUUCAUUGAUGUUCUCAUCAGAGGAAGCAAAUACGCGUUAUAUUCUAUUUUCUCUUUCAAGGUUUUGUCCUAUUGGGUUUCCUUGUAAGGUUCUGGGUUAACCUUGUAAGGUUUUUAAUGAUUCAACCAAAAUGUGUGAUGUGUACUCUUUUUUGUUCACUAAAAGUGUUAUAAAUGUAGUUACAUUAUAGUGAAUGUCUAUGUAACGAUCCGGGACUACCCCUAGUCGCUACACGGUGCUUACGACCCUGAAGGAUCACAAGUUAACCCAUGAAUGAUAUCUGUUGUGAGAACUGAAUAAUAAUACUUCAAUUAAUGCAGAAAAUGGGCUAAAAUACCAUAAGGUUCAAAACAUUUAAAAUACUGAUAAUGAAUAAUAACAUCUAAAGCUGAAAUACUGUUUGAAAAGCCUUUAACUAAAAUUAUCUGAAAGUGGAGUUGAUGGGAUAAGCCCCCAACUAACUCUGACUAUUGAGCUACUACUAAAUUUAAAUACUGAAUUAAGAAGCAUAUCCUCAAUAGAUAAGGACUCACUGCUAAAUCUGCUACUGUUGACUGAAUCUGGCUAAGCGCUGUCAGGAACAUGAGCAUCCGAACCUAUGAUAUAAAACAUCAUAGCACAAGAAACGAGUAUGCGAUCAGUACGUGGGAAUGUACUGGUAUGCUAAAUGAGGUAAGGCUGAAUGCAAGGGUUCAUAUGCAUAAACAAUAACUGACUAAAUGAUAUAGAGUAACUGAAUAUAAUAGUACGUGUAUACUAUAACUGAGCUUUUCCGAAACUAAGUACUGAGUUCUAAUAACUGUAUAAUUGAUAUAUGAAGUUACUGAUAACUGAUUUACUGAUACUUAUUGACUGUAGCUGAUAGUCCUGAUACUGUAGAACUGAACUGAUUUCUAGACUGAAGACUAAAACUGUGGGAGGUAAUCAUCUAACUGACAUGCCCCAAUAAGAUAAAAUACUGAGUUGGGGUCCAAUCUGUAACCCUAAUUAGAAGGGUGUCGGUACCGUGCCACGGAUAAAAACAACUGUUGUGGAGUCGGUCCUAACUAAUGGGUGACCCCUAAGAUCAGUCCUAAACUAACGGGUGAUCCCUGAGCAUGUCAGUCCUAUCUAAUGGGUGACAUCUCAUAACCUACGCUGGCUAUGUAGUUCUAGAACUUAUGGAUUGAUUCUAGGGACCCAGUCCUAACUGAAGGAUGAGACCCCAUCCCUAGGCUCACUCGGUGCUGAAUCCUACUCCCAACUGAAUAGACAUUGAAUUGAUUAUACUGAACUGGACUUGGACUGAUACAGAGUUUACUGAGUUUUCCUGAGUUCUACUGAUCAUGACAUGACUGAUACUAUUCCGUAACUGACACAGGCUCUAGAUAAACAACUAGAUUAUCGGAUAUUAAAUACCCCCAGGACUCGAUAGCAGGAAAGUAAAGUAUAGCAAUGAUCUUGAAUAACUUACAUUGUUCACUUGUACAUAUACUAGCAUGUCAUGAUUGCAUCAUUUAAUUCAUAUGGACAUUCUACCAAACACUUGGGGUGCACAACUUAAUGCACAUAUUCACGGAUAACAUAUAAACAUGGUAACUACAAUGCCCAACUUGCAAUUUCAUGGGUUUAACAUGCUAUUCAUAUAAUUUUGCUUAAGUACUAUUCUAGUUUCAUGAAUCUUAUCAUAAUCAUAGAUUUAAAACUAAAUUAACAUCAUCGAUACAUUAAUCACUUUGUAAACUCAAGGGUUUAUCAAGAUAAUCACAUAUUUAUCACACAUGCUAUUCAAUUUCAUGAAACUUGCACCUAAAUCAUGGAUUAAAACCCAACUAAUAUCAUGAACCUGAAUUCAAUCUAAUUCAAACAUGAAAAUCAUAAAUCUUGUAUUUUGAAAAAAAGAUUUUUGGGCUCCAUGGAAGGUAAGGAUCCAUGGAUGAACAUCAAACAUACCUUAAUUUAAUGAGUUCUUGGAGUUCUUGGAGAAAUUCUUGGGACUGACCUUGAUUCUUGAGAGCUAGGGUUUGUUUUCUUGAGAGAAAAAUACCUUUUGAUCUUGGAGAAAAGUGAAUAAUGAAGGGUUUUACACGUUUUUAGGGCUUAAAUCCUACAUUUGGGCGGAAUAAAAUCAUGGGAAAAGAUCGUUUUAACCUUAGGCGCAACUUUAAUUUUUUGUGAAAUUUUUCCGAUCUGGACCCCUAGCGCGAUGCGCCACUAUCGUGCCAGGCCACUGAAAAAUGACGACUGAAAAAUUGCAUGGUGGCGCGAUGCGGUACAAUCGCGUUGCCACCUUAGACGCAACCUGAAAGUUCAUCGCGAUGCGGUGGUAUCGCGUUGGAACACUGAAAAAGGACAAUUCUGAAAUUAAGCCUUGGUGCGACGCGCCAAUAUUGCGGAGGCUCACUGAUUUUUGACAAUUGCCAUUUUAGCUGGCUCCGCGAUGCACUGAUGGUUCAGGUGGUAUACUGUCAUACUAAAAUGACUCUAACUCUUUGCCCAGGUGUCGGAUUUGGGCGAAUUUGGUAUCAAUCUUAUUCAAUUUCCCACUCAAUGAAAAGACAAAAUCUUGAAAAUUUCACAUGUAUAAAAGUGUAUUCAUCUUUAAAACAAGUCUUUGACAUUUUUGGGACAAAUUUAAGCUAGGUCAAAGUACGGGGUGUUACAGUCUAUCAAGAAUAUAGAUAAGAUUUAUCAAGAUCUAUUUGAUAUCUACUAGUAUAUGAAAUAUCUAUCUUUUAGAGUGAAACUAGGAGUAUUUUCUCUGGAUUUUUGUUCAUUGUAUCCUCAAUUUGAUGAUCUCUCAUCCGUAGAGAAAUAAAGAAGUCUCCUCUCUUAUCUGUCUAUUUAUUUUUGUUGUUCUUACUCUGUAUUUCAUAACAAGAACCUUAUUAUUGUUAUUUUUGUUUUUUUGUGUGCGUAGAUGAAGGGAAUGAAAGUUGAUUCAUUCUUAUGAAAAAAGAUCAAUAUUAUUGGAAAUUUUCAACUCUUCACGAGACAUGCCACAUUUUGUCACUCCAACAAAAUGUAUAUACAUUACUCGUAGCAAACAAUUACAUAGCAUAUAAGACAUAUUAACCCAAGCAAAUUUUGUUAAUUUGGCAAAGAUUUAUGAAAAUAACAACAUUAAAAAAAAUUUAUGAAAGUGUCUAGUCAAGACAUAGGUUGUGAACAAGUGAAGCAAAUUUGACAAAAAACUCCACCUGGAAGAUACGUGACAAUCUGGUCCCUCUGGUUUGAAAAUGACAAAUAGGACCUAAAAUGACUUUUUAAAGUUGUUAAAAAAUAAUUUUUAAAAUUUUAAAUUAUGUUUGAAUAUGUAUUUUAUUUGUAAAAUUUUAAUAUUAUUCGAGUGGAGGUGAAAUUUCAAAUAAAAACUGCUCUAGGUCAGUUUUUAAAACUUAAAAAUAAAUUUUAAAAAGUUGAUCAAAUUAAACAAACAGUGUUUUCAAUGUUCUUUUUUUUUUUUUUUUUGAAAAAAAAUCAACUUCUAAAAUCUAUGAUUCAAUGUUAGCUAGAUCACAUCCAAAAUAAUAGGAAUAAUUAUUUAAAUUAUGAUCAAAUACUAUAAUUUUCAUUAAAACAAAAUAAUUUUUUUUAAAAAAAUAAAAAAUUCUCUUGAUCAAAUACCUAUUAAAUAUUUUUAUCCAAACAAGUGUCACGUAACUCUUGGGUAGGUGAGGUGGUGGGAAUGGAGGCUGUCGGCGUAGGCCUAUGGGGUAAAGAUGAAGUAUGUUUGAACGACAUGAAGAAAGAGAAUACUUGUGGGAUUUAGUUUUCUUUUGUUUUUUUUUUAUAAAAAAUAUAUUAUUUUCAUAUGGAGAGUGUUGAAUUGGGUUUGGUUCAGACCAAAAAAGUUAGAGAAACUGUUGAGGAAACAAGGUCUAAAAGGAAAUUCAUACAGAAUAUUGUAUGGGGACAUGGAAGAUUCUUCUAUGAUGAUUAAGGAAGCUUACUCAAAGCCUAUGAAUCUGUUUGAUGAUGAUAUAGCCCCAAGGAUAUUGCCUUUUAUUCUUGAAACCAUCAAGAAAUAUGGUAUGUAUUUGCUUAUCACUUUAUAUUUUGUUGUAGUUGUUAGAAUAUGUUGGAUUAUAGGUCAUGAGUCGUUCAUGUGGAUCGACCCGAUCCGACCCGAAAAUCUUUCUUUUUAUCUGAAGAAAGAAGAUAAGAUUAAUUUUGAAUAUUUGGGGGGAACAGUUACAAAUAGAAACUGUCAACAUCUCUUUAUAUGUUCCAAGAUCUACUUUUUCCAGAGAUAUAGAAAAGAGGGACGAAAAUCAAAACACAAAAAUAAGAAUAGUGUUGUGACCAUUUUACUGACAUUAACAUAACAUUUUGUGAAAUCACACUUUGAUUCCAAGAGAUUCAAAGUGACUUGGGGCAGAUCCUUUUUCGAAAGCAAAAUCAAGAUCCGCUGCAAAUUCUAAGGUACACAAUCUGUUGUUUUUUUCUCUGAAAUUAUUAACAAUGAUAUCGGAGCCAGGUUCAUUACCCUAAGUUUGUAUGUAAUAUCUCGAUUUUAAAUUGUAGAGAUAGAAAACGCGUCAAAUUUUUGUAGGAUCUGGUUCUAUGUUAUAGUGCAAUUUUUUUGGAAAAGAUGACAGAAGAAAGUAAUAAAGUUUUAGUAUUUUUUUUUAAGGGAAUGAUGAGAGAGAAUGAAUGAUAAUGCUCACCUUUUGAAUAUAUAAUAAGGAUGAUAAAGUAUUUUGUUACUGUAUCCUUCAAAUGGAAAAAGUGCUUGAGCACUAUCUUGAAAUCCUGCUUUAUCAUUUUCUUUAUUCUUUUGUUGUUUCUUCAUAAAUAUAAUAAAAGAAUUUUCCUCUUUUUUUAUUCCAGUAUAAUUAAUGCUUAUAGAGGUAAGCUUAAUAUUAAUCUUGCCCUUAAUUAGUCCAUAACAAUUUAACAGAUUUAAUCUUUUACGAUGAAUUGUGACAUAAGCGUCACAUUGAGUGGUAAAUCCAUUCUUAAUUGUUUCUUGGUUCCUAUUUCAGAAAUGACUGAAUGGGAACAAACUCAAAUCACUCCAAGUGGGAGUUCUGAAUAUCGAGCAAAGAGACAAGGUAGAAGAGCACGUCGUCAAAGGGCAUAUUUUUGAGGUCGAGAGAUCAUAUAAAAUGGUGUCCCCAGUAUGACUCAAAGUCUGUUACGGAAUGAAAGGGCUAUACGAAGGGAAAGGGAAAAGAAGUUGAAAGAAUUCAAGUCUUUUAAGAUGUCACCUAAUAUUACAGUUGCUAGUUUUAUUCAUAUGUUUGAAUUGAAACGUAUAGAACUAGAAAAUUAUGUAGAAAUCUCGGAUUGGGAAGCAUUAGCUAUUUUAGCAAAUUCUCUAGGUGACCCUUGGGGUGAGAUAUUAAUUGAUGUUUACCACGAGAUUUGGCCUAGCGAGCCUUUUUGGAUGAACAUAAGUCGUCUAAAAUAUUUGUGGAAUGACUUUCAUUUCUAGAUUGACUUGUAACAUGAAGUUAUAAUAAACUUUAUAUUAUAUAUAUAUUAAGUUGUUUAUCUCCUUUUAUAUGAAUUUCAUUCAUUUGUUUGAGUUUUAAAUGACUUAAUUGUAAACUAUCAUUAUAAUGCACAUUAAGAAAUUAAUUUCUAAUUUUGGUUAAGUGUUUAGUUAGUAUAUGAUGAUUGGAUUCUAAAGUAUCUUUUCGAUUAUACACUAAAUAUGAAACCUUUAUGUGAAAUGAUUUGCUUGAAUGUGUAACUUACAUACAUAAUUGAUAAUAUACUUGUGUAAUUAUCUCUUAAUAAUAGACAUGACAUCUAAAAGCAUAAUUGCUCACUUGAACAAAGGAGAAAAACUUAAUGGAGACAACUACGACAUUUGGAGUCGUAAGAUGUGGUAUGUACUAGAAGAACAAAAUGAUCUCGAAGGUAUUAACCAUGUCUUAAGUCUACCAGAAGAGGGCAAUACUGCACAACACAGGAGAGACCUUGAAGCUUAUAAGUCUUGGAAAAAGGCUGAUUCCAUUGCACAUGUAAUCAUAGUAAGUUCUAUGGUUGAUGACCUCAUACAUGAGUGUGAGGAAUUUCCUACUGCCAAUUCCAUUUGGGCACACUUGCGAGGAACAUAUGGGGGUACUUCUAUUACCCGCCUGAGACAACUGACUAUCAAAUUUGAUACUUACAAGAAGCGUCAUGAUCAGAAUAUCAAACAAUACCUUAGGGUGAUGUCUAAUAUGAUAGCUCUAACUCAAAAGUGUUGGUCAUGUUCUCUCGGAUGAGCAGCAGGUUCAGGCAGUGAUCCGAUCUCUUCCUAAUAGUUGGGAACACCUGAAGGUCAACUUAACCCACAAUGACAGCAUCAAAAUUUUUUCUGAUAUUGCACGUCACGUUGAACUUAAAGAUAAGCGGCUUGGUGAUGUUAAAGCUGCUUCUAAUGCCUUUAUGGUUGAAUCAAGUGGUAAGGACUCUUCAGGAUUCAAGCGUAAGAAGAAGUGAAAAAAGAACGGGAAGGGUAAAGAGACCAAAGAAGGACCCUCUGAGAAAAAUAACAAGCCAAAUUUCAAGAAGAAGAAAAAGUUUUUCAAGAAGAAAGACAAGAGCAAGAUGAAGUUCUACAAUUGCCAAAAUCUGGGGCAUUUUGCUCGUGAAUGUCUUGAAGGAAAAAAGGUAGCAUUUCUAAAUGCAUCUCUAUGUGCUACAUAUGUUUUUAGCACUGUUUUAUUAACUGAAUCUUAUCCUAUGUGGAUUAUAGACUCAGGAGCCACCGACCAUGUGAGUCGAGAUCGAGAAGCAUUUGUGGAGUUCCGUCGAGUUUCACCUGGAUCAAGGUGGAUCUAUGUAGGAAAUAAUGCAAGACUUGAAGUCAAAGGGAUUGGCACUUGCAAAGUAGAUUUGCAUAAAGGCCAGUCUUUAAUGUUGCAUGACGUCCUAUAUGCUCCAGAAAUUCGACGAAACUUAGUAUCUGUGUCUGUUCUAUUAAAUGUUGGUUUUUAUUUGUUCUUUAGUUGUAAUUGUGUAAGAAUUACCCUAGAUAAUAUUUUUUUUAUGGUUUUGGACAUCGCUAUGACCGCUUUAUUGUUUUAGAUUGUAAUCCUUCAACUUAUAACUAUUAUGUUGACUGUUGUGUAAUGUCAUAUUAUUCUAGUAAUAAUGAAGUUAAUAUAACUACAUGGCAUGCUAGAUUGGGUCACAUAGGGAGAUCGAAUGAAUAGAUUCGCAAUGAAAGAACAUCUAGGUUCUUUCUCCAAAAUUGAAACGUCAACUUGUCAAAAUUGUCUUGCCGGAAAGAUUACACGUAAACCAUUUGGGAAGGAUAAAAGAGCCAAAUUCCCAUUACAAUUAAUCCACUCUGAUAUUUGUGGUCCAAUGAAUGUGAGGGCAAGAACUGGUGCUUUAUAUUUCAUUACAUUUAUUGACAAUUUCACGCGCUUUGGUUAUUUCUAUUUGAUAUCUCAUAAAUCAGAAGCACUUGAAUGCUUCAAAAGAUAUAGGAAUGAAGUUGAGAAUCAAUUAGACAAAAGUAUAAAUACAUUAAGAACCGAUAGAGGUCGUGAAUAUUUUUCAAAAUAAUUUAAAGAACUGUGUAUUGAAAAAGGCAUUAUCAGACAAUUGACUACUCCUUAUACACCUCAACAAAAUGGUGUAGCCGAAAGGAGGAAUAGAACAUUGUUGGAUAUGACAAGGUCCAUGAUGGCACAAGAAAAUUUACCAAUCUCUUUCUGGGGAGAUGCGUUAUUAACUGCGGCCUACAUAUUGAAUAAAGUGUCUUCUAAAUCGGUAUCUUCUACUCCUUAUGAACUAUGGACUGGUAAUAAACCAAACUUUAAUGAUCUACGACCUUGGGGUUGUACUGCAUAUAUUAAAGAUUGUUUUGGUAAGUUUGGAAAACUAAGUCCAAGAGGAAAGAAGUGUAUCUUUAUAAGAUACUCUGAACACUCCAAAGGAUAUGUGUUCAUUGGUGAAUUGGAAGAUGGAAGUACUACUGAAAUUGAAUCACGAGAUGUCAUAUUUUUGGAAAAUGAUUUUUCAAAAAGGAAUGAAAUAAAGGAAAAUGAGCCUCUUUAUGAAAUGUUGAAUUCAGAUGAUCAAAUAAUGUCACAAGACAUGCUUGAUAAUUCUAUUGAUCAAGAAAUGAUUCCUGGUCCAAGUGGGAGUUGUGAAUCCCAAAAUCCUAUUGAGGAAUCUGAACUUAAAUUACGUAAGAGUACCAAAAAAGGUGUGCCUAAAUGAUCUUAUAAGAUUAAGGAUUAUGUCUUUCUGGUAUCUCCUAUGGAAUUGGAUGAACAUAAUUCUUUGACUAAGGCUUUAUCGAGUCCUGAAAAAGAUGAAUGGAUAAAAGCAAUGAAAGAAGAAUUAAAGUCCAUGAAAACCAAUAAAGUCUGGGAUCUAGUUGAUCUUCCUUCUGGGCGUAAAGCUAUUGAGAACAAAUGGAUUCUCAAAGUCAAACGCAAAUCAGAUGGAUCAAUAGAAAGGCAUAAAGCACGAUUGGUGGCAAAAGGUUUUACUCAAGAAGCUGGAAUAGAUUAUGAGGAAACUUUUUUGCCAGUUGUGAAAUUUACCUCAAUUCGAUUGUUUUUAGCUGUAGUUGCACGUUUAGAUUUAGAAUUACAUCAAAUGGACGUGAAGACUGCUUUUCUCAAUGGAGAACUAAAAGAGGAAAUCCACAUAGAACAGCCUAUAGGUUUUGUUGUUAAAGGCCAAGAAAAGAAGGUUUGUAAAUUAAACAAAUCUAUAUAUGACCUUAAGAAGUAUUCAAGGCAGUGGUACUUGAUAUUUCAUAAGGAAGUGAUUUCAUUUGAUUUCACCAUGAUCAAUGAAGACCAUUACAUCUAUGUGAAAAAGUCCGAUGAAAUGUUUGUGAUUCUUUCGCUUUACGUGGAUGAUAUUUUAUUAGCUGGAAAUAAUUUGGAGUAUGUAAAAACUGUUAAGUCAUGGCUUUCAAAGUCAUUUGACAUGAAAUAUAUAGGUGAAGAGAACUAUAUAUUAGGUGUUAAAAUUCAAAGAGACCGUUCCAAGAAAAUUUUGAGUUUAUCUCAACAAACAUACAUAAUGAAAAUUUUGGAACGUUUUUGAAUGAAUAGUUGCAAAUCCAUGGAUACUCCUAUAGCAAGAGGUGAAACUCUAAGCCUUGAAAUGUGUCCAAAGACUGAAAAAGAAAAGGAAGAUAUGUCUCGAGUACCAUAUUCCAGUGCAGUUGGGAGUUUAAUGUAUGCUAUGAUAUGUACUCGCCUAGAUAUUUGUUAUGCCGUAGGUCUGGUUAGCAGGUAUCAAUCUAAUCCCGGAAGAGAUCAUUGGAAAGAAUUAAAGAGAAUCUUUCAAUACCUGAAGGGAACUGCUGAUUAUUCACUAUGCUAUAGUGGAUCCGAUUUAUCCAUAAGAGGUUAUACAGAUGCUGAUUGGGAUGGUGACCGGUAUGAUAGAAAAUCAACUUUCCGUUACGCCUUCUUGAUAAAUGGUGGUGCAAUUUCAUGGAAAAUAAAGAAACAAACUUGCACAGCACUGUCAACUAUGGAAUCAGAAUUUGUGGCUUGUGCAUCUGUAGUACAAGGAACUGUUUGGUUGAAGAGAUUCUUUGAGCAUUUGAACGUCGCAAAGAAUUCUAAGGGUCCCUUGAUUUUAUAUUGUGACAGUCAAGUGGCUAUCGCAUAUACGAAGGAUCCAAAAUAUCACAGCCAGACCAAACACAUUGAUAUUAAGUAUAACUUUAUAAGAGACAUAGUAGCUAGUGGAGAAAUAAUUUUACAAUACAUUCCUACACGAGAAAUGAUAGUUGAUCCCUUUACUAAGGCGAUAUCUAGAGACUUGUUUGAGAAACAUGUUAUGUCUCUAGGAUUACGUAGGAUAUGAUUAUGUUUAUUGAAUAAGCCAUCUUCCUAUCAAGGUUAAGGAGUCAACUGAGCAUCUCAGCGGCGGGAUUGAAUACCCGGAUCGAAUCAGAGUUCACGCCGCCCGCCCUGAACAAAUAGGAGGCGUGGGCCACAGGUCGCACAUAAGCCGCCGGGUCGCACGAUGUAUUGUAGAUGACUUGAUUAUAAUUAUUAUCAAUAUAAGAAUCUUGAAUUUAUGUUCAAUCUCAUAUGCAUGUAAAAAAAUGUGUUUUAUUAAUAUAGUGUGUCGAACAAGUCGUGAGAUUGGCUCUCUCAUACAAGCUUACGUCGAGGAACGUGAAGAGAAAAGUUCCACCAUAGGAUAAUGACUUAUUUUGUAAAGCCAGAUGUGAGUUUCUGUAAUAAUAUAGAUUUAAGGAUUAUUAAAGAAAGAAACUCAGGUUAGACAUUUAGAGGUGUCUAGACCUAGAUCUGUACGAUGUUUAAUGACUAAAAGAAUGACACACACGUACCAAUAAAAGGUGAUAACAUCGUAGCACGUGUUUCAUACCACGUGUGCUUAGCAACCAAUGGGUUAAUGAUAGAAUGAAUCCUUGCUUCUUCAUUGUGUGAGGCCCUAAAAGUUAUUUUAAACUUUUCAUUGAAAUACCCUUAGACCUUUAACUGUUUCUUGAAGUUUCAGUCAGUGUUGCUACUUUAGCAUGUUACUAAUAGCCAUGAGAGAUUCGGCAAUGCGGUGCAUGUCUAAGAAAGUAGUUGAUUUGGAACAGAUAUAUUCAAGUAGAAAGGAAAGACGAUUAAAAUGAGUAUUUUAACUUGUUUACACAAGUCGGCUAUUACACUGACCAUAUAACAGUCAAGUGUAAUUGUGUAUAUAAAGUUAAUUAUGAACUCGUGCUCACCUCUUUAAGAGGAUGAGGGAUCAGAUAAGUAACUACUGAAAUAGUGAAUGAUGUCUGGGGUAUUAUGAGUAUUAGUAUCCUCAUAUUAGUAGAUAAUUCUUUCCACAUGUGAUUGGAUUCCUAAGUAUAGCUUGUAAAACCUUAUAGGUAAAGCUCGUGAUGCUCAUAGGUCGCACAAACUAUUUGUCGUAUGAAUUGGUGAUUUGUUGAUGUUGUACUGGGUCGGGUCUUAUCCACCAUGUGUGAAGUGGGAGAUGUUGGAUUAUGGGUUAUGGGUCAUGGGUCGCCCAUGUGGAUUGACCCGACCCAACCCAAGAACCUUUCUUUUUAUCUAAAGAAAGAAGAUAAGCUUAAUUUUGAAUUUUUGGGGGGAACAGUUACAAAUAUAAACUGUCAACAUCCCUUUAUAUGUUACAACAUCUACUUCUUCCAGAGAUAUAGAAAAGAGGGACGAAAAUCAAAACACAAAAAUAAGAACAGUGUUGUGACCAUUUUACUGACAAUAACAUAACAUCUAAGAGUAUAAAGGCAUUUAUUUUGUGAAAUCACACUUUGGUUCCAAGAGAUUCAAAGUGACUUGGGGCAGAUCCUUUUUCGAAAGCAAAAUCAAGAUCCGCUGCAAAUUUUAAGGUACAUAAUCUGUUGUUUUUUGCUCCGAAAUUAUUAACAGAACAUGCACAACUGAAGUUGAUUAAGUUAUCUUUUGAAGAUCAGCACUAUAUUCAUUUAUUUCUAAUUUAUGGUUGUAUAAAUGAUCAUCAAAUUUGUACUACUUGUAUAGGGACAUGAAAGAUUCUUCUAUGAUGAUUAAGGAAGCUUACUCAAAGCCUAUGAAUCUGUUUGAUGAUGAUAUAGCCCCAAAGAUAUUGCCUUUCAUUCUUGAAACCAUCAAGAAAUAUGGUAUGUAUUUGCUUAUCACUCUAUAUUUUGUUGUAGUUGUUAGAACAUGCACAACUGAAGCUGAUUAAGUUAUUUUUUGAAGAUCAGUACUAUAUUCAUUUGUUUCUAAUUUUUGGUUGUAUAAAUGAUCUUCAAAUUUGUACUACUUGUAGUUAAUCCUGAGACAUAUGGUUGCAGGGAAAAAUUCUUUUGUAUGGAUGGGUCCAAAUCCACAAGUAUUAAUCAUGGAACCUGAGUUUAUAAAAGAAGUACUCUCGAAAAACUGUUUGUAUGAAAAGGCUCGUGGAAAUCCAUUUCUAGCGUUGUUGGGACAAGGACUGGUAAGUUAUGAGGAAGACAAAUGGGCCAAACACAGAAAAAUUGUCAAUCCCGCUUUCCAUCUAGAGAAGUUAAAGGUUUGUCUCUUCUUCCCUUCCCCCUUUCCUCCUUCAACUUCGUGAUUGGUCAACAAAAAUAAUUAUGUUCUCUUAAUCUUGUUAGGUAAUAGUAUAAUUGUAUAGACAAAAUAUUCUCUUUCCUAUAAUAGGAUUUUAUUACGGAUUGUGUAGUUAUAACAAUAUAUAUUCUUUCUUAGAAUAAAACUCUAACCUACAGUUGUAUAGCUAUAAGUAUUUCAUUAUGUAUUAUGGAAUAAGAAAAGUUGCUAUUCAGAAAAUCUUGAUUUCUCUUGUUUCUCUGUCAUGGUAUUAAGAGCCACAAUCUAUUUUUUUUCUUUUUUUGUGCUUUCUGUAUUCUUUGCAUACGUACCUUGCUACCUUCUUAAGUUCCUUUUGUUCUCCCUGUUUUUUUCUUUCUUUUGUAAUCAAUCGAUCAAUGGAUUCACAAUCCUCUUCGCAUGAUUUGCUCUCUACAAAAUUGGAUGGUUCCAAUUUUACUCUUUGAAAAUUCCACUUUGGAAUCUUUGUUAAAGGCAAGGGCCUUUUUGGGUUAUUAGAUCGAUCAGCUCGUCCACCAAAAGAUGCAAAAGAGUUGGAUCUUUGGAAAUUCAAUAAUGCGAAGGUAAUCGCUUGGAUGUUGAUAUUUCUAUGGGGCUUAGACCUUUCAGUUUGGCUUUUGAGAUGUGGACCCACCUCCGUACAAUCUACCAACAAAGAAACCUUGCACGAGAGUUUGAAUUGGAAUGCAAUAUUGCAGAAUACACACAGGGGGACAAGAAUGUUCGCUCCUUUUAUGCUGGCUUGCAAUUGCUCUAGUCGGAACAAGAUCAAAUUCUUGGGCAAAAUAUUUCUAAGGCAGGCUUCAAGGAGGUGUUGGAAGAACAAAAGAAGACAAGGGUGGUGCAAUUCUUAAUGAAACUUCGUCCUGAAUUUUAGCCGAUUCAUGGCAGUUUGUUGAACUCACACCUGCUCUUGAAGUUGUGUUGGCAGUCGUCUUGCGUGAAGAUACAAGACUUGGAACUCAGGCUGCUAUGGAGUCUACACCAUUACCUUCUGUUGUAUUACUUGCAGAAAAAUCAACAAUCGUUGCUUCAACAGGAAAUACUAAGAGAAGUGUCCAAUGCUAUGAAUGCCAAGACGUUGGUCACAUCGCAGCCAAUUGUCCUAGGAAGAUAAACAAUUGUUCUUAUUGCAAAAUUACUGGCCAUCAUAUUUCAGAUUGUCGUCGUCGCCCAAAUCGUUCACGAACCGCUCACCAGGCUUACCAGACAAAUGUCACUACAUCAUGUAUUCCUUCCCUGCUGGUCAUGAUCUUGAAAAACUAAUUUGAGAUUCUAUUGCAGCUGCUCUUCCCAAAGCUAUCUCAAGUGCACUUUCGGUAUCCUCUUCAGGUACAAGUAAUUCAAUUAAUUCUACUUGGCAUCUAGAUUCAGGGGCUUCCAAUCAUAUGACAGGUAAUUUAUCCCAAUUCUCAUCAUUGUCUAGUGGUGUUUCUAAACAUUUUAUUCAUACAGCAAACGGGCACACAUUAUCCUCGUCGGGUAUUGGUUCUGUUGGAAAUCUUUCUAAUGUUCUUUAUGUUCCAAAUUUGAAGGCUAAUUUGGUUUCAGUUGGUCAACUAGUUGAUCAAAAUUGUGUUGUAAAAUUCUCACCCAAUGGUUGUGUUGUUCAGAAUCUGAAAACAGGGCUGACCAUGGCCACGGGGCAUAGAUUUGGUAGAAUAUUCCUACUAGAGUCGGUUCACCGUCACUUGCAUCAUUGUUUUCUUUCAGGCGGAUGCUACUCGUUCGAAUAAAUUGGUCACUCUUUGGAAUAACAGGAUGGAUCACCCUUAUUCUUCUCAGCUUCAUCAUAUGCUUAAAUCAUGUCUUCCUGCAGCACAUCACAUCCAUUCCGGUCUCCUUUUGACAUGUACAAAUUAUGCCAGUUCAAAAAGUCACAAGCUCCCUUUUCCAUCUAGUUCAUCUGCUUAUGAAGAUCCAUUUAAUUUAGUGCAUAGUGAUGUUUGGGGUCCUUCUUCUAUUUUGUGAAGGAUGGGAUAUAAGUACUUUGUGUUAUAUAUUGUAUCCAGUUACACUUGGAUGUUUUUUAUUAGAAAUAAAUCUGAGGUUCCGACUCUUAUUAUGAAUUUUGUUAAUUAUGUUCGUGCAUAAUUUCAUAAAACUAUAAAAGUAUUUCGUUCUGAUUCAGGAGGAGAGUACACUAAGACUAAUCUUGUUGAUUUUUUCAAAAAUAAAAGAAUUAUUUCCCAAUGCACUUGUCCUCAUACUCUGGAACAAAAUGAGGUCGUAGAAAGAAAGAAUCAACAUGUUUUAGAAAUUACAUUGGCUUUGUUGAGUACGUCGAAUAUGCCAAAAAGUUUUUGGCCCGAAGCAGUACAUACUUCUGUAUAUUUGAUCAAUAGAAAAACUUUUCCAGUCAUUGGAAAUGAGACACCGUAUUUCAAAUUAUUUCAUAGUAAGCCUGAUUAUUCUCACUUGCGAGUUUUUGGUUGUGUUUGAUUUGUACAUCUUCCAGCACAUGAACGACAUAAGCUUUCGGCAAAGGCAGCACAAUGUAUUUUUGUAGCAUACAGUGACACACAAAAGAGGUAUCUCUGUUAUGAUACAUCUCGUCGUCAGUUUCGAAUAUCUAGACAUGUUAUUUUCUUUGAGGAUCAGUUUUCUUGCAAAUACAAUGCUAAAUAUGCUUCAGAAUCUCUCUUUUCUGUACAAGUUUGAUGACGAUGUGGUAGCUACUGACCCUCAGCUUGAGUCUUCGGAACAACCCGUGGACUAUGAUAAUGGUGAUCUCCAGCCUUCAUCUCCUUCAAGUACUGAUCCUCUGCUUGAAUCUCCAGAACAACCCAUGAACAAUGGUAAUGAAGCUCUCUAACCUUCAUCUCUUUCUGGUAUUGACUCUACAUCGUCAUUCUCAUCUUCAGAAGAGGGAUUCUCUCAUCCAGCUACUCCUCCACGUCGGUCUAGUAGAACAAAUUGCCAUGCUCCCGAACGACUUGGCUACUCUCCAGGGAAAUUUGGUAAGUCCUAUGCCUUGCAUACCACACUACAUUCUGUUGAGGUUCCUACAUCUUACUCCCAGGCUUCUACACAAACCUGUUGGAAAAAGGCAAUGUCGGACGAGCUUUGUGCACUGAAUGAAAAUUCAACUUGGGACUUUGUUGAUAAACCAACGGAUGGAGUUCUCAUUGGAAGUAAGUGGGUGUAUUCCAUUAAAAUAAAGGCAGAUGGUACAAUUGAUCGCUAUAAAGCUCGAUUGGUUGCUCAAGGGUACAAACAGGAAUAUGGGGUGGAUUAUGAGGAGACUUUUGCACCUGUUGCUAAGAUGACAACGGUACGGACAUUAUUGGCCUUGGCUUCAAUUAAAGGCUGGACUUUACAUCAGUUGGAUGUGAAAAAUGUGUUUCUUCACGGUGACCUGAAAGAAGUUGUGUUUAUGAAACCACCACCUGGGUGUGUUCUGCCAAGACCAAAUGUAGUUUGUCAUCUUCGAAAAUCUCUUUAUGGCUUAAAACAGGCUCCCAGAGCGCUUGGUUUGAUCCCUUAGGCUUUAUGGCUUCGAAAAUCCCUUACCUUUCAAUCUAAAAUUUUUAAGUAUCUGGCAUAUGGCUAUGUCGAGUAAUUUCUACUGAGUUAGAAAAGCAUUGAAGGGUCAUUGACAAUUUCACUCUUUCACCAUUUUCUCGAACAGCAUAUGCUUCCAGUUUUUUACUUGAGCUGUAGUGAGAUGCUGAGCAAAUGGGAAGACGUCGUUCCAGUUGGAGGCUCUCAUGAGAUUGAUGUAUGGCCUGACCUUCAACAAUUGAGUUGUGAUGUGAUCUCUCGGACAACUUUUGGAAGUAGUUAUGAAGAAGGUAGAAAGAUUUUUGAACUUCAAAAGGAACAAGCUCAGCAUCUUAUCAAAGCUUCACUAUCUGUUUAUAUCCCUGGAUGGAGGUAAACUAUAAUGUUCUUUAGAAAUGCAUAUUGCUUCCCUACAUCUUAACUAAUGCAGCAUUCCGGUUUUCUGUUUUAUGUAAUACUAUUUCAAAGAUUUUUGCCAACAAAGAGGACCAAAAGAAUGAAGGAAAUAAACUAGAAUGUUCGGUCCUCAAUUUGAGGUAUUAUUGAUAAAAGAUUGAAGGCAAUGGAAGCAGGGGAGGCCGACAAUAAGGAUCUAUUAGGCAUAUUGCUUGAAUCAAAUUUUAAAGAAAUUGAACAGCAUGGGAACAAGAAGUUUAGAAUGACCAUUGAAGAAGUCAUUGAAGAAUGCAAGCUAUUCUAUUUUGCUGGCACAGAAAAAACAUCAGUGCUACUCCUAUGGACUCUGGUUUUUAUUGAGCAGAUAUCAAGAUUGGCAGGCACGGGCCAGAGAAGAAGUCUUGCAAGUGUUUGAGAGUCGUAAACUAGAUUUUGAUGGAUUGAAUCGUCUAAAAGUUGUGAGUAUUCUGAUUUUAUUGGUUCACUUUAUCGAGUUUCUACUGUCAUUGUUAUUGUUAUUGCUUGAGUUCUUAAAUUUGCGAAGUUGGAAUUUUGUGAUACUAAUUUAGUAGUGGAAUGGUGGGAGGCCAAAGCCCCGUGAACAGUGGCUGUAAGCCCUUAACUGCAAUGUUAAAUUUUUACAUGUCUCAUUCAUUCUGGAUACAAUUGAAGGAGGAGCAUUUUUUAUGGCAGGUCACGAUGAUCUUGUACGAAUCAUUACGACUAUAUCCCCCAGCAACAUCAAUUAUCCGGCGGGCUAAUAAAGACAUUCUAUUAGGAGAAGUAUCUAUACCAGUUGAUGUACUAAUCUUAUUGCCAGUGAUCAUAUUGCAACAUGAUAAAGAGAUAUGGGGUGAAGAUGCAAAUAAGUUCAAUCCAGAGAGAUUUAGAGAAGGAAUAUCAAGUGCAACAAAAGGUCAAGUAACAUAUUUUCCAUUUGCUUGGGGUCCUAGAAUAUGCAUUGGACAAAAUUUUGCCAUGUUAGAGGCAAAGAUGGCUGUGUCUAUGAUCCUACAAAGCUUCUCUUUCGAAUUGUCUCCAUCCUACACACAUGCUCCUAAAUCCAUAAUAACCAUGCAGCCUCAGUUUGGUUGCCCACUUAUUUUCCACAAACUGUAACUUUUUGCUUGAACCUUGGUAUUUGUAUCAGGAAAUACAUCAACUUUGUCUGUCUUUUAAUGCAGUUUAUUAUUCGUUGCAACUUGCAAAUUUUUAUACAUAAAUUUUGCUACGCAUCAAAAGUAUUAGGUUUAGAUGAACUCAGUCAGUGAUCUCUACAUCCACAAUUGUCAUUGGCAGGUAUUGACAUGACAAGAAACAGUAAUGAUGGAACGAUAUAGUAAUUUUUUUAAAAAAUAUUGACGGUGUGUGAACUAGCUUACGAACAUCUCAAUUAUCAUUAAUUAGUUACUUGAACAAUCCUCAUUAGUAUCCUUCAUAAAUAUAUCACUCAGUUGAUCUCCCCGUUUUACAUCUUCAAAAAAAAUCAGGUCAUCUUAAAUCAUAUCACUGGUAAAGCGGAAAUCCAUUUCGAUAUGUUUAACUCUUUCAUGCUUCAUUAAUUUGGUCACAAACAAAUGUAAUAGAUCUUCAUCGAUAAGGAGCGGACAACCAAAGCCCGAGUGAAUGGUGGCAUAACUGUAACAAUUAAAUUUUACAUGUCUCAUUCAGACUAAGAUAUAAUUGAAGGAGAAGCAUUUUUGUUGUAGGUGACAAUGAUCUUGUAUGAGACACUACGGUUAUAUCCCCCAACAAUAGCUAGUAAUAAUUUGGCGAGUAAUGAAGACAUUGAAUUAGGAGAAUUGUCUCUACCAGCUGUGCACUAGUCUCUUUGCCAGUGAUUUUACUGCAUCAUGAUAAAGAGAUACGGGGUGAAGACGCAAACAAGUUCAAUCCUGAGAGAUUUAGAGAAGGAAUAUCAAGUGCAACAAAGGAUCAACUUACAUAUUUUCCAUUUUCUUGGGGUCCUAGAAUAUGCAUUGGACAAAAUUUAGCCAUGUUAGAGGCAAAGAUGGCUGUCUAUGAUCCUACAAAGCUUCUCUUUCGAAUUGUCUCCAUCUGACACACAUGCUCCAUCUUUCUCUCUUUGUGGCUGCUAAAACACUUUUCUGGAUGGUGCAAUAAGUCCUAAAACAUCUAUAUAAAUGCCCCAUAGUAAUGGACUUAUGGACAAAAGUGGGUUGGUUCAAUUGAGUUUUAUUUAUCCACAUAUGAAGGGAAAAAGAUCCAUAGCCCAAUAAUUCUCCCCCUCACGACUGUGUGGAGGAGACCAUCAUCCCGGUGAUCAUGCAACAAUCUUCAACUUCCCUCUAAAAAGUAGCAAAUUCUAAAAUUUUGUGAUUUUAAACUAAAUAUGUGUAUGUAUUAAAAUUCUCUUCGAAUCUCUUGAUUCUUGUUGAAAGUUGCUUUAAGAAUGCAACUGUUUUUUUCCUUUUUUCUCCAGCAAUUUUUUUUUACGUACAAUCCUAGUUAAAUUAGGAGUCCUAUUUUUGGUAGGAAACUAGUUAGUUAUUCUAAUUUUGGUAGAAAUAGGUUGUUUUUUUGUCCUAUUUUUAGUUGUAAUAACAAAUAUCUAAUUUGCUAAGUUGAUGAUCAAUUAUAGUCGGUCUUUCAACAAGAAAAUAAUCUCUCUUUGUCUCUCUACAUAUUCUCUUCUUCAAACUCCAUCUCUGUUUCUGCGGCCAACUUUAAAUUGAAUUCCUAUGUUAUUUCCCUUUAACAGUUUUAAACCAACAAUUGGUAUCAAAGCUUUAAUCUUAAGGGACCUGUGAGUGUUGUGCAUCAAUCUGAUCCAGUGGAUACCAUGAAUGGAGAAACAAAUUUUUCUUCAAUGGCACCACCAACUUUCGAUGGAGAAAGUUAUCAAAUCUGGGCAGUUAGAAUGCGGAUAUAUCUACAAGCUUUGGAUCUCUGAGAAGCUGUUGAAGAUGAAUACGAGAUAGCUUCCUUGCCAGACAAUCCCACGGUGGCGCAGAUUAAAACUCACAAGCAGAGGAAAACUAGAAAAUCAAAGGCAAUGGCAUGCUUAUUUACUGCAGUUUCAUCUAAUAUCUUGACUCGUAUCAUGUCUCUACAAUCAGCGAAAGAGGUAUGGGAUUAUCUCAAGACUGAGUAUGAAGGAGAUAAAAGGAUUCGAGGGAUGCAAGUGAUGAAUUUGGUACGUGAGUUUGAGCUACAAAGGAUGAAAGAAAGUGAAACCAUAAAGGAGUACUCUGACAGACUUCUUAAUUUAGCAAAUUGCAUCAGAUUGUUGGGUUCCACUUUCAAUGAUUCAAGGAUCGUUGAAAAAAUCCUAUUAACGGUACCUGAAAGAUUUGAGGCUACCAUAACAACCUUAGAAAAUACUAAGGACUUGUCUAAGAUCACACUUGCAGAGCUCUUAAGUGCUUUUCAAGCGCAAGAGCAACGACGUGUUAUGAGAAAAGGAGGAGCUGUCGGAGGUGCCUUACCAGCCAAACAUCACGAUGAUGGACGUUCUAAGAAGAAGAAGAAUAAGAAGUACCAGCCAACUGAUGAAGAAGGUGCAAUGCACAAUAAUAAAAUCAAAACAGGUGGUUUCAAAGGAAACUACCCUCCUUGUAAGCAUUGUGGAAAGCUCGGACAUGCACCUUUCAAGUGUUGGGAGAGGCCUGAUGCUAAGUGCACUAAGUACAAUCAUCUUGGGCAUGAAGCGAUCAUCUACAAGAACAAAACUGAGCAGCAAGAUGUAGAGGCUCAAGUUGUUGAUGAACUGGAAAGAAGAUCAACUCUUUGUCGUUUAACAAGCAAUGUCGCCAGCAAACCAUGUCCGAUCUAUAGCGGAUGCACAAAUCAUAUGACUUGCGAUAAAAAUCUUUUUAAAGAUUUGAGCCCUACUAAAGUUACAAAAGUUAUAAUUGGCCAUGGAGGUUAUAUUCCAGCAAAAGGAAUGGGAACCAUUAUAAUUGAAACACAAUCGGGCACUAAAACAAUUUUUGAUAUUCUUUAUGUACCCGAUUUGGACCAAAACUUGUUAAGUAUUGGUCAGUUAUUAGAAAAAGGUUUCAAAUUGUAUUUCGAAGAUAAACACUGCUUGAUCAAGGAAGUAUCUGAACAAGACCUAUUUAAAGUCAAAAUGAGAGCCAGAAGUUUCUCAUUAAAUCCAUUGGAAGAAGAGAGCGGAUUUCACCCGUUGUGUAUGGAGCCACCUCUUCUAAAAGAAGAUAUCCCACCCGAUGAUGAAGGCUGGAUUUGUCCUGGUUGUGAUUUCAAAGUUGACUACAUUGACUUGCUUAAUGAUAGUCAAGGAACCGAUCUUUCCUUCACUAACAGUUGGGAGAAAGUAUAUCCCAAGAAAGUUGUUGUUGCUGCUUCUGGGGAGAAUCCAGAUGAUAUUUCUGAACUUCCAUCUGAUGACUGGAAGGAUGAUGACUUCAACCCUGAAAAUCCAGAUGUAAAAAAAAAUGAUUUCGAAGUUGAGGCUAGUUCUGAUGAAUCUACCGUUAAAGUAUGGGACUUCACAAGCUUCUAAGAAGAGCGCUCGUUAUCUGAUGGAAAAGAUAAUCUUGUUAAACUUUGGGAUGCCAAGUCAGGGAAGAAGCUUUCGUCAUUUCACAGGCAUAAGAAUACCGUUCUCUGCGUGAAGUGGAAUCAGAAUGGUAACUGGAUCCUUUCUGCUUCCAAGGAUCAAAUUAUCAAGCUUUAUGACAUAAGGGCUAUGAAAGAUCUUGAGUCAUUCCGUGGGCAUCAGAACAACGUGAAUUAUUGGCCUGGCAUCUGUUUCAUGAAGAAUAUUUAGUCAGCGGAAGCUAUGAUGGUUCAAUAUUUCAUUGUCUUGUGGGGCAUGAAACUCCUCAAGUAGAAAUUUCAAAUGCACAUGAAACUGGCGUUUGGGAUCUUUCAUGGCACCCAAUUGGUUAUCUCCUUUGCAGUGGCAGCAAUGAUCAAACAACAAAGUUCUGGUGCAGAAAAAGGCCCGGCGACUCCGCUCGUGAUAAAUUCAAUCUAGCACAGCAAGGUUUGGGUGAUCAAAACAAUGUUCUUGGCCGCAUGCCUGGAAAUUUUUCAGGUCUUGAGUCCCUCUCAACCCCUAGAUCAUUUACCUCCGGUAUAUUACAAACUGAGGGUACAAUACCUGGAGUUGGAACUGCAGUGCCUCUGUCUAUCCCAUCACUUGAUUCAUCACCUCAAGGAGAACAGAAGACUUCAAUGCCAGUUUCAAUGCCUUUAGGAGCUCCUCCUCUUCCUCAUGGUCCACAUCCAUCUCUUCUUGCAAGUAAUUAGCAACAAGCGUAUCAACAAAAUAUGCAGCAAGUUCAGCAGCAGCAGUCACUACCUCAACAAAUAACUUCUCUUCCUCUGCAGCCUUCAAAUUUACCACAGUUAGAAGACUUGUUCACUAAGCCACUUCCAAUCAAUAAGUUCGAGCUUCUAAAGCAAAGAAUUGGUGUUUGCAUUUCAUAAAGCAAGGAGGAGUGUUGAAAGUUGCUUUAAGAAUGCAACUAUUUUUUUCUUUUUUCUCCAGCAGUUUUUUUUUUACGUACAAUCCUAGUUAAAUUAGGAGUCCUAUCUUUGGUAGGAAACUAGUUAGUUAUUCUAAUUUUGGUAGAAAUAGGUUGUUUCUUUGUCCUAUUUUUAGUUGUAAUAGCAACUAUUUAAGUUGCUAAGUUGAUGAUCAAUUAUAGUCGGUCUUUCAACAAGAAAAUAAUCUCUCUCUGUCUCUCCGCAUAUUCUCUUCUUCAAACUCCAUUUUUGUUUCUGUGGCCAGCUUUAAAUUGAAUUCCUGUGUUAUUUCCCUUUAACGGUUAUAAACCAACAAUUCUAAACAUGUCAUGUGGGAUGCUGAAAAUAAAUACUCCGUCCAUUUCAAUUUGUUUGUCUCACUUUCCUUUGUGUCUUUAUGGAAAAGAAUAUCUACUCUUUUUUGGAAACAUUUUGAUUUCAAUUUUUCACAUUUUGUGUUCAAGACCAUAAGCUUAGAGAACAUUUUGGUACUUUUCACUUAUUUUUAUGAGCCUUCGUCCUGUUGUUGUUUUAUAAAAUUUCACAGUGAGUCAUAUGCCCAAAGUAGUUCCUGUGCUCACACUUGAUUACUGUUAACAUAUAUUUUCUCUUCUAGAUUCUCCGUGAAAUGUAUUGCUAUGAAUUCCCAUGAUUAUGUAUGAGUUGUUGCCCUAUUGCUAUAUAUUCACCAUAUCUUCGACGAAAUCAUAAUUCAUCCAAUAUGUAACUGAAUUCUAUAACUCGAUUAGCUUGACUUCGGUAUGAACAAAGAAGGAAACUAAAUAGUCGUGCAGUGGAUCAAGAAAACAGAAUAGUGCUACAGUGAAGCCAAAGGAAAAAAAAAUAGAACUGCAUCUCAAAAAAAAGGGUAGGUACUUCAAUUUUCUCAUUUUUACUUGUAUAUUUUGGUGUAUUAUAAAGAUAAUACGUGAACUGAAGUAUAAUUUAGAAUAAAAUUAUAUGUCAGGACCCAUAUUCUCCCCAUAGGAUUACAUUUUCAUAUUGUCUAUUAGAUUAUGGUUUAUGCGGUUGAAAGAUCUAUUUAUAUGAAUUGAUCAUCAAAGGCUGAGAAGAUUCAUUUUUUGAUGGGACUGGUGCACUGAGCAUCUAAAGAUGUUGAGCUCAAAAAAUAUUUGUACAAUAUUUCUUCUAAAAGGUUAGUCAUUUUAUCAAUAAGUUCAGGUUAACAACAACAGUCAUCUCAGCCCCAACAGCAAGCUCAGGCACGACAACAACUUAACAGCUCAGCCACGACGACAACACCUUCAAAGCAUGUAUCAAAGUAAUAGCUUUUGGAAAUAUCCAAUCUUUGUAUAGUAAAAGAGUAGGUAUACCACCUUGUCACCCGCAAAUGCCUCCUAUUUCGUCAUAUUCUCAGAUCCCUUUAACCAGGCCAUGGGAUAAACAAACGAGUAUGCAGAAUUUUUGUAAUCCAGGGCUAUCACAUUCACGAUCUUUAUCACAACCAGCUGUUCUUUGUUGAAGAAAAUUUGUUCUAUAACAGGUUGAUCCACAAAGUUGAUACUUUAAUUGAAACGGACAGGAAUAAGCAAUACCACAAAACGAAAGAAAAUAAGAAGAACACACAGAUUUUACAUGGAAAUUCUUGACAGGAAAAACUGUUGAUUUUAUGUUUCAAUAAACUUUGAAACAAAUACAUCGGUUAAAUAUUUUUUAAAAGUUUUGUUUCAAUUAGUUUUGAAACAAAUGCAUCACUUAAAGUUUUGAGUUACAAAGGAAAUGAAUUUGAUAAAUUCAUUAUUCAUAAGUUUUGAGUUACAAAGGAAAUGUAUUUGACUAAUUCAUUAUUCAUUAAGUUCUACGUUAUAGGUUCUUGAAAGAAUGACAUUUUUUGUUUUAAAAAAUACAUGAGCCUAUUAACUAUUACUUAAUUAAUAUACUUCUCAUGCAUGAAACUUUCAUCCUAUAAAUAUUGUUUUCUUUGGUUUGAAAAAGAUAAGCACUCAAAACUACUUUCUCCUUGAAAGCACUUGAGAGACAUUGAUCAAAUGGUGAAAUCACCGAUUCAAGAAUAGAAGAGCAACAUUCUUGAAUGCUACUUGUUUAGUGGCUUAGUUGAAUCCCGAAGAUAGAGAUUUCACUUGUUCUUCCGUUUGCUCGUGGGAGAGACUCCAACUUUCUUCAAGAAGCGUAUUAUCGUGCCUCUAAGCCAAGCAAGUUUUAUUUUGAAUUUCUUGUACAAUUAUCAUUAUUGUUCUAACAAUUUGAAGAUAGUUGUCUCUAUGGCUUCUACAUCAAUAUCAAAUAGUAUUCCAUCUUUGCCUAAUCCUAAUUUUGAAAUAUUUGAUGGCAAAGGCUUUCCUAGAAGGCAUGGAAAGAUGUAAUUCUUUUUAAAAUGAUUAAAGUUGGCAUAUGUUCUUGAAGAACCUUGUCCUAAUGCUCUUGGUUCUGAGGUAGCAUCUGACGAGGCUACUUUGAUUAAAGAACAAAUUGCCAAAUGGCAAUAUGAUGAUUAUUUGUGCAAGAAUUAUAUUCUUGGAGAAAUGUCCAACAAAUAUUAUGAUCAAUAUUAUGUUAACUGUAAAUAUGCUAAAGAGAUAUGAGACACUCUUCAAGCUNNNNNNNNNNNNNNNNNNNNNNNNNNNNNNNNNNNNNNNNNNNNNNNNNNNNNNNNNNNNNNNNNNNNNNNNNNNNNNNNNNNNNNNNNNNNNNNNNNNNNNNNNNNNNNNNNNNNNNNNNNNNNNNNNNNNNNNNNNNNNNNNNNNNNNNNNNNNNNNNNNNNNNNNNNNNNNNNNNNNNNNNNNNNNNNNNNNNNNNNNNNNNNNNNNNNNNNNNNNNNNNNNNNNNNNNNNNNNNNNNNNNNNNNNNNNNNNNNNNNNNNNNNNNNNNNNNNNNNNNNNNNNNNNNNNNNNNNNNNNNNNNNNNNNNNNNNNNNNNNNNNNNNNNNNNNNNNNNNNNNNNNNNNNNNNNNNNNNNNNNNNNNNNNNNNNNNNNNNNNNNNNNNNNNNNNNNNNNNNNNNNNNNNNNNNNNNNNNNNNNNNNNNNNNNNNNNNNNNNNNNNNNNNNNNNNNNNNNNNNNNNNNNNNNNNNNNNNNNNNNNNNNNNNNNNNNNNNNNNNNNNNNNNNNNNNNNNNNNNNNUUCAAAAUGGUUGAUGACAAGUCAAUCACUGAACAAGUACAAGAAUUCCAACUUAUAGCUAAUAAAAUUGCUAUAUCUGGAAUUGCUCUUGAUGAAAACUUUCAUGUUGGUGCUAUUGUAUCAAAACUUUCUCCAUCUUGGAAAGAGUAUCGAAGAAAACUUUUACACAAAAAGGAAGAUUUGACUCUUGAACAAUUGUUGCAACAUUCACAAACUGAAUAAGAGACACGAUGGCGCGAUAAUAAUAGUUUGAAGGAACCUAUCAUGAGAGCUCAUAUGGUUGAAGAAAAAUCAAACAAGAAGGAACCUGAAAAUAAGAAUUUUUCAAAGGCAAAGAAGACUAUAAAUUUCAAGCGUAAUGGUGCCAAUUUUAAAUUUGGUGAAGGCUAUCAUUGUCACAAAGUUGGUCACUAUGCGCGUGAUUGUAGAAUUCUCAAAGCUGAAAAAAAUAAAGAAAAGCAAAUAAAAAUAAAAAAGAUGAUCUUGUGGCAAUGGUCACAGAAGUAUUUAUAGUGGAAGAUCUAGUGGAAUGGUGAAUAGAUACUCGCGCAACUCGUCACAUAUCAGGUAACCGAAAUUCUUUCAAGACUUAUGAAUUAGUGGGGGACGCUAAAAUUGUAUAUAUGGGAAACUCAUCCUCUACUAAAGUUGUGGGAAAAGAAACUGUUGAACUGAAGUUUACUUCUGGAAAGAUAGUUACAUUGAUGGAAGUAUUGCAUGUUCCUGAUAUUCGAAAAAACUUGGUGUCAGGUAUGCUUCUUUCGAAGCAUGGUUUUAAAAUAAUUUUUGAGGCAGAUAAGUUUAUUUUAUCUAAAAAUGGCAUGUUUGUUGGAAAAGUUUAUGUUGCAAAUGGAAUGUUUAAACUCAAUAUUGAAAAUGAAAAUAUUUCUGCUUAUCUUGUGGAGUCUCUGGACUUAUGGCAUGAACGUCUGGGACAUGUGAAUUUUAGAUCCAUUCAACUUAUGGUGAAUAAUGGAUUAAUCAAAGAUUGUGGAAAGAAUCAUACUACUAAGUGUCUUACUUGUAGUAAAUGCAAGAUUACUAAGAAGCCCUUUAAGACAGUUGAAAGGACUUCCACACUUUUGCAAUUAAUCCACACUGACAUUUGUGAGAUGGAUUAUUUGUCACGUUAUGGAAAGAGGUAUUUUAUCACUUUUAUUGAUGACUACUCAAGAUAUACUUAUGUCUUUCCAUUGAAAACAAAAGAUGAAACAUUUGAGACUUUCAAAACAUACAAAGCAGAAGUUGAAAAUAAAUUUAGUGUGAAAAUUAAGUCAAUUAGGUCUGAUAGAGGUGGAGAGUACUUAAAGUCAGAUUUUAUUGAUUUUUGUGAGAGAGAAGGCAUUGAAAAGCAAUUGACCAUGUCCUAUACACCAUAACAAAAUGGUGUAGCAGAAAGAAAAAAUAGGACUUUUAUAGAAAUGGUUAAUUCUAUGCUUUAUGGAUCUGGUAUAUCUGAAAAUUUAUGGACUGAAGCCUAGCUUUUAGUAUGUCAUAUUUUGAAUAGAAUUACUUUUAGGAAUCAUGAUGCAUAUCCAUAUGAACUUUGGAAUAAUCGAAAACCAAAUAUAAAUUAUUUUAAAGUAUGAGGUUGCUUGGCUCAUGUUCGAUUACCAAAUCAACAUUUAACCAAGAUUGGCUAUAGAGGAGUAGAUUGUGUGUUUAUUGGCUAUUCACAAACCAGUAAGGCUUAUAGAUUUUUAAAUCUUAAAACCCCAAGUCCUCACAAAAUUAUUGAAUCUUUACAUGCUAACUUUUUUUAGCAUAUAUAUCCCAAGAAAAAAGAUCCUUUUGAACAAGAUUCAAGUUCUUCUAUUUCUCCUUGUAAAAGGAAAAUAGUUGAGCCAUUGGAAGAAAGUCAACCAAGAUGUAGUUCAAGAUCAGCCAAAUCAAAAGACUUUGGACCUGAUUUUCAAGCUUAUUUGGUUGAAAAGGAUCCUGAAAGUUAUGCUGAGGCUAUGUCUUCACAUGAUGCUCCAUUUUGACGUGAAUCCAUUGAUGAUGAAAUGCAUUCUAUAUUAUAUAAUAAUACAUGGAUAUUGUUAGAUCUUCCUCUUGGAUGUAAACCAAUUGGUUGCCGAUGGAUUUUUAGGAAGAAAAUAAAAUCCGAUGGUAUUUUAGAUAAGUACAAUGCCCGUUUGGUAGCUAAAGGCUUUACUCAAUUGAAAGAUAUUGAUUAUUUUGAUAAUUUUUCACCUAUAGAUUGGAUGACCUCUAUUCUUCUCUUGAUUGCUCUAGCAGUAAUUCAUGGUCUUAUGAUUCAUCAGAUGGAUGUGAAAAUUGCAUUCCUAAAUAGAGAUCUAGACGAAGAAGUCUACAUGAAACAACCAGAAGGAUUUGUCAAUCCUGGUCAAGAACGUAAAGUUUGUAAACUACUUAAAUCUCUUUAUGGAUUAAAACAAGCUCCAAAACAAUGGCACGAUAAAUUUAGAAAAGUUAUGAUUUCUAAUAGCUACUUAAUCAAUGAUGGAGAUAGCUGCAUAUUUAGUAAAUUUCAAGAAAAUUUUGGUGUUAUAAUAUGUCUUUAUGUAGAUGACAUGUUGAUCUUUGGAACUGAUAUCGAAAGAGUCAAAGAAACAAAAUAUUUUCUUGCUUCUCAGUUUGAAAUGAAAUAUCUUGGAGAAGCUGAUGUAAUUUCAGGCAUCAAAAUUUUAAGAUCAGCAAGUGGUUUGACUCUUACUCAAUCAAGUUAUAUUGAGAAAGUUCUAAAUAGGUUUGGUCAUUUUGACGACAAGACCGCUCCUACACCAUUUGAUCCUAGCAUCAAACCAGUGUGAAACUCUGGUGAUAUUCUUGAUCAAUUGACAUAUUCUCAGAUUGUUGGGAGUCUUAUGUAGGCCAUGCAUUGUACCAGGCUAGAUAUUAGUUAUGCUGUAGGAACUUUGAGCAAGUUUACUAGUAGCCCUGGAGUUGAGCAUUGGAAUGCCUUAAUUAGUGUUUUAAGGUAUCUGAAGGGUACAAUUAAUGUUGGCCUACAUUAUUCUACCUUUCCAGCAGUUCUUGAAGGCUAUAGUGAUGCUACUUGGAAUUCUGAUCUGAAUGACUCUAAAUUUAUUACUUCUUGGAUUUUCACUUUGGCUGGAGCAAUAAUAUCUUGGAGAUCAAAGAAGCAUACAUGUAUUACUCACUCAAUCAUGGAGUCAAAAUUUAUCGCUAUGUCUUCUUUUGGAGAAGAAGUUGAUUGGCUGCGGAGUAUGUUGAUAGAUAUUCCAUUAUAGGGUAAGCCAAUACCACAUUUGACUAUAUAUUGUGAUAAUAAAGCUGCUAUAUUUCGGGCUUCAAGUGAUUGUUACAAUGGCAAGUCAAGACAAGUUCGUCUCAAAUACAAUCANNNNNNNNNNNNNNNNNNNNNNNNNNNNNNNNNNNNNNNNNNNNNNNNNNNNNNNNNNNNNNNNNNNNNNNNNNNNNNNNNNNNNNNNNNNNNNNNNNNNNNNNNNNNNNNNNNNNNNNNNNNNNNNNNNNNNNNNNNNNNNNNNNNNNNNNNNNNNNNNNNNNNNNNNNNNNNNNNNNNNNNNNNNNNNNNNNNNNNNNNNNNNNNNNNNNNNNNNNNNNNNNNNNNNNNNNNNNNNNNNNNNNNNNNNNNNNNNNNNNNNNNNNNNNNNNNNNNNNNNNNNNNNNNNNNNNNNNNNNNNNNNNNNNNNNNNNNNNNNNNNNNNNNNNNNNNNNNNNNNNNNNNNNNNNNNNNNNNNNNNNNNNNNNNNNNNNNNNNNNNNNNNNNNNNNNNNNNNNNNNNNNNNNNNNNNNNNNNNNNNNNNNNNNNNNNNNNNNNNNNNNNNNNNNNNNNNNNNNNNNNNNNNNNNNNNNNNNNNNNNNNNNNNNNNNNNNNNNNNNNNNNNNNNNNNNNNNNNNNNNNNNNNNNNNNNNNNNNNNNNNNNNNNNNNNNNNNNNNNNNNNNNNNNNNNNNNNNNNNNNNNNNNNNNNNNNNNNNNNNNNNNNNNNNNNNNNNNNNNNNNNNNNNNNNNNNNNNNUAAGGUGUCAAAGGAUUUUGAUUUUCACCGGAACAUAGCAAUAUGCGUAGAGUAUUUUUCUACUUCAUUCAAUGAACCACUUAGUUCAAGAUUUGUUCACUAAGUAGUCAAUGAUUUAGAAAGUUUCACUAGCUACUGGUUCAAGUCCAAAAGACACCAUUAUUGAUGCAUGUUGCUAGAUUGAUGUCUCAAAUGAAUUUUAUUUUAUUUUUAAAGAUAACAUUUCUUAAAACAAGUGGGGGAUUUUUGAUUUUAUGUUUCAAUAAAUUUUGAAACAAAUACAUUGGUUAAAGAUUUUUAAGAGUUAUGUUUCAAUUAGUUUUGAAACAAAUGCAUCACUUAAAGUUUUGAGUUACAAAGGAAAUGAAUUUGAUAAAUUCAUUAUUCAUAAAUUUUGAGUUACAAAGAAAAUUUAUUUGACAAAUUCAUUAUUCAUUAAGUUUUACGUUAUAGGUUCUUGAAAGAAUGACAUUUUUUGUUUUAAAACAUACAUGAACCUAUAAACUAUUACUUAAUUAAUAUACUUCUCAAGCAUGAAACUUUCAUCCUAUAAAUAUUGUUUUCUUUUGUUUGAAAAAGACAAGCACUCAAAACUACUUUUCCCUUGAAAACAUUUGAGAGACAUUGAUCAAAUGGUGAAAUCACCAAUUCAAGAAUAGAAGAGCAACAUUCUUAAAUGCUACUUGUUUUAUGGCUUAGUUGAAUCCCGAAGAUAGAGUUGUCACUUGUUCUUCCGUUUGCUCGUGGAAGAGACUCCAACUAUCUUCAAGAAGUGUAUUAUCGUGCCUCUAAGGCAAGCAAGUUUUAUUUUAAAUUUCUUGUACAAUUAUCAUUAUUGUUCUAACAAAAACUAGGGGUAGAGAAGGAGAAAAUUCACUAUGAUGGAGAGAAAUACAAGGAGGAGACGAAAGUCUCAAUGACGUAUAUAAACUACCACAAACAACCCACUAAAUCUGUCACGACCCAAACCGAGGCCCUGACAAUGACGAGCAUCCCGAAUCAUAAAAGCCCGGACGCCCCUCUCUAUCCGGUAGUCAUGCACAAUAUUCAUACAAUAAAAGAAGAUGCGUAAUGAAAUAGAAUACGGAAUCAUGAUCGUUCUGAAUUAAAUUUAAAGAUAGAAAAUAAAACCCAACAGCAACUGGACAAUAUCUGAACCAGUCUGCGAAAUCUCUAAUACACGAUAAAAUGAUAACUGUCUAAAAACUGGGACAAGGCCCCCAGUAGGCCUAUAAUAAAAUAAAUGACAUAGUCUGAAGUAAGCAGGUCUUCUAGAACAAAGAAGGCUCACCACUGCACAACUUGUUUCUCUCUAAAAUCUCUACUGCUUAGCCGGACCAUUAGAUCGAGCCUCAUACCUUGAGAGGUAGGGGGUCAAUACAGUUAUAAUGGUAUGCAGAGUAAAUCCAAAAUAAUAAUUUAUAUUCAUCAUAUAUGAGAACAAUUCAAAACAGUUCAUAAAUAUAUCAUAUGGUAAGAAUCACAUGGGCAUAUUUUAAAAAAAAAAACUAUAAAAUCAUAUGGACUCUAUGACACUCUUUGUUUUACUUCUAUACUAGGUGGUAUAGCCUACAACUCUAAAAUUCCACGGGCUAUAUGAAAUCUGUCCUUAACUCGGCAGCUAAUCCAUGUAUGCUACUAUUGCCACAGCCACUGCUCGCCAGAAAAUCGGGCCAAUCGCACCGACCCAACAAUUUGUAAAAUGAUUGUUGCGGGAUUUACUGGCCAACUUCGAGGCUGGUGGGAUAAUUUCUUGGACGAUGAUAAACGCGAGGUUAUUUUUAAUGCCACUAAUGAUAAACCCGGGAAAGAUAAUCUAGGCCGACCUCUUCGGGAAGGACGUUCAGAUGUUGUCUAUACCCUUAUGCUUACAAUUAUUGAACAUUUUGGAGGAAGAUUUACUAAUCAGUAUGAAAACAUUAGGACCCUUCUUAAUGUCUUAAAAUGUAAACACUUAGGCAAAUUUAGAUGGUAUAAAGAUACCUUUCUUAGUAGGGUUAUGGAUUUACCCAAAAGUAAGUAUGACCAUUGGAAAGCUAAAUUCAUUGAUGGCCUUCCACCUUUAUUUGCUGAAAGAGUUAGAAAAUCUCUUAGAGGAUCUUAUGGAGAAGUCCAGUAUUCAGAAAAAACUUAUGGUCAGCUUAUUGUAGCUUGUACUCAAGAAGGCUUAGCCCUUUGCAACGAGUUGAAAUUAGCUAGACAAAUUAAGCUUGAUAAACUCAGAGAAAAAUCCCAAUUAGGAGACUUUUGUGAGCAAUUUGGUAUGGNNNNNNNNNNNNNNNNNNNNNNNNNNNNNNNNNNNNNNNNNNNNNNNNNNNNNNNNNNNNNNNNNNNNNNNNNNNNNNNNNNNNNNNNNNNNNNNNNNNNNNNNNNNNNNNNNNNNNNNNNNNNNNNNNNNNNNNNNNNNNNNNNNNNNNNNNNNNNNNNNNNNNNNNNNNNNNNNNNNNNNNNNNNNNNNNNNNNNNNNNNNNNNNNNNNNNNNNNNNNNNNNNNNNNNNNNNNNNNNNNNNNNNNNNNNNNNNNNNNNNNNNNNNNNNNNNNNNNNNNNNNNNNNNNNNNNNNNNNNNNNNNNNNNNNNNNNNNNNNNNNNNNNNNNNNNNNNNNNNNNNNNNNNNNNNNNNNNNNNNNNNNNNNNNNNNNNNNNNNNNNNNNNNNNNNNNNNNNNNNNNNNNNNNNNNNNNNNNNNNNNNNNNNNNNNNNNNNNNNNNNNNNNNNNNNNNNNNNNNNNNNNNNNNNNNNNNNNNNNNNNNNNNNNNNNNNNNNNNNNNNNNNNNNNNNNNNNNNNNNNNNNNNNNNNNNNNNNNNNNNNNNNNNNNNNNNNNNNNNNNNNNNNNNNNNNNNNNNNNNNNNNNNNNNNNNNNNNNNNNNNNNNNNNNNNNNNNNNNNNNNNNNNNNNNNNNNNNNNNNNNNNNNNNNNNNNNNNNNNNNNNNNNNNNNNNNNNNNNNNNNNNNNNNNNNNNNNNNNNNNNNNNNNNNNNNNNNNNNNNNNNNNNNNNNNNNNNNNNNNNNNNNNNNNNNNNNNNNNNNNNNNNNNNNNNNNNNNNNNNNNNNNNNNNNNNNNNNNNNNNNNNNNNNNNNNNNNNNNNNNNNNNNNNNNNNNNNNNNNNNNNNNNNNNNNNNNNNNNNNNNNNNNAUAAAUGGUAUAUAAAUUGCACUAUUUUGAUAAAUAAGAAAUUUUUUGUCACUAAUGUUGCUAUGAUUGAUAGUGGUGCUGAUGUUAGUUGUAUUCAAGAAGGACUAAUUCCAAUCAGGUAUUUUGAAAAAACUACUCACGUAGUAAAAUCUGCAUCUGGUCAUACUCUUGAUGUCAACUAUAAAUUACCAAAUACUCAUAUAUGUCGAGAUAAAGUCUGCAUUCCUCAUUUCUUCUUUUUAGUAAAACCAAAAAUUUAUAAUUAGAACUGAUGCUCAAUCUGUCAAAUUUAUGUUUAAUAAAGACUUCAAACAUGAUGCCACUCAGCCUACCAUACCAUAUAAUGAUAUCGGAUUAGGCCUAAGUCGGAAGACCGAACCAAAGCACCAACCGGAAUAGAAAAGAAUCUUAAGUAGUUUUAUGACUGUAUGGACUCUUUUACCCAAACAUGGGGCCUGUCAGAGAUUUAAUAACCUUAUGUUGAACCUGUGUGUCUAGAAGUUCUAAUUGUGCAGAAAUUCGCCCUUUUNNNNNNNNNNNNNNNNNNNNNNNNNNNNNNNNNNNNNNNNNNNNNNNNNNNNNNNNNNNNNNNNNNNNNNNNNNNNNNNNNNNNNNNNNNNNNNNNNNNNNNNNNNNNNNNNNNNNNNNNNNNNNNNNNNNNNNNNNNNNNNNNNNNNNNNNNNNNNNNNNNNNNNNNNNNNNNNNNNNNNNNNNNNNNNNNNNNNNNNNNNNNNNNNNNNNNNNNNNNNNNNNNNNNNNNNNNNNNNNNNNNNNNNNNNNNNNNNNNNNNNNNNNNNNNNNNNNNNNNNNNNNNNNNNNNNNNNNNNNNNNNNNNNNNNNNNNNNNNNNNNNNNNNNNNNNNNNNNNNNNNNNNNNNNNNNNNNNNNNNNNNNNNNNNNNNNNNNNNNNNNNNNNNNNNNNNNNNNNNNNNNNNNNNNNNNNNNNNNNNNNNNNNNNNNNNNNNNNNNNNNNNNNNNNNNNNNNNNNNNNNNNNNNNNNNNNNNNNNNNNNNNNNNNNNNNNNNNNNNNNNNNNNNNNNNNNNNNNNNNNNNNNNNNNNNNNNNNNNNNNNNNNNNNNNNNNNNNNNNNNNNNNNNNNNNNNNNNNNNNNNNNNNNNNNNNNNNNNNNNNNNNNNNNNNNNNNNNNNNNNNNNNNNNNNNNNNNNNNNNNNNNNNNNNNNNNNNNNNNNNNNNNNNNNNNNNNNNNNNNNNNNNNNNNNNNNNNNNNNNNNNNNNNNNNNNNNNNNNNNNNNNNNNNNNNNNNNNNNNNNNNNNNNNNNNNNNNNNNNNNNNNNNNNNNNNNNNNNNNNNNNNNNNNNNNNNNNNNNNNNNNNNNNNNNNNNNNNNNNNNNNNNNNNNNNNNNNNNNNNNNNNNNNNNNNNNNNNNNNNNNNNNNNNNNNNNNNNNNNNNNNNNNNNNNNNNNNNNNNNNNNNNNNNNNNNNNNNNNNNNNNNNNNNNNNNNNNNNNNNNNNNNNNNNNNNNNNNNNNNNNNNNNNNNNNNNNNNNNNNNNNNNNNNNNNNNNNNNNNNNNNNNNNNNNNNNNNNNNNNNNNNNNNNNNNNNNNNNNNNNNNNNNNNNNNNNNNNNNNNNNNNNNNNNNNNNNNNNNNNNNNNNNNNNNNNNNNNNNNNNNNNNNNNNNNNNNNNNNNNNNNNNNNNNNNNNNNNNNNNNNNNNNNNNNNNNNNNNNNNNNNNNNNNNNNNNNNNNNNNNNNNNNNNNNNNNNNNNNNNNNNNNNNNNNNNNNNNNNNNNNNNNNNNNNNNNNNNNNNNNNNNNNNNNNNNNNNNNNNNNNNNNNNNNNNNNNNNNNNNNNNNNNNNNNNNNNNNNNNNNNNNNNNNNNNNNNNNNNNNNNNNNNNNNNNNNNNNNNNNNNNNNNNNNNNNNNNNNNNNNNNNNNNNNNNNNNNNNNNNNNNNNNNNNNNNNNNNNNNNNNNNNNNNNNNNNNNNNNNNNNNNNNNNNNNNNNNNNNNNNNNNNNNNNNNNNNNNNNNNNNNNNNNNNNNNNNNNNNNNNNNNNNNNNNNNNNNNNNNNNNNNNNNNNNNNNNNNNNNNNNNNNNNNNNNNNNNNNNNNNNNNNNNNNNNNNNNNNNNNNNNNNNNNNNNNNNNNNNNNNNNNNNNNNNNNNNNNNNNNNNNNNNNNNNNNNNNNNNNNNNNNNNNNNNNNNNNNNNNNNNNNNNNNNNNNNNNNNNNNNNNNNNNNNNNNNNNNNNNNNNNNNNNNNNNNNNNNNNNNNNNNNNNNNNNNNNNNNNNNNNNNNNNNNNNNNNNNNNNNNNNNNNNNNNNNNNNNNNNNNNNNNNNNNNNNNNNNNNNNNNNNNNNNNNNNNNNNNNNNNNNNNNNNNNNNNNNNNNNNNNNNNNNNNNNNNNNNNNNNNNNNNNNNNNNNNNNNNNNNNNNNNNNNNNNNNNNNNNNNNNNNNNNNNNNNNNNNNNNNNNNNNNNNNNNNNNNNNNNNNNNNNNNNNNNNNNNNNNNNNNNNNNNNNNNNNNNNNNNNNNNNNNNNNNNNNNNNNNNNNNNNNNNNNNNNNNNNNNNNNNNNNNNNNNNNNNNNNNNNNNNNNNNNNNNNNNNNNNNNNNNNNAAAAAGCGAUUUUAGGAAUAUUUUGGUGUUUAUGCAAAACUAAUUUUUUGGCGACUUAACUAAGGAUUUAACUAGGUUCGCCAAGCACAUAAGGGAAACAAACAUAAAGAUCGGAGGGAAAGGGAGGAAGUAAGGGAUUUAGGCCAUUGGCCCAAACCAACAAAAUCUGUCCUAGUCUAAUUGGGCCUUCGACCCAUUUCACCUGUCCUAAUCUAAUUUUCGAGCGUUUGGCUCGAAUCUUGCCUCCACCUGUGUUAAAUACAACCUUGGCUUCAUGGCCUGAAUGAAUGAAUAAAAUAAAUAAAGACAACAAUAAUUAAACGAAAUGAAAUAAUAAAUGAGACUUUUGUCUCUUAGCCGCUUCAAGAAUGGGACUUUAACCCAUUUCUCCUCCUUGCGACUCCAUGCGUCAGUUCAUUACUUAACCAGCUUUGGGCUUGACUCAACGGAUGGGCCUGAUUGGCCCAUUAGCGAAUGCAAAUAGGAAAGAGUCCUUUUGGACUUCGAGGCGGGUUCAUACGAAAGAAGAAAAGAGAUGAAAUUAAUACACACCCAAAAUACGAAUUACUACAUGGAGAAAUAGUAUAACAAAUUGAUAAACAAAAAGUCAACUGUAGUGUCAUCAAAUGGAUUAUAAGACAAUAAUUUAAAUUCAUGCAAUAUAAUAGCACACACCAUCCACCAUCAUAAUAAAAUUGAAACUAAAAGCAUGACAAUAUCACAACUUUUUCAGGAAAGAAUGAAGCAUUGUUUUUGCAAAGAAAAUUAUAGUUGAACUAAACUAAACAUGUUACAAAGCUACGCUGUUUAUCGAACAAACUAAAAUUUAGUUAGAUUGAACCUGGGGAAAUACGUUCGUCCAAGUUAGAUUAAACAAAAAUUACGAGUCGAACCACAUUAAACAUCAUUAUACUGUUAAAAUGAUAAGUUAAAGAAUUACAACAGGCAAUAUUUCAUCAUGUACUUAAGCUAGCGCAAGAAAUUACAGGUGCAAAACUGGAGAACUGAAAUUACAGCAAGCAAUGAUUCAUCAAUAGUCAGGAGAAAAAAGGAUAAAAAUCCAAUAUUGUCAUACUAAACUACAAAUAACAGGGUAAAGGGCUGGGAUUAAAAUAAAAAAAGUGCUCAACUGAGGAAAGUAAUCAGACUACAUGAAAAAACGACUGCUAACGAACAAAUUUCACAUAUUUUGUAAAGAUUCGAUGACUGCUACGACAAAUUUGGAAUAAAAGCAGUCUAAGAAAACUAGAACUUCGGCGAACGAACCUCAUGAAAUAAGAUGAUCAAUUAAGGGUAGAAUAACAAGAACAUCUUCCCUAGAUGUUUAAUCUUCAUUAAAACUAAAUUCCAGAGGCAGCCGUCCAAACUUAUUAUUAUCUAACUUUUCAUACUAAAAAAAAUACUACACUCAUGUCGAUACAUCGAGAAAGGUCGACAUCAACAUAGAACUUUAAAUAGAUUUAAAGAGGGGAAAUAGUAAAACACUCAAGCAUUAUUCGAUAGUCAAAAAAUGCCUUACAGAACUCUAGAAGUUCUAGACAAAUGAACCAAAAUUGAAUCAAAACUACAGUAAGAAAAGGGAAAGCAACUUGAAUAAACAGCGACUACCUAGGAAACGUAAAAUUAACCAUAGGAAUUUGAUUCCGAAGAUAGAUAAGGCGAAAAUAUAACGUGCGUCUAACUAUCAAAACCAAAGGAGCAAAUGAUGUAGGAAAAGGCUAGACAUUUUUCAAACUAGGAUGUAAUUAAGCAAGUUGUAACAUCUAGAAAACUUAUUUACAGUGAAUGAACAAAGCAGUAUUUUCUUUUUCUUUAAAAUUAACCCAGAACAAGAACGCUAUUCGCACUUUUUCAGAAAUACAUCGGCGAGGCCCUCCUUACCCUCUUUUCGACCUCAACUUGAAAUGAACUUUCGAAAACCCAAAGUAGGGUCAUCUAGAGUUCAUAGGACUGUCGCCUUACACAUAUGUAUCAGUCUCAAAGGUUAAGAGCUAUGAGGUAGACUGAAUCCCGUUGAUUCAGUAAAUUAAACCAACACCAGUGACCUUGCAUUAAGGACAAGACUUAAGAAAACUGGGACAAAUCAGAGCAAAGGUAUGCCAAAGAAGACAUAAAAAGACCAAAGUAGGCAUGUUCAAACAUAGAGACAGCGAAUCAAACCAUAAGCAGCGUACAAAAGUGAAAACCAUGAUUAAAUAGUUAAUUAAUGAUAUUAAAGUUUAAACAAUAGAUUGCAAAAUCGAGGGAAGCAACAGGAAGCUAAAGUCACGGAUUAAACGAUUAUAAUAAUAGUUAGCCUAGCAUAGCAAAAAUGCUACAUCAAAAAAAAAAGAAACUAGAAACGAAAGACUCAAUCUUGAUGAUAUUAAUGUUUAUUCAUACCAUAACUCUCAGAUAACCAAUGACGUCAAGUAAAAGACAGUAUAUUCGACAUAAUCACAUUGAAAAUUACAACAUGAGCUCUGUUUCAGCGAAAUAGCACAACAAUAAUCACAAAACAACCCCUAAGGCCAUCACAGCCAUCUACAGCAGACAAAACCCAGCCUCAUUCACAAUUACCAUAAAAUAUCAACUGAUUCUACGGAGAGAAAGGGGGAUGAAGAAGAGAGUGACAAAAUUAAAAGAACAAAAGUAUAUUCACCUCUUCUAGGGUAGCAAAACAGGAAAACGAGUUGAUGAUAGGAUUUCGACCAACAGAAAUCAGUCUUCGACUCGAUAGCAUUGAUUAACCGCCGACCUUUUUCAAAAAUAAAGAUUUUACUAGAAAAGGGGUUUGCUUGAGUGCUCGAUUUUCAGCCUUCCAAGCCUCUCUUUUUUUGACUCAAGGAUGAGCUAUUUAUAGCGAAACCAAAUGGAGAUUAAUUUCCCAUUCCAUCGAUGUGGGAUUCUGUUUAAUAAGGGUAAUUUUGGGAAAUUCUCUAAAAGGAAAUUCAAAAUUCGAACUCAAGAUAGCCUUUUCCCACCAACCAACUCACAUGAAUUUGGAAUUUUCUUCCUCUCCUGCCAAAUUCUCUAACUAAUGGAAUUUGAAAGGAUGAAAUUCCUUCACGAACCAAUAGAAAUCGAGCAGGUGUGUACGAACUCGUACAACUCUAUCCGUUACAAAUAAAUAAGACAUGACAACUCUUGCGUAACAACCAUGACAAUAGACUAUCAUUCGCCACAUAACCAAUGAAGUAUCAUUCGAGCACUUGGGAAUCUUAAACAUGUAAUUGAAAAGGAAAGCAUGCUAUUGUCUCAUAACUCAUCCAACAAGGAAUUCACAUGAAUAGGAAUACAUGAAACAUAUCAUAAUUCAUUCAUUUAGGCCUUUUAACAAACACUUAGUAUGCACUAGUUUACAUAUGCUUAGGAAUAACAUACUUUAUGUUACAAUGACACUAUUUUCUUCACAUAAGCAAUUUAUCAAGCAUGUGGGAGGCACCCUUUGUCCAUACAACAUUCAAUACACCAAAUUAACAUAAUUACAUAAUUCAACACAUACUAAGGUCACUUGCAUCUUUAUGAUCACAUCAUGAAUUAAAACUUAAUAUUAACAUGGACUUCAACUUCAAACCACAUAAAUCAUAAAAAAUUCAUAAACAUAAAAUCUUGAAUUUAAAAAAAGGAUUCUUGAACUUCUUGGUGGAAAGAACCCAAGAAUCAACAUCCAACAUACCUUGCUAUUUGAUUCUUGAAAAUUUAACGAAGGAAUCUUGAUGAUUGGGGCCUUGAUUUAGGAACCAUAGCUCUUGUUCUUGAACAAUUUUGAGAGAAAACUAGUAUUUUUGGGUUAAAUGAGGUCAAAUCCCAUGUUAAUGGACUUAUAUAGGGGUAGUAAAAUGACCCAUUUACCCUUGAAAAAAUAGGGCUGAAAGCUAAAAAAUUCUGGAGCAUGCUAUGGAGCACUAGAGCAUGCGCCGCAUGCUAUAUCGCAUGGUGCCAGGUGUGAAAUGGACUAUGCGACACAUCCUAAUCGCAUGGUGCCACUGGUUUGAAAUCCAAACACACCCUAAAUGGAUUCUGAAAAUUCCAAAACUCACCUGAGAUGUACAAUUGACUUGCCCCAUCAUGAUGCAACUUAAAAAUCGAAAAACGGAGGUAGGAAAGAUCGCAAAAUAAUUUUUCAAAGUUCGAAGGCUUAUGGAAUGGAAAAGUUUCAUUACUUAGCCAAAUUUUCUAAGUGUUAAGCCUUUCUUGGCAUACUUUAGAAGCUCUAAUGACUCAAAAAUUUUACGAGGUAUUACAUUUCUACUAUUAUUUGAAAGGUUACAAUGAACCUUUAUGUAGCUGAUAUUGCUAGGAUCUAUAAUAUUUUUUCUGGGGGUGGGGUCACUAUGUCAAGGGCACUUGGCCACAUCUUGACAAUCUUGCAUCUGCUCUUGACAUAUGUAAAAAGUUCUCUAGAAAUCCUCACCUGAUCACUCAUAGAAGAGUUCUUAAGAGGGAGAUGUCUCCACUCCACCAAUUCUAUUUUGAUAUAGUUCAUAAGAUGAUCAUCCCUAAGAAGGAAAGAAAAAUUGUGGCUAGUUUUCUUGACCUUACUCUUGUGAAACUGUUGGACACUGAGGUGGAAAUUGACUUGCCUCGACUCAUAUUGAAGCAUAUGAAAAGGGUUCUCCUUAAGAAAGUAAAUGGACAGGCUGCAUUGGAGGCUGCUCAUGAGGAUGAGAAAAGGGUCCUUCAUGCUCAAAUUUCUUCCCUUACAACCACUUUGGAAAAGAAAAGAGCUGAGAAUGCUGAUGUUAUUAGAAAGCUGACCUCUCUUAUCCCCUUCUCCUCAUCCACUUAAGCCCUUUCUUAGUGCCUUAGGCAUAUUUUUCGUGUUGUCUCUUGGUCCAUGUUGUUUCUCUUUUUGUUGUUACUAGGUUAUGAUAAUUGUAUCAUGUUCUAUGAAUGAAAUGGGACUUUUGUUUAAAGUGUUGUGCUUCUAUUUUUUCAUAAUGCAUUAUUGUUCGUUUGCUCUGAGUUUUGAUUGUUUUAGUGAUAGUCCUAGUGGCCAUGAAUUAUUAAACAGUAUCACUUAUUGGGGCUAGCUUUUCGAUGAUUCCAAAAGGGAGAAGAAUAGAUUAUACAAUGCUUAUAACUCAAUGACUAACCUAUUUUAUUGUGUUGUGAUCCUCUAUUUUAAUCCUUUAUUGAGUGUGUUGGGAUUUUAAAAUGGAUGUUAUGCUGCUAAGUUUGUCAUCAUCAAAAAGGGAAAAUUUGUUAGGGAAUAUGAAUUUUUGAUGAUGGACAUAUGAAUGAAAUAUAUUGUACAAGUUGUUCCACAUAAGUGAACAAGUCACAGACAAGACUACUGAUAAGAUGGCACUGUAAAAAAAUAGGAGUGGAUAAGUAACAUGCUCUCAAUACUUAUCACAUCAGCUGAAGUAGAUGAGUGCAACAUCUACAAGUUGAGUUGAUCAAGAAGUCCUACAAAGCAAGAAGUUGAGUUGAUCAAGAAGUCUUGCAAAUCCUAUGAGAUAGAAGAGAAGAGUCUUAUUCAAGCAAGGAGAGAGAGAGACCGCAACAAAGAGUGAAACUACCUGGAAGUCCUAUUGAAGAUAGAAGAAUACAUCAACUAAAGAACUCCAUCAGGAGUUGUCUUAACUACAACAAACGACAUUCAAGUGUUUCUCUCACGUACUAAAAAAGAUAGUCAACAAUCAGCAAAUCAGUUCUACAACUUGAAAAAGCUAGUGGAGCAACCUGGUCCUUUACUUAGAGUCAUAGACUUUGUGUAAUAGUUGAUCAUUGAGUCAUAUUGAGUUGUAAUCUCUAGUCUCAGUAAAUUAUAAACUGAGUUAAGAUUAACGUCUUCAAGUUGGGGAAAUCGAAGACUUGGGAACACUUAUCUUGGAAAGAUUAGUGUUUUGUAGAAGUAGGAGUUAAAAGUUUUAAUUCCUAGUUUACAAGAAGUCUUGUAAUUUGUUAAUUUUUGAGGCUCAAGAGUUAUAGUGAAGUUGGGGUUAAAUCCUGUAGAGGUACAGAUCGUGGGUUUUUAUACCUUUCUUGAGCCGAAUAUUUUUCACAUAAAAAUACUGUGUUCAAGUUUUACUUCAGUGAACCACGUUAGCUUACAUGUUCUACAGAUAGGCAACUAAGUAGAGUAAAAUAUUAAAAUUGGUAGGACAUGCAUUCCUAACAUGUUUUUUUCCGAAAAGACACUAAGAGAAAGAAUGCAAUUUGAAUAGACACCUUUUCGGAUUGAAUGAUUAUGACCUUUCCUAUGGAUUGUGACUCUUCCGAAGAGUUACACCUUUUUCGAAGAGUUGCACUUUUAUAAAGGGGUGCACCUUUCUGAACUAUUGUUUCUCUUUAUGAAGCAAUAAUUUGAUGACUAUAAAAUACCUGAAUUUUUUCUUAGGUAAAGAUAAUUUUUUGAGUAGAAAAACAAUCUUCUUCUUCUUCUAAAAGUUCUCGUGUAAUCAUCAAAUCGUUGAGUGUGUUCGAAGUGUCUGAAAAUUUGAGGUACCGCUAUUUUAAAAAACAGAAUCAUUUUAUACUGGAAGGAAAGAUUUCAUAACCUCGGGUACUUGAGGGAAAUAAAUUUCUUAAUGACACACUGUGCAUUCGGUGGACUUGAUUCGACAAUUUUCUGCGUCAUCUUUUUUCUUAAAAUUUAGAAAUAUUUCGUUUUGAUAGUUCAUUUGAUUAUUCAUUUGGACUUAUGUUUGAAGUUGUUGUAACUUUAUUGUAGUUCUUGAAAGUUGUUCUUGAACUUAGUAUUGAAGUUUGGGCUGAAACAUAUAGAUUUUUGUACGCAGAAUAGCAUGUUCAAACUAAAGUAUGAACAAUUAAAUGAAUUUGUAUCCUUGUACUCACAACUUUAAAUUUUUAACAAUAACUUCAACCCAACUUUUGAACAACCAAAAUUGAAGCUCAAACUAUUUUUUGAAAAAUAGCAAAAUUAAGCAUUUAGAAAGAGAUGAAGAUUGAAAGAUUUAAGUCCACCGAAUUAACGGUGUGUUCUUAAGGAAAUAAUUUUUUUCAAGUACCCGAGGUUAUCAAAUCAGUCUAAAAUGAAUCACUUCGACAAAAUAGUUAUACCUUAAAAUCUGUCAAACUACAAACGCACUCAACGAUAGCAAAUCACACUAGAGUUUUUCAAGAAAGGGGAGUGUUUUUUACUUAAAAAUUUCAUGUAUGUACCUGAGAAAAAAAUUAGGUAUUUAUAACCAUGAAGGUGUUGCUUCUUGAAUGGAAGCAAUGGUUCAAAAAUGUACACCUCUUCAUAAAGGUGCAACUCUUCGAAAAAGCCACAACCCAUUGAAAAGGUCAUAACCAUCCAAACUGGAAAGGUGCCUAUUCAAAUUGCAUUCUUUCUCUUGAUGUCUUUUUCCAAAAAACACCUGCUUAUUUUCCAUUCACACCUCUUAAAAACCUAAUAAUUAUCCACAUGAAUGGUGAAUGACUAUUUUAUCAAGAAAUAUACGGACAAGUGUGUGAUCUACAAGCAAAGACUAAUUGCAUCUAGAUAAGUAAAUUUUUUUUGAACUUUUUGUAGUGAACUUGCAUCGGAUGCACUCAAUCAAUCGGUAGAUGUGAUAUCUUUAAAUCAUCGAACUUUAAUGUACACCUAGAUAACACAAAUUGCACAACCAACUUUUUCUCGUUUAUGGUUCUCACGGUUUUGUUCGUUUCAGCCAUGACCAUUUUUUGAUUUCAUGAGAGUUUAGAGAAUAAGCCUUUACUAUCAUUCUCCUUGAAGCGGCUUCCACUUCAUCCUCACAUAGGUGAUUUCUAAACGUUUAAUCCUAUAGAUCAAACUAUUUAGUCAAACUUGUCAAACUUGAAAGCCAUUAAAAAGUUUCACACCAUAAGCCUUAUCCGUGUUUCCUUAACAUUGUCUUCAUCGUGAGAAUGAGUUUAAUUGACAAUGUUGAACCGUCAGUCACAACUUUGUUUGAUCUCCUUAAACCUAACUCUUGGGAUCUCCGGUCUGCUAGGUAGAGUUACUGCCGUAAUGACUUGUCCUAGGCCGUAAACUCAUUCCUUCAAUGAUUUCUUUAUAUAUAUAUAUAUAUAUAAAGGAGACUUAGAAAUAUUAUAACGUGGCAUACUUGUAAGGCCUCCAUUUCUAUUUUUCUUUUUUCUCAAUUUUUUGACAUUUUUCCUAUUUUUUUUUCUAUUUACUUGCACAAUUUCUGAAAAUCAAACAUUGUUGUUAGAAUUAAUUUGUAAUUCCUCAUUAAUUAUUUAAUGUGAAUAGGUGUGUGUCUUCAAUUUUGUAAUGUAUAAUGUAAAGCGUCAAUUGGACUCAAUAUUUGUUAGUUAUUGAGGAAGCCUAAAAAAAAUUCUUUUCAUUUUGAUAAUGGAGAAGCAGCAACGCGAUUUAUGAGUACCAAAUAAAAUAAUCUAAAUCCAACUUUUACGUUUUAUCCAUUUCAUUUUCUCAGAAUAAUAAGAGCAGCUCAUUAUUAUUCAUGAAUGUGGUCAUAAACAGUUACUACUUUCCAUCUCCCAAUUUACUCUAGCUUUUAAUGCAUUAUUAUAAUUAAUGAAUGUCAUUAUUACUUAUAUAUAUUUAGUAUACCAUGGAUUUUGACAAUCAAGUAAAUUGAUGGAGAUGUAGAGGUCCAUGAAGUACACAGAGAUAGUGACAAACUAAGCAAAAUUGGUCAGCACGUUUCAUUUUUUUCACCAUCUUUCAAAUGUUAUUUUUAUUGUUCAUUUUUCCACCUUCUUCCAAGUAUCGUCAUUGAUUAUAAAUUUAUACCUUCGUUAUUGAUAAUAAAUAUACGUGACACCUCUAUAUGGCCUCCAUUUGAUUUACUAUUUUUUUCAUUUUUAACUUUUUCCUUUCAUUUUUUUUAUUUAUCAAUUUAUUUACUAAUUAAAAACUAUUAUAUUCAUUACAAUAGUUAUAUCAAAUGAGUAACAAAAACCUCUACCUUUUACUCUUUCUGUGCUUAAAUUACAUAUCUCCUCAACUCUCAAUUACUUAAUUCAAAUGAUUGAAUUAACUAUUCUAUAAAUAACAAACACCUAUAAAAUUAUUGAAUGUUCAUUUUCGUUUUAUACUACUUCUUCUUCUUUAUUCAAUUUUUUCUUUUCUCCCUUUUUGAUUUUUUCUUUCAUGUAUUUUGCAGCUCAUCAAAGGUUUCUCUAGAUGAAAGAUUGGUCUCGAGAUAAAGGGUUAAAGAAAGAAUUUUUUUUAAUUACACUAAUUAUCAUUGUUGUUGUUUAGUUUUCAGUAAAAAAAUUGUAAACAUAUAAUUUUUUCUAAUAAUACAAAUUAAGUGUUAUUGAUUAAUUUUCAGUAAAAGAUUUACUAUAAGAUUUUUUAAAAAUUUUUAUCUUUUUAAUUUAUGAUAUUCUAAUAUUUUGAGGUCGGUAUAUUCUGACUUUUAAAGGAGAAAGGAACAUAAAUUAUCAAGAAAAUAAAAAGUAAUUUAUUUCUUAAUAAGUGGAAGCAUCUGGAUAUUUCUUAAUUGAAUUGUGAACUUCUUAAUUCAAUUUGUAAAAAAAUAUGAAAAUAAUUUUACUUCUUACAUUUCGUUGUCUUUUCCUUAAUUUCAAGAAUUCUUUUAAUUUGAAUUCCAAGUUGCUAGAAUUGAAAGAAAAAAUAUUGAAAUCAGAAACAGUAUUUCUUGUCAUUGUUCAUUUCAUUUUAAGAUUUUAGAAGUUUUAAAUAACUUAAGAUUAAUUAAUGAAGUAUUAUUUAUAAAUAAUGUUGAAUUUGGUAUAGAAAGGUAAAUAAGACUAGGUUAUAGAUUUUAUUUUUAGCAUAUAAGAUUACAGUGUUGUGGUGUUUUUAUUUCUAUGCAUGCAGAGUCAAAAAAAAAAAAAAAAUCUCCGUUUCUGAAAAAAUUAACCUACUUUCUUUUUUAAUCAGUUUAAAAAAUGAUAUUUUCUUUUUCUUAAUAAUAUUUUAACUCCAACUUUUCACGUGGCAUGUUUAAAACUAUAAGAUUAAAGGACAUUUUACUACAUUUGACAUAACUUUAAUUUAAAAUCACAAGAUUCAAAAGUUUCUUUAUUUUUUUAAAUUUUGUAUCAAGUCAAAACAAAUCUUUAUUUUUAAAAUGGAGGGAGCAGUUUUUCCCCCUCUUCCAUUAAAAAAUAUAAAUUCAUCCAUUAGUUUAUUUUAUGUUAAAAAUCUAAACAACCUUUAGUAAAUACUUAAAAAUUAUGGUUCUUUUCCUUCCCUUUCAAUGAACUUUUAUUAACGGAAAAGGGCCUAAAAUGCCCUUCAACUAUUCAAAAUAGUGUAAAAAUGUCCUCCAUCUACCUAUUGGGUCUGAAAUACCCUUGAUGUCCUUGAUGGCUAACUAUUGGGUCUACUUUGCCCUUUAUUUUAACAGAUUAAUUAUCCUCAAUUCAAUAAUGACGUGGCUUCUUCUAAUUGUUCAAUUAAUAAUUAAUUAAAUUAAUUAAUAACCCAACUCAUUAAACCUGACCCACAACCCAUCCAAACCUAAUAAUCCGAUCCAUUAAUACUCCAAACCUAAUAACCAGAUCCGACCAAUCCAACCCUAAUAAUAACGUAAAAAAAAAUAAAAUCAGUCAACCCUAAUAAUCUAUAUUUUUGACGUAGAAAGCAUCGCCUGGAAGGUAAAUAAUCAGAUGUGGUUGAUCCUUCGAGCAAUCAAUUCCAAAUCCUGUAUAGCCACAAUACUGAGGAGCACUGACGUUGUAAUUGUCGAGUCUCCAGAAAGGAUACAAAAUUUGAAUUUCAUUGCAGGUGAAAUUAGGACAAUAUGCAUGUGAUGACUGUGUAUCAACAUUUGCACUGGAUAUGACGAAGGAGAAAAACAGAGACACGAAAAAGUAAUCGAAGAAGAAGAAGGAGAUUAAUUGAUUUUGAAACAUCGUUAAUUGACUUAAACAAAAUGCUGAACUGAUUGGUAUUAAUUUUGGCAGCUUCAAACUCGCAAUUACUCAGUUCGCUUGACUCUCAAACUCGAAUACCACCACAUAAAUUAGAUCGAAAGAACUCCCAAUUACUCAAUUCGCUUGACUCUUAAACUCGCAACUGAUUUGUUUUUUUUUUUUACAUUAUUAUUAGGGUUGGAUGGGUCAGGUCGGGUUAUUAGAUUUGGAGUAUUAACGGGUAGGAUUAUUAGGUUUGGAUGGAUUGUGGGUCAAGUUUAAUGGGUUGUGUUAUUAAUUUAAUUAAUUAUUAGUUGGCUAAUUAAAAGAAGUCAUGUCAUUAAUGAAUUGAAAAUAAAUUAAUCUGUUAAGAUAAAGGGCAAAGUAGACCCAAUAGGUAGACAUCAAGGGCAUUUCAGAUCCAAUAGGUAGAUGGGGGGCAUUUUUACACCAUUUUAAAUAAUUGAAGGACAUUUUAGACCUUUUUCCAUUUUAUUAAUAUGUAUUAAUGUCCCCGAGGUAGAAGAUAAUAAGACAAAAAAUAAAAUAUCUUGCAUAUUAUCAAAGAAAUUUUAAGUAUGCCAGUAUUAUUUUUUUUUUUUUUCUGAAAACAUACACUUUGAGUAAUAAUGAAAAGAAUUAAAAAAUACACUAAAUAAAAUUUAAAAAGAGAAGAAAAUGGCUAUCAAUACAAAGACAAAGGUAGGAUUAAUAUAAAGAUUAUAAGAAAAAAUGUUAAGUUGGAUUAGUAAAUUAAUAUAUAAUAUUUUAUUCAUUCUUAAUUUUUCAUAUUGUUAAUAAUUUAUCUCCCAGUUAAAUUUUUUGGUCUUUUUAUAUUGAGAGAAUACUCACAAAAAUACAUGAAAUUUGACCGAAUUUUCAGUUCAGCAUACUGAACUUUGCGGGGGUCCUAUUACCCCCUAAACUUUUUUAAAGUGGAAUUAUUACUCCCGAAACUCUAUACCCAGAUUUGGCUGCCGAAGGUGUGACACUACGCCCUUUCUUCUCCAUUUUCAUUAUUUUCACCAUUACAACCAUAUUACUCCUACAAACAACAUUGGUAAUACUACAAUACAAAUUUUCACCAAAUUCUUGAAAUUUGACUUUUAUUUAGUUCAUUAAAAAAAAAAAUUUUCAAAUUUCAAAUUUAAAUCGAAAAUUCUCUUCAAUAAUUUUAUUCAAAUAGAAAACAGAGGAUCCCAAAAUAACUAAGCAUUAUGCCUAUCAAAGCUCUACAUCUCCAAUAUUUUCGUGGUCCUCUUCUUCAUUGCAUAAACAUGUUCCCUAAGCUUCCAAUUCCUCUCCUGUGGACCCUCCAUUAAUCUCAAUAUCAAGUUCUCCGCAAAUUUCAUUAUGAAUUCCAUCCUUUCUUUUUUUUCCCGAUUGAUUACAAAUCUCAAAUCAAACACUAAUCAUAUGUAUAUAAGUUAAAAUAUAAAUAGAUAUAAUACCUAAUAAAUCACAAUUCAUAUAGUAAAAGUUCAAUUUUACUGAGGUGGUGGUGGUGGCUGCCGAUGGUAUUACUAUUGGCGGCAAUGGUGGGUUGGUUGGUGGUGACAAUUGUGGGUUAAUUUUGCUAUUUUUGAUGGAAUUGGAGAAUACCCAUUUAGUGUGUGUGUUGAAAUUGGAUAAAAUUAAUGCAAUAGAAUUGAGUGUGUUGAAGAUGACUCAUUUGGUGUGUGUGUGUAUGUGUGAUGAAAUUAUUUUCAAUUCAACAAUGGAGCACCAAUUUAACUCCAUUGAAAGAAAGAAAGAAAGAAAGAAAGAAAAGAGAAAGAAUGAAAAAUAAAAAAAAUAUAUAAAAUUUUUAAAAGUCAACAAAUUGAGGGUAUUUGACCCAAAAAAAAAUAAUUUAACGUUUUUAAUCACUCUCACGCGCUCAAGAGGCAUGAUUACACGCACUUGUCAAAGUGGACCGAUAUAUGCCAUUAAAAUAUAAAAAAAAGUCUAGGGGGUAAUAGAACCCCCGCAAAGUUCCGUAUGCUCAACUGAAAAUGUGAUCAAACUUCAGAUAUUUUUGUAAAUAUUCUCCCUUUUUAUAUUCUAACUUUCGUUUCAUAUUCUCUAAUUAAAUUGAGUAAUUACUAUCUAACAGUAUCUCUACUUUAAAUAUUUGAUAACAUGUUUAUAGGUGAUAUUUAAGAUUUAAUUAUAUGUUAUAUUAAAAUUCGAAAGUAUUAUUUUUAAUUGUUAGGGAGUUAUUAUUAGAAGACAAAAGAUAAUGAGUGAGGUAUGAUAUUUUCUUUUAAAAAAAGAUGAAGAGAGGAGUAAGAAUAGAAAAGCAAAAACAAGAAAAAUUAAAAAUACGAAAAUUAAAGAGAAGGGAAAGGAUAAGAUAAGAUAAAAUGUGCAUGCUAGAUUAAUUAUAUUUGUAUUAAAUAUAUAAAUAUAUAGUUUUGUUCUAAAAUUUAUUAAGAAUACUUAUGAAAGGAUGUUGAAUCUUACUACUUUGUUUAAGAAAAAUAAAAUUAUUUUGUUUACUUGUAAUAUAUUAUAUAAAAUUUAAUUAUUUUAGAAGAAUAAAAAUACUUAAGUGAUGAAAAUUUAAGAAAAAUACAUAUAUAAAACUAAAAAUGAAUAAUAUAACCAAUUAAAAUUUUAAAACUAAUUUAAAAUGUCAAACACUCAAAAAUUUAUUUAAUUCACGCGAAGCACAGAUGGUAUUCCCUAGUUACAUAUAUAUAUAUGACACAUUAACACAAGUAAAUUUUGUCAAGUUAAUAAGAUUUGUGAAAAAAAAUUAACACCUUAAAAGAAUAAAUAUUUUAUUAAAUUAUGAAUUGUUGCUAUUAACGGACUUCCAUUCAAAGGUUAUAAUGCUUCUGCUCUUGACCUUUUAAGCACCUAACGUGUCAUACACUCUACUUCACUAUGAGUUGUGAAUAAUUGAAUACAUACAAAUUAUAGCAUAUGCCAAGUAACAAAUUAUGAGUCAGCAAUCAUAGCAAGUGGACAAUUGAAGAGAUUCACAUUGAGACAUGUGACAAUCUGGUUAAAAAAUGACAUAAGACCAGCUUGGUACGUCUUUAUUUAUUUAUUAUUAAUUUAAUAUACAUUUAAAAAAAUAAUAAAUAAGAGAAAUAUUUAUUAUAUUAUCCUUUAAAUAUAAAAGUUCAUUGAUUGAAAAAUAUAUUAGAUAAUGAUUAUAGCUAUUAACUAGGAGAAAAAUAAACACAAACAAAUAUAUUAUAUAUUCAUUAUCUUUUUAAAUGGACAAAUAUCAUUGAAAAUCGAUUUUUAAUAAUAUGGAUAGAUAAACAUGAGUGAAAGAAUAAAAAUGACUAAAUUUUUCCUUCUUCCAUUCCCCUCAAUUAAUUAAAAUUUGAAGAAAAAAAUGACUUUUUGAAGUCUUUUUUUUUCUUUUUAAAACUGCCUAGUGCACUAAAUUCAUGCCAUGUUCAAGGUUUGGGGAAGGAUUCGACCACAAGGAUCAUAAUAUUACCUGAUAUUUCUAUAAGAAAUUGCUUCCAUGACUUAAACCUCUAAUCUCCUGGUCACAUGUCAACAACUUUGCCAGUUGUUACUCCAAGACUCUCCUUCACUUUUUGAUGUUUUCUAAAAAUAUUUUUUAACAUUUGAAAUUGUAUUUAAACAUGUAUUUUACUUGAAAACUUUUUAAUAUUAUGUGAGUGAAAGUGAAAUUACAUACAAAAAUUGAUAUAUGUCAAUUUUUUGAAACUUCAAAAAUGAAUUUUCAAAAACUAACCAAAUUAAACAAAAAAAUGUUUUGAUUUUUGUGGAAAUAAUUAUUUGUGAGAGCCUAAAGGAAGGAAUGAAUGACAGAUAAAUAGUACAAGAAAAAAGUGUACAAAAUAUCAAUGGAAAAAACAAUCUCCUGUCCUUAACUUGGAACCACACAUGAAUAUCGAACAAUACACUUAUUUUUUUUAUGUAAAUUAUAUAUGACUGGUUAUUAUUGACUCUCUAGUUUUUUAUUUUUUGGAAAUUUUAAAAGAAAUUCACAAUCUCUGUGUCAUAGUCUCUAUCCUUUGAAUGAGUAUUCUGUGAUAAACCCCUUGUGGUAACCCGUUUAUUGUGCAAUAACUCAUAAACCACCUAAAAAAUUUAAACUGCACUGGACAAACUCCAUGCGACGAGCUCAUGGUUGAGCAAUAGACAGUGGCUGAUUUUAAUGCCAGGUUUUUCUCACGAGAGACUCAUCUAUGAAUUUAUAACUUUAUAUUCACAACUUUGAAUUUUAACAAUAAGCUCAACCCAACUUAUAAACAACCACAAUUGAAGUACAAACUAUUUUCUGAAAAAUAGCGAAAUCAAACGUUUAGAAAGAGAUGAAGAUUGGAAGAUUCAAAUCUAUCAAAUUUACGGUGUAUCCUUAAGGAAAUUACUUCCCUCAAGCACCUGAGGUUAUGGAAUAUAUCCUCUCAGUAUAAAAUGAAUCACUUCGACAGAAUAGUGUUACCUCAAACUCUGUCGAACUACGAAUAAACUCAACGAUAGCAAAUCACAGUAGAGUUUUUCAAGAAAGAAGAGUGUUUUUACUUCAAAAUUUCAUGUAUGUACCUGAGAAAAAGAUCAGGUAUUUAUAACCAUCAAGGUGUUGCUUCAUGAAGAGAAGUAAUGGUUCAAAAAGGUGCACUUCUUCAUAAAGGUUCAACUCUUCGAAAAAAGUCACUAAUCAUUGAAAAGGUCAUAACCAUCCAAAAUGAGAACAUGUAUAUUUCAAUUGCAUCAUUUCUUUUUUUUUUCUUUUGAAGAAACACCUAUUCAUUUUCAUUCGCACCUCUUAAAAAUCUAACAAUUCUCCACAUAAAUGGUGAAUGACUAUUUUAUCAAGAAAUAUACGAACAAGUGUGUAAUCUACAAGUAAAGACUAAUUGCAUCUAGAUAAGUAAGUUUCCUUUUGAACUUUUCGUAAUGAACUUGCAUCGGAUGACUCGAUCAACCGGUAGAUAUGACAUCUUUGAACCAUCGAACUUUAAUGUACGCCUAGACAAUACAAGUCACACAACAUGUUAGAGUUUGUGUAACACCCCGUACUUAAUUACGUGCAUUAGUCAUUGUUAUAUGUGUUGGAGUAUAUGUAUUGAUCCUAAGUUAGGUAUAUAUGAGUUUAAGUAUGAGUAUUGAUUAUUUUGAGAUGGUUUCAAGUGUAUAGUUUGAUUAUAGGUGUAUAGGAAUCGACUUUAUUUAUACCGGAAUUUUCCCGUCGAUGGUUCCAUACGAAGGUUAUUGAAUAAGCUUUCCAACGAUAUAAAGAUUUCCAAAAACGGAUAAGUUUCGGAUAUAAGCGAGCUCGUUCGAAACAUUAAAACGGUGGCCGGGAUGUGAACAGUAAAUGUGCAGGAAAACUACUGAGGCCUGCCAGUUUUUUGGGUCAACUUUGAAUGAUCAUAACUCCCUCAAUAUAAUGAACUGGGAGAGCUACAACAUAUCAAAAGAAAGAUCUCUGAGUCUUCUUUCCAAUGCAAUUGGUUUCAUCCAAAUCCAACAUCUGAGGAAGGAGUUAUACUCGUUUUACUUCAGCCUCUCAAAACAGAUUUUUAGGGUCAACUUCAAACGAUCAUAACUACUUGUACAGGACGAACUGGGUGGAUUAAUUUAUAUUAAAUGAAAGACCUUUGAAUUAUCUUUCUAACGAUACCAAUUUCACCCAAAUCCGAUAUCGGAGCAAAGAGUUAUGGCCGAUUUACUUUAGCCUAUCAAAACAGUCCACCAUGGACAGAUUCGGAUUUACUUAAAUUUUUAAGGGCAAUAUGGUCAUUUUCCAUCACCUCUUGAACGAAAAUUGGUCAUUAUAUACAUAUACUUAGCCUUAUAUCCACCAUUUAUCAUCCAAAUCAUUGAAGAAUAAGAAACCCUAGCCUAAGUUCAACUCCAAUUAUCUUGUGAUUCAACCGUAGAAAAUCCAAAUUGAUUCCGUAGUUGUGUUCACCGUCUCAAGGGCUUCGAGAAGCACCCCUUAUUUGUGCCAACAGGACUUCGAAAUCAAAAGGGCCAUUUUUUUUGGUAAGGAUGUAAAUUAUGUUGGUGUUAUUUAUAUGGAUAUGUAUAUAUAUAUAUAUAUGCAUGUGAGCAUAAGAAGUAUGUUAUUUGAUUGUUGUUGAAAGAUGAUUGGAAAUGAUGUUGGAUUAUUCUUGUGCAUGGUUGGAUUAUGUUAAAUUGUGAAGGAAUUUGGGGUGAUGAUGUGGUAUUGAUGAUGUGGUAUUGAGAUGAUGAUUAUAUACAUAUACACACAUAAACCUAUUGUUCAAGUUGGUUUUUGGAAUGUUUUGCAAAUAUUGGUAGUAUGGAAUUAUGGAAGAGAAUUGUGGUGUUGGGUUGCUAAUACUAGAUGCCAAACAUUUCAUUGUAGAUAAGUGAUUUGUAAAGGCGGGAAGUUGUGUUGAAUUGGUAUCUGAAUCUACAACGAGGUAUGUAAAGCAUACUCUAACAAUGUUCUUUGGCAUGAAAACACCAAUGUUCCAUCAAGUAAGAUUCCGAGGUUGUCCAAAAACAUGUAUUGUUCUACGUUACCAACGAAGUUGUUUCCAUCCUAUAAAGUGUCAAAAUGUUCAUUGAUAUACCAAAAGGCUCUUAUUUCAUUGUUGUGAUAUUGAUGAUUCUGAAACAUAUUGUUGAUGUACCAAUGAGUCCUUAUUACAUCGUUAUUGUAUAGAAGGUCUAUUACUUGGUUCCUAUUGAUGUAUCAUUGUUUCAAGGUAUCAAAAAUGUGGUGACGACCGAAAUAACAAUCUCAAAGAUUAAUUGAACUAAGUGAUGAAAGUUCUCUCUUAUCGGGUGGUAUCCCAGGGGCAUAAGCCUAGCAUGGGUCGAUCCCUAUUUCAUGUGUUUAUGGGUGGUAUCCCAGGGGCAUAAGCCUAGCAUGGGUCGAUCCCAGUUGAUAUGUACUGGAGGCAUCCUAAUGGUCACAGUACAGUACAGUAAUGAUUACAAAGACGAUAAGAACGAAGGUAAAGUGAUUGAAUAAAUACAAUGUACAGGUUGUCACAAGUUCUAGUAAGUGUGGUCCACUCCUAUUACGACUUAUUCACUUGUUUCUGAUUUCUAUUGAGCUCCUAUAUCAUAUGUGAUUAUUUACAGCUUUACAUACUCAGUACAUAUUUCGUACUGACGUCCCUCACGGGGGACCUGCAUUUCAUGCUGCAGGCACAGGUACCUCAACUCAUACACCGCACAAGUAGGAGCCAGGUCAUACAGCUAUUGUUGGUGAGCUCCAGUUUGCUUCGGAGCUUUCCGAGUCGGUUCCUUAUGUUUUGUUAUUGUACAUGAGUCACGUGUGGGCGGGGGUUUGUCCCGACCCUAGUUAUGUCAUGUAUAUCCUAGAGGCUUUGUAGACAUAAGGAAGGGUAAAGUCAUGGAAGUUUAUAUAGUAACGUUAUAUUUGUAUAUGUGGUGGCCCCGACGGCCAAGUAUUAUAUAUAUAUAUUUGUGCGUGUUGUGCUGAUACAGGUAAUUAGACCUUUCUAUAUGCAACGAAGUGCUGUCCAAUUUUUUUGGUGACAUGUAAGUGAAAGUACAGGUAUUUGAACGGGUUCUCCCGGGCCUUCUCGGCUUCGGGUGCCAGUCCGGCCCGAUGGGAUUUUGGGGCGUGACACAAGUGAUCAAAAAUCCACUAUGGUAUGAUGACACAUUUUUUAAAGACAAAACUCUCUUCUUAAAAGAUGAUAGUUUGUCAAUUGGAGGGGUUAGUGGUCCAAAAGAAGGGGGUGUAUGUUCUCCAAUGACCUAUUCAUUCUUGUGUGAACCCAUGCUUGAUCAAGGGCUUAAUGCUUGUAGAUCAAAGGGUGAUUCUAUAUGUGGGCACACCUUAAAUAAACUUUAUUUAAGUAACACCUUUCUAUACCACUUUUUUUGCAUAUGAUGAUACUCUUUCCUUUGAGUGGAGUAUGUUAUGUGAGAGUAGAGUGUCAAUGGGGCAAAUAGGUGUAUGAUUUUACCCAUGUUUAUGGAUUGCCUUUUCCUUUUGUCCUGGUAAUGAUUUGAAUAGUGGCGUUUGUGAUAAAAUACUUGGUUCAAAUGACAAGAAAGUUGUGGGUGAGGUUGUUGGCUUGCGUGGUGGUAAGUAUAGUAGUAACAUAUUUUUUCUCUCAUAUGAUUAUUGCUUGGUGUUAUUACUUGAUCUUAUAUGUUUAAUAAGAUAUAUUUGCCAAAUUAUGUAGAGAAUACCUUCGUAUUUAAUCUCCAAUGAUGAAUUAGGAGUAAUUCUAUUCUUUAAGAUAGUUAGUGCAUUGGAUAGAGUAUUGACUUGGAAUGACCUCAUUUAUGACAUGAAACAUAGUUAUAUGGGUUAUCAUGUGUUACAUGACUUAAAGGGAGAUUUUUUUUUCUAAAUUUAGAACCAUUGAGGACUUGUAUCAGUGGUUGCCUAAACACCAUGGUUCUUUUGAUUUGCCCCUUUGUCAAUGUUUCCUAUGUAGCCAAGUAUAUCAAUUUUUGUUGGGUGACAAACCAUUUAUGACUCAUUUUUUUGCUUGGUUAUAUGUUAAAUGUGUACACCCUUGGCAUGGCCAUAAAUUUGUUAUUGAUAAUCCUUGUGUUAAACCUCAUGCUACGAUGAUAUGUUUGUUGUUUUUCCUUCUCAUUUUUUAAAAAAGUUUGGAUUCGUGGAUGAAUUCUUUUGAUGAAGUGGAUCAUGAUUAGCUUGGAACAUAUUAGGAGGGUCUUCCAUGUAUGGAUGAUAUCUUGGAGUUUGAAGGAAGGCAUGAAGAAAUAGAUACAUAAGGUCAUUGGCAAUCAAGAUGCCAUUUGGCCAAUUAAGAAGGUCCCUUGUGAGUUAUUUGUAAAAUGGUCACAUUAGGGAGAUUUUUGUAAUAGACUUUUUCUGUAAAGGCACUGACUAUAAAUAGUUUCUUUAUCCAUUUUCAUCACUUAGAUUUGGAAAAGUGAAUUGUCUUGAAUAGAAUUGAUAUUUAGUUAUUCGAUAUUAGGGCAGUAAUUGGGUUCAAUUUCAAUUGUUAGCUUAGAUUGAGUGAUUAGGGUGUCUUUCUAAAUUGUUUGUGUUAUCUUCUUCACUUGAUUUAUCAUUAAGUUAUCAUAUUAUGGAUUCAAUCUGGUUUCUCGUCCAUUUGAUUAAGUUCUCUAUUUUUCUUAGCUUAAUUAUUAUUUGAUUAAGUCUUUCUUUCAGCACUUCUAUAAUACCCCAUAUUAUUAUUAGGUCAGUUCAUCUUCUAGUUGUAUGCAUAAGGGGCUUAAGGCCUAAAAAUUUCACUAAGUGUUGGGGAAUUAGUCAUUUAUAAGUCCUCUUAACUUCGAGGAUUUUUCGAUUGGUCUUCCCGAUCCUAAGGUGUUGGUUUUUGAGUUAAUUCAUAUUCAGGGAUGUAAGGAGCAUGUCUUAGAGAAGUUUCAAAUUUUUUGAAUGAGGUUUCGGUCAUGUUUGGAUCACAAAUCCAGAAAGUCACUGCGAUACGGCUGCGUCGCUUUAAUAUUUCCAUUUGCAUGCUCACUGCGUUGCGGUAAGGGAAAUGGAUGACUUCAAUUAGACCGCGUUGCGGUAAGUAUGUUAUGCCCAGUUAUGAAUUUAAUUGCCUGAGGGGAAAUUGUGUCUGUUCCCCUCAACCCAAAUCAUGCAUAACACGAAUUGAGACAUCAUUUAGAGCAUUAUUUGCCCUUCUUCUCUAAAUCCAUCUCAAGAAAACCCUUCCCACUUUCUCAAAAUCACCAAUUUCAAUUUUUUUCUCCCUAAAAAACCAAGGAACUCAAGCUUCAAAUUCAAGAAACCCUCAAGAAAUCUUCAAGAAAUCAUCUAUUAAGGUAUGUGGAUGUUCAUUCAUGGGUUUCUUUCAGAAUUACGAGAAUUGAAAGAGCAAUUGAAAGAUUUGCUAGAAAAGGGGUUCAUUAGGCCUAGUAUUUCCCCUUGGGGAGCACCAGUGUUAUUUGUACGCAAAAAGGAUGGCUCGCUGAGGAUGUGUAUUGAUUAUCGGCAAUUGAAUAAGGUGACUAUUAAGAAUAAAUAUCCUCUCCCAAGAAUUGAUGAUUUAUUUGAUCAGUUACAGGGCGCCAAGUGCUUUUCUAAGAUUGAUUUGAGGUCAGGUUACCACCAAGUGAGGGUCAAAGAAAAAGAUAUACCCAAAACAGCUUUCCGAACAAGGUAUGGUCAUUAUGAGUUUCUAGUUAUGUCAUUUGGGCUAACAAAUGCACCCGCAGCUUUUAUGGAUUUGAUGAAUAGGGUUUUUAAGCCAUUCCUGGAUGUAUUUGUGAUAGUUUUUAUAGAUGAUAUUCUAGUUUAUUCUAGAUCAGAAGAGGACCAUGCCAAUCACUUACGACAGGCAUUGCAGACUCUUCGUGAUUGUAAGCUUUAUGCAAAGUUCUCUAAAUGUGAGUUUUGGUUAAAGUCGGUGGCAUUUUUGGGUCAUAUUGUAUCUAGUGAAGGGAUAAAGGUUGAUGCUCAAAAGAUAGAGGCUGUGAAGAACUGGCCAAGGCCCACAACGCCUACGGAGAUUCGUAGUUUUCUUGGGUUGGCCGGUUAUUAUAGAAGGUUUGUCAAAGACUUUUCUUCCAUUUCAGCACCCUUAACCAAGCUAACCCAUAAAGCAUCCAAAUUCCAAUGGAAUGAUGCCUGUGAGAAGAGUUUUCAAGAUUUAAAGAACAAGUUGAUUUCUACACCCGUGUUGGUACUACCAGAAGGCACCGAAGGGUAUACAGUGUAUUGUGAUGCUUCCAGAAUUGGUUUAGGAUGUGUAUUGAUGCAGCAUGGUAAGGUAAUAGCAUAUGCUUCUAGACAAUUACGGCCACAUGAGAAAAAUUAUCCUACACACGAUCUUGAGCUGGCAGCGGUUAUUUUUGCUUUAAAGAUAUGGCGCCACUACUUAUAUGGGGUUCACGUUGAUAUAUAUACUGACCAUAAGAGCUUGCAAUAUAUUUUUAAUCAGAAGGAUCUAAAUUUAAGGCAGCGGAGAUGGCUUGAACUAUUAAAGGACUAUGAUGUUGAUAUCUUGUACCAUCCAGGGAAAGCAAAUGUGGUAGCUGAUGCGUUAAGUCGUAAGGCUAUGAUGGCGCCUAUAGAAAGGCAAGGGAUGGUUAAAGAUCUUCACCAGUUAGCUAGUUUGGGAGUUCGCCUUCUUGAAACUCCGAAUAAAGAGCUUAUCGUACAUAAUGCUGCGGAAUCUUCAUUAGUAGCUGAAGUGAAAGAGAAGCAAUAUGCAGAUCCUAUUUUAUUACAUCUUAAGGAGAACGUUCAGAGUGGUGCGACCAAGGCAUUUGAGCUUACGCGAGAAGGAGUACUUCAGUGCCAAAACCGAUUGUGUGUGCCGGAUAUAGACGGGCUAAGAAAGAAGAUUAUGACAGAGGCACAUUUUUCAAGGUAUUCCAUUCAUCCAGGAUCAACCAAAAUGUAUCAAGAUUUGAAAGAUAUGUAUUGGUGGAAUGACAUGAAGAAGAGCAUUGCAGAAUUUGUAGCUGAAUGUCCAAAUUGUCAAAGAGUUAAAGUUGAGCACCAAAAACCCGGAGGCUAUAUGCAAUGCAUAGAUCUUCCAAUUUGGAAGUGGGACAUGAUCAACAUGGAUUUUGUUACAGGUUUGCCUCGUACAGCUCGAAAAUUUGAUUCUAUAUGGGUGAUUGUGGAUAGGCUUACUAAAUCCGCACAUUUCUUACCCGUUAAGACCACUUACACAGUUGAAGAAUAUUCGAAGCUGUAUGUUAAAGAAAUAGUCCGAUUACAUGGAGUGCCAACUUCUAUUAUAUCGGAUCGGGGAACUCAAUUUACUGCAAACUUUUGGAAGUCUUUCCAACGGGGUUUGGGAACACAAGUGAAUCUGAGUACAGCUUUUCACCCUCAGACGGAUGGACAAGCAGAGCGCACCAUUCAAACACUUGAAGAUAUGCUACGAGCAUGUGUUAUAGAUUUUAAAGGCAGCUGGGAUGAUCAUUUACCUCUUAUUGAGUUUGCCUACAAUAAUAGCUAUCAUUCAAGUAUCAAAAUGGCACCAUAUGAAGCUUUAUAUGGGAGAAAGUGUAGAUCACCAAUAGGAUGGUUCGAAGCGGGUGAAACUCUUAUGUUCGGACCGGAUCUUGUGUAUCAAGCCAUAGAAAAAGUCAAGGUGAUACAACAACGGCUAAAAACAGCCCAAAGUCGUCAUAAAUCAUAUGCAGAUAUUCGGAGAAGAGGGCUGGAAUUCUCUAUUGGAGAUUGGGUAUUUUUAAAGGUAUCACCAAUGAAAGGGGUUAUGAGAUUUGGUAAAAAAGGGAAACUAAGCCCACGUUACAUAGGGCCAUAUAAGAUUACCAAGAGGGUCGGACAAGUUGCAUAUGAAUUAGAGCUACCCCAGGAACUUUCAAUGGUUCAUCCAGUGUUUCAUGUGUCAAUGCUUCGAAAAUGCAUAGGUGACCCCUCUCGUAUCACUCCUAUAGAAGAUGUACAGGUCACAGAGGAUCUUACUUAUGAAGAGGUACCGGUUGCUAUUCUAGAUCGCCAAGUUAAAAAGUUAAGGAACAAAGAAAUGGCAUCAGUAAAGGUACUUUGGAGAAAUCAACAAAGGGAAGAGAUUACAUGGGAAGCUGAGGAAGCAAUGAAAUCUAAGUACCCUCAUUUGUUCAAAGAUGAAGAGGAAGUUCAAGAAACGGAGUUAGAACAUUAACAAGUAAGUUUUUGUUUAUAUAUGCAUAGUAUUUAUGUGAUGAUGUGAAUGUUAAUGGUGGACUUGAACUUGUUUCGGCUAAAUAACUACAUUCACAUUCGAGGACGAAUGUCCUUAAGGGGGGAAGGAUGUAACACCCCGUACUUAAUUACGUGCAUUAGUCAUUGUUAUAUGUGUUGGGGUAUAUGUAUUGAUCCUAAGUUAGGUAUAUAUGAGUUUAAGUAUGAGUAUUGAUUAUUUUGAGAUGGUUUCAAGUGUAUAGUUUGAUUAUAGGUGUAUAGGAAUCGACUUUAUUUAUAUCGGAAUUUUCCCGUCGAUGGUUCCAUACGAAGGUUAUUGAAUAAGCUUUCCAACGAUAUAAAGAUUUCCAAAAACGGAUAAGUUUCGGAUAUAAGCGAGCUCGUUCGAAACUUUAAAACGGUGGCCGGGAUGUGAACAGUAAAAUGUGCAGGAAACUACUGAGGCCUGCCAGUUUUUUGGGUCAACUUUGAACGAUCAUAACUCCCUCAAUAUAAUGAACUGGUUGAGCUACCAUAUAUCAAAAGAAAGAUCUUUGAGUCUUCUUUCCAAUGAAAUUGGUUUCAUCCAAAUCCAACAUCUGAGUAAGGAGUUAUACUCGUUUUACUUCAGCCUCUCAAAACAGAUUUUUAGGGUCAACUUCAAACGAUCAUAACUACUUGUACAGGACGAACUGGGUGGAUUAAUUUAUAUUAAAUGAAAUACCUUUGAAUUAUCUUUCUAACGAUACCAAUUUCACCCAAAUCCGAUAUCGGAGCAAAGAGUUAUGGCCGAUUUACUUUAGCCUAUCAAAACAGUCCACCAUGGACAGAUUCGGAUUUACUUAAAUUUUUAAGGGCAAUAUGGUCAUUUUCCAUCACCUCAUGGACGAAAAUUGGUCAUUAUAUACAUAUACUUAGCCUUAUAUCCACCAUUUAUCAUCCAAAUCAUUGAAGAAUAAGAAACCCUAGCCUAAGUUCAACUCCAAUUAUCUUGUGAUUCAACCGUAGAAAAUCCAAAUUGAUUCCGUAGUUGUGUUCACCGUCUCAAGGGCUUCGAGAAGCACCCCUUAUUUGUGCCAACAGGACUUCGAAAUCAAAAGGGCCAUUUUUUUGGUAAGGAUGUAAAUUAUGUUGGUGUUAUUUAUAUGGAUAUGUAUAUAUAUAUAUGCAUGUGAGCAUAAGAAGUAUGUUAUUUGAUUGUUGUUGAAAGAUGAUUGGAAAUGAUGUUGGAUUAUUCUUGUGCAUGGUUGGAUUAUGUUAAAUUGUGAAGGAAUUUGGGGUGAUGAUGUGGUAUUGAUGAUGUGGUAUUGAAAUGAUGAUUAUAUAUAUAUACACACAUAAACCUAUUGUUCAAGUUGGUUUUUGGAAUGUUUUGCAAAUAUUGGUAGUAUGGAAUUAUGGAAGAGAAUUGUGGUGUUGGGUUGCUAAUACUAGAUGCCAAACAUUUCAUUGUAGAUAAGUGAUUUGUAAAGGCGGGAAGUUGUGUUGAAUUGGUAUCUGAAUCUACAACGAGGUAUGUAAAGCAUACUCUAACAAUGUUCUUUGGCAUGAAAACACCAAUGUUCCAUCAAGUAAGAUUCCGAGGUUGUCCAAAAACAUGUAUUGUUCUACGUUACCAACGAAGUUGUUUCCAUUCUAUAAAGUGUCAAAAUGUUUCAUUGAUAUACCAAAAGGCUCUUAUUUCAUUGUUGUGAUAUUGAUGAUUCUGAAACACAUUGUUGAUGUACCAAUGAGUCUUUAUUACAUCGUUAUUGUAUAGAAGGUCUAUUACUUGGUUCCUAUUGAUGUAUCAUUGUUUCAAAGUAUCAAAAAUGUGGUGGCGACCGAAAUAACAAUCUCAAAGAUUAAUUGAACUAAGUGAUGGGAGUUCUUUCUUAUCGGGUGGUAUCCCAGGGGCAUAAGCCUAGCAUGGGUCGAUCCCUAUUUCAUGUGUUUAUGGGUGGUAUCCCAGGGGCAUAAGCCUAGCAUGGGUCGAUCCCAGUUGAUAUGUACUGGAGGCAUCCUAAUGGUCACAGUACAGUACAGUAAUGAUUACAAAGACGAUAAGAACGAAGGUAAAGUGAUUGAAUAAAUACAAUGUACAGGUUGUCACAAGUUCUAGUAAGUGUGGUCCACUCCUAUUACGACUUAUUCACUUGUUUCUGAUUUCUAUUGAGCUCCUAUAUCAUAUGUGAUUAUUUACAGCUUUACAUACUCAGUACAUAUUUCGUACUGACGUCCCUCACGGGGGACCUGCAUUUCAUGCUGCAGGCACAGGUACCUCAGCUCAUACACCGCACAAGUAGGAGCCAGGUCAUACAGCUAUUGUUGGUGAGCUCCAGUUUGCUUCGGAGCUUUCCGAGUCGGUUCCUUAUGUUUUGUUAUUGUACAUGAGUCAUGUGUGGGCGGGGGUUUGUCCCGACCCUAGUUAUGUCAUGUAUAUCCUAGAGGCUUUGUAGACAUAAGGAAGGGUAAAGUCAUGGAAGUUUAUAUAGUGAUGUUAUAUCUGUAUAUGUGGUGGCCCCGACGGCCAAGUAUUAUAUAUAUAUAUAUAUAUAUAUUUGCGCGUGUUGUGCUGAUACAGGUAAUUAGACCUUUCUAUAUGCAACGAAGUGCUGUCCAAUUUUUUUGGUGACAUGUAAGUGAAAGUACAGGUAUUUGAACGGGUUCUCCCGGGCCUUCUCGGCUUCGGGUGCCAGUCCGGCCCGAUGGGAUUUUGGGGCGUGACAGUUUGUGACCCAAAUUUUUAUUGAUCCGGCCCUGAAAAGAUCACGGGCGAUCCAUGUUUGAGAUUUUUUGGGGGGUCUAUAGUGGUAGCAUAGGGAUCGGGCGGAUAGGUUUCUUGUACGCACGUAUUAUAUAAGUGCGACUUAGAGGGUUGUUUUAAUAUGACGGUUCUCGUGUGUUAUUGAGAACUUUGGCUCCUCCUUGUAUUCCUCUCCGAUAUUGUGAAUUUCUCCUCCUCUGCCUAUGAUUUUUACCAUCAAGGAUUUUCACGUAAAUCUGUGUGUGUUCAUCUUAUUUUUCUUUUGCUUAUUCCUGUUUGAUUUCAUAACACAACCAACCUUUUACCAUUUAUGGUUGUCAUGGUUUUGUUCGUUUCAGCCAUGAACACUUUCUGAUUUCAUGAGAAUAGACCUUUACUAUUAUUCUCUUUAAAGCGGCUUCCACUUCACCCUCACAUAGAUGAUUUCUAAACAUUUAAUCCUAUAGAUCAAACUAUUUGGUCAAACUUAUCAAACUUAGAAACCAUUAAAAAGCUUCACACCAUAAAUCUUAUCCUUGUUUCUUGAACAUUGUUUUCAUCAUGAGAAUGAGUUGAGCUAAUUGACAAUUUUGAACCGUUAGUCACAACUUUGUUUGAUGAGCCUAGCUCUUAAGAUCUCUAAUCCACUAGGUAGGAUUACUGUCGUGAUAACUUGUCCUAGGUCAUAAACCUAUUUCUUUCGAUGAUCUCUCAACUCCCUCUCUAGAUAGGCCUUUUAUAAGCAGAUUCAACACAUUAUUCUUUGACCCCACACAGUCAAUCGUGAUAAUUUUACUAUAGAGUAGUUCUCUAGCAGUAUUAUGUCUCCAUUUUAUAUGAUGAGAUUUUUCAUUAUACAUUUUAUACUGGUGCUAAAAGUUGGUCCAAUAAGACAUAUCUUCAAUUUUUUUUUAAAGUAUUCAACUUCUUUAUUGACUUUAUAUAACACGAUAAAUUUAGAUUCCAUUUGAUACUAGUAUUUUGUGUGAGAUGUCUUGUAUUGUAAUCUGAAAUGUUCAAAUUCAAUAAUAUGAAAAAGAUACAACUUAAAUUUCAAUAUUUGAAUUGACUUUGAGUGAUAUUGGAAUAAUAAGCAAUAAUGAAAACGUGAUUAUUUUUUAUGUUAAUUGGGUAAUUUAACAAAUUAUAAUUAUUUCUUAAUUUGUUAAAUUAGAAAAAAAAAGUUAUUAACUAAGUAAAAAUAGAGAACCUUAUUAUUGUUAUUUUCGUUUUUUGUGUGCGUAGAUGAAGGGAAUGAAAGUUGAUUCAUUCUUAUGAAAAUUUUUUUUGCAAUAUUGGAUGUCAACGAGCCUUUUCUUAUUUUGUAUUAAUUAUAGGAAAUUUCCAACUCGUCACAACACAUGCCAAAUUUUGUCACUCCAACAAAAUUUAUAAACAUUUUAACAAGAUAAGUGAAUAAAGAUUACAAAAAAAAAAAUGAUUACUCGUAGCAAACAAUUACAUAGUAUAUAAGAUAUAUUAACACAACUAAAUUUUCUUAAUUUGGCAAAGAUUUAUGAAAAUAAAAACAUAAAAUUUUUUAUUAAAUAAUCACUAUCAACUUGUGAAUAAUUGAAUACCACUUAAACUAUAGGAGUAUUAUUAUUUACCAAAUAUGGCUAGCAGACAUAGGUAGAAGCAGAACAAAUGAAGCAAAUUUGACAAAAAAUUCCAUCUCGAAGAUACGUGACAAUCUGGGUCCCCUGGCCUUGAAAAUGACAAAUAGGACCUAAACUGACUUUUUAAAGUUGUUAAAAAAUAAUUUUUGAAAUUUAAAAUUAUGUUUGGAUAUGUAUUUUAUUUGUAAAAUUUUAAUAUUAUGUGAGUGGAAGUGAAAUUUCGAAUAAAAACUGAUCUACGUCAAUUUUUAAAACUUAAAAAUAAAUUUUAAAAAGUUGAUCAAAUUAAAAAACACUAUUUUCAAUCUUCUUUUUUUUAAAAAAAAAAAAAAAUCAACUCCUAAAAUCUAUGGUCCAAUGACAGCUAGAUCACAUCCACAAUUAGGGGUGUGCAAAAUCGAACCGAACCGAUAAAAACGUUAUUGGGUUAACAGUUUUUUAUUGGUUUUAUAAAAAAUUUUAUUGGGUAAACGGUUCGGUUUCGAUUUUAGCUUAUUGGGUUAUUGGUUAAACCGAUAACCCAAUAAGGAUACACUAUAUUAUUGUUUUAUCCCUAUUUAUGUUAUAUGAAUAAAUAUCUCUCUUAUCUAUCUAUCUAUCCAUCUAUAUAUAUAUAUAUAUAUAGAGAGAGAGAGAGAGAUAGACAGACAGACGGACGGACGGACAGACAGACAGACAGUUCAAGUUUUUUCUAAUUAACAUUCAGUUCAAGUUUGAAGAUUCUUGUAAACUAAAAUGUAUUGCGUAGGAUUUUAGCGGUAACUAAGAUUCAUUUUUUUCGGUUAGUUGUUACUAUUUCUAUUUUAUAAGUAUUUUCUUAUUGGUUAAACCGAAAAUCGAACCGUUAAGGACCAAAACCCGAUAAACCGAAACUGAUAAGAAAAUAUCUUAUUGGUUGGUUAUUGGUUUUACAUAUUUAAAAAUUAAAAAUUGAUAAAUCAAACCAAUAAUAUAUAAAAUCGAACUGAACCCAUCGAUGCACAUCCCUAUCCAUAAUAAUAGAAAUAAUUAUUUGUGGAAACUUAAAGGAAAAAAAAAACUGACAAAUAGUAAAAGAAAAUGUGUGCAAAAUAUCAAUGACCAAAGAAAACAAAAAACCCACCCACCACCACCACCCCAAAAAAAUAAACACAAAUGAAAAUGGUACAAUACACGGUAUUUUUCUUUAUGCAAGUUAAUUAUGUAUGACUGUUUGUUAGUCACUAUCUAUUUUUGUUAACCCUCGGAGAAAUUCAUAAUUACUGUCUACCAUAGGUAUUUUGUGGUGAGCACUUUGUGAUAAUAUACUCAUUCUUCAAUAGCUAGCAAAUUAUAUUGAGAUAUAAAUCACACUAGGUAAGCCCCAUGCAACGAGCUAAUAGACGGGGGUUGAAUUCGAUUACAGGUCUCCCAGAAGUAAAUUUUGUUAAGUUGACAAGAUUUAUAAAAAUAACAUAAAAAAAUAUUCUAUUAAAGUGAUUAGUCGCGAUCAACUUGUAAAUAAUUGAACACCACUUAAAUUACACUUUCUUCGUUCCAUUUUAUGUGUCAUAAUUUGAUUGGAUAUGGAGUUUAAGAAAUAGUAAGGACCUUAUGCUUUUUGCCAAAUUAUCUUUUAUUAAAAAUAUAUUAUCACUAUUUUUAAUCAAGUGGGUUUUAUAAGUGGGAUCAAUGAGGGUAAAAAUGAAAUUAUAUAGUUAAAAAAUUACCAAAUAAAAAAAUAUGACAUUGAAUACAAAAGUAAAAAAGGUCUAAAAUGCCCUUCAACUAUCUAAAAUGGUGCAAAAAUAUCCUUCAUCUACCUAUUGGGCCUAAAAUGUCAUUUCCGUCUAUCUAUUGGGUCAAUUUUACCCUUCCAUUUAACAACAACCUUUUGGCUCCACCUCAAUUAUGACAUAGCACAUUCAUAUUGGAUAAUUCAUAUUAAAUUAAGGAAAAAUUACAAUUUAUAGGUAAAAAUCUUUUAUAAUUACAUGGUAUGGGUAAUGUUUUAAAUAAUUACAAUUCAUAGGUAAUUGUUAGUUAAAAUGCAAUUUUAUGUGGGUCCAUUUAUACAAAUAUAAUUUGUAAUGUAUAUAAUUAAGGCAAAUAAGAUUUUCUCUCUCAUAAUUAAUAUUUUAUUCUCUCCCUUAGCCGAUUGGAGAGAUAUGCGGCAAAGAUUACUCCUUCAAUCUUAUUGGAUGUUAUAAGUGCCAGAAGGUAUUCAAUCCAUAUUCUAACUUUUUGCUCGAAAUUUUCUUGCUGAAGAUUGUGAAAAUUUUAAACUCUUUUCCAUUGAAAUAUCAAAACAGAUAUCUCUUUCUAUUUCUUCUCUCAAUUUUUCUAUAAUUUUGUAUUUUCAACUACAUAUUAGCUGUAUUUUGUCCAUUGAAGAUUACCUUGAAACUCUUUUCGUCCCUAAAAACUCGCAGAGAUUUGAUUUAAAAUUUUAAUGGUAAAUUUUAUAUAUUUACGGAUAUACAGAUUUGUUCUUCUUUACUUUUUCAAGUUAAUUGGUCAAGUGUAUAAGGACAAAGCCACUUUAAAAUUCGUGCAGUAACGGAACUAAAAAUUUAGCAAAGGGUGUGCAAAAUUUCUUCCUAAUUAUGUUAAGAGUGUGCAAAAUUAAAUAUUUACUCAUAAUAGCUAACAUUUAACCUUUGUAGACCACGUAAUUACUCGACGAAGGGUGUUCAUUUGACCACCCUUCAUUUAAGGUGGUUCCGCCCAUGAAUCAGUGAUGACCCAAUAUGCAAUUUGAAACAGAUUUCAAUUCAAUACAAAAAAAUCAAAUGGUAACGGGUCAGUUGCUGUUUUUUAUGAUUAUAUAUGUUUAUGUAUUUAUAUAUUUUUUUUAGUAUUUGUAUAUUUGUAUGUAGUUGUAGUUGAUUAUUUAUUUUUCAGUUGUAUUUGUAUAUCUAUAUAUAAUUUUAUUUGUAUAUAUGUUUUUAAAUUGUACCUGUAUAGCUGUAUGUAGUUAUAUUUGAUUAUUUAUUUUUUAGUUGUAUAUGUACACCUGAUGUAAUUGUAGUUGUGUAUAUGUUUUAUAAUUGUAUUUGUAUAUCUGUAUGUAGUUGUAUUUGAUUAUUUAUUUUUUAGUUGUAUAUGUAUAUCUGUAUGUAAUUGUAUUUGUAUAUAUGUUUAUUAAUUGUAUUUGUAUAUAUGUUUAUUAAUUGUAUUUGUAUAUCUGUAUGUAGUUGUAUUUAAUUAUUUAUUUUUUUAGUUUUAUAUGCAUAUAUGUAUGUCGUUGUAUCUGUAUAUAUGAUUUUUUAUUGUAUUUGUAUACCAGUAUGUAGUUGUAUUUGUAUAUAUAUAUUUUUUAAUUGAUUUUGUAUAUCUGUAUGUAGUUCUAUUUGUUUAUCUAUUUCAAGUAUAUCUGUUUUUUUUUUUUAUGUAUAGCGUUGGGUUUCAAAAAAAUCGUAUUUCAAGAAUUUAUAAUAAAAAUUUGAAUUUGGAACAUACCUGGUAAAAAUGGUUGUUGAAUUAUUCCUCUUCCUUCUCUCUAAUCUUCCCAAAAUAAUUUUUUUUAGAUUUAAUACAUGCUUUAAAUCACAGAUAAUGUGCUUUAAUGCUCAAUAAUGAAAGAGUAAUUAGUGGGAAGUUGGAGUAAUUUAAGGGGAUUUACUGCUUUCAAAUUUCCCUUUUUAUCUCUUGUUCAGUUAAAUUAUUUAUCUACUGAUUUGUAUAAUUCUGUUAUAUAUACAAAUAACUGUUACCUACUUUUGUCUAUAAUUCGUAAUUAUUGAAACUUUCUCUAGGAAGUUAGUUAUAGGUCUUAUACUUUACCUAGUUAUGAAUUUUUGCCUUAAAUUAAACUAAUUAAUUUUAUUUCUAAACCCAACCUGCCCAGCCAAAUAACCUGAACCCAACUAAAGUUGACCUGUUCCAAUUUUUUUUAACAAAAAAAAAUCCCCGUUCGUCGAUAUCUGUUUAUCUCCUCUCUUUGAAUUAUUGAAAAGAAUAAUAUUAUGAUGAAAGUGAGAAGAACUCUAUUUUUUCCUACUAGAAGACAAGGCUUGUCACAAUAUAUUAUGAAUACAUAAUGAUGAAUACAAAAAAUAAGAAAAGAAAUUAAAAUUUAAAAGGAACGAUCAACACUUGGUGACGUUGACAGUAAAAUCUCUCUACUAAUAAAAUAUUCAUAGAAAAUUUAAAAAGACCUAAUUUUGUGAAAAUGUGGCCACAAAGACAUUUUCGUCAGUUCUUUCUAAAGACAGCAGUUGCUAUAACUUUAGUGUAAAAUACAACCACCUGAAGCUUCAUUGGAGGCUCUACUUCAUUGACGUUAUGGCACCACAAAAUAAAGUUGUAAUGAUAUUAAAGAUUUCAAUGUUAAAAUAGUUGAGGAUAGCUUCACGUAGCUUGAGCAUUUGGAUUAGGGAAUUUUUUUUUUGUUAAAAGGAAUUGAAACGGGUUAAUUUUAGUUGGGUCUGAGUUAUUUGGUUGGGCGAGUUGAAUUUUGAGAUAAAAUUAAUUAAUUUAAUUUAAUAUGAAUUACUCAAUAGGAAUAUGUCAUGUCAUAAAUAAGGUGGGGUCAAAAAAUUAUUAUUAAAUGGAAGGAUAAAAUUAACUCAAUAGAUAGAUAAGAAGAAUUUUUGAACACAAUAAAUAAAUGAAGAAUAUUUUUGUACCAUCUUAAAUAGUUAAAGAAUAUUUUAGGUUCUUUUCUGAAAAAAAAUAAUAACACAUCAAAUGAGACGAAAGGUUACCAAAUAUGACUUGUAGACAUAACUAGUGAACGAAGCAAAUUUGCCAAUUUAGGAAAGCAAAUCUUCAAUUGAAAGACAUGUGACAAUGUGGUCCCUCUGGCCUUGAAGCCUUGAAAAUGACAAAUAGGACCUAAAAUGACUUUAUAAAGUUGUUAAAACAAUAAUUUCUGAAAUUUAAAGUUAUGUUUGAAUAUAUAUUUUAUUUAAAAAAUUUAAAUAUUAUGUAAGUGAAAGUGAAAUUUCAAACAAAAACUGGUCAUAAGGUUGCCCAAUACUCCCUCACAUUAAUCAUUUUUUUAUACGCAUAUAAAGAAAUUAUAAAUAAAAAUAUAAUUAUACUAAUUAAUCACUUAAAAAUUCUUUUGAGAAUUUUACAAAUAAGCAUAAAAAAUUAUUUAAAAAAAAUUAAGAAUAAUAUGAAAAAAAUUAAUAAAUAUAUUUUUUAUUUAAUAAUAUAAUUAAUUAAUAUAUUAUUUUUUAUUAAAAUAAUUAAUUAAUAUGAGACACAGCGGGUACAAUGAAUGUUCUCUAGCCUUGAGAAAAACAAUUGUUGGUGCCUAAUUUGGGUUUAAAGAAAAGGUCAUGGGUUAAAAAUGUUCUCCAGAGCCUUCUAUAUUUUUGUUUGGACUUCAAUUGUUUUUUUCUGAAGUCAUGCGUAUAAUAUAUAUUGAAGUUUUAGUAGUUGUUUAGUCAUGAAAAUUAAAAUUUCUGAAAUUAGAAUUAGAGUUAAAGUUGGAGUUUGGAGUAGUGUUUUACUAUGAAUAUAAAUUGGAGUUGUUCUUAAUUUUUCGCAAGAAAAAUUGAAAUUUAUUUUUAUUUUUUAAAAUAUAAUUUUAAAUUAUAUUUAAAUUUUUUAUGAUCGAAUACUAUAAUUUUUAUUAAAGUAGAAUAAUUUAAAAAAAAAAUAAAAAAAAGUUCAUGAUCAAACAUCUCCUAAACAAGUCUCACGAAACUCUAGUUCUUAAGGGGUGGUGAGGUGGUGGGAAUGGAGGCUGUGAGGAUAAGCCAAUGGGAGUAUGUUGAACAAUAAAAAAGAGUUAAUUAAUAUGAAAUGUUACUAGUGAAACUUUUUGCUUUUACAUUUUUACUUUUAAAGAAUUUUUAUAGAAAAAAAUAUUACUUUCUUCAUUUUAUUUUAUAUGACAUAGUUUGGUUUGAUAUGAUAUUUUCUUAAAAAAGAAGAAUUUAAAUUUGUUAUUCAAAUUAUUUUUUAAAUAUUUAUGUAAUUAUAAAUGAUUUCAUUAAGGAUGAAAGAGAUUUUUUUUUAAGUAUAAAAAAAUAGUAACAUUUUUUUAAAGGAGGACUAAAAAAUAAUAUAUCACCUAAAGUGGGACCGAGGACGUAAAAAAUUUUGAUUAAUCAAAAACAAAAUAAAUUGAGAGAAAUAUUUUUUGCCUCAUCAACUACAUGGUAUAUAUAUAUAUAUAUAUAUAUAGGGAGUUAGGGACACAGAAAUUUAACUCAAAACAAAAUGGACACAAUGCAAAUGAUAGUUUCAGUAUGUUGUGCUUCCAUAACAGUUACUUUGUUUGUGUGUCUAUGGAGAGUGUUGAAUUGGGUUUGGUUCAGACCAAAAAAAUUGGAGAAGUUGUUGAGGAAACAAGGUCUAAAAGGGAAUUCAUACAGAAUAUUGUUUGGAGACAUGAAAGAUUCUUCUAUGAUGAUUAAGGAAGCUACCUCAAAGCAUAUGAAUCUGUUUGAUGAUGAUGUAGCUCCAAGGAUAUUGCCUUUCAUUCUUGAAACAAUAAAGAAAUAUGGUAUGUAUUUGCUUAUCACUAUAUUUUGUUGUAGUUACUGUUUAAGAAUUAGUUUCUGGACAUGUUUGUUGCACGUGUAACCUAAGACAAAUUUUUAACUAUGUAUACGUAUAGCUAUAAGCAGUGUUUUAUAAGAUAGUUUUGGAGCUCACCUUGGGCAAGGCACCUGCAAAAUGCGUCGAGGCAUAGGUGUGUUGCUUAGUCCUAUGGGACUUAUGCCUUAAGCGCCCGACUAUAUGUCCUAAGCACAUCUAGCGCUCAACGCUCGGGGCUCCUCUAACACAUAUUAGGCAAAUUAUGUAUCAAAUUUCUUAUUUCUCUUAAAAAAAAUAAUGCUUAAUAAUUUUUCUAAUCUAUAGAAAUAAGAAGAUUGAGAGUAACUCAAAUAAUAAGUCAUUGAAAGCACCAUGAGUAUGAAUAUCAUCUGAAAUUUCUUUUAAAAAUACUUAAUUACCUGAAUUUUACAUCUUCACUUAUCAUUAGUCUUCACAUUAUUGUCACAAGUCAUAAAAUUAUCAUAUUUUAUCAUUUGUAGUACGUCUCAAAAUAAUCAUUAUUUUGAAACUGUGGCAUUCAUAUUCCCGUAUAUGCAUCUCUGGUCAAUAUUUUGAAUUAUACUUUAUUUUACUUGUGUGAAUAUGCCAUGGUUCACUUCAACAAUCUCCAUUUUGUUAAGGAUAAAGUAUGCUUGUCUGGAAGUAUUGUUGAAGAGUUGAAGACAUAAUUAAGAAAAUCAAAAGUGUGAUUUUCUGAACAACUUAAGCUUUUUGAUGAGUCGGUCACAUACAACGUGAUAACUGAGCAAAUAGAGGGCCUGGGUUCGAGUCUCACCGUCACACACAUACAUCUUAUAUUAUGAAGGUGCACUUAAGUGGUCAAACAUCGAUUGUGAUUUAAUUGAGAGAAUGAUCAUAUCAGCUAACAUAAUCCAAAAUUCUUACCUCCUUCUUGCAAGGUAAGAAUUGGAUGAAAUUGUAAUAAAGCUGAUUUAGUUAUCUUUUGAAGAUCACUAUAUUCAUUUUUUUUCUAAUUUUUGGUUGUAUAAAUGUUCUUCAAAUUUGUACCACUUGUAGUUAAUCGUGAGACAUAUGGUUGCAGGGAAAAAUUCUUUUGUAUGGAUGGGUCCAAAUCCACAAGUAUUAAUCAUGGGCCCUGAGCUUAUAAAGGAAGUACUCUCGAAAAACUACUUGUAUCAAAAGCCUCGUGGAAAUCCAUUUUUAGCGUUGUUGGUACGAGGACUGGUAAGUUUUGAGGAAGACAAAUGGGCCAAACACAGAAAAAUCAUCAAUCCCGCUUUCCAUCUGGAGAAACUAAAGGUUUGUCUCUGCUUCCCUUCCCCCUUUCCUCCUUCAACUUCGUGAUUGGUCAACCGGAAAUUAUUAUGUUCGCAAUUCUUAAUCUAUGAUGGAUAAAAUGCUCGUUCUUGCUUCUCUGGAUACUGUAUUUUCCUUGGCUUGGACAAGGCAUUUAGUCCAUGUUGCUAUUCCUAUUUCCAGGGACGACUACAUUUGGUGAAAUAGUUUCUUAGAUGUAUUACAGCAAAAUGGAUUUAUUUAUUAUAAAGACAUUUAUCAUUUCUGACCUCGCUCCACUUUAAUUGUUAUUUGAACACUCUUGCGUUUGAUUGAAUCGGCACUUACGCUAGAGGGUAGUGGUACCAAUAUAUAUGUAGUCCUGGUUCUGUUUAAGUGUUGGUGUCAUUGACAUUUUUCCUCUUUCACCAUUUUCUGGAACAGCAUAUGCUUCCAGCUUUUUACUUGAGCUGUAGUGAGAUGCUGCGCAAAUGGGAAGACGUUGUUCCAGUUGGAGGCUCUCAUGAGAUAGAUGUAUGGCCUGACCUGCAACAAUUGAGUUGUGAUGUGAUCUCUCGGACGGCUUUUGGAAGUAGUUAUGAAGAAGGUAGAAAGAUUUUUGAACUUCAAAAUGAACAAGCUCAGCAUCUUAUCCAAGCUUCACGAUCUGUCUAUAUCCCUGGAUGGAGGUAAACUAUAAUGUUCUUUAGAAAUGCAUAUUGCUUCCCUACAUCUUAACUAAUGCAGCAUUCUGUUUUUCUGUUUUAUGUAAUACUAUUUCAAAGAUUUUUGCCAACAAAGUGGAACAGAAGAAUGAAGGAAAUAAACAAGGAUGUUCGGUCCUCAAUUUGAGGUAUUAUUGAUAAAAGAUUGAAGGCAAUGGAAGCAGGGGAGGCUGACAAUAAGGAUCUAUUAGGCAUAUCGCUUGAAUCAAAUUUUAAAGAAAUUGAACAGCAUGGGAACAAGAAGUUUGGAAUGACCAUUGAAGAAGUCAUUGAAGAAUGCAAGCUAUUCUAUUUUGCUGGCGCAGAAACAACAUCAGUACUACUCGUAUGGACUCUGAUGUUGUUGAGCAAAUAUCAAGACUGGCAGGCACGGGCCAGAGAAGAAGUCUUGCAAGUGUUUGAGAGUCGUAAACCAGAUUUUGAUGGAUUGAAUCGUUUAAAAGUUGUGAGUAUUGUGGUUUUAUUGGUUCAAUUUAUCUGCCAUGAGUUUCUACUCUCAUUGUUAUUGCAAUUGCUUGAGUUCUUAAAUUUUUAAAGUUGGGACUUUCUGAUACUAAUUUGAUAGCGGACCAGGGAGGGGGUUGGGGGGAGUAUUUUUCCAAGCGCAUGUGAAUUUCUUUUGAUCAUAGGUGGGAUGAGACUUGAACUUAAGAUUUCUAUGUUGGUUACAGGAUAGUGCAGUACUCCACCUGUAGAAAAUAGUGUAACAACAAAAUUGAAAAGAGCUUGGCGAGUAGCCCCAUAAUUUCAGGAUAAGGGUCGCCUCCUCACAGAAAAAGGUCGCAGCGAUCAGGCCCAGAAGACUGUUUACCAAAAAACACAGGUCUUGGCAGAGUCAUAAAACCAUGUAUAUAUGGGACGUCUUCCCACUCUUGAAGGUCAAAGAAGUUAGUGACCUGAUGAUAAGGGAGUAGGCGACCAAAUCCCCGGUGAACAGUGUCCAUAAGCCCGUAACUGCAAUAUUAAAUUUUACAUGUCUCAUUCAUUCUAGAUAUAAUUGAAGGAGGAGCAUUUUUAUGGCAGGUCAGGAUGAUCUUGUACGAAUCAUUAUGACUGUAUCCCCCAGGAACAUCAUAUAUCCGGCGGGCUAAUAAAGACAUUGUUUUGGGAGACCUGUCUAUACCAGCUGAUGUACAAAUCUCUUUGCCAGUGCUCUUAUUGCAUCGUGAUAAAGAGAUAUGGGGUGAAGAUGCAAGAAUG
This 209373-nucleotide long non-coding RNA is filed under the name Capsicum annuum. RNAcentral describes it as "long non-coding RNA (CANN_LNC012131)". Lineage: Eukaryota; Viridiplantae; Streptophyta; Magnoliopsida; Solanales; Solanaceae. The record is from RNAcentral.